This 201863-nucleotide long non-coding RNA is filed under the name Gossypium barbadense (sea-island cotton). Its description in RNAcentral is "long non-coding RNA (GBAR_LNC021245)". Lineage: Eukaryota; Viridiplantae; Streptophyta; Magnoliopsida; Malvales; Malvaceae. The record is from RNAcentral.
CUUUGAAAUGGUUGAUACCAAGACCCAAAGUCUUGAGCAAAGUCAAAUUUUCAAUUUCUGUAGGUAUACUUCCCUCCAAGGAGUUGUUAAACAAUGAUAAAAACUUCAGCUCUUUGCACUUGAAUAAACUAUUUGGAAUUCUACCGGUCAUUUGAUUCCCACCCAAGCUCAACCUUUCUAGUUUUGACAAAUUGCCUAGAGUAGAUGGGAUAACACCAAUGAAGUUGUUAAGGUAUAGAGACAAUGUUUGAAGUUUACUGAAGCAACCAAACCAUAAUGGGAUUUCUCCAUUGAAGCUAUUGUUACCAAAGUCCAAAUAUUUCAUCCGACGCAAAUUAGUUAACUCAAUGGGUAAAGAGCCUAGGAAACUAUUUUGAUGAAUAUCGAGCCAAGCAAGGAAAGAUAGAUUUCCCAAUUGAGAAGAAAUGGUGCCUGUGAGAUCCAUGCUUGACAAAUUCAGAGCAGUGACCCUAUAGUGUUUAGAUCCACAUGUGACACCAAUCCAGCUACAAAAAGAGGUAGAAGUAGACCAAUUGGUUGUCAAGAAAUUGUGAGGAUCAUGAGUUAUAUGAGAUUUGAGUGCUAGAAGAGCAGAUUGAUCAACGGUGAUGCUAGAAUAUUUUGCAGACAAAAUAACCCCAAAGGUUGCAAAUAGCAGCCCAAACAUAAACGGAGGGAGGAAGCUUGGUUUUUCCAUAAGGUUGGAUAUGGGUGUAAGGCGCAUCAUAAGGAGAGAAACAACCGAGUUUAAUACUUUCCUAAUGUUAGUUCAAUACUUCGUAAGUUUAUAGUAAUUCCAACUGCGAGAUGAUCACAAAUUCCAAUUGGCAAUUGGAAAAUGAGAGAGAUGUUUAUGUUUUUUUUCAUUUUCAAAUAUAAUAAAGGCGAUUGACGGAAGGGAAAACUUUCUCCUUGGUUUAAAAGUCCAGAUAUCAAUUACAAGACAUAAAAAACAAAGACAAGUAUUGGGGGCCAGCAGAUUGAAACUAUUUGAUUUAGUCUAAUUAUUACAACAUGUUUGAUUGAAACUAUUUUGUAAUCUCUGAUUAAAUAAAUAUUGAGAGGAAAAGACUUAAAUUUUCUCUUUUUCCUUAGCUAUAAAAUUGAAUUUCUAGUUUGGAUUACAUGCCUGUGGUUCUCAUCUCUAGUUAUGUAAGGCUGAGUCGCUGUUAGUUGGAUGGACCUACAUUGAAAACAUGAAUUGAAAAGAUAAGUAAUAGAAACUUUGUCAUAUUUAGACAAAUAUCAACCACAUCUUUAUUAACUUUUUACAUUUCUUAUCCCAAUAUUCAAAACCAAACAAUAAUACAUUCAUUGCAUGUUCCUUUUCUCAAAUAUCAUUUUAUUUAAUGUCAUUAGAGAUUACUCUAUUCUUUUUUCUUUGUGAUAAAAAUUAUUAAACAAAAAAUUAUUACAAAUGUUGUAGGAAUCUAUCCUUUGAGAUUGUUUGAUUCUAGUUUUUGACAAAUUGCUCAAAGUUGAUGGGAUAAAACAAGUGAGUUUGAUGGUGUUCGGAAACAAGCUUCGAUGUUUAGUGAGAUCAAAAUUUGUUGGCAAAUUAAAUUACUCAAUGGGUAAAUAUCCAUGGAAGUUAUUGUCCUAGAGUGGGGCUGGACUUGGAUGGUGUCUGCGAGACUCAUUUUUAUCAAAUUCAAAGUGGCAGUAAUAUCGAUUAAAUUACAACUAGAAAUAAAAACAGAUCAGUUGAUUUGGUUGCGAAGAGGUUUCGAGGGUCAUGCUUUUUCCCUAUCAUCCCAAGUACUACUAAGUCAGUACCCCUCUAAAUGGGGAGAACUUUGUUGAUGUUUCAUUGGUUUAAAAGUCCAAAUACCAAUUGUAAGGCAUCAAAACAACAAAGACAAGUACUGGGGACCAGCUGAAGAGAGUGAGUGACAUGGUUUGAUUUAGAGUCUCAUGAUUGCAACAUGUUUGAUCGUGAUAUGAUUGUAAUGUCUAACAAAAUAUAUACCAAGAUGGAAAGACCUUUUUUUCUAUAAAAUCUAAAUUUCUAGUUUUGAAGACAUGCCUUUGGUUCUCAUCUCUUACUUGUUCUGCACGGCUAAGUCGCAGUUGCUUCGAUGGGCCCAUGUUGGAAACAUGAAUUGAAAAGAAUGCCAACAAGUAAUAGAAACUUUGUAAUAUUCAGAUAGAUCAAAUUAAGCUUUGUGUGGACCAUUCUCAAAUAAUUACAUUGGCAAUCCUGAAUUUAACAAUCUAACCAUUGAAUUUAACAAUAUAAUUAUAGUUGCCUUGCAUUUAAAAUUUUGAAUUAAUCUAAUACCUCUAUCAUUUCAGUCCAAAACUUUGUUUAUUUCAUAUAUAUUAUAUAAAGCAAAGUUUAUAAGUGUUUUUGAAUGUAACUAAGUAAGCAUGUUUCUUCUACCGCGAGUCAAAAGUUUGCAGCAAUUUUAGCCAUUUCGUACACUAUAUAUCAUUAUAUUGUUGCCUUAAUUAAAGCAGAAUAAUAUAUAUUUCCAUAAGUUUUUAAAAAUAUCAUAAAUUUCCAUUGGGAAUUUUGUUGGUGUAUUCUAAAUUACAUAAUAAUCAGAAAUAUGAAAGAUUUCCAUAUGUUCUCGCCUUUUAGUAUAAGUAAUAAUAAAAUUUUUUAUUGAUUCACCUUUACUACGAAAAUAAAAAUAAAAAAUUACAAAAUUAGUACCGUAAAUCAAUUUUGGUUUAAAAUUUUAAACCUACAUAUUAAAGAUCUCCUAACAAUUUUACUUUAUAAGAGCACAGUUUAUGGAAUAAUUUUUAUAUCCAAUCAAAGGCUUUUCAUUCUUAUAAAUAUCGGAAAUUAUAAAGCUAAUCUUUAUGUAGAAAAUCUGAUAGGUAAGUAGCAUAGCAUCCAUCUAAUAGAUUAAGAAAUCUGUAGUCUAAUAAAUUAUAAUCUUCUUUGAUCUCGUUUGCAUAACAUCCAUCUAAUUUUGAGAAAUCUUCUCUUUUAAUUUCAAAAUUGUAAUUAAAUUGUUUUAUCCAAUUAAAUAAUAAUAAUAUAUGGCUAUGGUGAUGUCUAUAAUUUCAUAAAAUAAUUACUCUAAUCUAAUCCAUGUCUCUUCCUUUCUGGUUUAUCAAGCAAUAAAUUCCCUUCGAUUUCACCUAACUUGUUAUAAUAAUGUUUUUUUAAAUUAGUUAAAGAAGAAAAUUUGUGAUGUUAUACUUAAAUUGAAUCUUUCGAUUUAAUAGGAAUUGAUUUUAAAUUAGAAAGAUCAAAAUUUAAGUAGAAUCACUUAGGGAUGCCAGUGGGGCAAGUUUUGCGGGUCCCGCCCUACUUUGUGCUCAAUUGACAGUGAGAUGAGGACAAAAAUUAAACCCGUUGUGAGUGGUGGGGUAGGCGUGGGUAUGACCUUGUACCUACCUCAUCCCCACCUACCCCAUCCCAUCCCGCAUAAUAUAAUAAGCAUAUUUAAAAAAUAAACAUUUAUAAAAAAAUAAUUUAAUAAUUAUUUUAAUAGUAUUUAAUUUUUGCUCUUGUGUUGCAUUUGAAGAUAUUUAUGAUGUAUUUGAGAUAUUGUUUAUAUUUUGAUAUUAUGUAAUGACUUUAUUUUUUUGAAUUUUUAAACUUGAAAUUAUAUCUUAUUUAUCAAUUAAAGGUCGUAACGACUUACCUUUUUUUUUAAAUAGUGACAGUUAAAAUAAUGUCACAUAUGUGGUGGGAGUUUGGAGGAUAAAUAUUUUAUACUUUUGUCACAAAAAGUUUGUUUAUUUUAUUUAACUGAUACUUAUAAAUAUAUUAUACGAAGUGGGUCAUAAGGCAAGUAUAGUGGGGAUUAGGUGGGUUUGAGACCCACAUGGGUGGUAGGGAGAGGAUGAAUUUGAGUUUUGUACCCGUAACGGGUCACAGGACAGAGAUGGGAUGAAAAUUCUUGGUGGGGAUGGGGAUGAAAACGGUGUAAGUCAAAGUCUGUGUAAUUUGUAGUAAUGCAUACCAAGAAGGAAUCUUCUACCCUCUCUCUUUCUAUUUCUGUGUAUUGUUUGUUUGGAUGUGUUUUGUCUUGUGUUGAUCUGAAUUGUUUUGUUCCAGUGAUGUUAAGCCUUUGACAAGUAAUACGAGUAAUAUUGGGCUCCAACCACAAUACACAGUAAAGAAUGAAAGCCAGAAAAAUGCAAGACUGCAUGUCUACACCAUUACUUAUUUUUUUCUUUGUGAUAAAAUUUAUUAACAACAAAUGCUAUGCUUGUUUUAUGGAUAAAGUAAUGUUUAUUUAAUAUAUCCCCAACAAUAUCAGUCUGAUUUACUGAAAAAUAUAUAUAUCCACAACAAUGAAUUAAUUUCCAGUUAUACGUCUCAUCUAAUAAUAAUAUUUUCACUAUUACCAAAUAUUUUCUCUUUUAAUAAUUGUUUAGAAAAUGGCUUUCAAGAUGAAUUUAGACAAAUAGUUUAGUAGUAGAUUAAAUUCUUUGGAUAUAUUAACCAAAUCCACACCAGCAAAUUUUACCUAUGAUGGAUUCAAUUGAACAUAUAAAAUAAUAACUUGUUAGAAGGGUUGAUUAAUUGGAAGGCAUAGAAUGGGUUAAUCAAUUAGAAAACUAGAAUUUAUAAAACUUAAGGAUAUAAUUUUAUAUUGGAAUUGUUCAGUGGGAUGAAGAAUAAAUUUCAAGUAGCAAAAGGAUGGAGCCAUCUCUCUCCCUUCCAUAUUAAGUCUUUUGCAAAUCUUCAAGAAUAGGCUGAUGUACAAUUAUUUUACUUUGAAUGCAUGAGUCUAUGGUAAGGAAGGGGUCCCAGCAGUAAGGUAAAAUGGUAAGUGUUGAAACAGAAAAUAAAAGAAAUGUAACCGCUGUGGGUCUUAUGGAAUUAGUAUGAUUUAACGAUGACGGGGUCUUAUGGUGCUUUGGAAUCAUCGUUUUUUUUAAGAUGAUUUGAUUUGGUGAAAGGGAGAGGGCCCGAUGUGGGUAUUUGGUUGCAUAUUUAUUGUUGUACAAAAAUCUUGCUAGUUGGAGGAUCAACUUUCCUUUUAAUUUUAAUAAAAAUUAUAUAUGAACUUGUGAACUUGUAUUCAAAUUGAAUCUUUCCAUUGAGUCGCUCUUGCAAGUCAAUGCAGCAAUCAUGAACCAUAUUAUUAAUACCCAGCUAAGAUCGUGGACGUUUUCUACUCUAUAUCUUUCUCCUAAAUGCUUCAUUCCAGUGAAAAGUGCUGCAAUUCCUACGGGAAUGGCACCUUUGCCAAUAAUUACAUGGAAAUACUCCCAAAUUAAUUAAUCUCUUUGUGGAAGCGUCCUCCCCAUUAGCAGGUUUCUCCGGUCUGAGAUAUGCAUUCAUUGGUUGCACAGAGGCAGAAACUAUGGCAACAAUACCAAGCUGAACAUGUAACGAGCUGACAUAGAAACCCCGAAGUUCGGCAACUGCAAAAAGAACACCAAGUAUAAUAAUUGCUAAUCCUGAAUAUUGUAGGUAAAUAUGAAUUUGGUACCAUCCAUCACCCUUUACAUGUUUUAGGUAUCUAGCAGCCAAUAUUCCACCAGGAAUCAAAAUACCCCAGGAGAGGAACAGCAUAAACCCAUGUACAGCUUUGACAGGUUGUAAACCUUGCUCAGCCUCGGAAGAACCACGGAUAAGCAGCACUUGCACUGACAGUAUGCAUGUUUUUCUCACUGAGAUGUUCAUCAGUCCACUUUGAACCCAUUGCCCAUAUGACUUUAAGAGGAGUUGUAGGAUGAACAAUGUUCUUGCACUCUGGCUUAUCAUUUUGAUUGCAUGAUGGUUUUAAUGGACGUGUGAAUUCCAAAGUAAUGAUGCCAUCUUCUGACCUGCACCUGACGUGUGUCAGAUUCUCAUUUGUUGGAUGGAUGUUCAAGGGAUACUUUCCAUCAAUGCAAUAUGUAUUUAAAUGCCAUUUUCCAGUAUCACCAAUCCAGCCCACAUAUGCAUAGCUAUUCACCAUCCCAUUACCGAAACCUAUUGCAAGAUAGCCACUCUUAUUCACACCAAGGGCAGCAAUAGUUAUUGAAUCUUCUGAUAACGUCCAAAAGAAAGUAACUUGAUCAUCUAAAUGCACACUAGUGUUAUACAUAUCAGACAGGGCACCAUCAAAAUCUUGAACUUUCCAUCCCAUCUUCUCUUGGUACAAGGAUUGAUAAUACACUUGAUCGGGGGUAUUCCUAUCAGGAACCGAAAUCAAUUCGUGAGGAUUUGCUACAACUCCUUCCGCUUCUGGCUCUCCAGAAUAAAUAGUCUCAGUUGCAUUCCUUAAUGUAGCAUUCCCACCUAGAGAAUCUGAAGUAAUAUACAAUGCAACAUCAUGCCCUACUUGCACCAAAAACUUAACUGGAACCCCUCUUUCCACUCUCAACACCGGUGCUUACUUAUUAUUAAUACACAAAACCUUAGUCAGACUUGGUGGAUUUGGAUAAUGCAACACCUCCCCUGUUGUAGCAACAAGGGAGACUUCUAUAUCAGCAAUAAUCAACUAUUGAUCCUCAGUAUCAUUAGCAUCCAAUGGCCCGAAACAAUCAUCUACCUUCUCUGAAACAUGAAGCACCAAAUGUCCUUAUCCAACCUUCUCUGGACCCCCAUGAAAUUGGGGCAAAAAAUGAGACCGAUUUUCAUUCGGUGGUUUCAUCAACCCUAAUGCCUAAAUAACCCUCAGAUCCUCAUUAGGAUACACAGGCAAAUCAUACUUCUUAUUUGUCGAAUUCAAUGGUUUCCUAAACAUAAUUAAAGAAACCCCAUCUCUCCUAUGUCCAUAAACCAACAUAGUAUUAUUCACCAUUAUGCCAUUUUUCGAGUUCUCAUAAACUACAUCAGGGAAAACACCUAUAGCUGUACGAUCUUUAAAACUCAACUUACAUUCACUAUAAGCCGUAAUGUAAAAAUCAUCAACAAAAGGCCUACCUUCCUCAGUAAAACUUGCCACCGUAACAUCAGCUUCGGACAUCAGCUCAUUCGUCCUAUUCAGAUUCGCCCACCCAAAUGCCAUGUAAUAGGUCGUCGGUGCCCCUGCUUUUAACCCGAUCUCGAUCCAAUUUUCCUCCACAUUCAAGUUCCACCGGACCCUAUAAUUAUUCGAAAAAUUCUUACAGUUAUCAAACACUGUAUACACCAUGUUUGAAACCAAAUCUGACUCGUUUCGAGGGAGGGUGACAUGGCCGAAGUCUGAGGUGCUGGCGAUGUCCCAGAUUGAAAGAACGUUGAUCUGGUCCCAGGUUAUGUCGGGGAGCAAUUGGACUGAAAAUGAUGCAUUUUUGUAAGCUGUUUGAUUGAGGCGUUGAUCGGAGAUAGGGAACCCGCUGGUGAGGUUAGAGAAGUUGAGGGAGACGGCACCCCAAAAAACGAUGUCAGAUGAGCCAGAUAACAUGUCAAAUAAUUAUUCAUAAAUUUAUACAUUCUUUGCAUAUUCUUGGGUACCUACAAUAGGUCCUUGAAUAUCAACGACAUGAGUGACGCUGCUACAGACUCAGAAUCUCCUUUUGAGCGAGACAUGUGUUUAGAGGGAUCUCAUGACUUUGAAAAUGACAUAGAUUGUAGCCCAUCUCCGGACUUGUUAAGGAUGGUAGAACAAGAUGAAAAACAAAUCCUACCUUACAAAGAAUCAAUGGAGUCCAUGGCUUUUCUCUAUGUGGGGCAUGGAUGUCAUUAGGCUGAUUUUGGCAAAAGCUUCUAGCGGUCAAGAAUUCAUCUUUGCAGCCGUCGAUUACUUCACUAAGUGGGUGGAAGCUGCUUCAUAUGCUAAUAUCACAAAGUCGACUGUCAGCAAAUUUUUGAAAAAAUCAUAUGUCGGUAUGAAAUGCCAAAAAGGAUCAUAUCCAACAAUGUACUAAAUUUGAACAACAGCACGAUAUCAAAAGUUGGCUGUCUGUUCAAGAUUAACACCAUAUCGCCCCAAAGUGAACAGUACAGUGGAGGUAAAAAAAAAGUGAACCUCUACCGGGGCAACAUCUUUCUCUUUGGCUUAUUGCAAUUUUUUACCCAUUGAAGUCGAGAUUCUUUCAUUGGAACUUUUUGUGGAUCUAAUCUCGAUUGAAGAGGAGUGUUCAAAGUUAUCUGUCAUGGUCAAAUAUACCAAAAGCAAAUUAUGCAAGCUCACUAAAAAAGUUUGCCCCAAAGAAUUCCAUGAGAGAGAUCUAGUAACGAAGAAGAUUUUUCCCAUACAAAAAGAACUUCAUAAGAAAAUGGAUGUCAAACUCGGAAGGACCUUAUAUGGAAGGUCUUAUAUAGAAAAGUGUUGAUUUUGAUCAGAAGGGAUAACAAGGACAUGCCUAAUCCUAUGAGUUCAGAUUAAAUCAAAAAAUAUUUCAAAAAAGAGAGAGAAGAAGAAAAGAAUAGAAAAAGAAAAAGGAAAGGCCAAGGUGAAAACCAGCAAAGGGCGCCUUGAGACCAAAAGGGAUUUGAGUUGAAAAUCCGCAACGGGUGGCUCAAGUUUUGGAUAAAAAUGGGGCAUGAAGGGAUCAGAGCAACUCAAAUUUUAAUCAGAUUGGAGCAUGUGGUGAUCUUGCUAUACCUGAAUCAAUAAGAAAGGGUAGAUGACAUCUUGGGGCAUCGACAAAGUCCUGUAGAUCUCCUAAACACAUGUUAAACUCAGAAUGGUCUUUCAAAGAGUUUGUAUACAUAAGUUCAAGCUACGAUAUCUGGGGCACCUAAUCUUGAUACUAUUUAUAUUGAAUUUGCUAUCUUGGAAUACUUUAUUCUUUUUCAAGAUACGUGUUCCCAAUCAAUUCCUCUUUUAUUCUUACUAUCCUUGAUAAUUUAUUAAUUUCGAGCCAUGCUCCCAAAUCAAUUCUAUUUUAUCCAUUGUUAUGGUCUUUUUGUAAGCAUGUUACAUUAGAAUAACAAUUAAUGGAUUGAAUAUUCAAGCAAAAGAAGUUUUGCAUAUUACUCUAGAAGUUUCUAAAUAAUAUAGGAACUUGAAACAGGACUAUUGUUUAGAACACACCAAGUUUAAAGGUUGAAAUGUCUAAGGAGGAAAAGUCUAAAUUAAGACUACCCAUUCGAAUUUUAUUGUCAAAAUAUUGAUUGAAAAAAAACGACAAGAUGUCAUGUUGGUGACAAGCUUCAAUGAUCACCGAGUGAUAAAAAGAGGUUUCUCGGAAGAGAAAGUUCUACAGUUGAGCAUAAACAUUUGGUACGACACCCUGAGAAUGGUGUAGGAGACCAAAAGGAUUCAAAUCCUAUAUCCUUGAAUUACAGUGGGAGAGGAUUAAGAAAGCCAGAUCUUAUACUCAAUGGGAGGAAGACAGUUCAAAUUUUAUGUCCCAAAGGUACAGUGAAUUGAACCUUGAAAAUUACAGUGGGGGCAAUCCGGUUAAGUAAGAUAUGAGCAUUACCAACCGGAAAAGAUAGCAUUCUGACAUGUUGGCAAUAAAACCUUAUUGAACAAUGAGCAAUAACAACUCAAACAUUGAGGAAUCAUUUUCAUGACAUUUUGCAUUCAUGCAUGCACAUUUAGUUAGGAGAUUUUGAUUCGUUCCGAUCAUACUAUUCUAAUCACUAGGCAUAAAUAGGCCCAUGAAAUGGAUUCUAUAGGUUUUGUUCCAGUGAUGUUAAGCCUUUGACUAGUAAUAUGAGUAAUAUUGGGCUCCAAAUAUUCCGAUCAUAAUAUUCUAAUCACUAGGCAUAAAUAGGCCUCUGAGAGGGAUUCUACAGGUCAUGUUCCCCAGAGAACAGAUCGGUGAAACCAAAAAUCUUUUCUCCCUGAAGUUGCAGUGGAGCAGACUGAAGGUAGCGAAUCUUAUUUCCCUGGCUUUGCAGUGGAACAGAUUAAAGCUAAAGGUAGCGAAUCUUGUUUCCCUGGCAUUGCAGUGGAAUAGAUUAAAGCUGAAGUAUAGCGGAUUAAAGCUGAAGGCAGUGAAUCCUAUCUCCUUGGCUUUGCAAUGGAACAGAUUAAAGCUAAAGGUAGCAAAUCUUGUUUCCCUGGCAUUGCAGUGGAAUAGAUUAAAGCUGAAGGCGGUGAAUCCUAUCUCCUUGGCAUUACAGUGGAAUAGAUUAAAGCUAAAGGUAGUGAAUCUUGUUUCCCUGGCAUUGCAGCGAAGCAUAUUAAAGCUGAAGGCAACGAAUUGUAUCUCCUUGGCAUUAAAGACUAAAGACAACAAAUCUUAUCUCUAAUUGAAGCCAGACUACAAAUCUUAUAUCUCUAAAGUUGCAGUGGAGCAGAUUAAAGCCAAAAACCUUAUCUCUCUGAAGUUGCAGUAGAGUAGGUUGAAAGAAACUAAUCCUAUCUCCCUGAAGUUGCGGUGGAGCCACAGAUCUUAUUUCUCUGAAGUUAUAGUAGAGUAUACAAAAGAAACCAAUCCUAUCUCUCUGAAUUUGCAGUGGAGCGGAUUAAAAUGAUGGAUCUUAUCUCUCUGAAGUUGCAGUAGAGCAUAUCGCAUCAGACUUUAUUUUCUUAAAGAUGCAGUAAAUCAAGUUGAAGCUACAAGUCUUAUAUCACUGAGGUUUCAGUGUAGCAGACUAAAAAUUGCAUAUCUUAUCUCUCUAAAGUUGCAUAGAGCAGAUCAUAGCAAACAUUAUCUCCCUGAAGUGCAGUGGAGCAGUUGCAGUAUAGUAGAUUGAAACAACACUUCCUAUACCUCUGAAUAUGUAGUGAAUUGGAAUGAAGCUACCUUAAGAAGAAAAGCAUCAAAGUAAGUCAAGAUCUGGUGAGACCGGGCAAAAUUGGUCCUUUUUGAAGUCUUUGCUCCGUUCUCGUUACACGACAAUGAGCAAAGAGGGGCAACUGUAGUGACCCAUUUUUGCCCGGGGCCCAAUAUGACCCAAACAAAACCAAACACAAAAUGAAAACAAAACCUAAACUAAUUAGCAGCCCAUUUUACAACUGGCCCAAACAGCCCAAACUAAACCUAACAACCCUAGCCCAACAGAAUCAGAAAAAUGAAUAGUAAAAAAAAUACCCUAGGUGCACCGCACCUAGGUCUUCUGACCCCUAGCCGCUAGCCUGCCUGCACCGCCUCUGCAACCAUCACAGCAGGCCUCUGGCACCUACAAAACAGAGAAUAACACGCAACAACAAAUGCAAUAAAAAACAACAUGGAAACGGACAAAAAAGAAGAAGCAAACAGUUUUCGAUUCGGCUAUAAAAGCCCGAACUUUAUCUUUUUAUUUUUUUACCAGCACCAGUGAAUCAAAAUAGCAGAAAAGUCUUAAAAAGUGUUUAGAUCUUUUAUUUUAUUUUAUUUUAUUUUUUUUCUCUUCGUGUUCUUGUUCAUUUUUUAUGUUUGUUUACUAUUUUUUUAUAUAUGGAACUAUCUCAACAAAAAACGCAAUAAAAGAAAAAAAGGGAAGGGGUACCUAUCGGUUCUGAAAGCCUAUUGCCGGAGGCCUUCUUUUGGCAUUGGAAUCGGAUCGAAAAGGGUGUGAAAGAUCCCAUCUAUUCGGCCUUUUGGGUCAAGAGAAUUGGGUUUCUAACAAGGAUUUGGAACGGGGUUAAAAAACCCAAUCUUUGCCUAGCUCCGACCACCGCCUGCGGCGGCGCGGCCGUUCGCUGGUGGUGACCAUGGCCGGAGGAGGGGAAAGGUUUUGAAAGAAAAAGAGGAAGUUUUUUAAAAAUUUUUAAAUGGUGGUAGAAAUGAAUUUUUUUUAAAAAAAUUGGGCUUAAAUAGCCCCUUAAAACAGCGCCAUUUCAUCUGACCUCCCUAGGCGCCAAAACGGCGUCGUUUUGGGGAGGUCGACCCGAAAUCGACCCGACCCAGGCAGGAUCCGUGUGUUUUUUUAGCGGAAGGGAUAAUUGCGCCUUCAUCCCUUCCGUUUUUUAAUUUUUUUAAAUUAGGUUUUUUUUUAUUUUUUUUAAUUUUACCUCGCGUUUUCAGCGAUUUCAAUUUGGUCCUCGCUAGACGACGCCGUUUUGGAGGAGAAGGGAAAAUUGCCCUUUUAGUCCCUCCAUGUUAUGCGCGCAUUCAGAAAGGUCCCCUAUUUUUAUUUAUUUGCAGAUUUGCCCCCCAAAGUUCUGUUUUAAGUUCAAAUCAGUCCCUUUUUGUUACUUUUUGCUAUUAAAUUAAUUAAUUUUAAUGGUGUUAUCAUUAUUUUUACCAUUAUUAUUAUUUUUAAUAUUACUGUUACCAUUAUUGCGUUUAUUAUUAUUACUUACCUUAUUAUUAUAAUUAUUUUCUCAUUCAUACUUUUUUUUUAAUUUAAUUUCAAAUUUAGUUAUAUAUAUGCGUACAUACUUUUUCAUAUUAUCUAUAUCUAUGUACACGUGUAUAUAUAUAGAUAUAUAUAUUUAUAUUUUAUAUACAUAUCUACAUAUCUACAUAUAUAUAUAUAUUAUAUUUUCAUGAAUACAUAUACAUACUUAUAUAUAUUUUUUAUAUUUUAUAAUUUUUGUAUGCAUAUAUAUACAUACAUAUAUAUCUUUUUACAUUUUUAUAAUUUUAUUCAUCUUCUUUAUUUAUUUAUUUAUUUAUUUACGUUUUCAUUAUUAUUUUGAAAGAAUGUUUUAAUUUUAUUUGCUUAUAUACUUGUUAUUUUGUAUGAUAUUGAUUUGUCCUUUUAUUUAUCUUAUUUUGUUGCUAUUGCUCGUAUUAUUUUUACAUUAUCGUAUUCAUUAUUGUUUUGUUACGCAUAUUAAUACCAUGUUUUAUUUCUACCAUUUCGCGUUAGAUUAAUUCUAUUUUGAUGCAUGAAUUGCGACUUUAAAAUAAUUAAAAUUUCGUAUUUUGAUUUGAAAAGAUCGUACCCUAACUUACGGGGUUUCGAUUUUCUCGGUAUAUUCAAAUAAACGAUUGUUUUUUUAACAAAAUUUUUUAAAAUAAUCUCGAGAAUUAAGAAAAUCAUAUUCUAACUUACGGAGUACGAUGUUUUUCUAAAUUCGAGAUAAUCGAGUGUCUUUCAAAUAAGUAAAUUUUUCGGCAUAUAUUCUCGUAUCGGGAAUUCGAUACAUUGUGUCCUAAUGCAUUGGAUAUGACAUGUUGUUUUCCCGAGAUGAGGAUUUUUCUAAAAAAUAAUAAAGGCAAUAUUCAAUGUUUGAAAUUUUGAGAAAUUGUGCCCUAACGUAUUGGGCUGCGAUUUCUUCAACUGAAUUAAACAAUUGAAUAUCCUUUUAAAUUUUAUUACACGAGUUGUUUUAGGACAAGCUCAUUUUUGAGGAGGUGAAAUAUCAUGCCCUAACUCAUUGGGUUUGAUAUUUUCUCUCUCCAAAAUGAGAGGGUCUUAACGGGUAAUUUGUUUUAUACAAUUUUUUUUAAAUACAAGGAUCGUAUUUUAAAAUCUUUGCUCAUUUUUUAUAUUAAGACACUAAUUAAAAAGCUAGGUACCAAUUUUGGGCGCAUUGAGGGUACUAAUCCUUCCUCGUGCGUAACCGACUCCAGAACCUAUUUUUUGGUUUUUUGUAGACCGAAAAAUAAUGUUUUAAUAAAUCAAACUAUUUAUUAAAAUGAUUAAAUUGUGAGGUGAUCCGAUCACACCUCAUUAAAAAAAUUGGUGGCGACUCCCGUAGCUUUGAGGGAAAAAAAAGACAGAAAAAGAAUUUUAAAGACACAAAUUAAUAAAAUAAUUUUUUAAUCUACAUUAUAUUAAAACACACACACAAAAAAAAAAUCACCUCAUUUUCCCGUAGCUUAUUAUUUACAGUUUUUCUUGCAAUCCAAGUGCGAGAUGAUCACAAAUUCCAAUUGGCAAUUGGAAAAUGAGAUACGAUUUUUAUGUUGUUUUUUUUUUUCAUUUUUAAAUAUAAUAAAGGCGAAAUUGACGGAAGGGAAACUUUCUCCUUGGUUUAAAAGUCCAGAUAUCAAUUACAAGACAUAAAAAACAACGACAAGUAUUGGUGGCAAGUAGAUGAUAGUGAGUGACACUAUUUGAUUUAGUCUAAUUAUUAUAACAUGUUUGAUUGAAACUAUUUUGUAAUCUCUGAUUAAAUAAAUAUUGAGAGGAAAAGACUUAAAUUUUCUUCUUUUCCUUAGCUAUAAAAUUGAAUUUCUAGUUUGGAUUACAUGCCUGUGGUUCUCAUCUCUAGAUAUGUAAGGCUGAGUCGCUGUUAGUUGGAUGGACCUACAUUGAAAACAUGAAUUGAAAAGAUAAGUAAUAGAAACUUUGUCAUAUUUAGACAAAUAUCAACCACAUCUUUAUUAACUUUUUACAUUUCUUAUCCCAAUAUUCAAAACCAAACAAUAAUACAUUCAUUGCAUGUUCCUUUUCUCAAAUAUCAUUUUAUUUAAUGUCAUUAGAGAUUACUCUAUUCUUUUUUCUUUGUGAUAAAAAUUGUUAAACAAAAAAUUAUUACAAAUGUUGUAGGAAUCUAUCCUUUGAGAUUGUUUGAUUCUAGUUUUUGACAAAUUGCUCAAAGUUGAUGGGAUAAAACAAGUGAGUUUGAUGGUGUUCGGAAACAAGCUUCGACGUUUAGUGAGAUCAAAAUUUGUUGGCAAAUUAAAUUACUCAAUGGGUAAAUAUCCAUGGAAGUUAUUGUCCCAGAGUGGGGCUGGACUUGGAUGGUGUCUGCGAGACUCAUUUUUAUCAAAUUCAAAUCAGUGGCAGUAAUACCGAUUAAAUUACAACUAGAAAUAAAAACAGAUCAGUUGGUUUGGUUGCGAAGAGGUUUCGAGGGUCAUGCUUGUUCCCUAUCAUCCCAAGUACUACUAAGUCAGUACCCCUCUAAAUGGGGGGAACUUUGUUGAUCUUUCAUUGGUUUAAAAGUCCAAAUACCAAUUGUAAGGCAUCAAAACAACAAAGACAAGUAUUGGGGACCAGCUGAAGAGAGUGAGUGACACGGUUUGAUUUAGAGUCUUAUGAUUGCAACAUGUUUGAUCGUGAUCCUCAACUUUGAUUGUAAUGUCUAACAAAAUAAAUACCCAGAUGAGAAGACCUUUUUUCUAUAAAAUCUAAAUUUCUAGUUUUGAAGGCAUGCCUGUAGUUCUCAUCUCUUACUUGUUCUGCACGGCUAAGUCGCAGUUGCUUCGAUGGACCUAUGUUGCCAACAAGUAAUAGAAACUUUGUAAUAUUCAGAUAGAUCAAAUUAAGCUUUUUGUGGACCAUCCUCAAAUAAUUAUUUUUGACAAUCUUGAAUUUAACAAUCUAGCUAUUAAAUUUAAUUAACAAUAUAAUUAUAGUUGCCUUGCAUUUAAAAUUUUAAUCUAUCAUUUCGGUCCAAAACUUUGUUUAUUUCAUAUAUAUUAUAUAAAGCAAAGUUUUUACGUAUUUUUGAAUGUAACUAAGUAAUUAAGCAUGUUUCUUCUACCGCGAGUCAAAAGUUUGCAGCAAUUUUAGCCAUUUCGUACACUAUAUAUCAUUAUAUUGUUGCAUUAAUUAAAGCAGAAUAAUAUAUAUUUCCAUAAGUUUUUAAAAAUAUCAUAAAUUUCCAUUGGGAAUCUUGUUGGUGUAUUCUAAAUUACAUAAUAAUCAGAAAUAUGAAAGAUUUCCAUAUAUUCUCGCCUUUUAGUAUAAGUAAUAAUAAAAAUUUUUGCUGAUUCACCUUUACUAUGAAAAUAAAAAAAAAAUUACAAAAUUAGAACCGUAAAUCAAUUUUGGUUUAAAAUUUUAAACCUACAUAUUAAAGAUAUCCUAACAAUUUUACUUUAUAAGAGCACAAUUUAUGGAAUAAUUUUUAUAUCCAAUCAAAGGCCUUUCAUUCUUAUAAAUAUCGGAAAUUACAAAGUUAAUCUUUGUGUAGAAAAUCUGAUAGGUAAGUAGCAUAGCAUCUAUCUAAUAGAUUAGGAAAUCUGUAGUCUUGAGAUGGAAUAGAUUUUACGGUCACAUUGGCAACCUUAAAUUAUAACCUUCUUUGAUCUCGUUUGCAUAACAUUCAUCUAAUUUUGAGAAAUCUUCACUUUUAAUUUCAAAAUUGUAAUUAAAUAGUUUUAUCCAAUUAAAUAAUAAUAAUAUAUGGCUAUGGUGAUGUCUAUAAUUUCAUAAAAUAAUUACUCUAAUCUAAUCCAUGUCUCUUUCUUUCUGAGUUUAUCAAGCAAUAAAUUCCCUUCGAUUUCACCUAACUUGUUAUAAUAAUGUUUUUUCAAAUUAGUUAAAGAAGAAAAUUUGUGAUGUUAUACUUAAAUUGAAUCUUUCGAUUUAUUAGGAAUUGCUUUUAAAUUAGAAAGAUCAAAAUUUAAGUAGAAUCACUUAGAGAUGCUAGUGGGGAAAGUUUUGCGGGUCCCGCCCUACUUCGUGCUCGAUUGACAGUGGGAUGGGGACAAAAAUUAAACCCGUUGUGAGUGGUGGGGUAGGCGUGAGUAUGACCUUGUACCUACCUCAUCCCCACCUACCCCAUCCCAUCCUACAUAAUAUAAUAAACAUAUUUAAAAAAUAAACAUUUAUAAAAAAAAUAUUUCAAUAAUUAUUUUAAUAGUAUUUAAUUUUUGCUCUUGUGUUGCAUUUGAAGAUAUUUAUGAUGUAUUUGAGAUAUUGUUUGUAUUUUGAUAUUAUGUAAUGACUUUAUUUUUUGAAUUUUUAAACUUGAAACUAUAUCUUAUUUACCGAUUAAAGGUCGUAACGACUUAACUUUUUUUUAAAUAGUAAAUAGUGACAGUUAGAAUAAUGUCACAUAUGUGGUGGGAGUCUGGAGGAUAUAUAUUUUAUACUUUUGUCACAAAAAAUUGGUUUAUAUUUAUUUAACUGAUACUUAUAAAUAUAUCAUAUGAAGUGGGUCAUAAGGCAAAUAUAGCGAGGAUUAGGUGGGUUGUGGGUGGUAGGGCGAGGAUGAAAAUUGUGUAAGUCAAAGUCUGUGUAAUUUGUAGUAAUGCAUACCAAGAAGGAAUCUUCUGCCCUCUCUCUUUCUAUCUCUGUCUUCCUCUCAUUUUGGUGUAUUGUUUGUUUGGAUGUGUUUUGUCUUGUGUUGAUCUCAUUUGUUUUGUUCCAGUGAUGUUAAGCCUUUGACAAGUAAUGCAAGACUGCAUGUCUACACCAUUAUUCACUAUUCAACAAUACAUUACUUAUUUUUUUCUUUGUGAUAAAAUUUAUUAACAACAAAUGCUACGCUUGUUUUAUGGAUAAAGCAAUGUUUAUUUAAUAUAUCCACAACAAUAUCAGUCUGAUUUACUGAAAAAUAUAUAUUAUAUAUCCACAACAAUAAAUUAAUUUCCAGUUAUACGUCUCAUCCAAUAAUAAUAUUUUCACUAUUACCAAAUAUUUGCUCUUUUAAUAAUUGGUUAGAAAAUGGCGUUCAACAUGAAUUUAGACAAAUAGUUUAGUAGUAGAUUAAAUUCUUUGGAUAUAUUAACCAAAUCCACAUCAACAAAUUUUACCUCUGAUGGAUUCAAUUGAACAUAUAAAAUAAUAACUUGUUAGAAGGGUUGAUUAAUUGGAAAGCAUAGAAUGGGUUAAUCAAUUAGAAAACUAGAAAUUAUUAAACUUAAGGAUAUAAUUUUAUAUUGGAAUUAUUCAGUGGGAUGAAGAGUAAAUUUCAAGUAGCAAAAGGAUGGAUCCAUCUCUCUCCCUUCCAUAUUUAGUCUUUUGCAAAUCUUCAAGAAUAAGCUGAUGUACAGUUAUUUUACUUUGAAUGCAUGAGUCUAUGGUAAGAAAGGGGUCCCAGCAGCAAGGUAAAAUGGUAAGUGUUGAAACAGAAAAUAAAAGAAAUGUAGCCGCCGUGGGUCUUAUGGAAUUAGUAUGAUUUAACGAUGAUGGGGUGUUAUGGUGCUUUGGAAUCAUCGUUUUUUUUAAGAUGAUUUGAUUUGGUGAAAGGGAGAGGGCCCGAUGUGGGUAUUUGGUUGCAUCUUUAUUGUUGUACAAAAAUCUUGCUAGUUGGAGGAUCAACUUUCCUUUUAAUUUUAAUAAAAAUUAUAUAUGAACUUGUGAACUUGUAUUCAAAUUGAAUCUUUCCAUUGAGUCGGCUCUUGCAAGUCAAUGCAGCAAUCAAGAACCAUAUUAUUAAUACCCAGCUAAGAUCGUGGACGUUUUCUACUCUAUAUCUUUCUCCUAAAUGCUUCAUUCCAGUGAAAAGUGCUGCAAUUCCUACAGUAAUGGCAACUCUGCCGAUAAUUACAUGGAAAUACUCCCAAAUUAAUCUCUUUGUGGAAGCGUCCUCCCUAUUAGCAGGUUUCUCCGGUCUGAGAUAUGCAUUCAUUGGUUGCAGAGAGGCAAAAACUAUGGCAGCAAUACCAAGCUUAACAUGUAUCGAGCUGACAUAGAAACCGCGAAGUUCGGCAACUGCAAAAAGAACACCAAGUAGGAUAAUUGCUAAUCCUGAAUAUUGUAGGUAAAUAUGAAUUUGGUACCAUCCAUCACCCUUUACAUGUUUUAGGUAUCUAGCAGCCAAUAUUCCACCAGGAAUCAAAAUACACCAGGAGAGGAACAGUAUAAACCCAUGUACAGCUUUGACAGGUUGUAAACCUUGCUCAGCCUCGGAAGAACCACGGAUAAGCAGCACUUACACAGGCCUUUGACUCGUGACAGUAUGCAUGUAUUUCUCACUGAGAUGUUCAUCAGUCCACUUUGAACCCAUUGCCCAUAUGACUUUAAGAGGAGUUGUAGGGUCAACAAUGUUCUUGCACUCUGGCUUAUCAUUUUGAUUGCAUGAUGGUUUUAAUGGACGCCUGAAUUCCAAAGUAAUGAUGCCAUCUUCUGACCUGCACCUGACAUGUGUCAGAUUCUCAUUUGUUGGAUGGAUGUUCAAGGGAUGCUUUCCAUCAAUCCAAUAUGUAUUUAAAUGCCCUUUUCCAGUAUCGCCAAUCCAGCCCACAUAUGCAUAGCUAUUCACCAUCCCAUUACCGAAACCUAUUGCAAGAUAGCCACUCUUAUUCACACCAUGGGCAGCAAUAGUUAUUGAAUCUUCUGAUAACGUCCAAAAGAAAGUAACUUGAUCAUCUAAAAGCACACUAGUGAGGGCACCAUCAAAAACUUGAACCUUCCAUCCCAUCUUCUCCUGGUACAAGGACUGAUAAUACACUUGAUCGGGGGUAUUCCUAUCGGGAACCCAAAUCAAUUCGUGAGGAUUUGCUACAACUCCUUCUGCUUCUGGCCCUCCAGAAUAAAUAGUCUCAGUUGCAUUCCUUAAUAUAGCAUUCCCUCCUAGAGAAUCUGAAGUAAUAUACAAUGCAACAUCAUGCCCUGCCUGCACCAAAAACUUAACUGGAACCCCUCUUUCCACUCUCAACACCGGUGCUUACUUAUUAUUAAUAUACAAAACCUUAGACGGACUUGGCGGAUUUGGAUAAUGCAACACCUCCCCUGUUGUAGCAACAAGGGGGACUUCUGUAUCAACAAUAAUCAACUCUUGAUCCUCAUUAUCAUCAGCAUCCAAUGGCCCAAAACAAUCAUCUACCUUCUCUGAAACAUUAAGCACCAAAUGUCCUUAUGCAACCUUCUCUAGACCCCAUGAAAUUGGGGCAAAAAAUGAGACCGAUUUUCAUUCAGUGGUUUCAUCAACCCUAAUGCCCAAAUAACACUCAUAUCCUCAUUAGGAUACACAGGCAAAUCAUACUUCUUAUCUGUCGAAUUCAAUGGUUUCCUAAACAUAAUUAAAGAAACCCCAUCUCUCCUAUGUCCAUAAACCAACCUAGUAUUAUUCACCAUCAUGCCAUUUUUCGAGUUCUCAUAAACUACAUCAGGGCAAACACCUAUAGCUGUCUGAUCUUUAGAACUCAACUUACAUUCACUAUAAGCCGUAAUGUAAAAAUCAUCAACAAAAGGCCUACCUUCCUCAGUAAAACUUGCCACCGUAACAUCAGCUUUGGACAUCAGCUCCUUCGUCCUAUUCGGAUUCGCCCACCCAAAUGCCAUGUAAUAGGUCGUCGGCGCCGCCGCUUCUAACCCGAUCUUGAUCCAGUUUUCCUCCACAUUCAAGUUCCACCGGACCCUAUAAUUAUCCGACAAGUUCUUGCAGUUAUCAAACACUGUAUGCACCGAGUCCGAAAUUGAAUCCGACCCGUUUCGAGGGAGGGUGAUAUGGCCGAAGUCCGAGGUGCUGGCGAUGUCCUAGAUUGAAAGAUCGUUGAUCUAGUCCCAGGUUAUGUCGGGGAGCAAUUGGACUGGAAACGAUGCGUUUUUGUAAGUUGUUUGAUUGAGGCGUUGACCAGAGAUGGGGAACCAACUGGUGAGGUCAGAGAAGUUGAGGGAGACGGCGCCCCAAAAAAAUGACGUCGGAUGAGCCGGAUAACAUGUCGAAUCCGGUGACCUGGAAAGAGCAGCCAUCAAAGAUUUUGAGAUGGCCACGGAGUUGGUGUCGGACCGUUGUGAAGUUCGAUUCGAACCCGACUAGGGAGCUGGUGUUGGAGCAUUUCUGACCCAAAUCCUCUUUGGAAGAGGCGAUGGAAUUGAUUAGGAAGAGCAGGAUUAGAAGGAAAAUUUUGGAAUUGUACAUUCGAAUCCGGUCGCGGGUGAUUCGAGAAUCCGAAUUCGGUGAUGAUGGAAAAUGAACGUUUCAAAGAGAAGGAAAGAGCCAAUGAGCGGCUGGUGGUGGUGAGUGGUGACUCGGUGCAGCCGGAGCGAGUCGUCAACUUGUCUCGAUAUUGUUUUAUAAUUUUACUUUUUUUCCUGCUUUUCUGAAGAGAGGAAACCAGAAUCCCAACUAUCUUCUCAACUAUCAGUUUUUUAAUUUUGCUCAUUCAACCGUCAAUUUUUAAUCUUAGUUCAAAUUUUUUAAUUUUGUAGUCCAACCGAUUGAGAUUUUUUUUUUUCCAAUUUCCGUUAAGUAGGGUUAAAUCUCUAAUGAGAGGAUAUGACAGUUAAAAAUUAAUAUAAUAAUAAAUUUAACUCUUAAUUUUUAUAUUUUCUAUUAAUUUAGUCAUUAAUUUUUAAAAUUUACAAAUAAACUCAAUAUAAUCAUCAAAAUUUACCUUUUCUUUCCACUUCCUCCGCUACUACUAUCACCAUUGCCUCUAGUUCUGCCCUCUCCUCCACCUUUCUCAAAAAAAAAAAAACCCCCUUUUUUUCAAUCAUGUUCAAAUUUAAGGUAUUAUAAUUUAUUUUGUGUUAAGUUAGAUGAAGCCUAAGCAAUUUAAAUAUAUGUGCUACUAUUUAACAAUAAAUUAGGUUGAAAUAGAAAGAGGAAAGGUAAGUUUUUUUGGGGAGAAAGGUGGAGGUGGAGGUAAUGAUGGUAAUGGCACGUGGUGAAGUACAAGAGAAAAAUAAAUUUUGAGAAUCUGAGACUAUUUAUAAAAUUUGAGAAUUAAUUAUUUUAUAAUUUUGACUAAAUCAAUUUAAGAUGUAAAAUUUGAGAGCAAGAUUUAUAAUUAUACUUAUUUUUUAACUACCACAUUACCCUCGAUAGAGAUUUAAAGAAAUGAACAAAAAAAAAAUCUCAAUUAGUUGAGUGAUCAAAUUAAAAAAAUUCAUAAUUAGGUAGCUAAAAAAGAAAAAGGGGAGAUAGUUGGGUGACUUGUGGUGUAGUUUACCCUAAUAAUAAAAUAUAAAAGGGUAAACUGUAGAAUUAGUCACCCCAUUAUUAGUGUAUUUAUGUUUUAGUCACCUAACUAUGAAAAUUUUCAAUUUUAUCACUAUCGUUUUAGAUCAUUUCUAUUUUGGUCACUCACAUUUUAGAGUAUUUUUAUUUUACUCACUCUUCAUUAAAUGGUUAAUGAAAGUUAUGAUGUAACCUUUUUUUUAAUUAGUAUAAAUAAUACAUUUAGUCUUCAAUGCUUACAAAUUUUAUCAAUUUGAUCCUCGAACACAUAUAAUUAAAUAUAAAGUAUAUAUUGUGAAAACGUACAAAAUAUAAUUAUUUAUAUAUAUUUAUCUAAAUAAUAUAAUAUGUGCUUAUAUUUUAUUAUAAUUAUAAUGUUCAAAUAUGCAUUUAGCCCCUCAAACUUGACACCUUUUUCCAUUUUGGUACUUAUAAUUUUUUUGUCCCAAGUUGGUACCUAAUUUUUUAUUCCAUCAAGAGCUUUGAUUUUUUUUUUGUUACAAUAUUAAAUAUAAGACUUGACACUCUUAGGAUGCCAUAAUCCAUUUUUUUAUAAAAAUAUACUAAAAAAUUUAAAAGAAACUAUAUGAAAUAUAUAUAUUUUAAAAUAUAAAAGAAAUUAUAAAUUAUAAAAAUAUAUGUAAAUAAAAAAUUUAAACUAUUACAAAAAAUCUAAAAUUCAAGUUGGAAAAAUUGAAAACCUAGAAAAUUUACACAUUUUUCUAAAUAAAUUGCAAACAAAUUAGAUAAAGAUAAAUUUUGCAAUAAAUUUUAUGUUUAGAGAUGGGUGUAAAUUAUUACACGAUUUUUCAAUUAAAUAAGAAUGUAAAAGAUGAUGAUUUAAAAAUGGCUUACAAGAAGCUUUUUCGUUGUCUUUUUUUUUGCUGUUAAUUAUUGCCUAGGUGAUAGGAGAAAUUGGGUUCCUUUGUUGAAAAUGCUAUAAAACCACAAAUUUACUAAGUUAUGGGGGUUUUGAGUUUUUUGGUUUAUCAAAAUCACACAUACAUAUAAAUUUAUCAACAUUUAGUUAUAUGUGUUUAAAUAUAAUCAUUUUUUAUAUUUAAUUAUAUGUGUUUUAGAAUAAAGUUGAUAGAAUUUGUAAAUAUGGAAUGUGAAAUUUAUUGAAUUAUUUAGAAUAAGAAUCAAAUUGAUAGAAUGUGCAAGUAUUAAGAAAUAAACAUGUUAUUAUACCAUCUAUAAUUUGAAAAAACAAAUAUCCAAAAAUAAUAUAAAAAUACAUAUCUAUAAUUUCGCAAAAAGAAUUAGAUUGCCAUAAAAAUAUAAGAAUGUACUAAACUUUUUGGAAUAAAUUAACCAUCUAUUCCUUAUUUCAAUUUUAUUAAAAAGAUAGGUUCCCAUAAAGACAGUCUUUACAAACCAGUGCACCUAUCAUAAACACAUCAGGGAACAUUGCCAUGAGAGAGGACCUAAGAAAACAUAAUACAAAGCACCCACACAAAAUGUUUAUUAAACAGCUACUGAAAAAGGCCUGCAUACCACCAAGCAAUGAAGUUUUCUGUUCUGUUUGCAACUUGUUGAACUCGCCCAAGUGUUGCCUUCUCUACCUUUUUGCAAAUCUUCGUCGGACUCGCUCCACGAUCCUAAUCAACCACCAUGGUUUUCCAGUCGUGAAUACAAUGUAUGCCAUGCUCAUUCCCAGCACCAACCCACAUCCAUACCCCAUCAAUAUUGAAAAUUUCCAAUUCAAUUCAUCACCAUCAUCAUCUCUAUCAAAUAUGGCUGGGGUUUCCUCAUCAGUACCACAGUUUUUUGAUAGUGGCAAACCACAUAAAUCCAAAUUUCCCAUGUAGGAAUCGUUAGUGAAAGUAUCAAAUUGUUUGCCUUGAGGAAUGGGUCCCUUGAGAUUAUUUUGAGAAAGGUUUAACACCUCUAAGAAUCCAAGAUUUUUCAACUCUGUUGGAAUUCUUCUUUCCAGCUUAUUUGAUGAGAGGUCUAAUGAUUCAAGCUCUGACAAAUUACCUAAAGAUGAUGGGAUAGGACCUAUUAAACAGUUAUAGGAGAGAUUUAGGACAAUAAGUAAAUGAAGCUCACCAAGUAUUUUUGGAAUUUCUCCCCUGAAUUGGUUACUAGAAAGGUCAAUAACCGUCCAAAUGGAUAAUGUGAUUCAAACUUUAUUUCCAGCCCUCUUGCUAUAACAGAUAAACCAUCAGUAUAAUUCACUAAAAAUUCACUAAGUGCUUCUCUCAUGUAAUGUGGAUCAACUUUCUUUCCAUACUCAUCUCUAAUGGCAUGCAUAUGCUCAAAAAAAGGGUAGGUAAGUAGCCACUAAAUUUAUUGUGAGAAAGAUCAAUGAUUUGCAAUUUAGUUAAAGAAAAUGUAAUAUCAAAGCUCUCUAUUUGGCUGUAAAAUCUAUUCAACCUCAAGGUAAGAACUUGCAGCUGAUCCAAAUUUCCUAACCAACUUGGGAAAGUGUCAUUCAAAUUGUUGUUUCCAACAUUGAGAAGAUUUAAACCUUUGCAAUUACCCAAAGAUCGUGGUAGUGACCCUUCUAAUUUAUUGUUGUCGAUGCGUAAACUUCUCAACAUGCAACCUUUAGCAAAAUUUUCUGGUAUUUGACCAUGAAAAUUAUUAUUCCCUAGCUGAACUGCUAUGAGAGAAGAACUCAAGUUUCCGAUGCACAUUGGAAUUGUUCCCUCCAAAUUAUUCUCAUCUAAAAGCAUAACCAUAAGGGAAGUGAAACUGCAUAUUAAAGAAGGGAUUUCUCCAAUUAAGUUAUUAGUUGAAACUCCAUAGAAUUGCAAUAAAGGUGGUGGUGUUGGAAUUCGACCUUAGAGAUAAAAUUGAAAAUGAGAUAGAAUUAGGAGUUUGAAGAUUCUUUGGAAUAUAAAUUAUAAAAUAACUAUAUUUGUGAUGUAUUACAUGCAUGAUGUGCACACUCGAUACAAAUAAUUGGUUAAUUUACUACACUACUUCUAACCAUUUUUAGAUGCAUCACAACAACUUUUAAGUUGUAAUCUAUUGAAGGAAACUACUACUAUCUUCUAGAGAAAUUUUUAUUUCCCUUACUUAAAAGUAAAAUGGGAUUGCAUAAAUGUAUAAAAAAUUGAAGGAAAAAAAUAUCAAACUAUACCUAAUAGUUUAUUAUAAAAGAGAUAACCAUUUAAUAUCUUACUUAUAUUUCAUUUUUUAGUGUUUAUUAUUAUUUUUGGUACAUUUAUGUAUAUUUUAUAAUUUAUUAUUGGGGUUCACGGUUGCUAUUGUCAAGAAUAUCAUCUCUAAUACUUGAAUCUUGUUCUCCCAUUAAGAGAGUAAUAUGCCUUACCACUGCACCGAAUAUUUAUUGGUGUAGUAUUUAUUAUAACUACAAAUAAAUUUAAUUAUCUUUUUAUGAAACUCUAAGUUAGAGGUCAAAUAAAAAAGAAAUUUAAUUAAUAUAGUGUUUAACUUUUUAUCAUUUUAAUUAUUAGUUAUAAAAUUUUUCCUCACAAUUGAAAUUUAAAAAUGACAUUUUAUGAAAUUUAAAGAUAACAUAAUUAAUAGAAAAUUGACAUUUUCUUUAGAGUCGGAAUUUAAGUAGUAGCAAUAUCUAUAACUGGUACUUCAAAUGUACAUUUUAUGUUUAUAAUUUUUAUAAGAUUCGGAGUUAAUUAAGAUUGUAGCCUCAAAAUUGGUGUUAUGAAAGCCAUUUUUUAUAAGAAUAUUUUUCUAUUUAACAAUGAUUGUCCAGCAUGUUAUAAUUGAAACCUAAUAUGGUAUUCACUAUUACUGACUCGGAACUCGAGUAGGUUCAAGUUACUGACCCACAACCCAAGUAGACUCAAAGGAAUUCGGGUCGGGCCCCACGAAGUGGGCAUGUUAGAGUUCGUACAUCCAAUUUGUGAGUAUGCUAUAGCUCUCGAGCCUAGCUCACAAGACAAGCUUGCACAUUGAGUUCACAUAUCUCUAUAUGCUUGCGAGGAGAGGUGUUAGGUCAAGCACGUGGUCCAUGACCACGUGUUAAGUCUAGAGCAAGAUAUGUGUUAGCAUGCAUGAAGCCUAUCUAAGACGUCAUUUUAGUGAAUAGUAACCGUAUUAUAUAAAUACUAAGUCUUAUGCCCAUAGUAGACACAAAGAGAAAAUACUCAACAAUUUGGUGUAAUGUGUGUGGUCAAACUUUUGAUUGAUAGAUUUUAGGGGUGAGCAAAACUCGAUUCGACUCGAAAAAAUCGAAAAAAAAUUUGAAUUUCGAGUUAAACGAAUCAAGUUUUUCGAGUUAAUCGAGUUAUUCGAAUCAACUCGAAUAUUUUUUUCGAAUUUCGAGUUCGAAUCGAGUUGAGUUUUCGAAUUCGAAUAACCCGAAUAAUUCGAAUAAUUCGAAUAUUAAACUAUAAUAUUUUACAUUUUUACCCCAAACUCCCAAACCUUUUUAUUUUUCCCUCAAAACUUUUACUCCUUCCCACUUUCCCCCCAAAACUUUUACUCCCCUCCCCUCCCAACCCCCCAAUCUACCCAAAAUCUAUUUCCCACCAAAAUUUUACUCUCCCAUUUAUUUUUUCUCAAAAUAACCUUUUUCUUUUUUCAAUCAUGUUCAAAUUUAAGGUAUUAUAAUUUAUUUUGUGUUAAGUUAGAUGAAGCCUAAGCAAUUUAAAUAUAUGUGCUACUAUUUAACAAUAAAUUAGGUUGAAAUAGAAAGAGGAAAGGUAAGUUUUUUUCUGGGAAGAAAGGUGGAGGUGGAGGUAAUGAUGGUAAUCGCACGUGGUGAAGUAGAAGAGAAAAGUAAAUUUUGAGGAUCAAAUUGAAACUAUUUGUAAAAUUUGAGAGUUAAUUAUUUUAAAAUUUUGACUAAAACAAUAUAAGAUAUAAAAUUUGAGAGCUAGAUUUAUAAUUUUACUCAUUUUUUAACUACCACAUUACCCUCCAUAGAGAUUUAAAGAAACGGACAAAAAAAUCUCAAUUAGUUGAGUGAUCAAAUUAAAAAAAAUUGAUAAUUAGGUAACUAAAAAAAGAAAAAUAAAAAUUGAUAAUUGUUCAUCGAUAGUGUAUAGAACUUAUGCACCAACAAUGCAUCAAAUAUUCUCAUUAAAAGAAAAUGUAUAAAAUAAGUUUUAUACUAUCUAUAAUUUGUAAAAAAAAAAAUUCAAUAAAAAAUAAAAAAAUACAUCUAUAAACUCACAAAAAGAAUUACAUAUCUAUAAUAUCUUUUUAUAAAUUCAAUUCCAAAUCUCCUGUAAUAAAUCAACCUCACAAAUCUGAUUGAGGUUAAAAACAAAGAAUGCAUGUAUUGUGCAAUUAAAACUAUGAUCCAUUUUCAAUUCUAAAGUAUUGAACAUAUAAUUUUGCAUUAUUUCACAAACUCUUUGCAAUAAAUUAACCAUCUAUUCCUUAUUUCAAUUUUAUUAAAAAGAUAGGUUCCCAUAAAGACAGUCUUUACAAACCAGUGCACCUAUCAUAAACACAUCAGGGAACAUUGCCAUGAGAGAGGACCUAAGAAAACAUAAUACAAAGCACCCACACAAAAUGUUUAUUAAACAGCUACUGAAAAAGGCCUGCAUACCACCAAGCAAUGAAGUUUUCUGUUCUGUUUGCAACUUGUUGAACUCGCCCAAGUGUUGCCUUCUCUACCUUUUUGCAAAUCUUCGUCGGACUCGCUCCACGAUCCUAAUCAACCACCAUGGUUUUCCAGUCGUGAAUACAAUGUAUGCCAUGCUCAUUCCCAGCACCAACCCACAUCCAUACCCCAUCAAUAUUGAAAAUUUCCAAUUCAAUUCAUCACCAUCAUCAUCUCUAUCAAAUAUGGCUGGGGUUUCCUCAUCAGUACCACAGUUUUUUGAUAGUGGCAAACCACAUAAAUCCAAAUUUCCCAUGUAGGAAUCGUUAGUGAAAGUAUCAAAUUGUUUUCCUUGAGGAAUGGGUCCCUUGAGAUUAUUUUGAGAAAGGUUUAACACCUCUAAGAAUCCAAGAUUUUUUAACUCCGUUGGAAUUCUUCCAUCCAGCUUAUUUGAUGAGAGAUCUAAUGAUUCAAGCUCUGACAAAUUACCUAAAGAUGAUGGGAUAGGACCUAUUAAACAGUUAUGGGAGAUCUAUUCGACCUCAAGAUAAGAACUUGCAGCUGAUCCAAAUUUCCUAACCAACUUGGGAAAGUGUCAUUCAAAUUGUUGUUUCCAACAUCGAGAAGAUUUAAACCUUUGCAAUUACCCAACGAUCGUGGUAGUGACCCUUCUAAUUCAUUGUUGUUGAUGUGUAAACUUCUCAACAUGCAACCUUUAGCAAAAUUUUCUGGUAUUUGACCAUGAAAAUUAUUAUUCCCUAGAAAAACUGCUGUGAGAGAAGAACUCAAGUUUCCGAUGCACUUUGGAAUUGUUCCCUCCAAAUUAUUGUCAUGUAAAGCCAUAGCCACAAGGGAAGUCAAAUUGCAUAUUGAAGAAGGGAUUUCUCCAAUUAAGUUAUUAGUUGAAACUCCAUACAAUUGCAAUAAAGGUGGUGGUGUUGGAAUUCGACCUUAGAGAUAAAAUUGAAAAUGAGAUAGAAUUAGGAGUUUGAAGAUUCUUUGGAAUAAAAAUUAUAAAAUAGCUAUAUUUGAGAUAUGUACACUCAAUACAAAUAAUUGAUUAAUUUACUACACUACUUCUAACCAUUUUAAGAUGCAUCACAACAACUUUUAAGUUGUAAUCUAUUGGAGGAAACUACUACUAUCUUCUAGUGAAAAUUUUAUUUCCCUUACUUAAAAGUAAAAAGGGAUUGCAUAAAUGUAUAAAAAAUAGAAGGAAAAAUAUAUCAAACUAUACCUAAUAGUUUAUUAUAAAAGAGAUAACCAUUUAAUAUCUUACUUAUAUUUCAUUUUUUAGUGUUUAUUAUUAUUUUUUGUACUUUUAUGUAUAUUUUAUAAUUUAUUAUCGGGGUUCACGGUUGUUACUGUCAAGAAUAUCAUCUCUAAGACUUGAAUCUUGUUCUCCCAUUAAGAGAGUAAUAUGUUUUACCACUGCACCGAAUAUUUAUUGGUGUAGUAUUUAUUAUAACUACAAAUAAUUUUAAUUAUCUUUUUAUGAACCUCUAAAUUAGAGGUCAAAUAAAAAAGUAAAUUAAUUGAUGUAGUGUUUAAAUUUUUAUCAUUACAUGUAAAGUUUUAAUUAUUAGUUAUAAAUUUUUUUCCUCACAAUUGAAAUUUAAAAACGACAUUUUAUGAAAAUUAAAGAUAACAUAAUUAAUAGAAAAUUGACAUUUUCUUUAGAGCCGGAAUCUAAGUAGUAGCAAUAUCUGUAACUGGUAUUUCAAAUGUACAUUUUAUGUUUAUAAUUUUUAUAAGAUUGGGAGUUAAUUGAGAUUGUAGCCUCAAAAUUAGUGUUAUAUAUGAAAGCCAUUUUUUAUGAGAAUACUUUUCUAUUUAACAAUGAUUGUCCAACAUGUUAUAAUUGAAAUCUAUUAUGGAAUUCACUAUUACUAACUCGAAACUCGAGUAGGUUAAAGUUAUUGACCCACAAUCUAAGUAGACUCAAAGGAAUUUGGGUCGGGCUCCACUAAGUGGGCAUAUUAGAGUUCGCACAUCCAAUUCGUACGAAUUUGAGUAUUUUUUAUGAGAAUACUAAUCAAAUAGAAACUUGGGAAAAGAAUAGUGGCCUUUUUAUUCAUGUUUGGCAAAUUAAUAUACUUUGUUUCUCUCAUAAUAUAAAAUAUGUCCUGCGCAUAAAUUAAUUAAACAAAUAAAUAAUAAGGCAAAUCAAAAAGGUAAAUCUACGUCUAAAUUAUAAUUCAUAAUAUAAAUUAAUUAAUGUAAAUUUUAAAUUUUUUUAAAUCAUUAUUAUUAUCAAAUAAAUUCUCUUAAUAAAAUACUUUUAGUGAAAUUAGAAAUCUUACUUAUAAAUAAUAAUAAUAAUAAUAAUAAUAAAUUUUGCUAUGAGCAAAUAGAAAAAUAGUCAAUAUUCUUAAUCAUUUUCAUUAAUUUAAGAGAUUUUGCAUGCUUAUUCUUUUAUGUAUAUAUAUAUAUCUAUUAUAGAUGUAGAUUAUAAAUUGUAGACAAAUAUUUUGGUUGGGUUAGCAAAGCUGAAAAAGUUGAGAAUAAUAAUUUGUUAAAUUUAUAAAUUUAAGGUGAAAAAUUAAAUCCUAAUAGUUAAAAUAUCUAUAUGUAAUUAAUGAAUAAGAAUUGCAAAGAAUGGCGUAAAAGAAAAAUAAAAUGAAAGAAUUUAAAAUAUAAUUUUUAAUUUUAUAUCACGUGUCGUAUUAUAAUUGAAACCUAUUAUGAAAUUCACUAUUACUACUUGAAAUUCGAGUAGGUUCAAGUUAUUGACCCACAACCCAAGUAGACUUAAAGGAAUUUGGGUCGGGCCCCACAAAGUGGGCAUAUUGGAGUUUGCACAUCCAAUUCGUAGGUAUGCUAGAGCUCGUGGGCCUAGCUUACAAGACAAGCUUGCACAUUGAGUUCACACGUCUUUAUAUGAUCGCAAGGAGAGGUGCUAAAGUCAAGCACGUGGUCCAUGAACAUGUGUUAAGUCUAGAACAAGAUACGUGUUAACAUGCAUGAAGCUUGUCUAAGACGUCAUUUCAGUGAGUGUGGUGCAGUGAGUUUGGUCAAACUUUCGAUUGACCAUUGUAGGCAAAAAGAGAAAACACUCAACAAUUUGGUGCAGUGAGUAUGGUCAAACUUUCGAUUGACAAUUUUUCAGCUUGUAACAAUCAAAAUAGCUCACCCAAAUGAAAAUUUCUCCAUCAAUGUUUUGUCAGGAUAAGUUGCUAGUAUUAUAUUGUUGCUAGUAUUAUACAAAACAAAAAGUCACAAAAGUGAGAGAAAACCUAGUCAUCAGCACACCAAAACUCAUUAAGUCGAUCAUAGUUGCUGGUAUUAUAUUGUAUCUUCUUACAUCGAGAGAUAAGGUGGGUGAGAAAGGGAGACAAAAGACGGUGAGCUUGGAUGGGACAUUAAGGGGGAAGAGAGGAAAAAAUGUCAUGUGUCUAACUAUUUCUAGUGUUUGAACCGUUUUGAGUCGUAUCUAUCUUUGAACUCAUACCGUCCUAAGCCUUAGAACAUUACAAGCUUAAAAGACCAAUGUAUUUCCUAUUCAAUAAUAUCAACUAUGGCUUAGCAACAACUAAAUCAAGACCUAAACAAGAAGGCAAAUCUAAAAGGUAGAAGGAAUAGUUAAUUAAAAGUAGUGUGUGAUUAAAAAGGUAGAUGGUGAACUUAGGAUGUGGAGUUCCAAUAAAUACCUAAACUUUUGGCAAUUCAAAUAGUUUCUUUAUAAAUAUUUGUAAAUAUUUGAGUCUUAUUUGUAUUAAGAAAUACAUUAUUUGAAAGAGCAUAAUAAUUUUAAGCGGUCUAAUAAUGAAAAUAUUAUAUUAAACUUUAGUAGAGUUUAAUUAUAUAUAUUAUAAGAAUAGUCUUCGCUGUAUUUAUCCAUUUAAUUUUAUUUUUUUAUUUUGGUCCCUUGGAACGGUGCGUUUAGGGGGUAUGGGGAUAAUUUCAUAGUUGGUCCCUGUCCAUUUUCACGCAUUUAAUUUUAGUCCUUUAUUCUGUUUUAUUGUUUAAUUUAUUUAUUUUAUUAUGAUUUAUAUUUUUAAUUUCACUUAAAUUUCGAUUCAGUCCCUUAUUUAUUUAGUUUCAGCCUUUCAUGAAUUUUAUUUAUUUUUUACUUCUUUAUUUUCAUAUACUUAAAAAUUGGAUUGUUUACAUUCUUUUAUUUGUGCAUUUUUUUGCCCAUUUAUUUUAUUUACUUAAAAAGAUUGCAUAAAUUUAAUAACAAAAAGGAGAAUAAAAGAAAAAUGAAAUUAUACCUGUCAAUUUGUUACUGCCAAGAGAAAGCACUUGAAGAGAAAUCAAGUUUCCAAUAACAAGAGGAAUUUUACCUGAAACAUAUAAUUAAAUCAGUAAAAAUUACAAAUAUUUUCCUAGCAAAACCUUAAUUUAUUUGUUGAGCAUAUUAGUAUCCAUUUGAUUUAUUUAUUUUUAAAUAUGCAAGUUUUGUUUAGUUUUAUAGUACUUAUGACAACCCAAAAAUAUUUUAAUUACAAUACUCAAAUUGAUAGUUGAAAUGAUGAUGAAAAUUAGAUAGAAUAAAAUAGUUCACGCUUAAUAUUUUGUUCAAAUAUAGGAUACAUUAGAGGUGAUUAUGGGUCGGGUUUGGGCCAGUUGAGACAAAAUUAGGCCAGUUCCCGAGCCCUAAAUAUGGGCCUAAAAAUUUGUUCAAGCCCAGCCCAAAAGAAAAUUGCUAAGCUGAGCCCGACCCUGCCCAGCCCAUAUUAAAUUUUACAACACCAAAAUAGCAUAAAAAACUUGCAAUAUAUAUAUUUUAUUAAAAAUAAAAAAUAUAUUUAAUAUAUAAUUCGGACCAGGCUUUGGCCAAAAAAGUUUUACCCGAAGCCCGGCCCGUUUUCUAAAAUUUCCAAUUUAUGUAGGUAUACUUCCCUCCAAGGAGUUGCUCGACAAUGAUAAAAACUUCAAAUCUUUGCACUUGAAUAAACUAUUUGGAAUUCUACCGGAAAUUUGAUUCCAACUCAAGCCCAACCUUUCUAGUUUUGACAAAUUGCCUAGAGUAAGAUAACACCAAUGAAGUUGUUAAGGUACAGAGACAAUCUUUGAAGUUUACUGAAGCAACCAAACCAUGAUGGGAUUUCUCCAUUGAAGCUAUUGUUACCAAAGUCCAAAUACUUCAUCCGACGUAAAUUGGUUAACUCAAUGGGUAAAGAGCCAUGGAAACUAUUUUGAUGAAUGUCGAGCCAAGCAAGGAAAGAUAGAUUUCCCAAUUGAGAAGAAAUGGUGCCUGUGAGAUCCAUGCUUGAUAAAUUCAGAGCAGUGACUCUAUGGUGUCUAGAUCCACAUGUGACACCAAUCCAGCUACAAACGGAGGUAGAAGUAGACCAAUUGGUUGCCAAGAAAUUGUAAGGAUCAUGAGUUAUAUGAGAUUUGAGUGCUAGAAAAGCAGAUUGAUCAACGGUGAUGCUAGAAUAUUUUGCAGACAAAAUAACCCCAAAGGUUGCGAAUAGCAGCCCAAACAUAAACGGAGGGAGGAAGACGGUGAUAGUCUCCAAGAGAAAGAGACAAGCAAGGAGGGUGAAGGCAAAGUGGCAAACAAUACAUUCAUUACAUAUUUAUUGUUGCAUAUCUCAUUUUAUUUACUGUCACUAGACACUUUUUAUAUAUAUAAAUUAUUAAAUAUUAAAUUUCAUAUAUAAAAAAAAUCCACAUAUUACUUAUUUUAUUAAUACAUAAAAGUAAACCGUUUAGAUGAUUUCAAGUUAAAAAAACAAUAUAUUUUAGAUUUUAUGUGGAUUCUUUUUAAGUUCAAUUUUCAAAUUAUUCAGAUUUCCAUCAUCAAAGUUGAAUAGUUUGUAAUUCAAAUUAUUGCUCUCUUUUUACUUGUACCAAUAUUUCCUAUAUUUUUCUUAUGUUAAAAUAGUCAAAGUAUUAAAUAUAUAAUUAGUUGUAGAGAAGUCAAAAGCUAAUUAAUAAUAUAUAGGGAUUGCAUAAAUGUAACAACAAAAAGAAAAAAAAAUCAAAGCUACUUAAUGGUUGUAUUUUGUGAGGCUGUGGAAGUUGAAAGAGCAAUAAUUUUAAGCUGUCUAAUGAAAAUAUUAAACUAAAACUUUAGUAAAGUUUAAUUAUAUAUUAUAUUUUAAUAAAAUUACAUAUCUUAAAUCGAAAAAUAAUUUAAUCAAUCAUCUGUAUUAGUUUUGAAGUUCAGGCUUACAUAUAUAGAAUAUAUAUUGAUUGAGUUAGAAAUACUCAAAUUUGUUUCUUAUACUCAAAAUGUUUACACAUGACACAAUAAUAUUCAUAACUUUUUUUAAUGAAAUAAUAUUCAUAACUUCAACUUUAUUUGGAAGAAAAAUUGGAAAUCAAUAAUAUUUGCUAUACACAUGAAUGGAGUGUAUAAAAUGAAUGAUUAGUAGAGUUUAAUAUUAUAUAUAUUUUAAUAUUUAAUAAAAUUACAUCUUUUAAUUCAAAAAGAUAUUUUAAUCAAUCAAUUUUAUUAGUUUUCGAGUUGAGGCUUAUAUAUAUAUAUAAUAUAUAUUAAUUGAGUUAGAAAUAGUACAAAAAGUUGACAUUUUUUAAAAGUAUGAUAAUUUGAAUAGAAGUAACAUAUGCUAAUGUGGAGUAAUUGUUCCAUAUAAUCCUUUUUAUGAUGAAAUCAUUGCUUAAUUUACUUCAUAACUUCUUACAUUUAGACAUAAUAAUGAGGUUUUAAUCUUUUAAGGUAACUUUUAUUUUAUUUACUUAAAAAAUUGCAUAAAUUUAAUUAAAAAAAAGAGAAUAAAAGAAACAUGAAAUUAUACCUGUCAAUUUGUUAUGGUUAAGAUAAAGAAAUUGGAGAGAAGUCAAGUUUCCAAUAACAAGAGGAAUUUCACCUGAAACGUAUAAUUAAAUCGGUCAAAAUUUGUAAAUAUCAUAUUAGUGUCUGUUUCAUUUACCUAUUUUUAAAUAUGUAAGUUUUGUUUAGUCUUAUAGCACUUAUGAUAACCCAAAAAUAUUUUAAUUAUAAUACUCAAAUUAACAAUAAAAAAUAUUUAUGUUUGUGCCAGAAAAAAACACUGCAUAGAUCACAAAAAGGAAAAACUAAAACAUCCAAAAAACACUAAACACAAAAUUCAUAGUUGUAGAGGAGGAUUAGAUACAUUGGUCCCAUAAUAUGUCACUCAAAAUCUCAAAAUCAUCCAACAAAAAGAAAUCAUCACUUUAGUUAAUUAAAUCAAGAACAAAUAAAGUUAUGGAUGAACAAAUAUGGGAAGCAAAGAAAUGUGAUGGAUCAAAAGGGACGGAUAAGCUAAUUUCUGCCAUAAGGUAGAUGGUGAACUUAGGAUGUGGAGUUCCAAUAAACACCUAAACAUACCUAAACUUUUGGCAAUUCAAAUAGAUUAUACUAAUUUUUAAUUACUUAAAAAUAUUGCAUAAAUUUAAUAACAAAAUAGAGAAUAAAAGAAAUAUGAAAUUAUACCUGUCAAAUUGUUAUUGCUAAGAUAAAGAAAUUGGAGAGAAGUCAAGUUUCCAAUAACAAGAGAAAUUUCACCUGAAACGUAUAAUUAAAUCAAUAAAUAUUUGUAAAUAUUUUCCUAGCAAACCCUUAAUUUAUUUGUUGAGCAUAUUAGUGUCUGUUUGAUUUACCUAUUUUUAAAUAUGCAAGUUUUGUUUAGUCUUAUAGUACUUAUGAUAACCCAAAAAUAUUUUAAUUAUAAUACCCAAAAAUUUCAGGCCCAUAUUUUGGGCCGGGCCGAGCCCGAGCCUAGGACGAGGACCAAAAAUUUUUCUAGGCCCAGCCCAAACCUAGCCCGACCCAUGAUCACCUCUAUUGCAUACAAUAUGUUUCCCUAAACUACUUAUUAUUUAUCUCUCGCCACAAAUUAUCAAAAACACAUUUGCAUUUUAAGCCAAACAUUUAUAAUAGUGAUAAGUGCUGUAUUGAUUAAUAAUAUAUAACAACUAAAAAGGGAUUGCAUAAAUGUAACAACAACAAGGAAAAAAAUGAUAUUAUACCUAAUAAGUUGUUAUUAGAAAUAUAAAUAGCUUCGAGAAUGGUCAAGUUUCCAAUAGUUGAUGGGAUUUCACCUAAAAAUAUAAAUAAAUGGGUCAAAAUAAUCAACGGAAUUUCACCUAAAAUAUAAUAAAGAUGAUAUUUUACCUGUAAAGUAGUUAAGACCAAGAUAGAUAUUCGUGAGAGAAAUAAGGUUUCCAAUAAUUGAUGGAAUUUCACCUAAAAUAUAUAAUUAAAAUUAUCAAUUUAUUUCAAAAAAAAACCAAAAUUUAUUAAUUAUUUACCAAAAUAAUACAAAAAAAAAUAAAAAAAUACCAAAAUAUUACAACUUUUUUAUUAUUUACCGAAAUAAUACAAAAAAAAGAGUUAAAAAAAAAUACUGAAGGAGGAAUAGCUUAGAACAUUACAAGCUUAAAAGACCAAUGUAUUUCCUAUUCAAUAAUAUCAACUAUGGCUUAGCAACAACUAAAUCAAGACCUAAACAAUAAGGCAAAUCUAAAAGGGUAAGAAAUAGGUCCAAAUUAUAAUUCAGAACAUAAAUUAAUUUUUAAUGUAAAAUUUAAAUAAAAUUUAAAAUUCUUUUAUUAUCAAAUAAAUUUCUUAAUAAAAUUCUUUUAUUAUCAAAUAAAAUUCUUAAUGAAAAAAUAAAACAUCUAAAAAUAUAUGUCUUAUACCAAGAUUCUUAUAUUUUUCUAAUAUGUCACUUUAGUUAAUUAAAGCAAGAACAAAUAAAGUUAUGGAUGAACAAAUAUGGGAAUCAAAGAAAAACGAUGGAUCAAAAGGGACGAAUAAGCUAAUUUCUGCCAUAAGGUAGAUGGUGAACUUAGGAUGUGGAGUUCCAAUAAACACCUAAACAUACCUAAACUUUUGGCAAUUCAAAUAGAUUAUACUAAUUUUUAAUUACUUAAAAAUAUUGCAUAAAUUUAAUAACAAAAUAGAGAAUAAAAGAAACAUGAAAUUAUACCUGUCAAAUUGUUAUUGCUAAGAUAAAGAAAUUGGAGAGAAGUCAAGUUUCCAAUAACAAGAGGAAUUUCACCUGAAACGUAUAAUUAAAUCAGUAAAUAUUUGUAAAUAUUUUCCUAGCAAACCCUUAAUUUAUUUGUUGAGCAUAUUAGUGUCUGUUUGAUUUACCUAUUUUUGAAUAUGCAAGUUUUGUUUAGUUUUAUAGUAUUAUGCCAACCCAAAAAUAUUUUAAUUACAAUACUCAAAUUUAUAGUUGAAAUGAUGAUGGAAAUUAGAUGAAAAUUUAAAUUUAAAAUGAAAAAUAUAAAAUUAUAAAUAGAUAUAAAUUUUCAUCUAAAACUUGACAUUUUUGAAACCUAAGUUAUAGCAUAAUGUGUAGUUUUUUUCUAUCAUUAUAAAUUAUGUUAAAUUUUGUUGAAUGUAGUGGUGCCAACGAGUUUAAUAUUCAAAUCAUCAUAUUGAUAUUGAGACACUGAAUUAUUGAUAUUUUUCUUAUUCUUAUAUUUUUCUAAUUUUAAAGUAGUUAAAGGAUUAAAUGUGUAAUUAAUUGUUUUUAAGCCAAAAGUAUUAUAGUAAUAUAAAAAGAAAAUAUGAGUAUAUAAAGAAAAUAAAACUAUGAUAUAAAACUAUGUUUUAAAAAGUACUUAUUAGUGCUUAUGAUAACCCAAAAACAUUUUAAUUAUAUAACACUCAAAUUUGAGUGUAGUGGUGCAAACCAGGUUUAAUUACUUCAUAACAUCUUACAUUUUCUAAAUGCAUUAUAAUGACUUCAAUGUUUUAAUCUUUUUAAGGUAACUUUUAUUUUAAUUACUUAAAAAGAUUGUAUAAAUUUAAUAACAAAAAGGAGAAUGAAAGAAACAUGAAAUUGUACCUGUCAAUUUGUUAUUACGAAAAGAAAGCACUCGAAGAGAAGUCAAGUUUCCAAUAACAAGAGGAAUUUCACCUGAAAUAUAUAAUUAAAUGAGUAAAUAUAUAAUUAUUUUUAAUAAUUAUUUUAAGAGUUAAAUAAGGCAAAUCUAAAAUGUAGAAGAAAUAGCUAAUUAGAAGUAGUGUGUGAUUCAAAAGGGUAUAAAGUAGGUCCAAAUUAAAAAUCAAAUCUUAAAAUAAUUUAAUCUAAAAUUUAACUCUUUUCUUAUCACUAAAUAAAUUAACUUUUAGAGAAAUUAGAAGUUUUAAUAAAAUACCUGAAAUAACUGAUUGUUUAUGACUAGGUGAAAAUUAGAUGAAAAAAAAUAUAAUUAAUAAUUUAUAUAGCUAUUAUUGGAAAUCAUCCAUAUUUAUAGAAAGUCAAAGAUAUGAGUAUAAAAAAGAUAUGGGUAUUAGAAAGAUAUGGGUAUCAAAAUCUGAGAUUUAAGACACCAAAAGUGGGAUUGAGAUUUGGCAUAAGAUAAUUGCAAUUUUGAUCCCUGAACUUCAACUAUAAAUAGGCCUAACUAUUUCUCUUCUUCAUCAUCCCAAAUUUGCCAUUCUCUACUUAAGGCAUUGUUUUCUCUCUCUCUUUGUAAAUUCUCACUUGUAUUUUGGAGUGAAAUAUAUUUGGUAGAGCCCGAGGACGUAGGCAAAAUUUGCUGAACCUCGUUAAAUUCUUGUGUUCUUUAUUGUAUUAUUAUGCAUGAAUUGUGAGUGUGAUUGUAGUGAUUUAUUGUGCUAUUAAAUUACGAUUGAGGGAUAUUCUGGCUAGAAAAGACUUGGUACUUAAGCGAUCCUUGUGAUCCACCUCUCUUUCCUGGGAAUUGAAAUUAGUGUGAUUUUUAGUACAAUAAUUUUACUCUUUUACACGCUUCUGCACAAAAAUUGGUAUUAGAGCUAGAUUCGUACUUGGGGAAUACAAUUGUUCACGGCACUGUUCACGUACAGUAGUUGGGAUUGAGGAGAAAAAUGGAAAAGGUAUCGUCAUCAGCAAAGACUAUUGUGACCAAUGCAAAAUUUGAAGUAGAGAAAUUUGAUGGUACCAAUAAUUUUGGUAUGUGGCAAUGUGAGAUCCUAGAUGUCUUAUGUUAGCAAGAGCUGGAUAUAGCCCUUGAAGAAAAACCUGACAAGAGGGAAGACAAGGAGUGGGCUAAAAUUAAUAGACAGACAUGUGGAACAAUUCGUCUAUGUUUGGCCAAAGAGCAGAAGUACUCUGUCAUAAGGGAGACAUCAACGAAGAAGUUGAGGGAUACACUGAAAGAAAAGUUUCUAACAAAAAGUCUUGAAAAUAGGCUUUAUAUGAAAAAGAAACUUUAUCGAUUCACGUAUGUACCCAGUAUGUCGAUGGAUGACCAUGAGAACUCAUUCAAUAAAAUUUUAACAGAUUUGCUAAAUUUGGAUGAGAAAUUUGAAGAUGAAGACAAGGCAUUACUGUUGUUGAAUUAUCUUCUUGAUGAUGAUCAUCUUACCACCACAUUGCUCUAUGGAAGGAUACGAUCACAUUUGAUGCAGUCUGUAGUGCGUUGUAUAGAUCUGAGACUCGAAAGAAAGAUAAAAAAGAUCACAGAGAUACAACUACAGAAGUCUUAACAGUAAGAGGUCGUUCGGACAACAACAAAUCAGGUAGAAGUAGUAAGUCCAAAGGGAGACCUGCCAAAGAUAAAUGUGUUUUUUGUCGUGAGAAAGGGCAUUAGAAAAAGAAUUGUCCUAAGUUACAAAAGGGCAAGGCUAUUUCUGAUGCAUGUGUAGUGGAGUAUGAUGAGGAGUCAGACUUUAGCUUGGUUGGCAUGACAAUGGCAUGUCAUAUAGAUGAGUAGAUUUUGGAUUCGAGAUGUACUUACCAUAUGUGUCCUAAUAAGGACUGGUUUUCUAGUCUUAAAGAACUAGAAGGUGGAGUUGUUUUUAUGGGCAAUGACAGCGUUUGUAAGACAAUGGGAGUAUGUACAAUCCAACUGACGAAUCACGACGGCUCAAUUCAAGUCUUGACAGAUGUUCGCUAUAUACCUAGCUUGAAGAAAAAUCUCAUCUCAUUAGGGGUCCUAGAAUCUAAAGGGCUCACAAUCACUUUGAGAGGGAUUACUAAAGGUAGUAGCUGGGGGGUAUUGACGGUGAUGAAAGGCACAAGAAGGAAUAACCUGUACUAUUUAAAUGGUAGUACAGUUAUUGGAUCAACAUCAACAGUUUCUGUGAAAGAUGCAGAUUCAGAGCCUACCAGGUUAUGGCAUAUGCGAUUGAGACAUGCUGGUGAAAAAGCUUUGUAGAGUUUGGUGAAGCAAGGCUUGUUGAAAGGUGAAAAUUCUUGUAAAUUGGAAUUCUGUGAACAUUGUGCUCUAGGCAAGCAGACGAGGAUAAAAUUUGGUUCAACAAUUCACAAUACAAAAGGAAUUCUGGACUACGUUCACAGUGAUGUGUGGGGACCUACUAAAGUGGCUUCUUUGGUAGGUAUGCACUACUUUGUUACUUUUGUUGAUGAUUAUUCAAGAAAAGUAUGGGUGCAUCUAAUGAAAAGAAAACAAAUGAAGUUUUGGAUGCAUUUCUGAAAUGGAAGAAGGUGGUGGAGACCUAAAUUGGUCAAAAGGUCAAACAACUUCGAUCAGACAAUGGUACUGAUUACAAGAAUGAUCCAUUUCUACAAGUAAGUCAAGAUGAGGGCAUUGUGUGACACUUCACUGUUCGAGAUACACCACAACAGAAUGGGGUGGCAGAACGUAUGAAUCGGACUAUACUGGAGAAAGUUUUAUGUAUGUUGUCCAAUGCUAGAUUGGGCAAGGAAUUUUGGGCUGAGACAGUUACAUAUGCGUGCCAUCUAAUUAACCGGUUGCCAUCAGCUGUAAUAAAUGGAAAAACUCCUAUGGAGAGGUGGGCUGGUAAACCUGCUACUGAUUAUGAUUCUUUACAUGUUUUUGGUUCCACUACAUAUUAUCAUGUAAAAGAAUCUAAGUUAGACCCAAGAGCAAAAAAAAGCAUUAUUCAUGGGUAUAACUGGUGGAGUAAAAGGAUAUUGUCUCUGGUGUCCUGAUACAAGGAAGAUUGUUUUCAGUAGAGAUGUGACUUUUGAUGAAUCAACCAUGAUGAAGAAUAAUGAUUCACAAAAUGAUAACAAAACUAGUGGCACUUUGUAGCAGGUGGAGCUUGAAAAGGUUAAUGAUGAUCCAGCUAAUAUUGAAGGAACAAAUGAUGAAGAAGUUUUGACCCAAGAACUUUUACAGCAACAUGAUUCAAUUGCAUAUAAGAGGCCAAGAAGAGAGGUUCGUAUGCCUGCUCGCUUUGAUGAUAUUGUGGCCUAUGCACUUCCAAUUGCAGAUGAUGAUGUUCCUUCUAUUUAUAUAGAAGCAAGAAGUAACCCUGAUGGUGUAAAGUGGAAGCGAGCUAUGAAUGAAGAAAUGCAGUCUCUUCAUAAAAAUAGGACUUGGGAGUUGGUGACACUACCCAAAGGAAAGAAGGCAAUUGGAUGCAAAUGGGUAUAUGCAAAGAAGGAAGGAUUUCCUGGUAAAAAUGAAGUUCGAUACGAGGCUAGAUUGGUAGCAAAGGGUUACGCUCAGAAAGAAGGAAUAAACUACAAUGAAGUGUUUUCUCCAGUUGUGAAGCAUUCGUCUAUUCAGAUUUUGCUAGCCUUGGUUGCGCAAUAUGAUCUUGAACUAGUUUAGCUUGAUGUGAAGAUCGUAUUUUUACACGGUGAUUUGGAAGAGGAAAUCUAUAUGACUCGGCCAGAAGGAUUCAAGGUUGCUGAUAAAGAAAAUUGGGUUUGUAAACUGACAAAGUCACUUUAUGGAUUGAAACAAUCUCUGAGGCACUGGUACAAGCGAUUUGAUCAGUUCAUGAAAGGGUAAAGGUCCACAAGAAGUAAAUUUGAUCAUUGCGUGUAUUUUCAAAAGCUACAAGAAGGAUUUUUCAUAUACUUGCUUUUAUAUGUUGAUGAUAUGUUGAUAGCAUCUAAGAGUAAAGUUGAAAUUGAGAGAUUGAAGACUCAACUCAACCUUGAGUUUCAGAUGAAAGACCUAGGUGAAACUAAUAAGAUUCUUGGCAUUGAAAUAUGUAGGGAUAAAGCUCAUGGCAGAGUUAGUUUGUCUCAGAAGCAAUAUUUGAAGAAGGUACUAUAGAAGUUUGGCAUGAACGAGCAAACAAAAGCUGUAAGUACCCAGUUGGCUUCUCAUUUCAAGCUUUCUACACAACUAUCUCCUUCGACUAAUACGGAACAAGAAUACAUGUUACAAGUUCCGUAUUCUAAUGCAGUAGGUAGCUUGAUGUAUGCAAUGGUGUGUACAAGACCCGACAUUUCACAGGCAGUUAGUAUAGUGAGCAGGUAUAUGCACAAUCCUGGAAAAGGACAUUGGCAAGCUGUGAAAAGGAUUCUACGGUAUAUUCAGAAUACCAUGGAUAUUGGAUUACUGUUUAAGCAGGAUACUACACUUGGUAAAUGUGUUAUUGGGUAUGUUGAUUCUGAUUAUGCCCAUGAUUUGGUCAAACGAAGAUCAAUCACUGGUUAUGUGUUUACACUUGCUGGAGGACCAAUAAGUUAGAAGUCUACAUUGCAGUCUACAGUUGCAUUGUCAACCACAGAAGUUGAAUACAUAGCUGUAACAGAGGCUGUAAAGAAAGCUAUUUGGUUACAAGGUAUGGUUAAAACCUUGGGAUUGGUUCAGGAGCAUAUUAACGUGUAUUGUGAUAGUCAAAGUGCUAUUCAUUUAGCAAAGAUUCAAGUCUAUCAUGCACGUACAAAACAUAUCGACGUACGUUUCCAUUUUGUGUGGGAAAUUAUUGAUGAGGGGAAAAUUCACCUUCAGAAUAUUAAGACUGCAGAUAAUCCCGCAGAUAUGAUGACCAAGGUGGUGACAACCAUCAAGUUCGAACAUUGUUUGAACUUGAUCAAUAUUCUGCAUGUUUAACAGUUGAAGAAGGCACUAUCAAGUGUUGUUGAUAAAGGCAAAGAGAAUUGUGUGAAUAUAAGAUUAUUCGAAUCAAAUCUUCAAGAUGGAGAUUAUUAGAAAUCAUCCAUAUUUAUAGAAAGUCAAAGAUAUGGGUAUCGGAAAGAUAUGGGUAUCAAAAUCUAAGAUUUAAGGCACCAAAAGUGGGAUUGAGAUUUGGCAUAAGAUAAUUGCAAUUUUGAUCCCUGAACUUCAACUAUAAAUAGGCCUAACCAUUUCUCUUCUUCAUCAUCCCAAAUUUGCCAUUCUCUACUUAAGGCAUUGUUUUCUCUCUCUCUCUCUCUUUGUAAAUUCUCACUUGUAUUUUGGAGUGAAAUAUAUUUGGUAGUGCCCGAGGACGUAGGCAAAAUUUGCUAAACCUCGUUAAAUUCUUGUGUUCUUUAUUGUAUUAUUCUGCAUGAAUUGUGAGUGUGAUUGUAGUGAUUUAUUGUGCUAUUAAAUUGGGAUUGAGGGAUAUUCUGGCUAGGAAAGACCUGGUACUUAAGCGAUCCUUGUGAUCCACCUCUCUUUCCUAGGAAUUGAACUUAGUGUGAUUUUUUAGUACAAUAAUUUUACUCUUUUACACGCUUCCGCACAACAGCUAUUUCUCUCAUUCUAUGGACUAUGGUGGAGCAAAAAUUAAUAAAAAAAAUCAAACGGAUAGAAAUAGCUGAGUUACAAGUUUAUGUUAAUUCAAUAAAUUUAAAAAAAAACACAUUAUUUCCAAAAGGGUAAGAAAUAGGUCCAAAUUAUAAUUCAGAAUAUAAAUUAAUUUAAUGUAAAAUUUAAAUAAAAUUGAAAAUUUUUGUUAUUAUCAAAUUGAAAAAAACACCGAUCAUAAAAAGGAAAAACUAAAACAUCCAAAAAACACUAAACACAAAAUUCAUAGUUAUAGAGGAGGAUUAGAUACAUUGGUCCCAUAAUAUGUCACUCAAAAUCUCAAAAUCUCAAAAUCAUCCAACAAAAAGAAAUCAUCACUUUAGUUAAUUAAAUCAAGAACAAAUAAAGUUAUGGAUGAACAAAUAUGGGAAGCAAAGAAUGAUGAUCACGAGAGAAAUAAGGUUUCCAAUAACAGAUAAAAUUUCACCUAACACAUAUAAUUAAAAUCAUUAAAAUUUACUAACAGAUCUUAAAAUGGUUAUUUUGUGAGGCUGUGGGAGUUGUGUGAAGAAGAAAAAGAGGGAAUGGCAGUGGGUCAAUGCGGGUAGGUAUAAGUCUGAAACAUAUAAUAUCAACUAUGUACUCUGUAAUCAAGGCUAAGAGAAAUAAAGUACUCUAUUUCUUUCCUAUUCAAGAAUAUCAACACAUAAAUAAUAAGGAUAGAAAAAAUAGGUAAUUACAAGUCUUGUGUGAUUCAAAAGGGUAUAAAGUAGGUCCUAAUUAAAAAUCAAACCUUAAAUUAAUUUAAUGUAAAAUUUAACUCUUUUCUUAUCACCAAAUAAAUCUACUUCUAGUAAAUUAGGAGUUUUAAUAAAAUACUUGUAAGAACUGAUUGUUUAUGACUAGGUGUUUUGUUUUCAACAUAUUUGGAAUUAACUUGCCUUAGAAAAACAGUCUCUAUUAUUUUAAGAAUAUUAUAGAAGGGUAGAACUAUGAAAGCGGUUAGUAAAACAUGAGAUGCUAAAAAUAGACACAUGCCAUAAUAGGAAGGAAAAUUAGAAACAAACUCCUAAACCAAAUAAUUGGUUGAUGGCUGAAUUGUCAUGUACGGGGUUGUGGAGGUGACUAUGAGUUUUGAUGUGUUCCUACCUGCUACUAAGGGUAACUCAGGAGUUGCAUUAAAAAUCUGACUUCGUUUGUUUGGCACCAAUUAAAUUGGUUGAUGGCUAGCUCAAUUCACAUAAAUAAUGUAUAUAUACUCUAUGAGUUGCAUUAGUGGUUAUUGUUUAAAGUCCCGCUUCACUAUUUAAAACAACUGUCGAUGGAAAUUAGAUAAAAAUGAAUGACACGAUAACCAGGACUUGUUUACCUUUGAAAUAGUUGUCACCAAGAUCCAAAGUCUCGAGAAAGGUCAAAUUUCCAAUUUCUGUAGGUAUACUUCCCUCCAAGGAGUUGUUAAACAAUGAUAAAAACUUCAGCUCUUUGCACUUGAAUAAACUAUUUGGAAUUCUACCGGUAAUUUGAUUCCCACCCAAGCUCAACCUUUCUAGUUUUGACAAAUUGCCUAGAGUAGAUGGGAUAACACCAACGAAGUUGUUAAGGUACAGAGACAAUCUUUGAAGUUUACUGAAGCAACCAAACCAUGAUGGGAUUUCUCCAUUGAAGCUAUUGUUACCAAAGUCCAAAUAUUUCAUCCGACGCAAAUUAGUUAACUCAAUGGGUAAAGAGCCAUGGAAACUAUUUUGAUGAAUGCCGAGCCAAGCAAGGAAAGAUAGAUUUCCCAAUAGAGAAGAAAUGGUGCCUGUGAGAUCCAUGCUUGACAAAUUCAGAGCAGUGACUCUAUGGUGUCUAGAUCCACAUGUGACACCAAUCCAGCUACAAACGGAGGUAGAAGUAGACCAAUUGGUUGCCAAGAAAUUGUGAGGAUCAUGAGUUAUAUGAGAUUUUAGUGCUAGAAGAGCAGAUUGAUCAACGGUGAUGCUAGAAUAUUUUGCAGACAAAAUAACCCCAAAGGUUGCGAAUAGCAGCCCAAACAUAAACGGAGGGAGGAAGCUUGGUUUUGCCAUAAGGUUGGAUACGGGUGUCAGGCGCAUCAUAAGGAGAGAAACAACCGAAUUUAAUACUUUUCUAAUGUUAUAGUUCAAUAUUCUUUAAAUACUUUGAUUCUAAGGAUUUAAGCAAGGCAUCCAUUGACUCAUAAUUUGAGUAAGAAAUACGUACAAUCUUGUGGGUCCAACCAUGUUAUAGGAAAAAAAAAAGGGAAGGCUUAGUCUCAAGUUGAAGAGUAGCACUAAUAAUCCAAUUGUAGGUUUGGGAAAAAAUUUAAGAUGUAGAAAAUUUUUAUUAUUAUUAAAACUCUUAUCAAAUACUUAUUUGACGCAAGUUUAAAUUGUGUUGAUCUCAUUUUAUAUUCCAAUGACAAUUUGAAUAAUUAGUAAUUUUUUUAUUUUUAAUUAAUAUAAAAAUUCUCAACUCAAAUUUUAAAUUAAAAAUUAAAAGUACUUUGUAAGUUUAUAGUAAUUGUAAGUUUCAUUUCAUAAAUUAGAAGAAUUUAUUGUUAUAAUUUUAAUUUUUUUAAACAUAUAGUUCAACAUUUUUAUUUAAAAAAAAUAGCAUACUAGUUUUAGAUUAUAUGAUAAUUAAAUUUAAUUAAGAUUUAUUAUACUUUAAUUAACUAUUAAUCACACUUACUGAUUUUCAUCAUCAUCAUUCAGUAUCUAUUAUUUAUUAUUGAUUUAUUGGCCAUUUUAAUCCUUGAGAUAAUUGCCAUCUAGGUCCCUAAGCUUUUUAUUAAUUAAAACUCAAUAAUAAAUAUAUCGAUGGAGCUUUGGUUUUAGUGGGCAUGAAACCAUGGAGUCUUUACAGCUUUGAGGGAAAAAAAGACAGAAAAAGAAUUUUAAAGACACAAAUUAAUAAAUUAAUUUUUUUAAUCUACGUUUUAUUAAAACACACACCCAAAAAUCACCUCAUUUUCCCGUAGCUUAUUAUUUACAGUUUUUCUUGCAAUCCAAGUGCAAUCCAAUUGGCAAUUGGAAAAUGAUACGAUGUUUAUGUUUUAUUUUUUUUCAUUUUUAAAUAUAAUAAAGGCGAAAUUGACGGAAGGAAAAACUUUCUCCUUGGUUUAAAAGUCCAGAUAUCAAUUACAAGACAUAAAAAACAAAGACAAGUAUUGGUGGCCAGUAGAUGAUAGUGAGUGACACUAUUUGAUUUAGUCUAAUUAUUACAACAUGUUUGAUUCAAACUAUUUUGUAUUUGGCAGCGAAGCAGGUCGAAGAUGGCAGAUUUUACCUCCCUGACUACAGUGGAGUACAUUGAAGCCGAUAACUCUAUCUCCCUGUAUUUGGCAGUGGAAUAGAUUGAAGAUUGCAGAUCUUGCCUUCCUGUAUUUGGCAGCGAAGCAAGUCGAAGAUGGCGGAUUUUACCUCCCUGACUACAGUGGAGUACAUUGAAGCCGAUAACUCUAUCUCCCUGUAUUUGGCAGUGGAAUAGAUUGAAGAUUGCAGAUCUUGCCUUCCUGUAUUUGGCAGCGAAGCAGGUCGAAGAUGGCGGAUUUUACCUCCCUGACUACAGUGGAGUACAUUGAAGCCGAUAACUCUAUCUCCCUGUAUUUGGCAGUGGAAUAGAUUGAAGAUUGCAGAUCUUGCCUUCCUGUAUUUGGCAGCGAAGCAGGUCGAAGAUGGCAGAUUUUACCUCCCUGACUACAGUGGAGUACAUUGAAGCCGAUAAUUCUAUCUCCCUGUAUUUGGCAGUGGAAUAGAUUGAAGAUUGCAGAUCUUGCCUUCCUGUAUUUGGCAGCGAAGCAGAUCAAAUAUGGCAGAUUUUACCUCCCUGACUACAGUGGAGUACAUUGAAGCCGAUAAUUCUAUCUCCCUGUAUUUGGCAGUGGAAUAGAUUGAAGAUUACAGAUCUUGCCUUCCUGUAUUUGGCAGUGAAGCAGAUCAAAGAUGUCAGAUUUUACCUCCCUGACUACAGUGGAGUACAUUGAAGCCGAUAACUCUAUCUCCCUGUAUUUGGCAGUGGAAUAGAUUGAAGAUUACAGAUCUUAUCUCCCUAAGCAAUAAUGGAGUAGGUUGAAGACGGCAGAUUUUACCUCCCUGAUUACAGUGGAGUACAUUGAAGCUGGUAGUUCUACUUCCCUGGGAAACAGUGGAAUAGAUCGAAGAUUACAAUCUUAUCUCCCUAAGCAGUAGUGGAGUAGAUCGCAUUAAGUCUUAUCUCCCUAAGCAGUAGUGGAGCAGACAAAACCACAGAUCUUAUUUCCCUAAGCAAUAGUGGAGCAGAUCGCAUCAAGUCUUAUCUCCCUAAGUAGUAGUGGAGCAGACUAAAAACACAAAUCUCAUCCCCAUGGAAUCGUAGCAGAUUAGAUUGAAGCUACAAGGCGUAUCUGAAGUUGCAUUAGAGUGGAUCGAAGCAACAAGACGUAGCAGGCUGGAAUAAGGCUACUGGAAGAAGAUGAGCACCAAAAAGUCAAGACUCGGCAAGACCGGGCAAAAUUGGCCCUUUUGAUGUCUUUGCUCUAUUCUCGUUACACGAAAAUGAGCAAAGAGGGGCAGCUGUAAAGGCCCAAUUUUGGCCCAACUUAAACCAACCCUAACCAAAACCCAGUCCCAACCAGACCCACUACCUAAACACUAAAAACCCAACACCAGCCCAAAACAGUGAAGCCCGAUAGGCCCAAGUCUCUAAAAAAAUUUUUGGAAAGCCAGAAACCCUAGGGUUUCUGGCGCCGUUGCCCCAUGUGCGCGACCACGCAGUCCCCACUUCCUCCUCUGCCCAAAACCUAGCACUGCCCAUACCGUUUGCACCCCAUGCCUCUGUCACCUCCAUCGUGCCCAUCCCAUGCAAAGAGACAAAGCAUAAACAAUAAGAAAUUAGAUGAAAGUGGGUUAUAAAAACCCGAAUCAAAAUUGUAUGGCGGGGGGUUUUUUUUUUCUUUUCUGUUUUCGUUUUAACAUUCGUUCAAAUGUUCAAAAGAAAUCAACAACCAAGAUAGAAUGAAACACAUGUACAAGCCGUGAUUUUAACACUGAAAUCAGAAGUUCAAAGUUGUCAAAAAAAAUCAAAAACUACAAAGUAUAAGGUAAUCUUUUUCUUUAUUUUUUUCUCGUUUUCUAAACCUAUUUUCCAUACAUAAAUAUUAAUAUAUAUAUAUAUAUAAUACAAGAAAUAAAAAAAUAAAAAAAAUAAAUUUUUUUUACCUUUUUCGGCCACCGCGUGCGGUGGCCGGCGCCGGCGCCGGCGAGCCUCCGGUGGCCGUCUGGUGACCGGCCCCCCUGGCCGGAUUUUCCUUCCCCCCUCCCUUCUCUCUCCCUUCUCUCUUCCCUCUCUCUUCCUUUUUUUUCUUUCCCUCUCCCCAAAUGAUUUUUUUUGGUUAUUUUAGGCCUUAUAUAGCCCUCCAAAACGACGUCGUUUUGGGGGCUACACUUAAGCCUCAAAACGACGUCGUUUUGACCAUGCCCGACCCAUCCGACCCGACCCGCUAGAGGAUCCGCGUGUUUUCGUUUGAAUGGGAUAUUUAUGCGCGCAGUCCUUCCGCUUUUUCAGGGUUUUGCAAUUAAGUCAUUUUUCUUGUUUCCAAUUUGGCCCCAUAAUUUCUCGCGCUUUUCGAUUUAGUCCCCGCUAAUGUGCUGCGUUUUAAUGGAAUGGAAUAAUUGUUGUUUCGGUCCCCCUAUGUUUUGUGUGCGCUCAAAUAAGCCCAUUUCUCUUUAUUUCCUUUCACAUUUGCCCCACAACUUUGUUUUUAAUUCAAUUUUAGUCCUUUUUUUCGUUUAUUCUUAUAUCUUUAUUAAAUAUCCUUGUUAUUUUUAUAUUAUUAGUAUUAUUAGUAUUACUAUUAUUAUUAUGUAUUAGUAUAUAUUUUUAUUAUGUACGCGUAUACAUAUAUAUAUAUAUUUUCAUAUUUAAUAUUUUUAUUUCAUUUUUAUUCUAAUAUUUUAUUAUAAUUUAUAUAUAUAUACAUGUACAUAUUCUUUAUUUAUUUUAAGUAUAUAUUUUUUAUAUUUCAUAUUUUCUACAGGCAUAUAUAUACUUAUAUAUUUACAUAUUUUAAUUCAUAUACUUAUAAAUGUAUGUACAUACUUACGUUAUUUUAUUUUUUUAAUAUACAUAUUUAUAUUUUUUUGUCUUUAUGUAAUAUAUAUACAUACAUGCGCAUGUUAUUUAUAUAUAUGUAAUUAUGUUUUCAUAUUUUAUAAUUCUUAUACAUACACAUAUAUAUAUACGUAUAGACAUACAUAUUUUCAUUAUAUAUAUACCUACAUAGUUUUUUUUUGUAUUUUAAAUCUUUUAAAAUUCAUACAUACAUUUUUAAAACUUUUAUAAUUUUAUUCAUUUCUUUAUUAUUAUUAUUGUUUUACUUUAUGUUUAUUUAUUUAUGUGUCCAUUAUUAUUUUUUUUUAAAAUGUUUUAGUUUUUUUUAUUUUGUUUAUUUACUUGUUAUUGUAUAUAAUUGAUUUUUUAUAUAUUUAUUUUUGUUAUCUUCGCUCGUAUUAUUUUUACUCGCAUUAUCGUAAUUGUUAUUCCGUCACAUCAAUUUUUACCCGAAUUCGUAAAAAAGGAAAAUUUUGGAAAUAAAAGCAAUACUCAAUACUUGGGAUCUUCGAGAGAAUUGGGCCCUAACGUGCUGGGUUCUAAUUUUCUGUUGAAUCUAAAUGCUCGAGAAUGCUCUUUAAUAAAAAAACAUAAAUAAAAACUCAUUAUCGGGAUUUCAAUAUGUUGUGUCCUAACGCAUUGGAUAUAACACGUGGUUUUCUCGAUAUGAGGAUUUUUCGAAAGUAAAGGCAAUAUUCUGUAUUUAGAAAAUUCGAGAAAAUCGUGCCCUAACUUACUGAGAUUCGAUUUUUCUCGUUGAUUCUAAGUAAUCGAAUAUCCUUUUAAAAUUAAAAUAAAUGAGGUUUAAAUAAAAAAAUAAAAGGAAAGCUUACUCUCAAAAAAUACAAGGUGUCGUGUCCUAACUUACUGGAUGUGACAUCUUGUUAAUUCGAGAUAAGAAGGCAUUUUUCAUUUUGACUUAUCCAAGUAAUUUUUUUUAAAAAAUAACGCAAUAUAAAGAAGGAUCUUAUUUUUAAAUUCUUUUCGAGUUUUUAAUUUUCGACAUAAAGACAUUAAAUAAUCAACUAAGGUACCAAUUUUGGGCGUGUCGAGGGUGCUAAUCCUUCCUCAUGCGUAACCGACUCCCGAACCCUUUUUUUUUCUGAAUUUCGUAGACCAAAAUCGUUAUUUUAAUAAAAAUUAAAUCGUUUAUUAAAAACAACCACUCUUCGAGGUGACCCGAUCACACCUCAUCAAAAAAGAUUGGUGGCGACUCCCAUUUUCGUUUUUAUUUUUAAAAAAACCCAAGUCGACCCCGUUUUCAUCCAAAAAAUGGUGUCAACAGAGUCUUUACAGCUUUGAGGAAAAAAAGACAGAAAAAGAAUUUUAAAGACACAAAUUAAUAAAUUAAUUUUUUUAAUCUACGUUUUAUUAAAACACACACCCAAAAAUCACCUCAUUUUCCCGUAGCUUAUUAUUUACAGUUUUUCUUGCAAUCCAAGUGCGAGAUGAUCACAAAUUCCAAUUGGCAAUUGGAAAAUGAGAUACGAUUUUUAUGUUGUUUUUUUUUUCAUUUUUAAAUAUAAUAAAGGCAAAAUUAACGGAAGGGAAAACUUUCUGCUUGGUUUAAAAGUCAGAUAUCAAUUACAAGACAAAAAAAACAAAGACAAGUAUUGGGGACCAGUAGAUGAUAGUGAGUGACACUAUUUGAUUUAGUCUAAUUAUUACAACAUGUUUGAUUGAAACUAUUUUGUAAUCUCUGAUUAAAUAAAUAUUGACAGGAAAAGACUUCAAUUUUCUUCUUUUCCUUAGCUAUAAAAUUGAAUUUCUAGUUUGGAUUACAUGCCUUUGGUUCUCAUCUCUAGUUGUGUAAGGCUGAGUCGCUGUUAAUUAGUUGGAUGGACCUACAUUAAAAACAUGAAUUGAAAAGAUAAGUAAUAGAAACUUUGUCAGAUUUAGACAAAUAUCAACCACAUCUUUAUUAACAUUUUACAUUUCUUAUCCCAAUAUUCAAAACCAAACAAUAAUACAUUCAUUGCAUGUUCCUUUUCUCAAAUAUCAUUUUAUUUAAUGUCAUUAGACAUUACUCUAUUCUUUUUUCUUUGUGAUAAAAAUUGUUAAACAAAAAAUUAUUACAAAUGUUGUAGGAAUCUAUCCUUUGAGAUUGUUUGAUUCUAGUUUUUGACAAAUUGCUCAAAGUUGAUGGGACAAAACAAGUGAAUUUGAUUCUAGUUUAGUGAGAUCAAAAUUUGUUGGCAAAUUAAAUUACUCAAUGGGUAAAUAUCCAUGGAAGUUAUUGUCCCAAAGUGGGGUUGGACUUGGAUGGUAUCUGCGAGACUCAUUUUUAUCAUAUUCAAAGCAGUGGCUGCCGAAUAAAUUACAACUAGAAAUAAAAAUAGAUCAGUUGGCUGCCAAGAGGUUUUGAGGGUCAUGCUUGUUCCCUAUCAACCCGAGUACUACUAAGUAAGUACCCCUCUAAAUGGGGAGAACUUUGUUGAUCUUUCAUUGGUUUAAAAGUCUAAAUACCAAUUGUAAGGCAUCAAAACAACAAAGACAAGUAUUGGGGACCAGCUGAAGAGAGUGAGUGACACGGUUUGAUUUAGAGUCUCAUGAUUGCAAUAUAUUUGAUCGUGAUCCUCAAAUUUGAUUGAAAUGUCUAACAAAAUAAAUACCAAGAUGGAAAGACCUUUUUUUCUAUAAAAUCUAAAUUUCUAGUUUUGAAGACAUGCUUGUGGUUCUCAUCUCUUACUUGUUCUGCACGGCUAAGUUGCAGUUGCUUCGAUGGACCUAUGUUGGGAAACAUGAAUUGAAAAGAAUGCCAACAAGUAAUAGAAAUUUUGCAAUAUUCAGAUAGAUCAAAUUAAGCUUUUUGUGGACCAUUCUCAGAUAAUUACUUUGGCAAUCUUGAAUUUAACAAUCUAACCAUUAAAUUUAACAAUAUAAUUAUAGUUGUCUUGCAUUUUAAAUUUUGAAUUGAUUUAAUACCUCUAUCAUUUCGGUCCAAAACUUUGUUUAUUUCAUAUAUAUUUAAGUAUUUUUGAAUGUAACUAAGUAAGCAUGUUUCUUCUACCGCGAGUCAAAAGGUUGCAACAAUUUUAGCCAUUUUGUACACAAUAUAACAUUAUAUUGUUGCCUUAAUUAAAGCAGAAUAAUAUAUAUUUCCAUAAGUUUUUAAAAAUAUCAUAAAUUUUCAUUGGGAAUUUUAUUGGUGCAUUCUAAAUUACAUAAUAAUCAGAAAUAUAAAAGAUUUCCAUUGGGAAUUUGUUGGUGUAUUCUCGCCUUUUAGUAAAAGUAAUAAUAAAAAAUUUUGUUGAUUCACCUUUACUAUGAAAAUAAAAAUAAAAAAUUACAAAAUUAGAACCGUAAAUCAAUUUUGGUUUAAAAUUUUAAACCUACAUAUUAAAGUUAAUCUUUGUGUAGAAAAUCUGAUAGGUAAGUAGCAUAGCAUCCAUCUAAUAGAUUAGGAAAUCUGUAGUCUUGAGAUGGAAUAGAUUUUACGGUCACAUUGGCAACCUUAAAUUAUAAUCUUCUUUGAUCUCGUUUGCAUAACAUCCAUCUAAUUUUGAGAAUUCUUCACUUUUAAUUUCAAAAUUGUAAUUAAAUAGUUUUAUCCAAUUAAAUAAUAAUAAUAUAUGGCUAUGGUGAUGUCUAUAAGAUGGGAACAAAAAUUAAACCCGUUGUGAGUGGUGGGGUAGGCGUGGGUAUGACCUUGUACCUAAGUCAUCCCCACCUACCCCAUCCCAUCCCGCAUAAUAUAAUAAACAUAUUUAAAAAAUAAACAUUUAUAAAAAUUAAUUUAAUAAUUAAUUUAAUAAUAUUUAAUUUUUGCUCUUGUGUUGCAUUUGAAGAUAUUUAUGAUGUAUUUGAGAUAUUGUUUGUAUUUUGAUAUUAUGUAAUGACUUUAUUUUUUAAAUUUUUAAACUUGAAAUUAUAUCUUAUUUACCAACUAAAGGUCGUAACGACUUACCUUUUUUUUAAAUAAUGUUUAUUUAAUAUAUCCACAACAAUAUCAGUCUGAUUUACUGAAAAAUAUAUAUUAUAUAUCCACAACAAUAAAUUAAUUUAGUUAUUACGUCUCAUCCAAUAAUAAUAUUUUCACUAUUACCAAAUUUUUUCUCUUUUAAUAAUUGUUUGGAAAAUGGCUUCAAGAUGAAUUUAGACAAAUAGUUUAGUAGUAGAUUAAAUUCUUUGGAUAUAUUAACCAAAUCCACACCAGAAAAAUUUACCUAUGAUGGAUUUAAUUGAACAUAUAAAAUAAUAACUUGUUAGAAGGGUUGAUUAAUUGGAAAGCAUAGAAUGGGUUAAUGAAUUAGAAAGCAAGAAUUUAUAAAACUUAAGGAUAUAAUUUUGUAUUGGAAUUAUUCAGUGGGAUGAAGAGUAAAUUUCAAGUAGCAAAAGGAUGGAUCCAUCUCACUCCCUUCCAUAUUUAGUCUUUUGCAAAUAUUCAAGAAUAGGCUGAUGUACAAUUAUUUUACUUUGAAUGCAUGAGUCUAUGGUAAGGACGGGGUCCCAGCAGUAAGGUAAAAUGGUAAGUGUUGAAACAGAAAAUAAAAGAAAUGUAGAUGAUUUAACGAUGAUGGGGUCUUAUGGUGCUUUGGAAUCAUCGUUUUUUUAAAGAUGAUUUGAUUUGGAGAAAAGGAGAGGCCGGAUGUGGGUAUUUGGUUGUAUCUUUAUUGUUGUACAAAAAUCUUGCUAGUUCGAGGAUCAACUUUCCUUUCAAUUUUAAUAAAAAUUAUAUAUGAACUUGUGAACUUGUAUUCAAAUUGAAUCUUUCCAUUGAGUCGCCCUUGCAAGUCAAUGCAGCAAUCAAGAACCAUAUUAUUAAUACCCAGCUAAGAUCGUGAACGUUUUCUACUCUAUAUCUUUCUCCUAAAUGCUUCAUUCCAGUGAAAAGUGCUGCAAUUCGUACGGCAAUGGCACCUCUGGCGAUAAUUACAUGGAAAUACUCCCAAAUUAAUCUCUUUGUGGAAGCGUCCUCCUCAUUAGCAGGUUUCUCCGGUCUGAGAUAUGCAUUCAUUGGUUGCACAAAGGCAAAAACUAUGGCAGCAAUACCAAGCUUAAAAUGUAAGGAGCUGACAUAGAAACCCCGAAGUUCGGCAACUGCAAAAAGAACACCAAGUAGGAUAAUUGCUAAUCCUGAAUAUUGUAGGUACAUACCAUCCAUCACCCUUUACAUGUUUUAGGUAUCUAGCAGCCAAUAUUCCACCAGGAAUCAAAAUACCCCAGGAGAGGAACAGCAUAAACCCAUGUACAGCUUUGACAGGUUGUAAACCUUGCUCAGCCUCGGAAGAACCACGGAUAAGCAGCACUUGCACAGCCCUUUGACUCGUGACAGUAUGCAUGUUUUUCUCACUGAGAUGUUCAUCAGUCCAUUUUGAACCCAUUGCCCGUAUGACUUUAAGAGGAGUUGUAGGAUAAAAAAUGUUCUUGCACUCUGGCUUAUCAUUUUGAUUGCAUGAUGGUUUUAAUGGACGUGUGAAUUCCAAAGUAAUGAUGCCAUCUUCUGACCUGCACCUGACAUGUGUUAGAUUCUCAUUUGUUAGAUGGAUGUUCAAGGGAUGCUUUCCAUCAAUCCAAUAUGUAUUUAAAUGCCCUUUUCAAGUAUCGCCAAUCCAGCCCACAUAUGCAUAGCUAUUCACCAUCCCAUUACCGAAACCUAUUGCAAGAUAGCCACUCUUAUUCACACCACGGGCAGCAAUAGUUAUUGAAUCUUCUGAUAACGUCCAAAAGAAAGUAACUUGAUCAUCUAAAAGCACACUAGUGUUAUACAUAUCAGACAGGGCACCAUCAAGAACCAUAUUAUUAAUACCCAGCUAAGAUCGUGAACGUUUUCUACUCUAUCUUUCUCCUAAAUGCUUCAUUCCAGUGAAAAGUGCUGCAAUUCGUACGGCAAUGGCACCUCUGCCGAUAAUUACAUGGAAAUACUCCCAAAUUAAUCUCUUUGUGGAAGCGUCCUCCUCAUUAGCAGGUUUCUCCGGUCUAAGAUAUGCAUUCAUUGGUUGCACAAAGGCAAAAACUAUGGCAGCAAUACCAAGCUUAACAUGUAAGGAGCUGACAUAGAAACCCCGAAGUUUGGCAACUGCAAAAAGAACACCAAGUAGGAUAAUUGCUAAUCCUGAAUAUUGUAGGUACAUACCAUCCAUCACCCUUUACAUGUUUUAGGUAUCUAGCAGCCAAUAUUCCACCAGGAAUCAAAAUACCCCAGGAGAGGAACAGCAUAAACCCAUGUACAGCUUUGACAGGUUGUAAACCUUGCUCAGCCUCGGAAGAACCACGGAUAAGCAGCACUUGCACAGCCCUUUGACUCGUGACAGUAUGCAUGUUUUUCUCUCUGAGAUGUUCAUCAGUCCAUUUUGAACCCAUUGCCCGUAUGACUUUAAGAGGAGUUGUAGGAUCAAAAAUGUUCUUGCACUCUGGCUUAUCAUUUUGAUUGCAUGAUGGUUUUAAUGGACGUGUGAAUUCCAAAGUAAUGAUGCCAUCUUCUGACCUGCACCUGACAUGUGUUAGAUUCUCAUUUGUUAGAUGGAUGUUCAAGGGAUGCUUUCCAUCAAUCUAAUAUGUAUUUAAAUGCCCUUUUCCAGUAUCGCCAAUCCAGCCCACAUAUGCAUAGCUAUUCACCAUCCCAUUACCGAAACCUAUUGCAAGAUAGCCACUCUUAUUCACACCACGGGCAGCAAUAGUUAUUGAAUCUUCUGAUAACGUCCAAAAGAAAGUAACUUGAUCAUCUAAAAGCACACUAGUGUUAUACAUAUCAGACAGGGCACCAUCAAGAACCAUAUUAUUAAUACCCAGCUAAGAUCGUGAACGUUUUCUACUCUAUCUUUCUCCUAAAUGCUUCAUUCCAGUGAAAAGUGCUGCAAUUCGUACGGCAAUGGCACCUCUGCCGAUAAUUACAUGGAAAUACUCCCAAAUUAAUCUCUUUGUGGAAGCGUCCUCCUCAUUAGCAGGUUUCUCCGGUCUGAGAUAUGCAUUCAUUGGUUGCACAAAGGCAAAAACUAUGGCAGCAAUACCAAGCUUAACAUGUAAGGAGCUGACAUAGAAACCCCGAAGUUCGGCAACUGCAAAAAGAACACCAAGUAGGAUAAUUGCUAAUCCUGAAUAUUGUAAGUACAUACCAUCCAUCACCCUUUACAUGUUUUAGGUAUCUAGCAGCCAAUAUUCCACCAGGAAUCAAAAUACCCCAGGAGAGGAACAGCAUAAACCCAUGUACAGCUUUGACAGGUUGUAAACCUUGCUCAGCCUCGGAAGAACCACGGAUAAGCAGCACUUGCACAGCCCUUUGACUCGUGACAGUAUGCAUGUUUUUCUCACUGAGAUGUUCAUCAGUCCAUUUUGAACCCAUUGCCCGUAUGACUUUAAGAGGAGUUGUAGGAUCAAAAAUGUUCUUGCACUCUGGCUUAUCAUUUUGAUUGCAUGAUGGUUUUAAUGGACGUGUGAAUUCCAAAGUAAUGAUGCCAUCUUCUGACCUGCACCUGACAUGUGUUAGAUUCUCAUUUGUUAGAUGGAUGUUCAAGGGAUGCUUUCCAUCAAUCCAAUAUGUAUUUAAAUGCCCUUUUCCAGUAUCGCCAAUCCAGCCCACAUAUGCAUAGCUAUUCACCAUCCCAUUACCGAAACCUAUUGCAAGAUAGCCACUCUUAUUCACACCACGGGCAGCAAUAGUUAUUGAAUCUUCUGAUAACGUCCAAAAGAAAGUAACUUGAUCAUCUAAAAGCACACUAGUGUUAUACAUAUCAGACAGGGCACCAUCAAGAACCAUAUUAUUAAUACCCAGCUAAGAUCGUGAACGUUUUCUACUCUAUCUUUCUCCUAAAUGCUUCAUUCCAGUGAAAAGUGCUGCAAUUCGUACGGCAAUGGCACCUCUGCCGAUAAUUACAUGGAAAUACUCCCAAAUUAAUCUCUUUGUGGAAGCGUCCUCCUCAUUAAGAGGUUUCUCCGGUCUGAGAUAUGCAUUCAUUGGUUGCACAAAGGCAAAAACUAUGGCAGCAAUACCAAGCUUAACAUGUAAGGAGCUGACAUAGAAACCCCGAAGUUCGGCAACUGCAAAAAGAACACCAAGUAGGAUAAUUGCUAAUCCUGAAUAUUGUAGGUACAUACCAUCCAUCACCCUUUACAUGUUUUAGGUAUCUAGCAGCCAAUAUUCCACCAGGAAUUAAAAUACCCCAGGAGAGGAACAGCAUAAACCCAUGUACAGCUUUGACAGGUUGUAAACCUUGCUCAGCCUCGGAAGAACCACGGAUAAGCAGCACUUGCACAGUCCUUUGACUCGUGACAGUAUGCAUGUUUUUCUCACUGAGAUGUUCAUCAGUCUAUUUUGAACCCAUUGCCCGUAUGACUUUAAGAGGAGUUGUAGGAUCAAAAAUGUUCUUGCACUCUGGCUUAUCAUUUUGAUUGCAUGAUGGUUUUAAUGGAUGUGUGAAUUCCAAAGUAAUGAUGCCAUCUUCUGACCUGCACCUGACAUGUGUUAGAUUCUCAUUUGUUAGAUGGAUGUUCAAGGGAUGCUUUCCAUCAAUCCAAUAUGUAUUUAAAUGCCCUUUUCCAGUAUCGCCAAUCCAGCCCACAUAUGCAUAGCUAUUCACCAUCCCAUUACCGAAACCUAUUGCAAGAUAGCCACUCUUAUUCACACCACGGGCAGCAAUAGUUAUUGAAUCUUCUGAUAACGUCCAAAAGAAAGUAACUUGAUCAUCUAAAAGCACACUAGUGUUAUACAUAUCAGACAGGGCACCAUCAAGAACCAUAUUAUUAAUACCCAGCUAAGAUCGUGAACGUUUUCUACUCUAUCUUUCUCCUAAAUGCUUCAUUCCAGUGAAAAGUGCUGCAAUUCGUACGGCAAUGGCACCUCUGCCGAUAAUUACAUGGAAAUACUCCCAAAUUAAUCUCUUUGUGGAAGCGUCCUCCUCAUUAGCAGGUUUCUCCGGUCUGAGAUAUGCAUUCAUUGGUUGCACAAAGGCAAAAACUAUGGCAGCAAUACCAAGCUUAACAUGUAAGGAGCUGACAUAGAAACCCCGAAGUUCGGCAACUGCAAAAAGAACACCAAGUAGGAUAAUUGCUAAUCCUGAAUAUUGUAGGUACAUACCAUCCAUCACCCUUUACAUGUUUUAGGUAUCUAGCAGCCAAUAUUCCACCAGGAAUCAAAAUACCCCAGGAGAGGAACAGCAUAAACCCAUGUACAGCUUUGACAGGUUGUAAACCUUGCUCAGCCUCGGAAGAACCACGGAUAAGCAGCACUUGCACAGACCUUUGACUCGUGACAGUAUGCAUGUUUUUCUCACUGAGAUGUUCAUCAGUCCAUUUUGAACCCAUUGCCCGUAUGACUUUAAGAGGAGUUGUAGGAUCAAAAAUGUUCUUGCACUCUGGCUUAUCAUUUUGAUUGCAUGAUGGUUUUAAUGGACGUGUGAAUUCCAAAGUAAUGAUGCCAUCUUCUGACCUGCACCUGACAUGUGUUAGAUUCUCAUUUGUUAGAUGGAUGUUCAAGGGAUGCUUUCCAUCAAUCCAAUAUGUAUUUAAAUGCCCUUUUCCAGUAUCGCCAAUCCAGCCCACAUAUGCAUAGCUAUUCACCAUCCCAUUACCGAAACCUAUUGCAAGAUAGCCACUCUUAUUCACACCACGGGCAGCAAUAGUUAUUGAAUCUUCUGAUAACGUCCAAAAGAAAGUAACUUGAUCAUCUAAAAGCACACUAGUGUUAUACAUAUCAGACAGGGCACCAUCAAGAACCAUAUUAUUAAUACCCAGCUAAGAUCGUGAACGUUUUCUACUCUAUCUUUCUCCUAAAUGCUUCAUUCCAGUGAAAAGUGCUGCAAUUCGUACGGCAAUGGCACCUCUGCCGAUAAUUACAUGGAAAUACUCCCAAAUUAAUCUCUUUGUGGAAGCGUCCUCCUCAUUAGCAGGUUUCUCCGGUCUGAGAUAUGCAUUCAUUGGUUGCACAAAGGCAAAAACUAUGGCAGCAAUACCAAGCUUAACAUGUAAGGAGCUGACAUAGAAACCCCGAAGUUCGGCAACUGCAAAAAGAACACCAAGUAGGAUAAUUGCUAAUCCUGAAUAUUGUAGGUACAUACCAUCCAUCACCCUUUACAUGUUUUAGGUAUCUAGCAGCCAAUAUUCCACCAGGAAUCAAAAUACCCCAGGAGAGGAACAGCAUAAACCCAUGUACAGCUUUGACAGGUUGUAAACCUUGCUCAGCCUCGGAAGAACCACGGAUAAGCAGCACUUGCACAGCCCUUUGACUCGUGACAGUAUGCAUGUUUUUCUCACUGAGAUGUUCAUCAGUCCAUUUUGAACCCAUUGCCCGUAUGACUUUAAGAGGAGUUGUAGGAUCAAAAAUGUUCUUGCACUCUGGCUUAUCAUUUUGAUUGCAUGAUGGUUUUAAUGGACGUGUGAAUUCCAAAGUAAUGAUGCCAUCUUCUGACCUGCACCUGACAUGUGUUAGAUUCUCAUUUGUUAGAUGGAUGUUCAAGGAUGCUUUCCAUCAAUCCAAUAUGUAUUUAAAUGCCCUUUUCCAGUAUCGCCAAUCCAGCCCACAUAUGCAUAGCUAUUCACCAUCCCAUUACCGAAACCUAUUGCAAGAUAGCCACUCUUAUUCACACCACGGGCAGCAAUAGUUAUUGAAUCUUCUGAUAACGUCCAAAAGAAAGUAACUUGAUCAUCUAAAAGCACACUAGUGUUAUACAUAUCAGACAGGGCACCAUCAAGAACCAUAUUAUUAAUACCCAGCUAAGAUCGUGAACGUUUUCUACUCUAUCUUUCUCCUAAAUGCUUCAUUCCAGUGAAAAGUGCUGCAAUUCGUACGGCAAUGGCACCUCUGCCGAUAAUUACAUGGAAAUACUCCCAAAUUAAUCUCUUUGUGGAAGCGUCCUCCUCAUUAGUAGGUUUCUCCGGUCUGAGAUAUGCAUUCAUUGGUUGCACAAAGGCAAAAACUAUGGCAGCAAUACCAAGCUUAACAUGUAAGGAGCUGACAUAGAAACCCCGAAGUUCGGCAACUGCAAAAAGAACACCAAGUAGGAUAAUUGCUAAUCCUGAAUAUUGUAGGUACAUACCAUCCAUCACCCUUUACAUGUUUUAGGUAUCUAGCAGCCAAUAUUCCACCAGGAAUCAAAAUACCCCAGGAGAGGAACAGCAUAAACCCAUGUACAGCUUUGACAGGUUGUAAACCUUGCUCAGCCUCGGAAGAACCACGGAUAAGCAGCACUUGCAAAGCCCUUUGACUAGUGACAGUAUGCAUGUUUUUCUCACUGAGAUGUUCAUCAGUCCAUUUUGAACCCAUUGCCCGUAUGACUUUAAGCGGAGUUGUAGGAUCAAAAAUGUUCUUGCACUCUGGCUUAUCAUUUUGAUUGCAUGAUGGUUUUAAUGGACGUGUGAAUUCCAAAGUAAUGAUGCCAUCUUCUGACCUGCACCUGACAUGUGUUAGAUUCUCAUUUGUUAGAUGGAUGUUCAAGGGAUGCUUUCCAUCAAUCCAAUAUGUAUUUAAAUGCCCUUUUCCAGUAUCGCCAAUCCAGCCCACAUAUGCAUAGUUAUUCACCAUCCCAUUACCGAAACCUAUUGCAAGAUAGCCACUCUUAUUCACACCACGGGCAGCAAUAGUUAUUGAAUCUUCUGAUAACGUCCAAAAGAAAGUAACUUGAUCAUCUAAAAGCACACUAGUGUUAUACAUAUCAGACAGGGCACCAUCAAGAACCAUAUUAUUAAUACCCAGCUAAGAUCGUGAACGUUUUCUACUCUAUCUUUCUCCUAAAUGCUUCAUUCCAGUGAAAAGUGCUGCAAUUCGUACGGCAAUGGCACCUCUGCCGAUAAUUACAUGGAAAUACUCCCAAAUUAAUCUCUUUGUGGAAGCGUCCUCCUCAUUAGCAGGUUUCUCCGGUCUGAGAUAUGCAUUCAUUGGUUGCACAAAGGCAAAAACUAUGGCAGCAAUACCAAGCUUAACAUGUAAGGAGCUGACAUAGAAACCCCGAAGUUCGGCAACUGCAAAAAGAACACCAAGUAGGAUAAUUGCUAAUCCUGAAUAUUGUAGGUACAUACCAUCCAUCACCCUUUACAUGUUUUAGGUAUCUAGCAGCCAAUAUUCCACCAGGAAUCAAAAUACCCCAGGAGAGGAACAGCAUAAACCCAUGUACAGCUUUGACAGGUUGUAAACCUUGCUCAGCCUCGGAAGAACCACGGAUAAGCAGCACUUGCACAGCCCUUUGACUCGUGACAGUAUGCAUGUUUUUCUCACUGAGAUGUUCAUCAGUCCAUUUUGAACCCAUUGCCCGUAUGACUUUAAGAGGAGUUGUAGGAUCAAAAAUGUUCUUGCACUCUGGCUUAUCAUUUUGAUUGCAUGAUGGUUUUAAUGGACGUGUGAAUUCCAAAGUAAUGAUGCCAUCUUCUGACCUGCACCUGACAUGUGUUAGAUUCUCAUUUGUUAGAUGGAUGUUCAAGGGAUGCUUUCCAUCAAUCCAAUAUGUAUUUAAAUGCCCUUUUCCAGUAUCGCCAAUCCAGCCCACAUAUGCAUAGCUAUUCACCAUCCCAUUACCGAAACCUAUUGCAAGAUAGCCACUCUUAUUCACACCACGGGCAGCAAUAGUUAUUGAAUCUUCUGAUAACGUCCAAAAGAAAGUAACUUGAUCAUCUAAAAGCACACUAGUGUUAUACAUAUCAGACAGGGCACCAUCAAGAACCAUAUUAUUAAUACCCAGCUAAGAUCGUGAACGUUUUCUACUCUAUCUUUCUCCUAAAUGCUUCAUUCCAGUGAAAAGUGCUGCAAUUCGUACGGCAAUGGCACCUCUGCCGAUAAUUACAUGGAAAUACUCCCAAAUUAAUCUCUUUGUGGAAGCGUCCUCCUCAUUAGCAGGUUUCUCCGGUCUGAGAUAUGCAUUCAUUGGUUGCACAAAGGCAAAAACUAUGGCAGCAAUACCAAGCUUAACAUGUAAGGAGCUGACAUAGAAACCCCGAAGUUCGGCAACUGCAAAAAGAACACCAAGUAGGAUAAUUGCUAAUCCUGAAUAUUGUAGGUACAUACCAUCCAUCACCCUUUACAUGUUUUAGGUAUCUAGCAGCCAAUAUUCCACCAGGAAUCAAAAUACCCCAGGAGAGGAACAGCAUAAACCCAUGUACAGCUUUGACAGGUUGUAAACCUUGCUCAGCCUCGGAAGAACCACGGAUAAGCAGCACUUGCACAGCCCUUUGACUCGUGACAGUAUGCAUGUUUUUCUCACUGAGAUGUUCAUCAGUCCAUUUUGAACCCAUUGCCCGUAUGACUUUAAGAGGAGUUGUAGGAUCAAAAAUGUUCUUGCACUCUGGCUUAUCAUUUUGAUUGCAUGAUGGUUUUAAUGGACGUGUGAAUUCCAAAGUAAUGAUGCCAUCUUCUGACCUGCACCUGACAUGUGUUAGAUUCUCAUUUGUUAGAUGGAUGUUCAAGGGAUGCUUUCCAUCAAUCCAAUAUGUAUUUAAAUGCCCUUUUCCAGUAUCGCCAAUCCAGCCCACAUAUGCAUAGCUAUUCACCAUCCCAUUACCGAAACCUAUUGCAAGAUAGCCACUCUUAUUCACACCACGGGCAGCAAUAGUUAUUGAAUCUUCUGAUAACGUCCAAAAGAAAGUAACUUGAUCAUCUAAAAGCACACUAGUGUUAUACAUAUCAGACAGGGCACCAUCAAGAACCAUAUUAUUAAUACCCAGCUAAGAUCGUGAACGUUUUCUACUCUAUCUUUCUCCUAAAUGCUUCAUUCCAGUGAAAAGUGCUGCAAUUCGUACGGCAAUGGCACCUCUGCCGAUAAUUACAUGGAAAUACUCCCAAAUUAAUCUCUUUGUGGAAGCGUCCUCCUCAUUAGCAGGUUUCUCCGGUCUGAGAUAUGCAUUCAUUGGUUGCACAAAGGCAAAAACUAUGGCAGCAAUACCAAGCUUAACAUGUAAGGAGCUGACAUAGAAACCCCGAAGUUCGGCAACUGCAAAAAGAACACCAAGUAGGAUAAUUGCUAAUCCUGAAUAUUGUAGGUACAUACCAUCCAUCACCCUUUACAUGUUUUAGGUAUCUAGCAGCCAAUAUUCCACCAGGAAUCAAAAUACCCCAGGAGAGGAACAGCAUAAACCCAUGUACAGCUUUGACAGGUUGUAAACCUUGCUCAGCCUCGGAAGAACCUACGGAUAAGCAGCACUUGCACAGCCCUUUGACUCGUGACAGUAUGCAUGUUUUUCUCACUGAGAUGUUCAUCAGUCCAUUUUGAACCCAUUGCCCGUAUGACUUUAAGAGGAGUUGUAGGAUCAAAAAUGUUCUUGCACUCUGGCUUAUCAUUUUGAUUGCAUGAUGGUUUUAAUGGACGUGUGAAUUCCAAAGUAAUGAUGCCAUCUUCUGACCUGCACCUGACAUGUGUUAGAUUCUCAUUUGUUAGAUGGAUGUUCAAGGGAUGCUUUCCAUCAAUCCAAUAUGUAUUUAAAUGCCCUUUUCCAGUAUCGCCAAUCCAGCCCACAUAUGCAUAGCUAUUCACCAUCCCAUUACCGAAACCUAUUGCAAGAUAGCCACUCCUAUUCACACCACGGGCAGCAAUAGUUAUUGAAUCUUCUGAUAACGUCCAAAAGAAAGUAACUUGAUCAUCUAAAAGCACACUAGUGUUAUACAUAUCAGACAGGGCACCAUCAAGAACCAUAUUAUUAAUACCCAGCUAAGAUCGUGAACGUUUUCUACUCUAUCUUUCUCCUAAAUGCUUCAUUCCAGUGAAAAGUGCUGCAAUUCGUACGGCAAUGGCACCUCUGCCGAUAAUUACAUGGAAAUACUCCCAAAUUAAUCUCUUUGUGGAAGCGUCCUCCUCAUUAGCAGGUUUCUCCGGUCUGAGAUAUGCAUUCAUUGGUUGCACAAAGGCAAAAACUAUGGCAGCAAUACCAAGCUUAACAUGUAAGGAGCUGACAUAGAAACCCCGAAGUUCGGCAACUGCAAAAAGAACACCAAGUAGGAUAAUUGCUAAUCCUGAAUAUUGUAGGUACAUACCAUCCAUCACCCUUUACAUGUUUUAGGUAUCUAGCAGCCAAUAUUCCACCAGGAAUCAAAAUACCCCAGGAGAGGAACAGCAUAAACCCAUGUACAGCUUUGACAGGUUGUAAACCUUGCUCAGCCUCGGAAGAACUACGGAUAAGCAGCACUUGCACAGCCCUUUGACUCGUGACAGUAUGCAUGUUUUUCUCACUGAGAUGUUCAUCAGUCCAUUUUGAACCCAUUGCCCGUAUGACUUUAAGAGGAGUUGUAGGAUCAAAAAUGUUCUUGCACUCUGGCUUAUCAUUUUGAUUGCAUGAUGGUUUUAAUGGACGUGUGAAUUCCAAAGUAAUGAUGCCAUCUUCUGACCUGCACCUGACAUGUGUUAGAUUCUCAUUUGUUAGAUGGAUGUUCAAGGGAUGCUUUCCAUCAAUCCAAUAUGUAUUUAAAUGACCUUUUCCAGUAUCGCCAAUCCAGCCCACAUAUGCAUAGCUAUUCACCAUCCCAUUACCGAAACCUAUUGCAAGAUAGCCACUCUUAUUCACACCACGGGCAGCAAUAGUUAUUGAAUCUUCUGAUAACGUCCAAAAGAAAGUAACUUGAUCAUCUAAAAGCACACUAGUGUUAUACAUAUCAGACAGGGCACCAUCAAGAACCAUAUUAUUAAUACCCAGCUAAGAUCGUGAACGUUUUCUACUCUAUCUUUCUCCUAAAUGCUUCAUUCCAGUGAAAAGUGCUGCAAUUCGUACGGCAAUGGCACCUCUGCCGAUAAUUACAUGGAAAUACUCCCAAAUUAAUCUCUUUGUGGAAGCGUCCUCCUCAUUAGCAGGUUUCUCCGGUCUGAGAUAUGCAUUCAUUGGUUGCACAAAGGCAAAAACUAUGGCAGCAAUACCAAGCUUAACAUGUAAGGAGCUGACAUAGAAACCCCGAAGUUCGGCAACUGCAAAAAGAACACCAAGUAGGAUAAUUGCUAAUCCUGAAUAUUGUAGGUACAUACCAUCCAUCACCCUUUACAUGUUUUAGGUAUCUAGCAGCCAAUAUUCCACCAGGAAUCAAAAUACCCCAGGAGAGGAACAGCAUAAACCCAUGUACAGCUUUGACAGGUUGUAAACCUUGCUCAGCCUCGGAAGAACCACGGAUAAGCAGCACUUGCAAAGCCCUUUGACUCGUGACAGUAUGCAUGUUUUUCUCACUGAGAUGUUCAUCAGUCCAUUUUGAACCCAUUGCCCGUAUGACUUUAAGCGGAGUUGUAGGAUCAAAAAUGUUCUUGCACUCUGGCUUAUCAUUUUGAUUGCAUGAUGGUUUUAAUGGACGUGUGAAUUCCAAAGUAAUGAUGCCAUCUUCUGACCUGCACCUGACAUGUGUUAGAUUCUCAUUUGUUAGAUGGAUGUUCAAGGGAUGCUUUCCAUCAAUCCAAUAUGUAUUUAAAUGACCUUUUCCAGUAUCGCCAAUCCAGCCCACAUAUGCAUAGUUAUUCACCAUCCCAUUACCGAAACCUAUUGCAAGAUAGCCACUCUUAUUCACACCACGGGCAGCAAUAGUUAUUGAAUCUUCUGAUAACGUCCAAAAGAAAGUAACUUGAUCAUCUAAAAGCACACUAGUGUUAUACAUAUCAGACAGGGCACCAUCAAGAACCAUAUUAUUAAUACCCAGCUAAGAUCGUGAACGUUUUCUACUCUAUCUUUCUCCUAAAUGCUUCAUUCCAGUGAAAAGUGCUGCAAUUCGUACGGCAAUGGCACCUCUGCCGAUAAUUACAUGGAAAUACUCCCAAAUUAAUCUCUUUGUGGAAGCGUCCUCCUCAUUAGCAGGUUUCUCCGGUCUGAGAUAUGCAUUCAUUGGUUGCACAAAGGCAAAAACUAUGGCAGUAAUACCAAGCUUAACAUGUAAGGAGCUGACAUAGAAACCCCGAAAUUCGGCAACUGCAAAAAGAACACCAAGUAGGAUAAUUGCUAAUCCUGAAUAUUGUAGGUACAUACCAUCCAUCACCCUUUACAUGUUUUAGGUAUCUAGCAGCCAAUAUUCCACCAGGAAUCAAAAUACCCCAGGAGAGGAACAGCAUAAACCCAUGUACAGCUUUGACAGGUUGUAAACCUUGCUCAGCCUCGGAAGAACCACGGAUAAGCAGCACUUGCACAGCCCUUUGACUCGUGACAGUAUUCAUGUUUUUCUCACUGAGAUGUUCAUCAGUCCAUUUUGAACCCAUUGCCCGUAUGACUUUAAGAGGAGUUGUAGGAUCAAAAAUGUUCUUGCACUCUGGCUUAUCAUUUUGAUUGCAUGAUGGUUUUAAUGGACGUGUGAAUUCCAAAGUAAUGAUGCCAUCUUCUAACCUGCACCUGACAUGUGUUAGAUUCUCAUUUGUUAGAUGGAUGUUCAAGGGAUGCUUUCCAUCAAUCCAAUAUGUAUUUAAAUGCCCUUUUCCAGUAUCGCCAAUCCAGCCCACAUAUGCAUAGCUAUUCACCAUCCCAUUACCGAAACCUAUUGCAAGAUAGCCACUCUUAUUCACACCACGGGCAGCAAUAGUUAUUGAAUCUUCUGAUAACGUCCAAAAGAAAGUAACUUGAUCAUCUAAAAGCACACUAGUGUUAUACAUAUCAGACAGGGCACCAUCAAGAACCAUAUUAUUAAUACCCAGCUAAGAUCGUGAACGUUUUCUACUCUAUCUUUCUCCUAAAUGCUUCAUUCCAGUGAAAAGUGCUGCAAUUCGUACGGCAAUGGCACCUCUGCCGAUAAUUACAUGGAAAUACUCCCAAAUUAAUCUCUUUGUGGAAGCGUCCUCCUCAUUAGCAGGUUUCUCCGGUCUGAGAUAUGCAUUCAUUGGUUGCACAAAGGCAAAAACUAUGGCAGCAAUACCAAGCUUAACAUGUAAGGAGCUGACAUAGAAACCCCGAAGUUCGGCAACUGCAAAAAGAACACCAAGUAGGAUAAUUGCUAAUCCUGAAUAUUGUAGGUACAUACCAUCCAUCACCCUUUACAUGUUUUAGGUAUCUAGCAGCCAAUAUUCCACCAGGAAUCAAAAUACCCCAGGAGAGGAACAGCAUAAACCCAUGUACAGCUUUGACAGGUUGUAAACCUUGCUCAGCCUCGGAAGAACUACGGAUAAGCAGCACUUGCACAGCCCUUUGACUCGUGACAGUAUGCAUGUUUUUCUCACUGAGAUGUUCAUCAGUCCAUUUUGAACCCAUUGCCCGUAUGACUUUAAGAGGAGUUGUAGGAUCAAAAAUGUUCUUGCACUCUGGCUUAUCAUUUUGAUUGCAUGAUGGUUUUAAUGGACGUGUGAAUUCCAAAGUAAUGAUGCCAUCUUCUGACCUGCACCUGACAUGUGUUAGAUUCUCAUUUGUUAGAUGGAUGUUCAAGGGAUGCUUUCCAUCAAUCCAAUAUGUAUUUAAAUGCCCUUUUCCAGUAUCGCCAAUCCAGCCCACAUAUGCAUAGCUAUUCACCAUCCCAUUACCGAAACCUAUUGCAAGAUAGCCACUCCUAUUCACACCACGGGCAGCAAUAGUUAUUGAAUCUUCUGAUAACGUCCAAAAGAAAGUAACUUGAUCAUCUAAAAGCACACUAGUGUUAUACAUAUCAGACAGGGCACCAUCAAGAACCAUAUUAUUAAUACCCAGCUAAGAUCGUGAACGUUUUCUACUCUAUCUUUCUCCUAAAUGCUUCAUUCCAGUGAAAAGUGCUGCAAUUCGUACGGCAAUGGCACCUCUGCCGAUAAUUACAUGGAAAUACUCCCAAAUUAAUCUCUUUGUGGAAGCGUCCUCCUCAUUAGCAGGUUUCUCCGGUCUGAGAGAUGCAUUCAUUGGUUGCACAAAGGCAAAAACUAUGGCAGCAAUACCAAGCUUAACAUGUAAGGAGCUGACAUAGAAACCCCGAAGUUCGGCAACUGCAAAAAGAACACCAAGUAGGAUAAUUGCUAAUCCUGAAUAUUGUAGGUACAUACCAUCCAUCACCCUUUACAUGUUUUAGGUAUCUAGCAGCCAAUAUUCCACCAGGAAUCAAAAUACCCCAGGAGAGGAACAGCAUAAACCCAUGUACAGCUUUGACAGGUUGUAAACCUUGCUCAGCCUCGGAAGAACUACGGAUAAGCAGCACUUGCACAGCCCUUUGACUCGUGACAGUAUGCAUGUUUUUCUCACUGAGAUGUUCAUCAGUCCAUUUUGAACCCAUUGCCCGUAUGACUUUAAGAGGAGUUGUAGGAUCAAAAAUGUUCUUGCACUCUGGCUUAUCAUUUUGAUUGCAUGAUGGUUUUAAUGGACGUGUGAAUUCCAAAGUAAUGAUGCCAUCUUCUGACCUGCACCUGACAUGUGUUAGAUUCUCAUUUGUUAGAUGGAUGUUCAAGGGAUGCUUUCCAUCAAUCCAAUAUGUAUUUAAAUGCCCUUUUCCAGUAUCGCCAAUCCAGCCCACAUAUGCAUAGCUAUUCACCAUCCCAUUACCGAAACCUAUUGCAAGAUAGCCACUCCUAUUCACACCACGGGCAGCAAUAGUUAUUGAAUCUUCUGAUAACGUCCAAAAGAAAGUAACUUGAUCAUCUAAAAGCACACUAGUGUUAUACAUAUCAGACAGGGCACCAUCAAGAACCAUAUUAUUAAUACCCAGCUAAGAUCGUGAACGUUUUCUACUCUAUCUUUCUCCUAAAUGCUUCAUUCCAGUGAAAAGUGCUGCAAUUCGUACGGCAAUGGCACCUCUGCCGAUAAUUACAUGGAAAUACUCCCAAAUUAAUCUCUUUGUGGAAGCGUCCUCCUCAUUAGCAGGUUUCUCCGGUCUAAGAUAUGCAUUCAUUGGUUGCACAAAGGCAAAAACUAUGGCAGCAAUACCAAGCUUAACAUGUAAGGAGCUGACAUAGAAACCCCGAAGUUCGGAAACUGCAAAAAGAACACCAAGUAGGAUAAUUGCUAAUCCUGAAUAUUGUAGGUACAUACCAUCCAUCACCCUUUACAUGUUUUAGGUAUCUAGCAGCCAAUAUUCCACCAGGAAUCAAAAUACCCCAGGAGAGGAACAGCAUAAACCCAUGUACAGCUUUGACAGGUUGUAAACCUUGCUCAGCCUCGGAAGAACCACGGAUAAGCAGCACUUGCACAACCCAUUGACUCGUGACAGUAUGCAUGUUUUUCUCACUGAGAUGUUCAUCAGUCCAUUUUGAACCCAUUGCCCGUAUGACUUUAAGAGGAGUUGUAGGAUCAAAAAUGUUCUUGCACUCUGGCUUAUCAUUUUGAUUGCAUGAUGGUUUUAAUGGACGUGUGAAUUCCAAAGUAAUGAUGCCAUCUUCUGACCUGCACCUGACAUGUGUUAGAUUCUCAUUUGUUAGAUGGAUGUUCAAGGGAUGCUUUCCAUCAAUCCAAUAUGUAUUUAAAUGCCCUUUUCCAGUAUCGCCAAUCCAGCCCACAUAUGCAUAGCUAUUCACCAUCCCAUUACCGAAACCUAUUGCAAGAUAGCCACUCUUAUUCACACCACGGGCAGCAAUAGUUAUUGAAUCUUCUGAUAACGUCCAAAAGAAAGUAACUUGAUCAUCUAAAAGCACACUAGUGUUAUACAUAUCAGACAGGGCACCAUCAAGAACCAUAUUAUUAAUACCCAGCUAAGAUCGUGAACGUUUUCUACUCUAUCUUUCUCCUAAAUGCUUCAUUCCAGUGAAAAGUGCUGCAAUUCGUACGGCAAUGGCACCUCUGCCGAUAAUUACAUGGAAAUACUCCCAAAUUAAUCUCUUUGUGGAAGCGUCCUCCUCAUUAGCAGGUUUCUCCGGUCUGAGAUAUUCAUUCAUUGGUUGCACAAAGGCAAAAACUAUGGCAGCAAUACCAAGCUUAACAUGUAAGGAGCUGACAUAGAAACCCCGAAGUUCGGCAACUGCAAAAAGAACACCAAGUAGGAUAAUUGCUAAUCCUGAAUAUUGUAGGUACAUACCAUCCAUCACCCUUUACAUGUUUUAGGUAUCUAGCAGCCAAUAUUCCACCAGGAAUCAAAAUUCCCCAGGAGAGGAACAGCAUAAACCCAUGUACAGCUUUGACAGGUUGUAAACCUUGCUCAGCCUCGGAAGAACCACGGAUAAGCAGCACUUGCACAGCCCUUUGACUCGUGACAGUAUGCAUGUUUUUCUCACUGAGAUGUUCAUCAGUCCAUUUUGAACCCAUUGCCCGUAUGACUUUAAGAGGAGUUGUAGGAUCAAAAAUGUUCUUGCACUCUGGCUUAUCAUUUUGAUUGCAUGAUGGUUUUAAUGGACGUGUGAAUUCCAAAGUAAUGAUGCCAUCUUCUGACCUGCACCUGACAUGUGUUAGAUUCUCAUUUGUUAGAUGGAUGUUCAAGGGAUGCUUUCCAUCAAUCCAAUAUGUAUUUAAAUGCCCUUUUCCAGUAUCGCCAAUCCAGCCCACAUAUGCAUAGCUAUUCACCAUCCCAUUACCGAAACCUAUUGCAAGAUAGCCACUCUUAUUCACACCACGGGCAGCAAUAGUUAUUGAAUCUUCUGAUAACGUCCAAAAGAAAGUAACUUGAUCAUCUAAAAGCACACUAGUGUUAUACAUAUCAGACAGGGCACCAUCAAGAACCAUAUUAUUAAUACCAGCUAAGAUCGUGAACGUUUUCUACUCUAUCUUUCUCCUAAAUGCUUCAUUCCAGUGAAAAGUGCUGCAAUUCGUACGGCAAUGGCACCUCUACCGAUAAUUACAUGGAAAUACUCCCAAAUUAAUCUCUUUGUGGAAGCGUCCUCCUCAUUAGCAGGUUUCUCCGGUCUGAGAUAUGCAUUCAUUGGUUGCACAAAGGCAAAAACUAUGGCAGCAAUACCAAGCUUAACAUGUAAGGAGCUGACAUAGAAACCCCGAAGUUCGGCAACUGCAAAAAGAACACCAAGUAGGAUAAUUGCUAAUCCUGAAUAUUGUAGGUACAUACCAUCCAUCACCCUUUACAUGUUUUAGGUAUCUAGCAGCCAAUAUUCCACCAGGAAUCAAAAUACCCCAGGAGAGGAACAGCAUAAACCCAUGUACAGCUUUGACAGGUUGUAAACCUUGCUCAGCCUCGGAAGAACCACGGAUAAGCAGCACUUGCACAGCCCUUUGACUCGUGACAGUAUGCAUGUUUUUCUCACUGAGAUGUUCAUCAGUCCAUUUUGAACCCAUUGCCCGUAUGACUUUAAGAGGAGUUGUAGGAUCAAAAAUGUUCUUGCACUCUGGCUUAUCAUUUUGAUUACAUGAUGGUUUUAAUGGACGUGUGAAUUCCAAAGUAAUGAUGCCAUCUUCUGACCUGCACCUGACAUGUGUUAGAUUCUCAUUUGUUAGAUGGAUGUUCAAGGGAUGCUUUCCAUCAAUCCAAUAUGUAUUUAAAUGCCCUUUUCCAGUAUCGCCAAUCCAGCCCACAUAUGCAUAGCUAUUCACCAUCCCAUUACCGAAACCUAUUGCAAGAUAGCCACUCUUAUUCACACCACGGGCAGCAAUAGUUAUUGAAUCUUCUGAUAACGUCCAAAAGAAAGUAACUUGAUCAUCUAAAAGCACACUAGUGUUAUACAUAUCAGACAGGGCACCAUCAAGAACCAUAUUAUUAAUACCCAGCUAAGAUCGUGAACGUUUUCUACUCUAUCUUUCUCCUAAAUGCUUCAUUCCAGUGAAAAGUGCUGCAAUUCGUACGGCAAUGGCACCUCUGCCGAUAAUUACAUGGAAAUACUCCCAAAUUAAUCUCUUUGUGGAAGCGUCCUCCUCAUUAGCAGGUUUCUCCGGUCUGAGAUAUGCAUUCAUUGGUUGCACAAAGGCAAAAACUAUGGCAGCAAUACCAAGCUUAACAUGUAAGGAGCUGACAUAGAAACCCCGAAGUUCGGCAACUGCAAAAAGAACACCAAGUAGGAUAAUUGCUAAUCCUGAAUAUUGUAGGUACAUACCAUCCAUCACCCUUUACAUGUUUUAGGUAUCUAGCAGCCAAUAUUCCACCAGGAAUCAAAAUACCCCAGGAGAGGAACAGCAUAAACCCAUGUACAGCUUUGACAGGUUGUAAACCUUGCUCAGCCUCGGAAGAACCACGGUUAAGCAGCACUUGCACAGCCCUUUGACUCGUGACAGUAUGCAUGUUUUUCUCACUGAGAUGUUCAUCAGUCCAUUUUGAACCCAUUGCCCGUAUGACUUUAAGAGGAGUUGUAGGAUCAAAAAUGUUCUUGCACUCUGGCUUAUCAUUUUGAUUGCAUGAUGGUUUUAAUGGACGUGUGAAUUCCAAAGUAAUGAUGCCAUCUUCUGACCUGCACCUGACAUGUGUUAGAUUCUCAUUUGUUAGAUGGAUGUUCAAGGGAUGCUUUCCAUCAAUCCAAUAUGUAUUUAAAUGCCCUUUUCCAGUAUCGCCAAUCCAGCCCACAUAUGCAUAGCUAUUCACCAUCCCAUUACCGAAACCUAUUGCAAGAUAGCCACUCUUAUUCACACCACGGGCAGCAAUAGUUAUUGAAUCUUCUGAUAACGUCCAAAAGAAAGUAACUUGAUCAUCUAAAAGCACACUAGUGUUAUACAUAUCAGACAGGGCACCAUCAAGAACCAUAUUAUUAAUACCCAGCUAAGAUCGUGAACGUUUUCUACUCUAUCUUUCUCCUAAAUGCUUCAUUCCAGUGAAAAGUGCUGCAAUUCGUACGGCAAUGGCACCUCUGCCGAUAAUUACAUGGAAAUACUCCCAAAUUAAUCUCUUUGUGGAAGCGUCCUCCUCAUUAGCAGGUUUCUCCGGUCUGAGAUAUGCAUUCAUUGGUUGCACAAAGGCAAAAACUAUGGCAGCAAUACCAAGCUUAACAUGUAAGGAGCUGACAUAGAAACCCCGAAGUUCGGCAACUGCAAAAAGAACACCAAGUAGGAUAAUUGCUAAUCCUGAAUAUUGUAGGUACAUACCAUCCAUCACCCUUUACAUGUUUUAGGUAUCUAGCAGCCAAUAUUCCACCAGGAAUCAAAAUACCCCAGGAGAGGAACAGCAUAAACCCAUGUACAGCUUUGACAGGUUGUAAACCUUGCUCAGCCUCGGAAGAACCACGGAUAAGCAGCACUUGCACAGCCCUUUGACUCGUGACAGUAUGCAUGUUUUUCUCACUGAGAUGUUCAUCAGUCCAUUUUGAACCCAUUGCCCGUAUGACUUUAAGAGGAGUUGUAGGAUCAAAAAUGUUCUUGCACUCUGGCUUAUCAUUUUGAUUGCAUGAUGGUUUUAAUGGACGUGUGAAUUCCAAAGUAAUGAUGCCAUCUUCUGACCUGCACCUGACAUGUGUUAGAUUCUCAUUUGUUAGAUGGAUGUUCAAGGGAUGCUUUCCAUCAAUCCAAUAUGUAUUUAAAUGCCCUUUUCCAGUAUCGCCAAUCCAGCCCACAUAUGCAUAGCUAUUCACCAUCCCAUUACCGAAACCUAUUGCAAGAUAGCCACUCUUAUUCACACCACGGGCAGCAAUAGUUAUUGAAUCUUCUGAUAACGUCCAAAAGAAAGUAACUUGAUCAUCUAAAAGCACACUAGUGUUAUACAUAUCAGACAGGGCACCAUCAAGAACCAUAUUAUUAAUACCCAGCUAAGAUCGUGAACGUUUUCUACUCUAUCUUUCUCCUAAAUGCUUCAUUCCAGUGAAAAGUGCUGCAAUUCGUACGGCAAUGGCACCUCUGCCGAUAAUUACAUGGAAAUACUCCCAAAUUAAUCUCUUUGUGGAAGCGUCCUCCUCAUUAGCAGGUUUCUCCGGUCUGAGAUAUGCAUUCAUUGGUUGCACAAAGGCAAAAACUAUGGCAGCAAUACCAAGCUUAACAUGUAAGGAGCUGACAUAGAAACCCCGAAGUUCGGCAACUGCAAAAAGAACACCAAGUAGGAUAAUUGCUAAUCCUGAAUAUUGUAGGUACAUACCAUCCAUCACCCUUUACAUGUUUUAGGUAUCUAGCAGCCAAUAUUCCACCAGGAAUCAAAAUACCCCAGGAGAGGAACAGCAUAAACCCAUGUACAGCUUUGACAGGUUGUAAACCUUGCUCAGCCUCGGAAGAACCACGGAUAAGCAGCACUUGCACAGCCUUUUGACUCGUGACAGUAUGCAUGUUUUUCUCACUGAGAUGUUCAUCAGUCCAUUUUGAACCCAUUGCCCGUAUGACUUUAAGAGGAGUUGUAGGAUCAAAAAUGUUCUUGCACCCUGGCUUAUCAUUUUGAUUGCAUGAUGGUUUUAAUGGACGUGUGAAUUCCAAAGUAAUGAUGCCAUCUUCUGACCUGCACCUGACAUGUGUUAGAUUCUCAUUUGUUAGAUGGAUGUUCAAGGGAUGCUUUCCAUCAAUCCAAUAUGUAUUUAAAUGCCCUUUUCCAGUAUCGCCAAUCCAGCCCACAUAUGCAUAGCUAUUCACCAUCCCAUUACCGAAACCUAUUGCAAGAUAGCCACUCUUAUUCACACCACGGGCAGCAAUAGUUAUUGAAUCUUCUGAUAACGUCCAAAAGAAAGUAACUUGAUCAUCUAAAAGCACACUAGUGUUAUACAUAUCAGACAGGGCACCAUCAAAAACUUGAAGUUUCCAUCCCAUCUUCUCCUGGUACAAGGACUGAUAAUACACUUGAUCGGGGGUAUUCCUAUCGGGAACCCAAAUCAAUUCGUGAGGAUUUGCUACAACUCCUUCCGCUCCUGGCCCUCCAGGAUAAAUAGUCUCAGUUGCAUUCCUUAAUGUAGCAUUCCCACCUGAAGAAUCUGAAGUAAUAUACAAUGCAACAUCAUGCCCUGCCUGCACCAAAAACUUAACUGGAACCCCCCUUUCCACUCUCAACACGGUGUUUACUUAUUAUUAAUAUACAAAACCUUAGACGGACUUGGCGGAUUUGGAUAAUGCAACACCUCCCCUGUUGUAGCAACAAGAGGGACUUCUGUAUCAGCAACAAUCAACUCUUGAUCCUCAUUAUCAUCAGCAUCCAAUGGCCCAAAACAAUCAUCUACCUUCUCUGAAACAUUAAGCACCAAAUGUCCUUAUGCAACCUUCUCUGGACCCCCAUGAAAUUGGGGCAAAAAAUGAGACCGAUUUUCAUUUGGUGGUUUCAUCAACCCUAAUGCCCAAAUAACCCUCAUAUCCUCAUUAGGAUACACAGGCAAAUCAUACUUCUUAUCUGUCGAAUUCAAUGGUUUCCUAAACAUAAUUAAAGAAACCCCAUCUCUCCUAUGUCCAUAAACCAACCUAGUAUUAUUCACCAUCAUGCCAUUUUUCGAGUUCUCAUAAACUACAUCAGGGCAAACACCUAUAGCUGUCCGGUCUUUAGAACUCAACUUACAUUCAGUAUAAGCCGUAAUGUAAAAAUCAUCAACAAAAGGCCUACCUUCCUCAGUAAAACUUGCCACCGUAACAUCAGCUUCGGACAUCAGCUCCUUCGUCCUAUUCGGAUUCGCCCACCCAAAUGCCAUGUAAUAGGUCGUCGGCGCCGCCGCGUCUAACCCGAUCUCAAUCCAAUUUUCCUCCACAUUCAAGUUCCACCGGACCCUAUAAUUAUCCGACAAGUUCUUGCAGUUAUCAAACACUGUAUGCACCGAGUCCGAAACUGAAUCCAACCCGUUUCGAGGGAGGGUGACAUGGCCGAAGUCCGAGGUGCUGGCGAUCUCCCAGAUUGAAAGAACGUUGAUCUGGUCCCAGGUUAUGUCGGGGAGCAAUUGGACUGAAAACGAUGCAUUUUUGUAAGCUGUUUGAUUGAGGCGUUGACCGGAGAUGGGGAACCCACUGGUGAGGUCAGAGAAGUUGAGGGAGACGGCGCCCCAGAAAACGACGUCGGAUGAGCCAGAUAACAUGUCGAAUCCGGUGACCUGGAAAGAGCCGGAUAAACGUCCCAGCUGUUUGAUUUUGUUGGUUGUGACAAUUAUUUAGUAUAACAACUACACUUGCAAUAAUUACGAUCUUCAUCCUGCUAAAUAUACCGGAGAAAAUCAAUUUUCCAGUUGCUUCGGAUCUUUAAAAAAAAAAAUUGAACAUGAAAUGAAAGCAACUCUAAAUGCAAGACUUAAGUGAACUUUCUUUAUCAAACAAAGAAUUAACACUUCCAUCUCCAUCAUUUUCAUUAUUUUUUACUCAGAAUCAAUGAAAAGAAAAGAAAAAAAAAGGUUAAGGUGAGGAUAGUAAUUACAUUAUUAAUGUUCAUUUUUUUAAUAAUUCAAAAAAUUAUAUUGUAUAUAAUGUAUAUUAUUUUUUCAAUUAAUAUAAAAAAUAAUAGUUCAAAAAAAUGCACUACUAAUAUAAAACAUAUAUAACGAAUUAACUGAUAACCAAAAUUUAAAAAAAUCACUAACCAACCUCCAACUGAACUAAAUUCGACAACCAACCAAAUAACCAAAUUAGAUCUAUUCAAUUGAUUGGUUAGAUUUUAACCGAACCAUGAAUACACCUAUAUUCGGGGCUCUUUCAUUGCAUUUUGCUAUCAUUUUGUUUGUCCAAUUAUAAAAAGUUCGAAUAAAUAUAAAAAAAUUUGAUUUAUUAAAAUGGGUAAAUAUUCCAAGAAGUAUUUUACAUAUUUAAAAAUUUAUAUAUUUAUAUUAAUGGUUGAAAAUGUGAUAACUUCAGACGGAAGAUUGAAACCGUUAACACAGUCAAAGAGCCUAGGAGAGAAUCCAUAGAACAAUCCUACAUGUUGACUUUGCCGAUAUUUAUCAUAAACAGUUGAACAGUUCCCAUCAAAAGUCAAAAGUAUAAACUAAUCAAUGAAAAAGAAGAAGCUGUUCUUCUAACUUGUUACUUUGGAUAAACCAAGUGCUUCACCUUUUGAAUUCCAUCUUCUAGAUUUUGAUUUCUAGAUAACAUACACAGAUAAAUCACAAGAAUGUAUAAGCAACAUAAAUAUAUUUAAAACGAAAAAAUCUCGGGUUUGAUUAUGGGGUGCCUAACUGUUUACCAGUCGAACUGCUAUUGUAUGCUUGAUCGACCAAAGGACGGAAAACUCGAUUAAAAUGGCUUGAAUGAAUGAUCUGAUAUGGUGGCUAGAUUACUGAGAGAUUUGCAAGCAGUCAACAAAGGAAAUGGGUCAUUUAUUGAAUGUAAAUUACAUACCUACAUCGGUCAUCGGUAUUCUGCUUCGAAAAUUCAUCUUUAGACAUGUGCUUCUCUGCAAAGAACACCUUUCAUGUCACCAGAAAAAGCUAUGCUCGUCUUUCUUGCAAUCAUAUCGAUAAUCUGUAACAUUAUGAGUCGAACAAAUAAAGGGAAACAGCCAAAAUGAUGAUACUGACAUAGUUACAGCUGAAUUUACCUAUGUCACUCCGACUCUUGACGUUCAUUUUCCCUUGAGUAUUUAUCCAGCACAUAUUCAGACAUGGAUAUGGAGAUAUAAUCCUACAAAUAUCGGGAAAAUUACAAAAGUUAAACAUAUUCAUAUCUUACUUCAGAGUCCGAGUAAGAGGAAUUUACAAUAAGUACCUGUAGGAACAUUUUAGGAGUCUUGGCAUGUGGGUUGACUUAACUUUAUAACCACCUUCAACAAUUGGUUGAUUGAAUCUUUUACCUCAUCCGGAACGGUGAGUUUUGCAGGCACUAAAUCUAAAACAUACAAAGUGAUAACUUUCAUUACAUCAACCAGAAGCAAACUGUUGGUACCGAUUCCCCAUACACUCUUAUUAGCAUACUCGCAUGAAUCCUUUAACAUGCAUCGACUGCAUACCUGAAGAGAUCACCCAUCAGUAAAACAAACAACAUAGGAAGAUUUGUACUCAGUAUAGUAAACAUUGGAAUAAUGGCUUACAGUGUUUUCUUGAAUUUUAAAGAACUUGCGCAAUCUCUUAGCAGCGAAGACAUUAUUUUUAUCAAGGGAAGCGCAACCAAAGAGCACCACUUUUUUCAAGUGACUUCCCGGCAACCAUCUGCAAAUACCAAUAUCGAAGGUUACUUUAUUUACAAGAAGCAAAAGGACAGUCAUUGAAGUAAUGAUUCCCCAAAGCGAUGGCAAGGAGAUGAGCUAUAUAUAAAAGCAAGAUAUAUUAAUAGAUCAACUGCAUCGGUGUACAUAUGGUUGACCAUAUCAUAUCAAGUCAAAAAUUAUGCUACAAUCAUUGAUUGAUAAAAUCUGUCACACCUGAUUUUUUGUCAAACACAUAGAAACCAACUUUGCACAAUUUUAGUAGAACAUCAUAUAGCUCUGCCAAACAUAUGCUGCUAUUAUGUACUUAAUUACUAACAUUGAUUUUAAGUGAAGGUUCAGUGCAAAUCUGCCAGCUUUGCAAUGCUUGAAUCUAAGACCGCAUUCUUACAGCAUGCUAUGGCUAAAUCUCUUGAUAAUUUGACUGAAGAAUGCAGAGAAUUUUUAUAAUACCUCUAAAGUUUAUUUGUAUAAGGGGAGGGUUUAGGGUUGUCCAAGGAUUGAACCCAAGAUUGGUAUCAAUUAAAUACUUGAUAUCAAGUCUUUUGCCACUCAACCUAUGGUUCGGUCCAGAUGAAUAUCUCUAAUAUAACUACAUGAAAAAGAGAUGCUUGACUAUACACUUAUGUCUAUGAAUACCAGUAGUUUUGCACAUAUGUAUGCAUCUAUGCACUUAAAUAUGAUUAUCCCUCUUUCCCUAGUUUCUGAAUUUCUUUUUUAAGUUUUCCUAUAUACCCUCUUACACCAUAACUAUACAAUAUGCAUAAGCUCAAUUCUUUUUAUAUGUUUUUCUAUAUAUAUAUAUAUAUCCUAUAUCCUAGCUCGAACUCUAGUACUUAAGGAAAAAUGAACAGUAACAAUGAAGUAAGAAACUAAUAUUAUCAAUCCACCUAGUUAUUAUAAAUUCAUUUGAAAAAUGCAAAAUAACCAUAAUCUCAAACUCCACUUUCCCCUACAAUGUUAAGAACAACCAAAUAAAACAUCAAGUACAUCAAUCAGCCAACAUGAAUAAAAAAACAUUAACAAUUGUCAAACAAUGUCAAAUCCAAAUUAAAAAAGAAAAAAAGGAGAAAACAAAAGUUCUUACUUUGCAAUAUCUUGAUGAUCUUUACCAAAAUUGUAAGCAGCAAACUUGAUAAAAUCCCUGCCAUAACUAUUCUCAAAGUAACCAAAAUCCAACUUGUUGUCUUCCACAAAACUAGCCUCCUUAAAAUACCCUUUUGUAUACAAAUGCCUGAUGAAAAUCUCAGCUAACUGUGAAAGACCCUUCAAAGCUCUUACCUUUUCCCUUUCUCUUCUAGCUUUCAUCUUCUUUUUCAUCUUUUCUUCUUUGUUUUCAUCCCCAAUAAACUCAACCAAACACUUGAAUUUCUUGGGUCUUUUCCCCUCUAAUUUCUCUGUUUCUUUCUUUUUCCCUUUUGGGUUUUCUUUGAAAUUCCUAAAUUCUUUCACCGACUCAUUGAUUUCGCCUUUUCUCCGGGUUUCAGUUCCUGCGGGUUUUACUGUUAAAACAGUGUCUCGAAACAACAGAGAAAGUGGGGUCUUGGUUGGUAGCUGGGAAGAGGAAUUAAGGGUUCUUCUGAUUAUGAAGGAUGGUGAAGGACAAAGGGUUUUGUAAAGAGGAUUGUGGAUUUUGAGGAGAACUUUGGUACGCGUAGACAGAAUGAAAGCUUUGAAGAGAUACAUUUUGCAGCGGAAGGGUUUAAGAUUAAAAGGAGGGUCUUUUCUGCAGAGGAGCUUAGGGAUCUUAAAUACACAUCCAUCUUUUUAUUACUUAAAAAAUUACUUAUUUAUUAAUAUUAAUCUAUUUUUGUAACUAAAUUUAAAUAAAAUUUUAUUAAAUAAAUAGCAAUUUAAGCUAAAAUGUUCAAUAAAGCUAGGCGAUUUCAAGUGUUAUUAUUUGAAGGUUUGAUUCUUCAAUGUGAUAAUUUUCAAAUUAAAAAAAUCUUUGGGGGUUAGGCGAUUUAUGCUUUAAUUCCCAUUAAAUACCAAUAAAUUUUGCUUAAUUGAAAGCUUAUUUCAUUACUAUGAGAAAACCAAAAACAUUGGUAAGAAGUAUUGAAUCAAUAAAUUAAAAAAAAAUUAAUACAAUACUUUUUACUGGAUUUUUUUAAUUAAAAAAAGUCCCUAACUUUUGUAUUUUCUUCAUUGGCAAGGGGCUUAUCCAUUGAGAUGGCAAAGCUAGCAACCUUUUGCCCAACAAAAAAGAGGAAAUGAAGCACUCGGAUUCUGGUGUUUCAGCUUGCAUGUUUGAUUCCGGCGAUCGACAAUGGUGUCAAAAUACAAGUACAGGGAGUCCUUGUUGGAUGGCAACCAAAGUUUUGGAGCCCGGAACUGGAUACAACUUCAAGGCUGAUAUAUGGUUGUUUGGGAUGUUUAGUUGGAGUUGGCUCAUGGUCGUCCGCCCUUGUCGAUAUAUCUGCCAACAAAGGCUCAUGACUGAAUUAUGUUUGACAUAUUUGAAGUUCUCGAAGCCGUUUAAAGACAUGGUUGCAAUGUGGUUGGUGAAAGAUCAAACCAAGGGGCCAACUGUAGAUAAAUUGUUGAAGCACUUGUUUCUCAAGCAUGCAAAGCCUACUCAGCUUGCUUUAAAGAAGCUAUUAGACUUCCAGGUGAGUGUCUACUUUAACAUAAGCUUAUUUUGCCACCAAAAGCAAAAUUAUCACAAAGAAAGUGAAACAAAAAGGGGAAAAAAACUGACUGUAUAUUUCCGUGUAUUAAGAGUUCAAGAUAACAGAAAAUUAAGGUCUAUUUCAAUCAAGAGAAAUAAGGUACGAUAAAUUGAUCAAGAGUAUCAAAAAGAAUUAUCAAGAGUAAAGGUGUAUCAAGUAUACAAAAUACAUGUUGGUAGAAAAAAGAAUUAUCAAGAGUAAAGCUCUACUUACAGUGGGGAAAGCCGUCCGAGAAAAAAGCAGCUCCAUGUUAGUAAGAAGCUUUCAAAACUGGUGAAGAAUGGAGCUUUUUUAUAUUCAAAAAGAAAAAAUAUAUUAUAUGAAUAAAUCUAUCUGUUCAAUGGCUCUAACUGUACUUCAAUUACUCCAGAACUUUGUGAACCUUUUCGAGCAGAAGCGUCGUUCAGGCUUAAAAGGUCAAUGGAAUCCUCUUCUUUGACGUUGCCGAGAACCCAGUUGUUCCUUCCUUGUAAUCUAUCUCUCUGUUGUCUUUCACGAUACUCCAGAUAAAUUACAGUCAAUGCAGCAAUCAAGAACCAUAUUAUUAAUACCCAGCUAAGAUCGUGGACGUUUUCUACUCUAUAUCUUUCUCCUAAAUGCUUCAUUCCAGUGAAAAGUGCUGCAAUUCCUAUGGCAAUGGCACCUCUGCCGAUAAUUAAAUUAAUCUCUUUGUGGAAGCAUCCUCCCCAUUAGCAGGUUUCUCCGGUCUGAGAUAUGCAUUCAUUGGUUGCACAGAGGCAAAAACUAUGGCAGCAAUACCAAGCUUAACAUGUAACGAGCUAACAUAGAAACCCCGAAGUUCGGCAACUGCAAAAAGAACACCAAGUAGGAUAAUUGCUAAUCCUGAAUAUUGUAGGUAAAUAUGAAUUUGGUACCAUCCAUCACCCUUUACAUGUUUUAGGUAUCUAGCAGCCAAUAUUCCACCAGGAAUCAAAAUACCCCAGGAGAGGAACAUCAUAAACCCAUGUACAGCUAAGACAGGUUGUAAACCUUGCUCAGCCUCAGAAGAACCACGGAUAAGCAGCACUUGCACAGGCCUUUGACUCGUGACCGUAUGCAUGUUUUUCUCACUGAGAUGAUCAUCAGUCCACUUUGAACCUAUUGCCCAUAUGACUUUAAGAGGAGUUGUAGGAUCAACAAUGUUCUUGCACUCUGGCUUAUCAUUUUGAUUGCAUGAUGGUUUUAAUGGACGUGUGAAUUCCAAAGUAAUGAUGCCAUCUUCUGACCUGCACCUGACAUGUGUCAGAUUCUCAUUUGUUGGAUGGAUGUUCAAGGGACGCUUUCCAUCAAUCCAAUAUGUAUUUAAAUGCCCUUUUCCAGUAUCGCCAAUCCAGCCCACAUAUGCAUAGCUAUUCACCAUCCCAUUACCGAAACCUAUUGCAAGAUAGCCACUCUUCUUCACGCCACGGGCAGCAAUAGUUAUUGAAUCUUCUGAUAACGUCCAAAAGAAAGUGACUUGUUGAUCAUCUAAAAGCACACUAUUGUUAUACAUAUCGGACAGGGCACCAUCAACAACUUGAACUUUCCAUCCCAUCUUCUCCUGGUACAAGGACUGAUAAUACACUUGAUCGGGGGUAUUCCUAUCGGGAACCCAAAUCAAUUCGUGAGGAUUUGCUACAACUCCUUCCGCUUCUGGCCCUCCAGAAUAAAUAGUCUCAGUUGCAUUCCUUAAUGUAGCAUUCCCACCAAGAGAAUCUGAAGUAAUAUACAAUGCAACAUCAUGCCCUGCCUGCACCAAAAACUUAACUGGCACCCCUCUUUCCACUCUCAACACCGGUGCUUCCUUAUUAUUAAUAUACAAAACCUUAGACGGACUUGGCGGAUUUGGAUAAUGCAACACCUCCCCUGUUGUAACAACAAGGGGGACUUCUGUAUCAGCAAUAAUCAACUCUUGAUCCUCAUUAUCAUCAGCAUCCAAUGGCCCAAAACAAUCAUCUACCUUCUCUGAAACAUUAAGAACCAAGUGUCCAUAUGCAACCUUCUCUGGACCCCCAUGAAAUUGGGGCAAAAAAUGAGACCGAUUUUCAUUUGGUGGUUUCAUCAACCCUAAUGCCCAAAUAACCCUCAUAUCCUCAUUAGGAUACACAGGCAAAUCAUACUUCUUAUCUGUCGAAUUCAAUGGUUUCCUAAACAUAAUUAAAGAAACCCCAUCUCUCCUAUGUCCAUAAACCAACCUAGUAUUAUUCACCAUCAUGCCAUUUUUCGAGUUCUCAUAAACUACAUCAGGGCAAACACCUAUAGCUGUCCGGUCUUUAGAACUCAACUUACAUUCAGUAUAAGCCGUAAUGUAAAAAUCAUCAACAAAAGGCCUACCUUCCUCAGUAAAACUUGCCACCGUAACAUCAGCUUCGGACAUCAGCUCCUUCGUCCUAUUCGGAUUCGCCCACCCAAAUGCCAUGUAAUAGGUCGUCGGCGCCGCCGCUUCUAACCCGAUCUCGAUCCAAUUUUCCUCCACAUUCAAGUUCCACCGGACCCUAUAAUUAUCCGACAAGUUCUUGCAGUUAUCAAACACUGUAUGCACCGAGUCCGAAACCGAAUCCGACCCGUUUCGAGGGAGGGUGACAUGGCCGAAGUCCGAGGUGCUGGCGAUGUCCCAGAUUGAAAGAACGUUGAUCUGGUCCCAGGUUAUGUCGGGGAGCAAUUGGACUGAAAACGAUGCGUUUUUUGUAAGCUGUUUGAUUGAGGCGUUGACCGGAGAUGGGGAACCCGCUGGUGAGGUCAGAGAAGUUGAGGGAGACGGUGCCCCAGAAAACGACGUCGGACGAGCAGGAUAACAUGUCGAAUCCGGUGACCUGGAAAGAGCAACCAUCGAGGAUUUUGAGAUGGCCACGGAGUUGGUGUCGGACCAUUGUGAAGUUCGAUUCGAACCCGACUAGGGAGCUGGUGUUGGAGCAUUUUUGACCCGAAUCCGCUUUGGAAGAGGCGAUGGAAUUGAUUAGGAAGAGCGAGAGUAGAAGGAAAAUUUUGGAAUUGUACAUUCGAAUCCGGUCGCGGGUGAUUCGAGAAUCCGAAUUCGGUGAUGAUGGAAAAUGAACGUUUUAAAGAGAAGGAAGGAGCCAAUGAGCGGCUGGUGGUGGUGAGUGGUGACUCGGUACAGCCGGAGCGAGUCGUCAACUUGUCUCGAUAUUGUUUUAUAAAUUUUUUUCCUGUUUUUCUGAAGAGAGGAAACCAGAAUCCCAACUAUCUUCUUAACUAUCAGUUUUUUAAUUUUAAUUUAGUUUAAAUUUUUUAAUUUAGUAGUCCAACUAAUGGAGAUUUUUUUUUGCCAAUUUCCGUAAUGAGAGGACAUGAUAAUUAAAAAUUAAUAUAAUAAUAAAUUUAAUUCUUAAUUUUUACAUUUUGUAUCAAUUUAAUCAUUAUUUUAAAAAAUUAAUUUUUAAAAUUUAUAAAUAAUCUCAAUUUGAUUAUCAAAAUUUACCUUUUCUUUCCACUUCCUCUGCUACCACUAUAUCAUUGCCUCUAGUUCCGCCUUCUCCUCCAUCUUUCUCCAAAAAAAAGAAUUUUUUUUUAAUCAUGUUCAAAUUUAAGGUAUUAUAAUUUAUUUUGUGUUAAGUUAGAUGAAGCCUAAGCAAUUUAAAUAUAUGUGCUACUAUUUAACAAUAAAUUAGGUUGAAAUAGAAAGAGGAAAGGUAAGUUUUUUUUGGGAGAAAGGUGGAGGUGGAGGUAAUGAUGGUAAUGGCCCGUGGUGAAGUAGAAGAGAAAAGUAAAUUUUGAGGAUCAAAUUGAGACUAUUUAUAAAAUUUAAGAGUUAAUUAUUUUAAAAAUUUGACUAAAUCAAUUUAAGAUAUAAAAUUUAAGAGCUAGAUUUAUAAUUAUACUCAUUUUUUAACUACCACAUUACUCUCCAUAGAGAUUUAAAGAAAUGGACAAAAAAAAAAUCUCAAUUAGUUGAAUGAUCAAAUUAAAAAAAUUCAUAAUUAGGUAACUAAAAAAGAAAAAGGGGAGAUAGUUGGGUGACUUGUGGUGUAGUUUACCCUAAUAAUAAAAUAUAAUAGGGUAAACUAUAGAAUUAGUCAUCCCACUAUUAGUGUGUUUCUGUUUUAGUCACCUAACUAUGAAAAUUUUCAAUUUUAUCACUAUCGUUUUAGAUCAUUUCUAUUUUGGUCACUCAUGUUUUAGAUCGUUUUUAUUUUAUUCACUCUUCAGUAAAUGGUUAACCAAAGUUAUGAUGUGACCUUUUUCAACUAGUAUAAAUAAUACAUUUAGUCUUUAAUACUUACACAUUUUAUCAAUUUGAUCCUCGAACACAUAUAAUUAAAUAUAAAGUAUAUAUUAUAAAAACGUACAAAAUAUAGUUAUUUAUAUAUAUUUAUCUAAAUAAUAUUUUAUGUUCUUAUAUUUAAUUAUAAUUAUAAGGUUCAAAUAUGCAUUUAGCCCCUCAAACUUGACACCUUCUCCCAUGUUGGUACUUAUGAUUUUUUGUCCCAAGUUGGUACCUAAAAAUUUAUUCCGUCAAGGGCUUUGAUACUUUUUUUUGUUACAAUACUAAAUAUAGGAAACAUGACACUCUUAGGAUGCCAUAAUCUAUUUUUUAUAAAAAAAUAAAAAAUUUAAAAGAAACUAUAUGAAAUUUAUAUAUAUUAUUAAAAUAUAAAAGAAAUUAUAAAUUAUAAAAAUAUAUGUAACUAAAAAAAUUAAAAAUAUUACAAAAAAAAUCUAAAAUUCAAGUUGGAAAAAUCGAAAACCUAGAAAAUUUACACAUUUUUCUAAAUAUAUUGCAAACAAAUUAGAUGAAGAUAAAUUAUAUAAUAAAUUUUAUACAUAGAGAUAGGUGUAAAUUAUUACACGAUUUUUCAAGUUAACAAGAAUGCAAAAGAUGAUGAUUUGAAAAUGGCUUACAAGAAGCUUUUUCGUUUUCCUUUUUUUUUUAAUUAUUUGCUAGGUGAUGGGAAAAAUUGAGUUCCUUUGUUGAAAAUGCUAUAAAAACCACAAAUUUACUAAGUUAUGGGGGUUUUGAGUUUUUGGGUUUAUCAAAAUCACACACACAUAUAAAUUUAUCAGCAUUUAGUUAUAUGUGUUUAAAUAUAAUCAUUUUUUAUAUUUAAUUAUAUGUGUUUGAGAAUAAAGUUGAUAGAAUUUGUAAAUAUGGAGGGUGAAAUUUAUUGAAUUAUUUAGAAUAAGAAUCAAAUUGAUAGAAUGUGUAAGUAUUAAGAAAUAAACAUGUUAUUAUUCUAGUUGGAAAAGGCAACAUCAUCACUUCCGUUAACUAUGUAACGGAGAGUGACCAAAAUAGAAACAAUCUAAAGUGUGAGUGACCAAAAUAGAAAUAAUAUAAAAUGUAAGUGACUAAAUAAAAAAAAUUCAUAGUUGGGUGACUAAUUCUAUAGUUUACCCUAGAUGGUAGAAGCAAUUAGGAUUAAUUCCACCAAACAUCUCAAACUAUUACUCAUAUUUUAAAUUGAAUCCUAAACUUGUACACAUUCUAAUAUUAAAUUACUCAAAUAGAAUGUGAUAACGUGUUAUGCUAUUAUUCAUCGAUAGUGCAUAGAAUUUAUGCACUAACAAUGCAUCAAAUAUUCUCAUUAAAAGAAAAUGUAUAAAAUAAGUUUUAUACCAUCUAUAAUUUGUAAAAAAAAAUUAUCCAAUAAAAAAUAUAAAAAUACAUAUCUAUAAUUUCACAAAAAGAGAAUUACAUUAAUCAACCUCACAAAAUAUACAUCUCACAAAUCUGAUUGAGAUUAAAAACAAAGAAUGCAUGUAUUGUGCAAUUAAAACCAUGAUCCAUAUUCAACUCUAAAGUACUGAACAUAUAAUUUUGCAUUAUUUUACCUCCCUUGAUUCUUCACAAACUCUUUGGAAUAAGUUAACCAUCUAUUCCUUAUUUCAAUUUUAUUAAAAAGAUAGGUUCCCAUAAAGACAGUCUUUACAAACCAGUGCACCUAUUAUAAACACAUCAGGGAACAUUGCCAUGAGAGAGGACCUAAGAAAACAUAAUACAAACUACAUAACAUACAAUCAAGCACCCACACAAAAUGUUUAUUAAACACCUACAGAAAAAGGCCUGCAUACCACCAAGCAAUGAAGUUUUCUGUUCCGUUUGCAACUUCUUGAUCUCGUCGAAGUGUUGGAUUCUCUACCUUUUUGCAAAUCUUUGUCGGACUCGCUCCACGAUCCUAAUCAACCACCAUGGUUUUCCAGUCGUGAAUACAAUGUAUGCCAUGCUCAUUCCCAGCACCAACCCACAUCCAUACCCCAUCAAUAUUGAAAAUUUCCAAUUCAAUUCAUCACCAUCAUCAUCUCUAUCAAAUUUGGCUGGAGUUUCCUCAUCAGUACCACAGUUUUUUGAUAAUGGCAAACCACAUAAAUCCAAAUUUCCCAUGUAGGAAUCGUUAGUGAAAGUAUCAAAUUGUUUGCCUUGAGGAAUGGGUCCCUUGAGAUUAUUUUGAGAAAGGUUUAACACCUCUAAGAAUCCAAGACUUUUUAACUCUGUUGGAAUUCUUCCUUCCAGCUUAUUUGAUGAGAGAUCUAAUGAUUCAAGCUCUGGCAAAUUACCUAAAGAUGAUGGGAUAGGACCUACUAAACAGUUAUGGGAGAGGUUUAGGACAAUAAGUAAAUGAAGCUCACCAAGUAUUUUUGGAAUUUCUCCCCUGAAUUGGUUACUAGAAAGGUCAAUAACCGUCCAAAUGGAUAAUAGUAAUUCAAACUUUAUUUCCACUCCUUUUGCUGUAACAGAUAAACCAUAAGCAUAAUUCAACUCAAAUGGGUCACCUAUCAUGUAAUUUGGUUCAACUUUCUUUCCAUACUCAUCUCUAAUGGCAUGCAUAUGCUCAAAAAAAAGAGUAGGUAAGUAGCCACUGAAAUUAUUGUGAGAAAGAUCAAUGAUUUGCAAUUUAGUUAAAGAAACUGUAAUAUCAAAGCUCUCUAUUUGGCCGUAAAAUCUAUUCGACCUCAAGAUAAGAACUUGCAGCUGAUCCAAAUUUCCUAACCAACUUGGGAAAGUGUCAUUCAAAUUGUUGUUUCCAACAUCGAGAAGAUUUAAAGCUUUGCAAUUACCCAACGAUCGUGGUAGUGACCCUUCUAAUUCAUUGUUGUUGAUGUUUAAACUUCUCAACAUGCAACCUUUAGCAAAAUUUUCUGGUAUUUGACCAUGAAAAUUAUUAUUCCCUAGAAAAACUGCUGUGAGAGAAGAACUCAAGUUUCCGAUGCACUUUGGAAUUGUUCCCUCCAAAUUAUUCUCAUCUAAAGCCAUAGCCACAAGGGAAGUCAAAUUGCAUAUUGAAGAAGGGAUUUCUCCAAUUAAGUUAUUAGUUGAAACUCCAUACAAUUGCAAUAAAGGUGGUGGUGUUGGAAUUCGACCUUAGAGAUAAAAUUAAAAAUGAGAUAGAAUUAGGAGUUUGAAGAUUCUUUGGAAUAAAAAUUAUAAAAUAGCUAUAUUUAUGAUGUAUUACAUGCAUGAUUAAUUUACUACACUAUCACAACAACUUUUAAGUUGUAAUCUAUUGAAGGAAACUACUACCAUCUUCUAGAGAAAUUUUUAUUUCUCUUACUUAAAAGUAAAAUGGGAUUGCGUAAAUGUAUAAAAAAUAGAAGGAAAAAAAAUAUCAAACUAUACCUAAUAGUUUAUUAUAAAAGAGAUAACCAUUUAAUAUCUUACUUAUAUUUCAUUUUUUAGUGUUUAUUAUUAUUUUUUGUACUUUUAUGUAUAUUUUAUAAUUUAUUAUCGGGGUUCACGGUUGUUACUGUCAAGAAUAUCAUCUCUAAGACUUGAAUCUUGUUUUCCCCUUAAGAGAGUAAUAUAUUUUACCACUGCACUGAAUAUUUAUUGGUGUAGUAUUUAUUAUAACUACAAAUAAUUUUAAUUAUCUUUUUAUGAACCUCUAAGUUAGAGGUCAAAUAAAAAAGUAAAUUAAUUGAUGUAGUGUUUAAAUUUUUAUCAUUAUUUUCUAUAUUUGUUUAUUUUUUAUUUUUUUAAAUAUAUAUUUAAACUUUGCAAAAUGAAUGGAUAUAUUUGAACAUGAAACAUGAUACAAUAAUUUAGUGAGAAUGAAAUAAAAUAAUGGUGGAAAAAUGAUAUGAUGACAUUAAACGGAAAAUAAGCGAAUGAAUAAAUAAGUAAAUAAAGGAGAAUAAGAAGAUAAAGACCAAAAACAAUUGCUAUGCCAAUUGUUGAAACUAAUUUUUUUGAAAAAAAGUGGAUCUGACUUAUAUUUUGAAAAAAGAAAAGAAAAUGGAGUCGCCACCAAUCUUUUUAUUUGGGUGUGAUUGGAUCACCUCAUAAUUAAAUCAUUUUAAUAAAAAUUUAAAUUUACUAAAACGAUAAUUUUUGGUCUUAUAAAAUCCAAAAAAGGGUUCGGGAGUCGGUUACGCAUGAGGAAGGGUUAGCACCCUCAACACGCCCAAAAUUGAUACCUUAUUUUAAAAUAAGAUCAUUGUAUUAAAAAAACUUAUAUAAAUCAAAUUACACGUUAAGACCCUUCCAUUUCGGAGAGAGAAAAUGUCACACCCAAUGGGUUAGGGCAUGAUAUUUCACAUCCUCAAAAAUGAGCUUGUCAUUUAAAAAACUCAUGCAAUGAAAUUUAAAAUGAUAUUCAAUUGUUUAAGUCAGAUGAAGAAAUCGAAGCCCAAUACGUUAGGGCCCAAUUUCUCAAAAUUCCAAACAUUGAAUACUGCCUUUAUUAUUUUUUAGAAAAACCCUCAUCUCAAGAAAACAACAUGUCAUAUCCAAUGCGUUAGGACACAACGUAUCGAAUUCCCGAUAAUGAGCUUUUUAUUUAUGUGUUUUGAUGAAUGAAUAUUCUUGAUUAUUUGAAUUCAACGAGGAAAAUUGGAACCCAAUACAUUAGGGAUCAAUCCUCUCGAAGAUCCAAAUACCGAAUAUUGUGUUAUCUUGAAAGCUUUUGAAUAAAAUGAUUCCCAAAACUUAAACCAUAUUAAAAAUAAUUUUUGAGCAAAUAAAGAAUGAUGGAAAUGAUAAUAUGCAAUACGAAGUAAUAAUUCGUAAACCAAAAAAAGUACUCUAAUGGAUGACAAAUAAUCGAUAAGUACAAAUAAGUAAUACAAUACACAUAAGGGCAAUAAUCUCACAAUGCAUGUUGUUUUAAUGUCGAUAUUUAACAAUCAAGAAAAAUGAAACAAAAUAAUAUAUAUAGAACAAUUUGAAGUAACUAGUAUAAAACAAUUUAAAGUAAAUAAUAUGCAACAUAAAUAAAGACAUGCAAAGCAAAAAUAAAUAACAUAGAAGACGAUUUUAAAAUAAUAUAUAAAAAGUUGAAAACAAAUAAUACGUAAAAAGAAAAUUUCAAACAAAGGAUAUACAAAACAAUUUCUUUUAAAAAAAUGAUAUAUGAAAACAAUUCCAAAUAAAUAAUAUAAAAAAAUAAAAUGGAUAAUAGUUUAUAUGGUUUGAAAUGUUUAACAUGUGAAAAACUUAAAAUAAAUAAUAAAAUAAAUAAAUAAUACAUGAGGAAAAGUAUUGAAUAAAAAAAUUGCAAAAUAAAUCGAAAUCAACAGAUUUGGGACUAAUUUGGGAUGAAAAUGAAAUUUAAAGGCAUAAAUUACAAAUGAAAGGAAACGGGGGCCAACUAAAGUGCGCCGAAAAAGGGCGAGGACCAGAUGGGGAAUUAUUCCCUAUCUCAAAACGACACUGUUUAAGGUGUUUUUCCUUUUAAAAUGGUCUAAGGACCAAAUUGGGAGAAAAAUGAAAAUUUGUGGCUAAAUCAAAAAAUAAAAAAGAGAUAGGACCCAAUUGUAAUCAACCUUAAAAGCUGAAGGACUAGGGGCGCGAAUAGCCCCUUUGUCCAAAAACACUUGGAUCCUAAGCGGUUCGGGUCGGGUCAGUCCGAUCCAUGUCUAAACGACGUCGUUUUGGGGCUUUCUGAACCCCUCAUUUACAAACAAUUUAUCAUGGCUUUUAUAGCCAUUUUACAAGAUUUUUUUAAUUCAUUUAUUGUCACUUCUUGCAGGCAAAUGAUUGCUUAAUUUACUUCGUAACUUCUUACAUUUAGACAUAAUAAUGAGGUUUUAAUCUUUUAAGAACUUUUAUUUUAUUUACUUAAAAAUUGCAUAAAUUUAAUAAAAAAAAAGGAGAAUAAAAGAAAAAUGAAAUUAUACCUGUCAAUUUGUUAUAGCUAAGAUAAAGUGAUUGGAGAGAUGUCAAGUUUCCAAUAACAAGAGGAAUUUCACCUGAAAUGUAUAAUUAAAUCGGUCAAAAUUUGUAAAUAUUUUCCUACCAAGCCCUUAAUUUAUUUGUUGAGCAUAUUAGUGUCUGUUUGAUUUACCUAUUUUUAAAUAUGCAAGUUUUGUUUAGUUUUAUAGUACUUGUGACAACCCAAAAAUAUUUUAAUUAUAAUACUCGAAUUUAUAGUUGAAAUGAUGAUGACAAUUAGAAGGAAUAAAAUAGUUCACGCUUAAUAGUUUUGCUCAAAUAUAGGAUACAUCAUCGAAGCUGAACAAAUAUAUAUAUUUUUAGAAACUUUUAUUAGUUAGCAGUGAUUAGCUAAUGUCAAACAACUGAUACUAUUGCAUAUAAUAUGUUUCCCUAAACUGUAUACUAUUUAUCUCUCGCCACAAAUUAUCAAAAACACAUGUGCAUUUUAAGCCAAACAUUUAUAAUAAAGAUAAGAGCCGUAUUGACACAAUUUUUUGCUAAGGAAUCAGCAAACACACACCCAUAACUGCACAUAUAGACACACAUAUAUCUGCACAUACAGAAUACUAGAACCCAAAAAUGUCGCUAGAACCCAGAUAUAGUCUAGGUGAGAAGGGACUAAGGAGUUGAACAGUAAAGAAACUAGUAAGAACUCACAUGAUAAUGAGCUUGUUGUAACCAGAAUACAAAGAUUGGGGCAGAGUCAAGUUUCCAAUUUCUAUAGGCAUAAUUCCCUCCAAAGAGUUGUUAUGCAACGAUAAAUACUUCAACUCUUUACACUUGAAUAAGCUAUUUGAAAUUCUACUAAAAUUUGAUUAUGUGUGAAGCUUAAUUAUUGCAAUUUAGAAAUGUUAUCAAACAUCUAGAUAGUAGAUGACCUAUAAUGAGAUGAUUAGUUUUGAAACUAUUUUUUUAUUGGUGAAAAGAUAUAUAAGAUUUACACAUGUAAGGAGCCUGAAUAAGAAUUAUUAUGAAAAUAUAACUAAAUGAAGCUUGAAAAGAUAUAUAAGAUUUACAGUAUAGUGCCGCAUUCGGUACUUUUUGGAGUGUAGGGAUGGGUGGGUUGAUUAUAUCCCCACAUGAAGUAUAGGGUUGGACGAAGAUGGUGUGUAGAGGCUAGCUGGGUAGGAUUUGUAUACUGCAUAAUCCGUUACUGCACUGAUUGCUGAUAUUGUAAUAAGCCAAGGCCCAAAUGAAUGAUUACUUCUGUACUGAAAUAGGCUAAAGCCCAAACUGAUAUUGUCACUGAUACUGAAAAGGGCGUAGGCCCAAACUGAGUUUAUUAUGCUUACUGUCUGGUUAUUUUUGUAUAUUGUAUGCUUGUUUGCAUGGGGAAUUACGAGUUUUGAAAACUCACCCCUUUUGUUAAUUUGUACAGGUAAUCCCUACUCAUAGGCGGAUUGACGCGGCAGAGGACUCAGCGGUGGCCACACGACUCUUUUUUUUACUGUUUCGUAUUUAAUUACAUUCAUUUUUAAAGCUUUAUUGGGGUUUUUAUCUGUAAUAACGGCCGCUAUGAAUUUUUGCUUUAUGUUUGGAUUUAACACUACUUUAUGUUUUAUAUCUUCUAGAGGUAGAUAAAACACGAUUUUUAAAAGAAAUGCAUGUGUUUUAGCAAAAUACCCACAAUGACACAAGCUGUUUUAAAAAGCUUCCACAACGUAUAAUGUUUUGCAAACUAACGAUUGAUUAAAAAUCACUAUUUUAGGAUUAAUAAAGUUAACGAAGAGAUCUAAACAGAAAAUGUUUUAAGCAAAGUUACGGUGUUUUUCAACAUGAGCUUCGGUUUUCAAACACACUACCAUGUGACACCGCCAGAUUCAACCAUAAUGUCUAGGCCGAUUUGGGGUUUUACAUCUAUUAUGGUGUGUAGUAGAGUUGGGUAGGAUGUUUUCUAAUAAAUCUGCAUUCUAAUCGAUGGUAAUUCAAGAAAUACUACACUGGAUAUUAAAUCCAAUAGUAUCAAGAAUCCACAUUUCACUAGUUUAAUAUUCAAACCAUCAUAUUUGUUAUAUUGAAUUUAAGUAAUUAGUAAUUCAAGUUAUUGAUAUUUUUCUUAUACCAAUAUUCUUAUAUUUUUCUAAUUUCAAAGUAGUUAAAGGAUUAAAUGUGUAAUUAAUUGUUUUUAAGCCAAAAGUGUUAUAAUAAGAAGUUAAAAGAUUGUAAUUAAUUAGUAUUAUAUAGCGCGAUUGUAUUAUAAAUAGAAGAGACUGCAUAACAGUAACAACAAAAAAGAGAAUAAAGAUGAUAUUAUACCUGUUAAGUAAUUAGUAGAAAGAUCGAUGUCCGUGAGGGAAAUAAGGAAUUAGAUACAUUGGUCCCAUAAUAUGUCACUCAAAAUCUCAAAUUCAUCCAACAAAAAGAAAUCAUCACUUUAGUUAAUUAAAUCAAGAACAAAUAAAGUUAUGGAUGAACAAAUAUGGGAAGCAAAGAAAUGUGAUGGAUCAAAAGGGACGGAUAAGCUAAUUUCUGCCAUAAGGUAGAUGGUGAACUUAGGAUGUGGAGUUUCAAUAAAUACCUAAAAAUACCUAAACUUUUGGCAAUUCAAAUAGAUUAUACUAAUUUUUAAUUACUUAAAAAUAUUGCAUAAAUUUAAUAACAAAAAGGAGAAUAAAAGAAACAUGAAAUUAUACCUGUCAAUUUGUUAUUGCUAAGAGAAAGGUAUUGGAGAGAAGUCAAGUUUCCAAUAACAAGAGGAAUUUUACCUGAAACAUAUAAUUAAAUCAAUAAAUAUAUAAUUAUUUUUAUUAAUUAUUUUAAGAGUUUAAUAAGGCAAAUCUAAAAGGUAGAAGAAAUAGCUAAUUAGAAGUAGUGUGUGAUUCAAAAGGGUAUAAAGUAGGUCCAAAUUAAAAAUCAAAUUUUAAAAUAAUUUAAUGUAAAAUUUAACUCUUUUCUUAUCACCAAAUAAAUUUACUUUCAGAGAAAUUACAAGUUUUAAUAAAAUAGUUGAAAUAAGUGAUUGUUUAUGACUAGGUGAAAAUUAGAUGAAAAAAACAUAUAAUUAAUAAUUUAUAUAUCUAUUUCUCUCAUACUAUGGACUAUGGUCGAGCAAAAAUUAAUAAAAAAAUCAAACGGAUAGAAAUAGCUUAGUUACAAGAUUGAUGUUAAUCCAAUAAAUUUUUAAAAAAAAACACAUUGUUUCCAAAAGGGUAAGAAAUAGGUCCAAAUUAUAAUUCAGAACAUAAAUUAAUUUAAUGUAAAAUUUAAAUAAAAUUUAAAAUUCUUUCAUUAUCAAAUAAAUUUUCUUAAUAAAAUACUUUUAGUGAAUUAAUUAGAAGUCUUACUUAUUAACAAUAAAAAAAAUAUUUAUCCUUGUGCCAGAAAAAAACACCGCAUAGAUCAUAAAAAGGAAAAACUAAAACAUCCAUAAAACCACUAAACACAAAAUUCAUAGUUGUAGAGGAGGAUUAGAUACAUUGGUCCCAUAAUAUGUCACUCAAAAUCUCAAAUUCAUCCAACAAAAAGAAAUCAUCACUUUAGUUAAUUAAAUCAAGAACAAAUAAAGUCAAAAUCUCAAAUUCAUCCAACAAAAAGAAAUCAUCACUUUAGUUAAUUAAAUCAAGAACAAAUAAAGUUAUGGAUGAACAAAUAUGGGAAGCAAAGAAAUGUGAUGGAUCAAAAGGGACGGAUAAGCUAAUUUCUGCCAUAAGGUAGAUGGUGAACUUAGGAUGUGGAGUUUCAAUAAAUACCUAAAAAUACCUAAACUUUUGGCAAUUCAAAUAGAUUAUACUAAUUUUUAAUUACUUAAAAAUAUUGCAUAAAUUUAAUAACAAAAAGGAGAAUAAAAGAAACAUGAAAUUAUACCUGUCAAUUUGUUAUUGCUAAGAGAAAGGUAUUGGAGAGAAGUCAAGUUUCCAAUAACAAGAGGAAUUUUACCUGAAACAUAUAAUUAAAUCAAUAAAUAUAUAAUUAUUUUUAUUAAUUAUUUUAAGAGUUUAAUAAGGCAAAUCUAAAAGGUAGAAGAAAUAGCUAAUUAGAAGUAGUGUGUGAUUCAAAAGGGUAUAAAGUAGGUCCAAAUUAAAAAUCAAAUUUUAAAAUAAUUUAAUGUAAAAUUUAACUCUUUUCUUAUCACCAAAUAAAUUUACUUUCAGAGAAAUUACAAGUUUUAAUAAAAUAGUUGAAAUAAGUGAUUGUUUAUGACUAGGUGAAAAUUAGAUGAAAAAAAACAUAUAAUUAAUAAUUUAUAUAUCUAUUUCUCUCAUACUAUGGACUAUGGUCGAGCAAAAAUUAAUAAAAAAAUCAAACGGAUAGAAAUAGCUUAGUUACAAGAUUGAUGUUAAUCCAAUAAAUUUUUAAAAAAAAACACAUUGUUUCCAAAAGGGUAAGAAAUAGGUCCAAAUUAUAAUUCAGAACAUAAAUUAAUUUAAUGUAAAAUUUAAAUAAAAUUUAAAAUUCUUUCAUUAUCAAAUAAAUUUUCUUAAUAAAAUACUUUUAGUGAAUUAAUUAGAAGUCUUACUUAUUAACAAUAAAAAAAAUAUUUAUCCUUGUGCCAGAAAAAAACACCGCAUAGAUCAUAAAAAGGAAAAACUAAAACAUCCAUAAAACCACUAAACACAAAAUUCAUAGUUGUAGAGGAGGAUUAGAUACAUUGGUCCCAUAAUAUGUCACUCAAAAUCUCAAAUUCAUCCAACAAAAAGAAAUCAUCACUUUAGUUAAUUAAAUCAAGAACAAAUAAAGUCAAAAUCUCAAAUUCAUCCAACAAAAAGAAAUCAUCACUUUAGUUAAUUAAAUCAAGAACAAAUAAAGUUAUGGAUGAACAAAUAUGGGAAGCAAAGAAAUGUGAUGGAUCAAAAGGGACGGAUAAGCUAAUUUCUGCCAUAAGGUAGAUGGUGAACUUAGGAUGUGGAGUUUCAAUAAAUACCUAAAAAUACCUAAACUUUUGGCAAUUCAAAUAGAUUAUACUAAUUUUUAAUUACUUAAAAAUAUUGCAUAAAUUUAAUAACAAAAAGGAGAAUAAAAGAAACAUGAAAUUAUACCUGUCAAUUUGUUAUUGCUAAGAGAAAGGUAUUGGAGAGAAGUCAAGUUUCCAAUAACAAGAGGAAUUUUACCUGAAACAUAUAAUUAAAUCAAUAAAUAUAUAAUUAUUUUUAUUAAUUAUUUUAAGAGUUUAAUAAGGCAAAUCUAAAAGGUAGAAGAAAUAGCUAAUUAGAAGUAGUGUGUGAUUCAAAAGGGUAUAAAGUAGGUCCAAAUUAAAAAUCAAAUUUUAAAAUAAUUUAAUGUAAAAUUUAACUCUUUUCUUAUCACCAAAUAAAUUUACUUUCAGAGAAAUUACAAGUUUUAAUAAAAUAGUUGAAAUAAGUGAUUGUUUAUGACUAGGUGAAAAUUAGAUGAAAAAAAACAUAUAAUUAAUAAUUUAUAUAUCUAUUUCUCUCAUACUAUGGACUAUGGUCGAGAAAAAAUUAAUAAAAAAAUCAAACGGAUAGAAAUAGCUUAGUUACAAGAUUGAUGUUAAUCCAAUAAAUUUUUAAAAAAAAACACAUUGUUUCCAAAAGGGUAAGAAAUAGGUCCAAAUUAUAAUUCAGAACAUAAAUUAAUUUAAUGUAAAAUUUAAAUAAAAUUUAAAAUUCUUUCAUUAUCAAAUAAAUUUUCUUAAUAAAAUACUUUUAGUGAAUUAAUUAGAAGUCUUACUUAUUAACAAUAAAAAAAAUAUUUAUCCUUGUGCCAGAAAAAAACACCGCAUAGAUCAUAAAAAGGAAAAACUAAAACAUCCAUAAAACCACUAAACACAAAAUUCAUAGUUGUAGAGGAGGAUUAGAUACAUUGGUCCCAUAAUAUGUCACUCAAAUUCAUCCAACAAAAAGAAAUCAUCACUUUAGUUAAUUAAAUCAAGAACAAAUAAAGUUAUGGAUGAACAAAUAUGGGAAGCAAAGAAAUGUGAUGGAUCAAAAGGGACGGAUAAGCUAAUUUCUGCCAUAAGGUAGAUGGUGAACUUAGGAUGUGGAGUUUCAAUAAAUACCUAAAAAUACCUAAACUUUUGGCAAUUCAAAUAGAUUAUACUAAUUUUUAAUUACUUAAAAAUAUUGCAUAAAUUUAAUAACAAAAAGGAGAAUAAAAGAAACAUGAAAUUAUACCUGUCAAUUUGUUAUUGCUAAGAGAAAGGUAUUGGAGAGAAGUCAAGUUUCCAAUAACAAGAGGAAUUUUACCUGAAACAUAUAAUUAAAUCAAUAAAUAUAUAAUUAUUUUUAUUAAUUAUUUUAAGAGUUUAAUAAGGCAAAUCUAAAAGGUAGAAGAAAUAGCUAAUUAGAAGUAGUGUGUGAUUCAAAAGGGUAUAAAGUAGGUCCAAAUUAAAAAUCAAAUUUUAAAAUAAUUUAAUGUAAAAUUUAACUCUUUUCUUAUCACCAAAUAAAUUUACUUUCAGAGAAAUUACAAGUUUUAAUAAAAUAGUUGAAAUAAGUGAUUGUUUAUGACUAGGUGAAAAUUAGAUGAAAAAAACAUAUAAUUAAUAAUUUAUAUAUCUAUUUCUCUCAUACUAUGGACUAUGGUCGAGCAAAAAUUAAUAAAAAAAUCAAACGGAUAGAAAUAGCUUAGUUACAAGAUUGAUGUUAAUCCAAUAAAUUUUUUAAAAAAAACACAUUGUUUCCAAAAGGGUAAGAAAUAGGUCCAAAUUAUAAUUCAGAACAUAAAUUAAUUUAAUGUAAAAUUUAAAUAAAAUUUAAAAUUCUUUCAUUAUCAAAUAAAUUUUCUUAAUAAAAUACUUUUAGUGAAUUAAUUAGAAGUCUUACUUAUUAACAAUAAAAAAAAUAUUUAUCCUUGUGCCAGAAAAAAACACCGCAUAGAUCAUAAAAAGGAAAAACUAAAACAUCCAUAAAACCACUAAACACAAAAUUCAUAGUUGUAGAGGAGGAUUAGAUACAUUGGUCCCAUAAUAUGUCACUCAAAAUCUCAAAUUCAUCCAACAAAAAGAAAUCAUCACUUUAGUUAAUUAAAUCAAGAACAAAUAAAGUUAUGGAUGAACAAAUAUGGGAAGCAAAGAAAUGUGACGGAUCAAAAGGGACGAAUAAGCUAAUUUCUGCCAUAAGGUAGAUGGUGAACUUAGGAUGUGGAGUUCCAAUAAAUACCUAAACAUACCUAAACUUUUGGCCAUUCAAAUAGAUUAGAUUAAUUUUUAAUUACUUAAAAAUAUUGCAUAAAUUUAAUAACAAAAUGGAGAAUAAAAGAAACAUGAAAUUAUACCUGUCAAAUUGUUAUUUCUAAGAUAAAGAAAUUGGAGAGAAGUCAAGUUUCCAAUAACAAGAGGAAUUUCACCUGAAACGUAUAAUUAAAUCAUCACUUUAGUUAAUUAAAGCAAGAACAAAUAAAGUUUUGGAUGAACAAAUAUGAGAAGCAAAGAAAAAUGAUGGAUCAAAAGUGACGAAUAAGCUAAUUUCUGCCAUAAGGUAGAUGAUGAACUUAGGAUGUGGAAUUCCAAUAAAUUCCUAAACAUACCUAAACUUUUGGCCAUUCAAAAUCAAAUUCUAGUGGUUAAAAUUAUGAAAUGAGUAAUUAUUAUUUUUACAGCAAAAAAUGUGAGUAUAUAAAGAAAAAUAAAAAUAAAAAUGUAGAGCAAUAUAAAAAGAAGUUUUAAGGUAAGUAGGUUUGUUAUUUUUAAGAAUAAUAGUAAAGCAGGACAUUUGGUUUUGCUUAUAUAAGAAGUUGGUUCAUGCAUAGGGAUGUCAUAUUACCCAUGUUUGCAUUUAAAUAUUUGUAUUAAGAAAUAUUUUAUUUGAAAGAGUUUAAUAAUUUUAAGCUGUCUAAUAAUAAAUAAAUUAGUCUAAGAAAAAAUAAAGCAUCUCAAAAUAUAUGUCUUAUACCAAUAUUCUUAUAGUUGUCUAAUUUCAAAGUAGUUAAAGGAUUAAACGUGUAAUUAAUUGUAUUUUUAAAACGACAGUUAUUUUAUUUUCUAUAUUUGUUUAUUUUUUAUUUUUUUAAAUAUAUAUUUAAACUUUGCAAAAUGAAUGGAUAUAUUUGAACAUGAAACAUGAUACAAUAAUUUAGUGAGAAUGAAAUAAAAUAAUGGUGGAAAAAUGAUAUGAUGACAUUAAACGGAAAAUAAGCGAAUGAAUAAAUAAGUAAAUAAAGGAGAAUAAGAAGAUAAAGACCAAAAACAAUUGCUAUGCUAAUGAAUAAUAUCAAUAUUUCUAUGAUGAUAACAAAACAACGAUUAAACGAUAAUCAUGUUGUGGUUAUUAUCUUAGUAUUACAUUGAAUAAAUAAUAAUGACAAGAACAAAGAAUAAAAUAGAAUAAUAUGUGCAAAUGAAUAAUAUAGACAAAGAUAAAAUAUAUAAAUUUUAAAUACUAAAUAAAUGAUAUAGUAAAUAAAUAAGCAAAAUUAAUCGAAAUACAAAGUAAAUUGGAACUCAAGCAAAGUUUAAAACUCAUAUCGCAAAAUAAAUGAGGGAAAGGGACCACAAAUAUACAAAUAAAAUGAAAAUAAAUAUAAAUUUUAAAUAUAUAAAAAAUAAAUAAAAAAAAGAAAUAACGAAUAAAUGACUAAAUAAAUAGAUAAGACAAAUAUAAAAAAAUAUUAAAUUUAAGUGUUUAAAAAUUAAAAGAAUGAUAAACAAAUAAAUAAAUAAAUUUAAGUAUUUGCAAUUCAAAUUGAUGAUAUUUUUCUUAUUCUUAUGCUUUUCUAAUUUCAAAGUACUUAAAGGAUUAAAUGUGUAAUUAAUAGUUUUUAAGCCAAAAGUAUUAUAGUAAAAAGUUAAAAGAUUGUAAAGUUAUUUAGUAAUAUAUAGCACGAUUCUGUUAUAAGUAUUAUAACAGUACCAACAAAAAGGAAAAUAAAGAUGAUAUUAUAUCUGUUAAGUUGUUAUAAAAAAGAAUGAUGAUCACGAGAGAAAUAAGGUUUCCAAUAACAGAUGAAAUUUCACUUAAAAUCAUUAAAAUUUACUAACAGAUCUUAAAAUCGUUAAAACUCAAUGCGGGUAGGUAUAAGUCUGAAACAUAUAAUAUCAACUAUGUACUCUGUAAUCAAAGUUAAUUAAGAGAAAUCAUAUACUCUAUUUCUUUCCUAUUCAAGAAUAUCAACACAUAAAUAAUAAGGAUAGAAAAAAAUAGGUAAUUACAAGUCUUGUGUGAUUCAAAAGGGUAUAAAGUAGGUCCUAAUUACAAAUCAAACCUUAAAUUAAUUUAAUGUAAAAUUUAACUCUUUUCUUAUCACCAAAUAAAUCUACUUUUAGUAAAUUAGGAGUUUUAAUAAAAUACUUGUAAUAAAAGAUUGUUUAUGACUAAGUGUUUUGUUUUCAACAUAUUUGGAAUUAACUUGCCUUAGAAAAACAGUCUCUAUUAUUUUUAAGAAUAUAUUAUAAAAGCAAGAUAUGCCACUUAGAGAAGUUUCUUUAAGUAUUUUUUCUCGGCCAAAAUAAAAGGGUUAUUGUUUAAAGUCCCGUUUCAUUACUUAAAACAAUUGUUGAUGGAAAUUGGAUAAAAAUGAAUGAAACAAUAACCAAGAAUUGUUUACCUUUGAAAUGGUUGUUACUAAGAGCCAAAGUCUCGAGCAAAGUCAAAUUUCCAAUUUCUGUAGGUAUACUUCCAUCCAAGGAGUUGUAACCCAAUGAUAAAAACUUCAGCUCUUUGCACUUGAAUAAACUAUUUGGAAUUCUACCGGAAAUUUGAUUCCCACCCAAGCCCAACCUUUCUAGUUUUGACAAAUUGCCUAGAGUAGAUGGGAUAACACCAACGAAGUUGUUAAGGUACAAAGACAAUCUUUGAAGUUUUUUUGGUGUUUAAGGGCAGCAGCAAGCUAGUUUGCACUUGCUUGGACAACAAGUGUCGAGCCUUGCUGAAGACACUAUCGAAGAAGAAGAAAAUUUUGCAAUGGAAAAAAUAGGAAAGAAAGAGAUGAUUUGAAUGAAAAUUGAGCUGAAUUUUCAUUAAUUUUCACAAGAGGCAUAAUGCCAAUACAUAUAUGAGAUAACAACAGCAAAACAAACAAGUUACCACCUAAUAACAUACCUAACACCACUAAUUUGCCUAGUAACUUGGUAAACUUGUUUGAACACAAAACAAGCCACCUAAACUUGUCAUUCAGCACCUAAUUACAUCAAAAUGCAACUACCAACUAAGUUCAAAACAAACUAAAAUACAAAGAGUUCAUUUGAGUAACUAAAUGAAACAAAGCAGUUUCGGUUUGCUGCUUGGAGCACGUUGCUUGCAUUGCCACUUUUGCUGCUGCAUGGGGGCUGACUUCAACACUCCUCCUCAGCUUCUAUGCUGCAGACUCCUAAUUGCUUUCUUAAGCUUAGAAAUCUCGAUGUACCAAGUGAUUUUGUGAAAAUAUCGGUAAUCUGAUUUUCAGAGUUGCAGUGAAUCAGCUCGAUCUCUCGGGCUUGUUCCAUUUCUCUUAUCACAUGCAACUUAAUGUUGAAGUGUUUUGUCCUGCCAUAGAAGACAGGAUUUUUAGCAAUAGCGACUGCUGAUUUGUUGUCACAGUAAAUCUCAGUUGCUCCAUUUUGUUGUAGAUUCAAAUCAUUGAUAAUUUUUCUUAGCCACAUAGCUUGAUUAACAGCAUUAGUAGGUGCUACAUAUUCUGCUUGAGCUGUCGACUGAGCCACCAUUGUUUGUUUUCUUGAACUCCAACAAAUCAUACCUGAGCCAAGUGUAAAAGCAUAACUAGAAGUGCUCUUCAUAUCGUCUUUUGAACCAGCCCAAUCGCUGUCAGUGUAUCCAAUUAAUUUCAACUCCUCGACCCUUCUGAAAUGUAUUCCAUGGUUCAAGGUACCUUUGAUGUACCUCAGCACCCUUUUUCUGCUUUGUAAUGUUGCUGGUUACAACAAUGCAUGAAUCUUGACAGCAUGCUAACUGCAAAUAGAACAUCAGGUCUCGUUGCUGUCAAAUAUAGCAAAUAGCCAACAAGACUUCUGUAAUCUGUUUCAUAGACAGAUUCAUGAUCUUCUUUGCUCGAUAGUUUCAUGCCAACAGCCAUAGGUGUGCUAGUUGGCUUGCAGUUCUUCAUUGAAAAUUUGGCUAGGACCUUUGAAGCAAAUGAUUUCUGUCCCAAGAAGAUUCCUUCACCAGCUUGAUUAACUUCCAUUCCUAGGAAGUAUGUCAUCAACCCCACGUCUGACAUUUCAAACAUUUCCUUCAUUUUUGUUUUGAAAUCAGCUAACAUGAAUUUGUCUCCUCCAGGCACUAGAAGAUCAUCAACAUAGAGUGACACAAUGAGCUGUGUUUCAGCUCGAUUUCUUUUAACAUAGAGUGUUGGCUCGCUAGCACUCCUUUCAAAUCCAAAACCGAUCAGGUAUGAAUCAAUUUGAGCAUACCAGGCUCUAGGAGCCUGUUUUCUUAGCCUAUACACCAAAUGUUCUUUACAUGGCAUUGUGAAUCCUGGAGGUUGCUCGAUGUAUAUCUCCUCUUCCAAGGAUCCAUUGAGAAAUGCAGACUUCACAUCCAUUUGAUGGAUUGUCCACUGGUUCUGAGCAGCUUCAGCAACCAACAAUCUGAUUGUAUCGAGCCUGGCUACUGGAGCAAAUGUUUCCAUGUAGUCCAGACCAUAUCUCUGACUAAAACCCUUCAGAACCAAUCUGGCUUUCAGUUUGUUUAAGCUUCUAUAUGCAUUGUGCUUUACUCGAUAGACCCAUUUUACACCAAUGGUCUUUCUGUUAGCUAGCUUCUCAACCAACUCUCAUGUCUGGUUCUUCUCAAUCAUGUUGAUUUCAUCAACCAUAGCCUAUUUCCAGCCUUCAUCUGCCUCAGCCUCUUCAAAAUUGCUAGGUUCUGCUAUAGCAACCUGUGCCCUUUCAUAGAUUUCAUCCAAGGACCUUGUGCCUCUCACAGGCACAUCAUCAACAUCCAUUUCAGGACCAAGCUCCUCUUGAUUAGGCACCAGGUCUUCUGAAACUGCUUCUGGCUCAUUCUUCUCCCAAUUCCAGCAAGCCUUUUCAUCAAAGAUAACAUCUCUGCUUACCUGAACUUUGCUUGUCAAGGGAUCUAGAAUCUUACAGCCCUUUUUGACUGAGCUAUAACCUACUAGUACACCUGGUUGAGCCCUUUUUGAGAGCUUGUCCCUCCUUGCUGCUGGUAUUUGUGCAUAGCACAGGCAACCAAACACCUUCAGAUGUGCCAAGGAAGGCUUGAAUCCAAACCAAGCCUCGAAAGGUGUCUUGGAAGCAAGAGCUUUGGUGGGAAGCCUAUUCUGAAGGUAGAUAGCAUUGUUUACUACUUUAGCCCACAUGUUCUUGGACAUUUUCUUCUCAAACAGUAGGCAUCUGGCCAUAUCCAUCAGACUUCCGUUCUUUCUUUCAGAUACCCCAUUCUGCUGAGGUGUGUACACAUUUGUAAGCUGGUGUUUGAUGCCAGCAUCAUUGUAGAUGGGUUGGAACUGAGCUGAAGUGUAUUCAGUGCCAUUGUCUGAUCUUAUCAAUUUCAGCUUGCAACCUAUUUCUAUUUCUACAGCAGUUUUGAACUUCACAAACACUCGAGCUACCUCAGACUUGUGUUUCAAGAAGAAAAUCCAACAAAACCUUGUAAAAUCAUCAAUGAAGAGGAUGAAAUACCUAUUUUUGCUAAGUGAUUCAGUCCUCAUCAAGCCACAUACAUCAGAGUGCACCAGCUGCAGUCUUUCAGUAGCUCUCCAUGCUGCAUUUGUAGGAAAUGGCAAUCUUGCCUGUUUCCCCAUCUGGCAAACUUCACACACAUCAUCAUGCUCCACUGAGUUGGUGAAGUUCUCAGCCAAGCCCUCACUGGCCAUUCGAGCCAUUGACCUGAAGUUGGCAUGUCCAAGCCUUUGAUGCCAGAGCUUGGAAUCAUCUGUAGAGGCUGUGUAUGCUGACUUUGAGUCAUUUGGCCAAUGAACCUCAAAGCAUUUGUCAGUCAUUGUGAUUGUCAUAAGGCUUGAUCCACUUGGAUCAGCAAUGAGGCACUGUUUAUCCUUGAACACAACUGAAUAACCUUUCUCAAGCAGUUGAGCUAUGCUGAGAAGGUUUCUGUCAAUCUCAGGCACCAAUAGCACAUUUGGAAUGACUUUGUUGCCUGUAGGAGUACAUAUCAGCACCUCUCAUCUUCCUUUAGCCCUUAUGAACUGACAAUUUCCAACCUUGACCUUAGUUUUACAACUUCUAUCCAAGGUUUUAAACAAGGAGGCAUCUGGUGACAAGUGGUUAGUGCAACCACUGUCCAGUAACCAGUCGUUUGAACAUUUCUUCUCAGCAGCUAAGCAAGAAACAGCAAAGACUUGCUCUUCUUGGUCACUACUAUCUUCAGCCACUCGAGCUUCAACCUUUAGUUGUUGAAAUUGGCUCUGCCUUGGCUUGGUUCUAUUUUUGCAAACCUUUUCAACAUGGCAUUUCUUCUUGCAGUGUUGGCAUACUACAUCUAGUCUGAACCAGCAUCUAUCUUCUGGAUGUCCUGGCCUCUUGCAAUAUCUGCAGGGUUGGUCACUGCUCCUUGCAGCAUCAGGCUUAGGCCUGUUUUUCCAAGGCUUUUUGCCUCUAUGAGUAUUGAUGCUCGAGGCUUCUCUGGCCUUGGCUUGAAAUGCACCUUCCUGGUGAUCUUCAGCUCUGCUAGCUCUCCUUUGUUCCUGAGCAUAGAAAGUGUUAAUUAGCUUAGUCAAAGAGAUGCUAGCAAGGUCUCUUGAGUCCUCUAAGGAGGAUAUCUUUGCCUCAUAUAUUUCAGGCAAAGUGGAGAGAACUUUCUCCACGAUUCUUGCCUCAUCAAAGUACUCACCAAGGAGCCUUAUGCUGUUGACCACUGCCAUGAUUUUAUCUGCAUACUGCUUCACUAUUUCUUCUUCCCUCAUCUUCAGAUUCUCAAAGUCUCUUCUUAAACUCAACAGCUGUUGUUGCCUUGUUCUUUCUGUGCCUUGAAACUCCUCCUUAAGCUUGUCCCAGGCCUAUUUUGGAGUCUCACAGGCCAUAAUUCUGGUGAAGAUGACAUCUGACACACAGUUCUGAAUGCAGGACAUGGAUUUGUGCCUUUUGGUCCUCUCAUCAGCAUGUUGUCAGAUCUGAGCUACUGUGGGAUUGGCCCUCAGUGGUGCUGGCUUAACAUCUGUGUUGACAACUUCCCACAGAUCAAAGGCCUGCAGGUAAGUCUUCAUCUUUACUAGCCAUAUAUGGAAGCCUUCUCCAUUGAAGACUGGUGGGGCUGCUGGUGAAAAACUUGAGGAAGCCAUUCAGUUUUCUUGGUUUGAUACAACAGGUCCACUAAGAAUGCAACUUUGAUACCAAUUGUUGGUGUUUAAGGGUAGCAGCAAGCUAGUUUGCACUUGCUUGGACAGCAAGUGUCAAGCCUUGCUGAAGAAACUAUCGACGAAGAAGAAAUUUUUGUAAUGGAAAAAAGGAAAGAAAGAGAUGAUUUGAAUGAAAAUUGAGCUGAAUUUUUAUUAAUUUUCACAAGAGGCAUAAUGCCAAUACAUAUAUGAGAUAACAACAGCAAAACAAACAAGUUACCACCUAAUAACAUACCUAACACCACUAAUUUGCCUAGUAACUUGGUAAACUUGUUUGAACACAAAACAAGCCACCUAAACUUGUCAUUCAGCACCUAAUUACAUCAACAUGUAGCUACCAACUAAGUUCAAAACAAACUAAAAUACAAAGAGUUCAUUUGAGUAACUAAAUGAAACAAAGCAGUUUCGGUUUGCUGCUUGGAGCACGUUGCCUGCAUGGCCACCUUUGCUGUUGCAUGGGGGCUAACUUCAACAAGUUUACUGAAGCAACCAAACCAUGAUGGGAUUUCUCCAUUGAAGCUAUUAUUACCAAAGUCUAAAUAUUUCAUCCGACGCAAAUUAGUUAACUCAAUGGGUAAAGAGCCUUGGAAACUAUUUUGAUGAAUGUCGAGCCAAGCAAGGAAAGAUAGAUUUCCCAAUUGAGAAGAAAUGGUGCCCGUGAGAUCCAUGCUUGACAAAUUCAGAGCAGUGACUCUAUGGUGUCUAGAUCCACACGUGACACCAAUCCAGCUACAAACGGAGGUAGAAGUAGACCAAUUUGUUGCCAAGAAAUUGUGAGGAUCAUGAGUUAUAUGAGAUUUGAGUGCUAGAAGAGCAGAUUGAUCAAUGGUGAUGCUAGAAUAUUUUGCAAGCAAAAUAACCCCAACGGUUGCGAAUAGCAGUCCAAACAUAAACGGAGGGAGGAAGCUUGGUUUUGCCAUAAAGUUGGAUAUGGGUGUAAGGCACAUCAUAAGGAGAGAAACAACCGAGUUUAAUACUUUUCUAAUGUUAGUUCAAUAUUCUUUAAAUACUUUUGAUUCUAAAGACCAUUGACUCAUAGUUUGAGUAAGAAAUACAUACAAUCUUGUGGGUCCAACCAUGUUAUAGGGAAAAAAAGGAAAGCCAAAAUAGAAGAGUUAGUCUCAAGUUGAAGAGUAGAACUAAUAAUUCAACCGCAUUAACAAAGAUCAUCGUUUGGAUAUAUUAACAAAAUCCGAACUCGCAAUUAUAUCUACUUAUAUGAAGGAUUUAAUUGAAGACAAGUAUAACUUGUUAAAAUAUAAAAUUUCAUCAUUGGUUUUGAUUCUGUGGUGGUGUAUUGUAUGUAUCAGUUGGGGGUGGGUAUUCUUUAUUUUUAUUUUCAUAUAUUGGUGAGAAGCUCAUAUAUAUCCCUUGUGAUUGAACCAAAAAUUGGAAUAUUUUCUUAUUUCUGCCCUCUAUUAUUAUGGAUUCUUCUUUUAUAAGCAUUUUUUAUUUAGUAAUUAAAUUAGUUGAAAUUAAUUUUUUAUCAUUGAACCUUAACAACGGUUUGAAAUUUGAUCUAAGUGAUGACCAGAGUUUUUUUAUUGGUCUAAUAGUAAAUUUAGCCCUCUAAUAUUUAUAUAUUCUAUCAAUUUGAUCUUAAUAAUAGAAAAAUUCAACAAGUUUAGCUUUCAAUGUUUACAAAAUUUGUCAUUUUAGUUUAAAUUCUACAAUGUUCAAUAAAUUUAGCCCUUAAUAUUUACAAAAUGAUAAAAAAAAUUUGUCUCUUUUAACCCUUGAACUAACGUCGUUUGUCAAACCACCUUAAAAUAGAUGUUGACAUGGCAGUUCACAUGCAUGCUAUGUCAUCAAUUGUUUAAAAGAAUUAAAAAAUAUAUAGAAAGUUAUAUAAAAAUUCAAAAAAAAUAUAAAAGUGUUAAAAAUUCAAAUAUAUAUAAAUUAUUAAAAUUUCAAAAGGAAUAUAUAAAAUAUAAAAAUAGUAAAAAUAUUAUCAAGCUUACAUUUCUAAUAGGUAAAAGAGCUUUUCUAAGUUUUCACUUAAAUAAACAAAGCUCUGUUUUCUUCUAACCCUGGGAGCCGCUAUUACUAACAUUGACACUGGUGGCUCCUUCCAGUCACUAUCAAUGACAUUUCAAAUCUAAAAUCCUAAAAUAUCAACACCAGCACUAAUGGCAUAUUUCAAACAAGGUUGAGACAAGUUUUUCAAAUCCAAAAUCUAGAAAUAUCAAUUGACAAUGCUUUGAACCAACAUGCCAUUGGAUUCUUUUAUCUCUUUUUCCAUUAAUGCUCAAUUGGUUAUUAUAAAUGGCUUGAUUCAAAAAAGGUUGAAUGAGUUUUGUUGGAAUGAUUGAUUAUAGUAUUGUUUUUAUUUAGGUUGAAUCAGAUGGUUUAAAAUUUUUAAAGUGUUUGAUUUCUAUUUUUAGUGUUUUUGUUUUAGUGUUGUUUUUGAGAUUAAUGAGCAAAAAUUAAAACUGAGACUUAACUGUGUUGAUUAAUGUUAGGGAUAAAAGUUUUUGGUUUUUGUUCAAUUUUCUACUACUUUUAACUGAGAUUAAAACUAAAAAAAAAGUCAAUUUUCAUUCAUCAGUUUAUCCAAGAAAAAUGUUCUUAGUGUUUGAUUUCUAUUUUUAGUGUUUAAUUGAAUAAGUGGUUUUAAAAAAUUUCAAACAAAUUUUUUUUGUUCACUUUCAAUUUUCAUUCAGGCUUGAAUUUUGCUUUUUAUUUUAUUUUUUAUUUUUGUUGUGCAUUGAUGAAGUUUUUAGAGGCUAUGGGUAUAUUAAACAAAGAAAAAAAUGGUGUUAAUAAUUAAAAAGAAUUAAAACUUAUAAAAUAAUUAAGAAAAUAAAUAAAAACAGGAAAAAAAAUUAGUGAAGUAGCCGUAAAGGUAGAAUGGGAAGGCGGUGUUGGUGAAUGUGGUAUGAUGAGUCGCAGUUGGUUGGAUGGUGAUUUUCAUGCGUUGAGCCAUUAUAUUGGGUUGGUUUUCACACUUUCUUCUAUUUAAACAUGAAUUUUUAAAGAAUGACCAACUUUUUAGACCAUUAAUUUCACACAAGAAAAGUCAUUUGAAGGCUGCAAUAGCAGCACCAUUAUUCACGUUUGGGCGAAACAUUGAAUUAUUUUUCAUCCCCUCCAUUGCUUCCACCCUCUAUCCUUCUCUACUUUUUGCAUAUUUGAAAUCACAUUCUUAAUUUUAAUAAUAUGUAAACCAUAAAUAAAUUAUUUUAUCAAUAAUCAUAAUAUCCAAUGCUUAAACUAAUUUAGUUUAUUUGCUCUGAGAAAUAUCUAGAGACUAGAAUGUUCCCCAUUUUCUGUCAAUCAAGAAAGAAUAUUUGAAUACAUAAGAUUUUAAUAAUGUAUAUUGUUUCAUAGAUGCAUGCAUUUGCAUUUAGGAAACCCAAAGCAGAACAUCAUACCAAUCACAAACCCAACAUCAAAGCAAAAAACAGAAUAGUAAACAAAUCUUCAGCAUGCCAUCACCCUCCCAUGCUUUAGCAAUAGUAAACACAAUUUUUAAACUACUUUCUAAGUCUCAUUUUAAAAUAUUUAACUCUAAUCUUUUAACAACUAUUUUUUCAUUUUAAUAUUAGUUCAAAAUUUUUUUAUUAAAAAACUAUUUUAAUAUUUUUAGAGCUUGUUAACUUAUUUUUAUAAAUUUUGUAAAAUUAAUCUAUGGAUUUUGUAAAACAAAUUGAUGGAGCUUUGGGUUUAGUUGGUAUCAAAUGAUGAAGAGAAAAUUGAAUUUUAAAGUCCCAAAAUACUAAAUAGCAAGACAGCUAUUUUUUUCGUCAGCCAAUAAACAUAUUUAUUUGAAAAUAAAGACAAAAUAUUGCCAAAAAAAGUUGCAAAACCCAAACAAAAGAACAAAUCACCUAGGCAAAUACAAAGGACAAAUCACCAAACCAAAGCUCCACAACACCAAAACAUGAUGACUUGUAAACUUCUCAUAACACACACAAAAAAAAAAAGAAACUCAACCACCAUUUGAAGCCUAUGAAAUUUUCUUUUUAGAAAAAGAAAAAGAAAAUCUCAAAUCUAACAAGUAUUAAAUUUUACUAUCAAAAUAGUAGAAUAUUGUCUUCCAUGUAUAGCUUUAAAUUUAAGUUAUUUGUGAUGUAUACUCAAGUAAAUAAUAAUGUGAUUUCAAAUCAGUUAAAUAAAUUUAGGGUAAUUUACACCAACAGUCACUCAACUUUGGGAUAGUUGACAAAACAACCACUUAGGUUUCAAUUCAGUCACUUAACUUUCAAAAAUAACAAAGUAGUCAUUUUAACCAUUUUCUGUUAUAGACGUAAUGAAAAAGUGACAUGACAAAUGACGGAUUCCUUGUUGUCAUUAACCAACUAGCUGAUCGGUUAGCACCAAUUUAAACAGCCCAUUUAGCACUAAUUUAGAGUUUAGGCAGUAGAAUAAGAAGAGGAGGAGGAGGAAGAGGAGGAGAGAAAAAAUGGAGAUGUCGACUGUGACUCCGGUGUGCUAUUGUAGAAACCUAGCAAAAUUAAACACGUCUUGGUCUAAUGACAACCCAGGUAGGAGGUUUUUUGGGUGUAAGAAGUUUGGGAGUGGGUUUCAAAAACCAUGUUAUUUUUUCACCUGGAUUGAUCCACCAUUGAUGCCCCCCGUUCACGAAUUUUGUUGUUGGGUCUUCUAAAAAAGUGAGGACAUUGGAGGAUGCAAGGAGGAGGGAGAGAAAAACAUGAGUUUUGGUGCUUGUACUUGUAAUAUUGUUGUUAUUUUUUAAACCCUAAACCAGUUUAUGUGAUAGCUGAUGUUGUUGUUGUUGUUAACACUGAAAACCAACUUAUGUGGCUGUUGGUAUCCUGUUUUGUUAUCCAUUCAUGGUUAGUGGAAGCUAGGGGUCCUAAAUGUAAUGGUUUGUAAAGGGUAGAAGUUUGCUUAUGGACUUGAAAGUUGAAAGACUAAUUGUAAUGGGAGAGUAUUUGGUUGUUGUAAUGGUCUGGUAUUCUCACAUAUUUGUAUUUUAUUUCAUUUGAUUUUCUGAAUGUUUAAUCUUCUUUUAAAACUUUAAAGAGUAUUUAGUUAUUGUUUUUUAUUUUCUUACAUUACAUGGAUCAAUGCUUAUAUGUUAGAAGAGAUAAAAUAGAUGGAAAAAAGACAGAAACACAUUAGUCAGCAUUAAACUUCUUUCAUAUAUUAAGGCCAAACUGUUUACAAAAGGAAGGGCAAACUAUUGCCAAAUUCACCUACAAUUCAACAUAUUUGAAUUGUAGGCAACUUUACAAAAUAUUUCAGUGGCUAUAUGCCUAAGUUUAGAAAACAGUAGCAAUCAUAGGCAAAUUUACAAAAAAAAUAAUCUGCCUAAUCUAAGAAAUUAGUUGGUGUGUCGUUGAAAGCACCAAAUAGAUCCUAACCCUAAAUAACAAAAAGAAAUAGUAUAAGGGGAGUAGGGUCAAAUCCUUUAGGACUGGAUCGGUACAGCUUCUUGUUCCUCAAAAUCCUGGGCAUAGUCGUGCCCAAGAAAAAUGUCUAACCUGGAAAAUUUAAAAAAAUAUAUAUAAUUAAGAAUAUGGACGAGUUGAAAUUAAAUAAAUUGAAACUGUACUUGUGAAAAGAAGUAUAAUUAAGAAAAAGGGAUUUUUCAAUUGAGGGAUUCUAACCUUUGGUUAUCUCGAUCCUCCUUUGGUUCAAUCAUAGGCUUUUAGGUGAUCAUUCUCAUGACUGAAUAGGCUUGUUAUAGUGGAAGAAGACACCUAUGACCACCAGUUCCACUUAGGUUAUAGCCUUACGAUUUAGAGGAACCUGACUCUAGCCAACCGUCACUUUCGUGGGACCGUCUUACACUAGAUCAUCGUUUCUCAAUGGCGAAUUCGUCUCUUAGGCUAGACAACCUCUGAUGCAGUAAGUUAGUGAACCAACUGUGAAUCUUCCCAAAACAUACAAAGCGCCCACCUUAGCACAAGAUAAAAAUAUUACUUUUAGAAGGACAUGAAUGGAAGCGUUAGUCCCAUAAUGCAGAGAAAUGAUGAAUACUCGUUGAGAAGGGUUAAGUACGAGUUCUAAGCCUAAUGAACUCUUUUUGAGGAAUCUUUAUAACAUUUGGCUAGACAAGUUUAAUGACUCAUGCUUUUUGGGAAAAAACACAAGUUUUAAUGAAAUAAAAUUUUAUUGAAAAAGAAACAAAAAGGCUAAGAGCCUUAGGGGGAAAGAGUUUUUUACAAAAGUGUUGAGUGAAUAUUCAUGUCACUCCAUCCCCUAUUUAUAGUACAUAAAAAAUCUAGUUUGUUACUAUUUAAACUCUAUAUGAUAAUAUUUAAGAGAUAUAAUUUGAAAUUAAAUCUAAACAAUAUAACAAUUCUAACAAUAAUCCUAAAAAUAAAAUUAAAUUUAAACAAAGUCUUAUGUUCAUAAAUCUCUUCUUCGAAAUUUUACCCCAAGUCUUCUACACUUUGUAUUUUCGGCACUACUUCUUCCCUAUUUUGCAUGCUGACCCGUUUUGUAUUUAAAUUCACGCUUUUUGUCCCUAAAUUUCUUUUUACCUUCAAUUUAGUCCCUACAAGAUAAAAAACCAUAAACAACCAAAAUUAGUAGGAUCAUACUCAAUAUAUAUAUGUAAUUAACACAUAAAAGUAUGUCAUUUUUUAGUAUUAUCACUAGUAGUAGGUAUAGGUCUAGACAAAUUUAGGCAAGUUCAAGAAGUUGACAAAAUAACGUCCUGUUCCCAAUGUCAUCAUUAGUUUGUCAUGGAUGACUCUUGAGUAGAAGGUAUCCAUCUAAAAGUGGUUGGUUUCCUCUUGAAUGGAAGAUUUCCUCUUGGAGCAACAUCUUUUUGGUGAGUUGGGGCAACCUCCUUCUGAGUUGGGGUAGUUUCUUGUUGAUUUGGGGCAACCACUUGGUUGUGAACACCAAAUUUGUGUCUUUUUACCUACAAGAAUAAGUGAAAUCCAUAAAAAAAUUUGCAUUUAUAAGUAAUAUAAUGGAACAAAAGCAAAUGACUUACUAGAAGUUUUUGCUAACUUCUUCUUUGCAACUCCUCUUAUUGUGGCCUUUUUUGUUGCAUUUACUGCACCUCAUUUCCACCCCUCUCUUGGUCAACCUUUCUAUUUCUUGUGGUUCAUCAGAUUCUUUCCUUCUCACCUUAGUAGGUCUGUCAGGUGACUUUCUCAAUGUAGGAGGCAGUAUUGAUAGCAUGUUUGGCAUAGAUGAAGUUGGAGUAAAUGGCAAGCUGGGUUUAUGAAGUUGGAGUAAAUGGCAAGCUGGGUUUGCUUGGUGUACCAAGUUUGUACAUAAUUUUUUGGGAACUCAUCUUUUAGAUGAAUGACACCCACUCCAUGUAUGCAAGGGGUGCCAAUGAGAUCCCAAUUCCUGCAGGAGCAAGAAUUCUCAACUAGGUCCACCACAUGCUGACCACUUGGAUCACAUUCAACCUGAUACCUAUCCCCAAAAACAUGUGAUGGAACACACCUAAAAAAUAAUCACUAUAAUAAUAUUAAAAACAUGUGAUCGCCCCACCAACAAUCAUACAUAAGGCAUAAAUAUAUUAAAAAUGCCAGAAUAAAGACAUACAUGUAUUUGUCCAACAACAUGUGAUCAACCCCACUAGCUAUCAUACAUAGGCAGAAUAAAGACAUCAGUAUAUUAAAAAAAUUAUCUAUUUACCUCAGUGAAUCUUUGAUAUUGACAUCUAGCUUUUUCUUGAUCUUUGGACACAAGAUUCUUUUAAUUUUUUCAGCUUUUUAUUUAUUCUUGACAAUCAACAACAUAAUCUUGGUCUUAAUUGUUUCCAUCAUGGUCAGGAUAGAUUUCCCUCUUGCUUUCAAUAUCACCUGCCAGUAAGUAACAUAAAAGAUUAGUGAAUUACAUGUCCUUAAUGAUUAGUAACAUAAAAAAAAUAGGGGUUUACCUUGUUAAAGCAUUCAGAAAAAUUAUUCACCACCAUGUCAGACUGGCUCCUAAUUGAGAAGUGGGACCUUGACCAGUGAGUAGGGUUCUUUUCUUUCAACCAAUCAUAAGCAUGUUGAUUGGUAUUCUUCAGUUCAGCCAUGACAUCCUCAAAAUCCCUUGGAGUGCUUGCUCUGACAGCUUUCCAAAGCAAAUCUUUCAAUUUCUUUGUUAGGAAACCAACUUUCUUGAAAUUUGAAUGUAGAUGUCUAACACAGUGUCUUGUUUCUACAUUAGGAAACAACAUAUAUAUUUCUUCUAAAAAUCCUGCAAAUAGAAGAAAAAUAGUUUAAUUUUUUGACAUAUCAUAAACCCUAAAUAGAAACAACAUAAAACAAGUAGACAAAUCAACUAGUAUUACCUUUUGUUUGUAAGAUAUGAAAGAUAUCUAGUAUGAGCUCACAAUUUCCAGGUCUAAUGCGAGGAACUCUAAGAACUAGAGCCAUGAUGCUUAGUUUUCACUUUAAAUAGCAGCAUAUGCAAUAGGAUGGAUGUCAUUAUUUGCAUCUAUCCCAAUAGCUGCCAGUAGGUAGCCACCAAAGUAGCCCUUCAAGAAACAUCAAUCUAAACCUAUUAUCCUCCUACAAAAAACCCUAUAGCCAUCUUUGCAUACCUGCAGACAGACAGACAGGCAUUCUUUGAAACAACCUGUUAUCUAGAUAACAGAUUGUUGUUGUUCCCUCAUUCUGGGUCUUAACCUCCAACAAAUAUUCAUAAAUCUUCUCAUAUUGUGCCUUAUGAGCUCCUUCAAUUAAUUCAAAUGCCCUAAGUUUAGCCCUCCUACAUUUGGUUAGUGAGACAAGUCAAAGGAAAUCUUUUUUCACAUCUUGUUGCAAUGAUGUCAAAGAAUAAUCAGGAUUAACAAUGAACUAUUCUUUAUAAUGUUUACCUAUCCAAGAUGAGGUUACAUUUUUAUUUUUAUAGACUUGAGAGCAAAUAAUGUUUACCCUAUUAGACACAUCACUAUCAUAUACAUCCCUAACAGACACAUCAAAAUUAGAUAUUUCUUCUUCAAUCUCAUUAAAAUUAUCAUAAAUUAAAAAUGCCAAACAAAUUUAACAUCAAUAAAGGAAGACAACAACCAAACAAUUUAAUACAACAUGACAGACAAUAACCAAUACAAUAUAAAAGCUAAAGAACAAAUUUAAUCCAAUUCAUAUUUGAAACUAGGAAUAGAUUUCUCUCUUUAUAACCAAACAAUAACAAAACUUGAUACCGUUACUCAUAAAAAUAGUAAAAGAUUUGUCUCUUUCCUAAGGCAAUUAGUAUGCAAAUGACAGACAAUAAGUUACAAAAAUCCAAACAUGCAAUUCAGAUUGAUACAAACAAUAAACAUAUUUUCCAGGUACAUUUAAAAUACUCAUAAAUCAUAUUUGAAUAGAUAAAUCAGUUUGAUACAAACAAUAAACAUGACAUACAUAGUAUCAUGCACAUGGAAAACCAUACACAAUAUCUACCAUUCACUUUAAUAACCAGACCUAAACCCCAUGUGAAUAACAAAUGAAAUCAAAAUUUGUCAUGGACUUUAAUAACAAAUGAAACCAAAAUUUGGCAUAAACCCCAUGUGAAUGCAACAUUUUUCAAAUUUUAAAUCUAGACAACCCUAAAUUGAAAUAACCCUAAAUGCAAAAAAUAAAAAAACCAAAUACAGAAACUUACCCAUUACAGUGGAUGUAACAACAUUGGCAACUUCUUUUCUAUUAACCAAUGUGGCUAAAAACCAAAAACACCGAUAACUUCCCCCUUUUGUCUUCUUUUCUCCCCAAACAAAAAAAAACCAAUUGAUUUCUAAUCCUAAACCCUAUUAAUCAAUUUCCUAAUGGAUUUUCUAACCUUAAACCAACCUUGUUAAUCAAUUCUCCAAUCGAUUUCUAACCUAGAACCCUGUUAAUCGAUUUUCUUUUCCUCCUCCCCUUAAUCACAAUCAAUUUUUUUACCCUAAACCCAUCUAUUAAGCUUUUUCCCUAAACUCGAGUCAAACCCUGACCCUUCCAAUGCUUCACCAAUGUGCAAGUUAAUUGGCCACAUCAGCUAGUUAACUUGCCACAUCAACGGUCCUAUUAAGACAGUAAUGGAAAAUGUUAAUAAGUGACGUAUUUGCACUUUUGAUAACGUUAGUGGCUGAUUUGUUAUUUUUCAAAAAUUGUGUGACAAAAUUGAAACCUGAGUAGUGACUGUUUUGUCAGCUACCCCCAAGUUGAGUGAUUGUUGGUGUAAUUUACCCAUAAAUUUAUAAGUACUUGUGGUUUUAUAUUCAAAUUGAAUCUUUUCGUUAAUUGUAAUUUUCAAAGACGAAAAUUUACGUAGGGUCGCUUUUACAAAUAAAACAUGAACUAUUCUUUCAUAAAAACACUUGUAUAGUAUGAAAAGGACAUGAUUCUCAAUUGUAUAAGUCAAGGUCUUUUAUAAUUCGUAUUAAUGCAUUGUUUAAUAUCAACAAGGAAUCUUUAGCCCCUUCUUUCUAUCUAUGUCUUCCUCCCAUUUUCCUUUGAUGUGAUGGAUUAAACUAUGUAGAGUAACCAAUAAUUAUACCAAAUUCUAUUAAUUUUUUUUGUAUAUUUGAAAUCAAAUUCUCAAUUUUAAUAAUAUGUAAAACAUCAAUAAAUAAUUUCAACUUAAAACAUAUUUCAAUGAAAACGUGUUUGAUGGAGAUCCUCAACAUAUUCUUCCAUUAACCGCAUUGAAAGAAUGACCACUUUUUCCUUCAUUGGUGUUUUUCAUGCGUUGAGCCAUUAUUAAUCUCCCUCAUAUUGGGUUGCCUUUUACACUUUCUUCCAUUCAAACAUGAAUUUGUAAAGUGGCCUCCUUUUUCACCAUCAAUUUCACACAAGCUUUCCACAAGAAAUCUUAUUUUAAGACUGCAUUAUUCACGUUUGGGCCAAACACAGAAUUAUUUUUCAUCUCUCCAUUGCUUCCACCCUCUAUCCUUUUCAACUUUUUACCCUUACUUUCCAUUUUCAUUAUUCAUUGUUUUAUUUAAUAAAAUGAUAUAAUACCUGUUAAGUUGUUCUUAAAAAAAUUAAUGAACGCGAGAUAAAUAAAAUUUAUCAACAUUUAGUUAUAGUGUUUAAAUAUAUUUAUAUUUAUAUUUAAUUAUAUGUGUUUGAAGAUAAAAUUGAUAUAAUUUGUAAAUAUGGAGGGUUAAAUUUAUUGAAUCAUUUUGAAUUAGAAUUAAAUUGAUAGAAUAUAUAAGUAUUGAGGAAUAAAUGUAUUAUUAUAGCAGUUAGAAAAGGCAACAUCAUUGUUAACUAUUUAACGAAGAGUGACCAAAAUAGAAAUAAUCUAAAAUGUGAGAAAACAAAAUAGAAAUGAUUUAAAAUGUUAGUGACUAAAUUAAAAAUUUUCAUAGUUAGGUGACCAAUUCUAUAGUUUACCCUAGAUAGUAGAAGCAAUUAGGAUUAAUUCCACCAAGCAUCUCAAACUAUUACUCAGAUUUUAAAUUGCACCCUAAACUUGUAUACAUUCUAAUUGAAUCCUCAAAGUAUCAAUAUUGUAUCAACCAGGCCCUUCUGCCAAUUUAGCUAUCAAUUUGAGCAUUAAAUGUCAGUUUGGAUAUGAUGUAAAACAUAUUUAAAACACGUGGUUGAAAUUGUAAAUAUGUAUGUAUUUAUCGCAAGGAUAACUAGGAUAUCACAUAUUUAAAAAACAACGGCAAUAACAUUUAAGAAUCUUUUUCAUUUUCUAAAUAUAUGUUUAGCAUGUUAGAUUCAAGUAGUUUAUGGAAUAGAUGCAAACAUAUUUACAAUUUGAUCUACAUUUGUGCUUUUAAAUAUACUAUAUGUUAGAUUUAAAAGUGUUCAUUGGUUGGGCUUGGAUUUAAGUUUUUAACCUUGGACCAGCCCGACCAGGCUCAUUUUAUUAUUAAAAAAUAAAAAUAAUUUUAUAUUAAUAUAUUUUCAUAAUUAAAUUUGAAUAAUUUUACUAUCUUUUAAUUAGUGUAAUGGGCUAUUUGGCCAAGCCGAACCCUAGCCUAGAAUUUUUUUUGAAACCGAGCCUAUGCUAGAUUUAAUCUAUGAACACUUCUAAUUAGAUUCACUUAUUAUUUUUAAAUUAACAAUUAAACUGACAAAAAGACUUAACUAAUAAGAUUUUAAGAUUCAAUUACAUGGUUUCAAAAAUUUAACAUACGAAGUUACAACAAAAAGUUAAACUUUGCGUACAACUAUGUUGUUAGCUUGAUUGAUUUCUUACUACUUAUUAAUAUCUUUUGUUACUUAACAAAUUUGACUUGAAGAUAUUUAUAGCUAUUUCAAAUACUGGAUUUCCGUGCAUUUAUUUUUAUACUUUACAUUGGAUUAAUUAUAUAUUUUGAGAAAAUAUAAUAUUUGAUGCAUUAAACGUAACUAUUAUAAAUAAAUAUUAAUAACUUUCGGAUUUAAGAUGUUGAGUUUAAAGUUUAGGGUUUAGCAUUUAUUUAUAGAUAAUUAUGUAAUAAAAUUAUUAGUAUUUUUAUAAGUUUUUCACUAAUUUUUUGUUUUAUUUAAUAAUGAUGUAUUAUGUUAUUAUUCACUAAGAGUGCGAAUAACUUAUGCACCAAUAAUACAUCAAAUAUUCUCGAAAAUUAAAUUUAUAUGAGAAAUCCUAUUAUAACAAUUUGUAAACAAAAAGUUGUCUAAAAUUUUCCACUACUAAUUUUAGAAAUAAUUUCUGAAUAUAUUUUUCCACUACUAAUUUUGCAUUAUUUUACCUCCUUAUUGAAAUUUUUUGGGUUUUCUUUUUUUACUAAGCCAUAUCAAUUUUAUUAAAAAGAUAGAAAGACAAACUUUACAAACCAGUGCAGCUAGCAAAAACACAUCAGGGAACAUUGCCGUGAGAGAGUGUUGAAAAAAAAAGGCUGCUGCUAAAAAAAACAGAACAAAGAACUGCAACGGAAGCAAUGGGAAUUUAGAGAAAUUGAUAACAGUGAUGCAAAACACUUUAUUCCAUGAAGAGUUUAAAUACUGAAAUAGCUAACAACUUAGAGAUAUAUUAGGACUCUAAUAGAAUCUUGAUACAUCUCCUAAAUAAAAGGAACACUACUGGAAUUAAAAAAACAGACUUACAACAGACUUUGACUGACUCAACGUCUAAAUUAUUCAAUCAGUAAAUAAUUUCUACAUUACCCAUUAACACUCCCCCUUAAGGUAGAAACUCUCCAACACCCAACAAUUCUCUCAAAUAAAUGAACUUCUUCGGUGGAAGUGGCUUUGUGAACAAAUCAGCAACUUGUUCUUCAGUGCAACAGUGCUCCAACUUGAUAUCUCCCUUUGCAACCAGCUCUAUUAUGAAAUGAUGACGUGUUUCAAUGUGCCUUGUUCUACUGUGAUAAACAGGGUUUUUUGUCAUUGCAAUUGUUGACUGAUUAUCACAAUAGAUGGUAGUUGCCUCCACUUGUGUUUGCUUUAAAUCACCAAGAAUUCUUCGUAUCCAGACAGCUUGACACGCAGCAGUAGUAACAGCCAUAUAUUCAGCCUCCGACGAUGAUAAUGCAGUUGCUGGUUGCUUCUUUGAGCUCCAUGAAACAGCUCCGCUACCCAUAGUAAAAACGUAACCAGUUGUACUCUUGCGAUCUUCAAUGCAACCACCCAAAUCACUAUCUGAAAAACCAUACAGUCUUUGAUUGUUAGAGAAUUUAUACCAUAUUCCAAAUGAGCUUGUCCCCUUCAAAUAGCGCCAGAUUCGCUUGGCAGCUCCAAAGUGAUGCUUGCUUGGACUCUGCAUAUAUCUAGACAAGAGACUUGUUGCUUGCAAAAUAUCAGGUCUACUAUUUGUUAGAUACAACAGACUCCCAAUCAAACUUCGAAACAAUUGACAAUCAAUUUUCUCUCCCCCAUCAUCUAAGCAAAAUUUUUGAUUGGUGCACAUUGGAGUACUCAUGAGAUUGCAGUCCUUCAAGUUGAACUUUUCAAGGAGAUCAUUCACAUAUUUUUCUUGAGACAUAAAAAUACCCUCUGCACAUUGUUUAAUUUCAAGCCCCAGAAAGAAACUUAUCAACCCCAAAUCAGUCAUUUCAAAUUCGUCUGUCAUCAGCUUUUUAAACUCAUUCAACAAAGCACUACUAUUGCUAGUAUAAAUCAAAUCAUCAACAUAAAGGCAAAUAAUGAGAAUUUCAGAAGUACCUCUACUUUUCACAUAUAGAUUUGGCUCACUGGGACUUCUUUGAAAACCAUUAUUGCUGAAAUGUCCAUCAAUUCUUCCAUACCAGGCUCGCGGCGCUUGCUUUAAGCCAUAUAGAGCCUUUUUCAACCUAUACACUUUCUCUUCUUAAUUUGUAAGCUCAUAACCUUUUGGUUGCUGCACAUAUACUUCUUCUUCUAAGAUCCCAUUUAAAAAGGCCGACUUGACAUCGAACUGAUAAAUUUCCCAACUUAAUUGAGCUGCAAUUGACAAAAUAACACGUAUGGUGUCAAAUCUUGCUACCGGAGAGAAAGUUUCUUGGAAAUCUAACCCUUCACGCUGCAUGUACCCUCGUGCUACCAGUCUUGCUUUAUGCUUUUGAAUGGAACCAUCAGCCAGGAAUUUAGUUUUGAAAAUCCAUUUUAACCCAACAGCUUCUUUUCCAUUUGGAAGAUCUACUAAUUCCCACGUCUUGUUCCUUUCCAAGGCUUUCAUUUCAUCAUCCAUUGCAUCUCGCCAUUCCUUGGAUUUGAUUGCUUGUUCAAAGACAAUUGGAUCUUCAAUUUGGGCGAAUUGGCAUUGUUCAGUGCUUGCAUAAAUUUCUGCCAAUGAUCUCCAUUUUCUAGGUGGUGAUUCUGAUAAAGAAGAGCUUGAUGAAGUGGUAUUUGGAAUUACUGAAGGACUGUUUGGUGCUGAUGAGCAAGAACUUCCAUCUUCAUUUUCUUGACUCGGAUGAGUGUCGAGACAUUCACCAACUUCAAGUAAUGCUUUUGAACCUGCUUGUAAUUCUUUCCAAUUCCAAGAGCUUUUCUCAUCAAAAACAACAUCACGACUAAUUAAUAGCUUCUUAGAUAAAGGAUUAUACAAUCGAUAUCCUUUAGUUUCAUAACUAUACCCAACAAAGAUACAUUUAGUGCUAUUAUCAUCUAACUUUCCUCUCUUUUGAGAUGGAAUAUGCCCAAAUGCAAUGCAACCAAAAAUUCUCAUAUGAGUUACCUCAGGUUUCCACCCAUUUCAAGCUUCAAAUGGUGUUUUUUGUUCUAGAGCUGCUGUUGGAGAUCGGUUGAGGAUGUACACUGCUGUGUGAACGGCUUCUGCCCAGAAACUUUUUGGAAGAUUUUUAGCUUUAAGUAAGCAUUUUCCCAUCUCAACAAGACUUCGAUUCUUCCUCUCAGCGACUCCAUUUUGUUGAGGACUGUAGCUUGCUGUUAGCUGGCGUUGAAUGCCAGAUUCUUCACAGAAUUUGUUGAAUUCAGUAGAAAGAAAUUCUCCACCACGAUCUGUCUGCAAGGUCUUUAUAGGCUGGCCACUUUGUUUCUCAAUACUUACUUUAAACUUCUUGAAAACUGAAAGAGCCUCUGAUUUUUCUUUGACAAAGUACACCCAUGUCAUUCUACUAUAGUCAUCAACAAAGACUAAAAAGUACCUGUUGUUAUUGAGAGAAAGUGUUCUCAUCGGCCCGCAAAGAUCAACAUGAAUAAGUUCAGCAAGUUGGGAAGCUCUCCUUGCCUUGCCCUUUGGAAAUGAAUCUCGAUGUUGUUUCCCAAAUAUACAGCUCUCACACACAUCACCAAUAUUUUUUAUUAGAGGUAAACCAUCAACUAAAUUCUUUUCAGACAUGAGUUUUAAACUACCAAAAUUUAAGUGCCCAUAUCUGUGAUGCCACAACCAAUUUUCAUCAAAUGAUUCCGCCUUCAAAGCAAGCUUUUCAUCAAUUGUGAGAUUAUAAGGAAAAAUCUUAUUUUUUGCCAUUGGAACACUCGCUAACAGGUGCUUUUUCGAUUUAUCCUUAAAAAUGCAGCAAUUGAAUUCCUCAAAGACAAGUGAAUACCCAUCCACCAUAAAUUGCCCAACACUUAGCAAAUUAGAAUCCAAGUCUGGAACAUACAAAACAUUAUGAACGCAAUUAAGACCUAGGGAAUUCAUCUGUACCGUACCUUUUCCCUUUGCUACACGAACAGUUCCAUCACCAAGCGUUAUUCGGCUAGUUACUAACUUAUCUAAGUUGCUGAAGAGACUUAAUUCACUCGUCAUAUGAUUGCUACAACCACUAUCUAUGUACCAAACCUCAGGAGAACACUUCUUAGCACUAAAGCAUGCAACGAACAGGCUCUUUGUCUCAUCUUCUUCACUAUCUUCAUGAGCCAAGUUAGCCUGCUUCUCUUUAAGCUUGCAAAACCUCUCAAUGUGCCCGAACCUUUUGCAAUAGUAGCAUUGUUUUGGACUACUAUUUUCUCCUUUAUCGUCAUCUCUAUACCGUUGGUUCUGUCCAUUGAAUCGUCCACCAGCCCUACCUCUUCUUCUCCCACGAGAUGAAUUUCCUCCACGCCAGUCAUUGAAGUUUCUUUCGUUGGUGCCCUUUCCACCACGAGAGUAUUGCGACCUACUAUAAAAGGCAUUCUCAACAGACACAUUAUCAUACCUUUUAAUCCUAUCAUCAUGAGAAUAAAGAGAGCCUUGCAACUCAUCAAUUGUUAACACACUCAAAUCUUUUGAUUCUUCUAUAGCUGCAACAACAUGAUCAUAUUUCCUCGGUAAACUCCUAAGAAUCUUCUCAACUACCCUUUGCUCACUUAAAUCCUCACCAUAUUUUUGAAUUUGAUUCACAACAUCAAUUAUUUUUGACACAUAAUCAUCCAGAACAUCAUCAUCUUCCAUAAUAAAAUUAUCAAACUUCCUACGUAGAGUUUGAAGUUUGACAGUCAUCACCUUUGCAGUACCUUGAUAUGCCGUUCGCAGCGUGUCCCAUGCUUCUUUCGAACGCGUCACCGCUUCAAUGCGAGGAAAAAUUGAUUCAUCUACAGCUUGUUGGAUAAAAAACAAAGCUUUAGCAUCCCUCUUUCUUAUAUCUUUGAGAGUCUCAACUGCUGCCUCCUCUUCAUCGUAUCCAUUUUCCACCAAGUCCCAUAGGUCUUGGGACAAAAACAAAGUCUUCAUCUUAGUGCUCCAAACUCCAUAGUUGCUGCCUUGAAAAAUUGGAACCAACGGUUGUGAGAGGUUCACUCCAUUCUGAUUGCUUGCCAUCAUAAGUUUGAACACAGGCCUCGAGUAGCUCGGAUACCAGAUGUUGAAAAAAAAAGGCUGCUGCUAAAAAAACAGAACAAAGAACUGCAACGGAAGCAAUGGGAAUUUAGAGAAAUUGAUAACAGUGAUGCAAAACACUUUAUUCCAUGAAGAGUUUAAAUACUGAAAUAGCUAACAACUUAGAGAUAUAUUAGGACUCUAAUAGAAUCUUGAUACAUCUCCUAAAUAAAAGGAACACUACUGGAAUUAAAAAAAUAGACUUACAACAGACUUUGACUGACUCAACGUCUAAAUUAUUCAAUCAGUAAAUAAUUUCUACAUUACCCAUUAACAGAGAGGACCUAAGAAAACAUAAUACAUACUACAUAACAUACAAUCAAGCACCCACACAAAAUAUAUAUUAAACUGCUACAGAAAAAGGCCUGCAUACCACCAAGCUACGAAGUUUUCUGUUCUGUUUGCAACUUGUUGACCUCGCCAAAGAGUUGCCUUCUCUACCUUUUUGCAAAUCUUUUUCGAACUCGCUCGACGAUCUUGAUUAACCACCAUGGAUUUCCUGUCGUAAAUGCAAUGUACCCCAUGCUCAUUCCCAGAACCAACCCACAUCCAUACCCCAUCAAUAUAGAAAAUUUCCAAUUCAAUUCAUCACCAUCAACAUCAUCUCUAUCAAAUUUGGCUGGAGUUUCCUCAUCAGUAUCACAGCUUUUUGAUAAUGGUAAACCACAUAAAUCCAGAUUUCCAAUGUAGGAAUCAUUAGUGAAAGUAUCAAAUUGUUUGCCUCGAGGAAUGGGUCCCUUGAGAUUAUUUUGAGAAAGGUUUAACACCUUUAAGAAUCCAAGAUUUUUUAACUCUGUCAGACUUCUUCCUUCGAGUUUGUUUGUUGAGAGAUCUAAUGAUUCAAGCUCUGACUAAUGACCUAAAGAUGAUGGGAUAGGACCUAUUAAACAGUUAUGGGAGAGGUUUAGGACAAUAAGUAAAUGAAGCUCACCAAGUAUUUUUGGAAUUUCUCCUUAGAAUUGAUUACUAGAAAGGUCAAUAAUCGUCCAAAUGGAUAAUAGUGAUUCAAACUCUGUUUCCAACCCUUUUGUUGUAAAAGAUAAAGCAAAAGCAGAAUUCAAUGUCUUUUUACCAAGCAGAUCUUUCAUGUACCCUGGUUCAACUUUCUUUCCAUACCCUUCUCUAAUGGCAUGCAAACGUUCAAAAAAAUUGGUAGGUAAGUAGCCACUGAAGUUAUUGCAAGAAAGAUCAAUGAUACGCAAACGAGUUAAGCAAACUGUAACAUCAAAGCUAUCCACUUGGCCAUAAAAUCUAUUCGACCUCAAGAUAAGAACAUGCAGCCGAUCCAAAUUUCCUAACCAAUUUGGGGAAGUGUCAUUCAAAUUGUUGUUUCCAAGAUCAAGAAGGUUUAAAUCUUUGCAAUUAGCCAAAGAUCGUGGUAGUGACCCUUCUAAUUUAUUGUUGUUGAUGCGAAAACUUUUCAACAUGCAACCACGAAAAUUAUUAUUCCCUAGAUCAAUUUCUAAGAUAGAAGAACUCAAGUUUCCAAGGCACUCUGGAAUCGUUCCAUCCAAAUUAUUCUUAGAUAGAUCGAGACCCGUAAGAGAAGUCAAAUUGCAUAUUGAGGAGGGGAUUUUUCCAAUUAAAUUAUUGUCCAAAACUCCAUACCAUUGCAAUGAAGGUGGUGGUGUUUGAAUUCUGCCUUGGAGAUAAAAUUAGAAUAGAGUUAGAAUUAAGGAUUUGAAGAUUUUUUGGAAUAUAAAAUGCAAAAUAACUACAUAUUUUAUGUAAUACAGGUAUGUUGUGUAUAACCAAUAAAAAUAGUUGGUACUACACUACUUCUAACCAUUUUUAGAUGCAUGAGAACAAUUUUUAAGUUGUAAUCUAUCGAAAGAAUCUACUAAUACAUUCUAAACUAAAUUUUAUUUCCAUUACUUAAAAAUAAAAAGAGAUUUCAUAAAUGUAUACAAAUAUAAAAAUAAAAUAAAAUAAAUUAUACCUAACGGUUUGUUGUAAAAGAGAUAAACAUAUGUAAAAGAAGUCAUGCACUCUAUUUCUUUCUUAUUCAAAAAUAUCAACUAUGGCUGAGCAACAAUUAAUUCAACACGUAAAUAAUAAGGCAACUCUAAAGGGUAGUAGAAAUAGCUACUCACAAGUCUGGUCUGUUUCAAAAGGGUACCAAAUUAAAAUUCUAAUCUUAAAUUAAAUAAAAAAAGUAUCGAAUAAUUAAUGAAAUUUCACCUAAAACAUAUCAUUAAAAUUGUCAAAAUUUAUUAUUAUUAUUUUUUAGCAGACCUUAAUUUCAAUGCGGAUAGGUAUAAGUCUGAAACAUAUAAUAUGUACUCUGUUUCUGUGUAAUCAAACCUAGAACUCAUGUACUCUCUUUCUUUCCUAUUCAAUAAUAUCAACUAUGGCUGAGCAACAAUUAAUCCUAACACAUAAAUAAUAAGGUAAAUUUAAAGGCUAGUUACAAGUCUUGUGUGAUUCAAUAAAUUUUCACUAUUCUGUUUUCGAAAGGUAGCAAAUUAAAAUUCAAAUCUUAAAUUAAUUUAAUGGAAAAUACAAAUUAAAAUUUAAUUCUUUUCUCAUCAUCAAAUAAUUUUACUUUAGAAAAUACAAGUUAAUAGAGGUUAACUUUGUUGACUACGUGUGGAUUGCAACAUUAAUAAUUAAUAAUUUAAAAAUAUUAAAAUUCAAAAAAAAUUACUAAAUAUUUUAAAUUAAAAAUUUUUAAGUAAUUAUUGAUGUGACAUACACGUGAACUUCCACAUGGAUGUCAUGUCAGUAAAGUUAAUAGACGUUAAUUUUUCUAUUCAUUUUGGAAUAAUUUGACAAAAAACAAAAACAAAAAUUAAAUAAAUGACUAAAAUAACUUUUUUAUAAGCUUGAAGGACCAAAUAAGUCAUUAGGUCAAUAUAACAUACGAAACCAAGCCAUUACUACAUGGAUACAUGGAAAAAAAAACAAACAUUUUUGCACAUACAGACAUAUUUUUGAAAAAUUAACUCGGAAACCACGCCACAUGGCAUUCAAAAAAUCAUUAAAUCUUUUGAUCAACCAAUGAAUUUUUUUUUCGCUAAUUUAGGAGACUCAAGUAAAGAACCAAGGAAGUUGUUGAUUACGGUAUAAGAAUUGGAAACCAUCAAUGGUGUUAUUGAUGAGGAGAAAAUGAAUGGAAAUCCAAGAGAAGUGUUGAAUUAUCCCACGUUUUUUUAAAGCCAAAAGUAAGAUAUUUAGGAACUAAAAGUUUAUAAAACUAAUUAAUAUUAUAUAAUAAAAUCUAACCAUAAGGUUAGGUGAGAUAGCAAGGGUCUCUUCUACCUUAAUAAGUGGUUGGGGGUUCAAUCCUCACCUUGAGUAUGGACAAACUUUAAAACUCGUGACCAACAUCUACACCUCAAUGACCUACAAAAAAACAGCAGCAGAAUUAUGGAGAAAGUUAGAAACCUUAUACUUGACAAAGUCUCUUGCUAAUUGUUUGGUGCUAAAGUAGCGGCUAUACACAUUCUGUAUAUAAACUGUAAAAUAAAAAUAGGAGGGUUGCUGAAAGUUGGAUCAAAGUCAAGGAAUCAAGACAAGGUAUGUGAUUACUACAAGAAGUUGGGUCAUAUUAAGGCAGAUUGUUAUAAACUGUAAAACAAAAAUACAUACGAGUUAUAUAUAUACGCUUCUUAAAGAUUUAUACGAGUUAGAUCCAGUCAAGCAUGUCAAAGUAUGUAGAAAUAGUUUUGGUCAACCUGUUGGAUCAGAAGCUUGACUUUUAGCAGGCUAUUGAGGCAUCUUAGCACGAAACGCAAAUAUGUUGCCUAUCAAUUACGAGUCAUAGCAUAAAAUGCCUGAUAGUAACAAAAAUCAAGCUCUCGAAAAUAUUAAGGUAACAAAACAUUAAUGUCAUUUAUAAUACUUGGGUUUAAGUUUCAUUUAUAUUUACUUUCUUAACUUGUAUUUUUUGUAGGCAAAGUUUGCUUUAGAGGUCUCCGAUACUUAUGUAAAGAAGGCAUUAGGGAAAAGAUAGAGAGACCAUAAAAGUACGUUAAAGAAAGAUUAUUUUAAGAUAAAAACAAUCCUCGAAGAGAAAUUGCAAAAUGUCCCGCCGGGAAUGCUGAGGUACCAAUGGGAAGAUGCAGCUAGAUUUUGGAAUUCAAAGAAAGGAGAGGUAUUACGAACUUCUAAACUCUUAUAAUUAUUUCGGUUUAUAGUACCUACUAUAUACAUAGUAACCAAUUUCAUAACGUAGGAUCGUGAACGAGUUGGAAAAAGCAGCAGGCAAAAAUAGAAAUUCACUCACACUGCUAGGUUGAAAAGUUUUGCUCGUGUAGUUGAGGCCGAGGUAUUUUGAAUUUAUUAAUAGUGUCAAAUAUUUAUUAUUUUCCAUUAAAUAAUAUUUUUACUACUAUAUUGUAGGAACUAUCGACCGGUCAAAAAGUUCGACGCCUUCAACUUUUUGACAUUACACAUAGGAAGAAAGAUGGAUCUCCUAUGACUUCUGAAGCUGCAGAAGUUUUGGUAUGUUUACUUAAUAAAAAUACUAUCUUAAAAUAUUUAUAUUGUUUAUUUUCUAAUGUUUUAAUUCAUUGUUUAUAAUGAAAAUAUUGUUAAGUUAUGUUGCAUUUGUUUUUAUAAUAUGUAUUGCGUUCCUAACUAUUUCAUUUAUUUAUUAGGAGAAACUAAAUGAUAAAAAGGCGGAGUACGAAGCCAUUGCUUCAAGUGAUAGUUCUGUUCAUAUUGACGACAUUGAUAAUAGGAUUAUUACUGAAGUUUUGGGUCCUGAAAGGUAUGUUCGGGUUCGAUUUCAAGGAUCAUUUGUUAACCCAACCUAAUAUUUUGGAUCCAGCUCGCACCAAUACAUGCCUUCUGGAGUUAGUCUCAAGUUGAAGUUCAGAGGUUAAGAGAACAGAUGGCUCAGAUGCAAGCGACCACAGUUGAGCAAAUUACUCAACUUAAAGCGGAGGCAGCAUCGAGAGAAGCUGGGGUCCAAAGAAAAUAUGAAGAACUCCAACUCCAACUUAAAGCAGAGGCUACAGCGAGGGAAGCAGCAGCAGCGAGGGAAGCAGAGGCAGUAGCGAGAAAAGCUGAGGUUCAAAGAAAAUAUGAAGAAUUCCAGCUAUAACUUAAAUCUGAUGCAGCAGCGAGAGAAGCAGAGGCUGUAGUGAGGGAAGCAGAGCAAAAGAGAAAGUACGACGACCUCCAACAGCAGCUUCAGAAUAUGAUGAAGAUGUUUCAACAGUCGCAACAUCCGCCACCUUAGACAAUCGUAUAAAUAUUGUUACCAAUUUCACUUUUAACAUUAUUGUAAGAAUAAUAUAAAUUAAAUAUCAUUUAUUAAUAUUUAUAUUAUAUAUCAUUCAUUUAAUUUUAAAUAUUUUUUAGAUUUAUUACUUUUGGUUGGUUUUUAUGCUACAGGACGGCUAAAAAUAUAGAAAAUUUUAUAUUACAAAUCUGCCAAAAUUAGUGGCGUUUUAAAAAAAACGUAGCUAAAAGUCACGACCUAUCGUGGCGUUUGUGGAAAAAGCUCCACUAAAGCUCCAGAGCUCUAGCGGUGUUUGUGGAAAAAGCGCCGCUAAAGGUCCUGAUCUAUAGCGGCGUUUAUGGGAAAAACGCCACUAAAGGUCUUGGUCUAUAGCAGCGUUUGUGAAGAAAGCGUCGCUAAAGGUCCUGAUCUAUAGCGGCGUUUGUGAAGAAAGCGUCGCUAAAGGUCCCAAUUUCACAAACGUCGCUAAAGGUCUUGAUCUAUAGCGACGUUUCUGAGGAAGUGCCACUAAAGGUCCUGAUCUAUAGUGGCAUUUUUGGGGAAAAUGCCGCUAAAGGUCCUGAUCUUUAGUGGUGCUUGUAAAGAAGCGUCACUAAAGGUCCAGACCUUUAGCGGCGUUUAUUUCUAAAAACGCCACAAACGUUUGUGGCGUUGACAUCAACGGCAUUUUUGUGGCGCUUGGAAAAACGCCGCAAAUACUUUUAGCGGCGCUAAAAAGCGUCGUUAAAAGCUUUUUUUGGUGUAGUGAUAGGAGGGUUGCUGAGAGCAACGAGAAAGAAGUAGUUGAUGCUAAUAUGGCUGAAGACGAGGGUAAUGAUUGGUUGUUGGUGCCUACAACCGAAAGGUCUAAGUUUACGUUCGAGUGGCUCUUAGAUUCGAUGUGUUCUUUCCAUAUGUGUCCUAACAAUGACAGAUUUUCCACAUAUAAGUAAGUUGAAGGUGAAGUUGUGAUUAUAAAAAAUAAUUCAUCCUGUAAGAUAACUAAUGUUGGUACCAUUCAGAUUAGGAUGCACAACGGGACAACCAGGGCACUGUCAGAUGUCAAACAUGUUCCUGAUUUAAGGAAGAAUCUCAUCUCCUUUAGUAUGUUGGACUCAAACUGUUGCAGAAUCAUCAUUGAGUCAAGUGACAUUAAGGAACAGUCCAUAUAUCCUUCAAGGUUCAAUUGUGACUAGUGUAGCAGUAAUUUCCUCAACAAUUAUGGAGCCAAAGUUGACUCGACAUUGGUAUAAGAAAUUUGACUCUUUCAGGUUAAGCAUUGGUUUUGAAAUUAAGGGUCUUUUAGUUUUGAAUUUCAAACACCAGUUUGGACUUGGUUAGUAUCCAUCAAAGGUUCAGAUAGGUUGUGGCGGGCUUGAAAAAAGAGGUAUGAGAAAAUACGAGUCAAUGUGGAGAUUUGUGGAGUGUGCCUCGUAUUUAUGAUACGACAUCGUGACAAGGAAGAGACAACGUUCGAACGACGCAACACUUGGCAUCUCAACGAGAAGAAAACGAUGUGACAACGUGUUUCCCAAUUCAAUUGAAUUUCUUCUCCUAAUUAAACUCUGCAAUUUUUUCCUAAUCAAACUCUGAUUAGUCUAGGUUAUUUUAGUCAUAUUUAAUGUACAAAUUUAGCUUAUAAAAGAGGCCUUUGUAACCUAGAAUAAUCACUUCAGAUUAAUCUUCCUCAUCUUUAAGAUUGAAAGAGUUUUGUGAGCUUUUAAGGGAAUUUCAGGUUUUAGCUAGAGUGCUUUAUUUUUCAGGGUUUAGGGUUUCUGUUAAGAUUAUCUCCAUCUUGUACUUUUUCAGUUUUUGCUCAUUAAGUAAAGUCUCUUUUGUCCAUGAUUUUUUGUCCUCUUCAUUGGAGGAAUUUUUUCACGUAGAUAUUUGUAUGUUUGAUCUUCUCAACUUUUAUUUUCUCGUUGUUUAUACAGGUCGAUCCCAAAAAAUACUACUAUGUUAAGAAACUAAAAGAUUGAAAAACUAAAAUAAACUUGUAAUCACUGAAUUUUGUCCGGGACGAAUUUCGUGUUAUUAAAAAAAUGUUGUUUGACCCGACCUGACCCAACUCAACUCAACCCGAUCCGACCCAAACCCGACCCGAAUAGCAGCUCCAGCCCCCAGCAGCAGGCCAACAGCAGGCUAGGCCCACUCAGCAGCCCAAUAAAAAAAAUAGCAGCAGAAAAAAAGGCCAAGCAGCCUAAUCCCGCGAGCCCAAUCCAUAGCAGGCCAGUCCAACAACCAGUCCCAGCAAGCAACAGGCCUGUCCAGUCCAGGCCCAUCUACCCCACUAGCAGUAGCCGGCCCAUCAGCGCCCAGGCCCAGAGGCAGCAGGCCAGAAAAAAGAAAGGAGAAAAAAGGAAAAAAGAAAAAAAAGGGAAAAAAAGGAGAAAAAAUAAAAAAAGGAAGAAAAAAAAGCCCAAGUCGUGUGACUCGUUCAAUCAAGCUCGUAUUUUUGAGCUUUUUGGUAAUCUCUUUUUUUUUACCUAUUUUUAAUUUAAUUCGUGUAUUUGAAUGAUAUUUUUAAUAUUGUUGGUAUAUUUUUUAGGCAUUUUUAUGUUUUGUAAUUUUUUUAAUUUAAUUUAAUUUAAUUUUUAAAAAAUUUUAAUAAAUAAGGCAACAAAUCGAUUUAACCUUAAAUCGUUGUUUUCAUCGCUAUGUUGGGUGAAUAUCAUCGGUUUGUGUUAACUAUGAUACGCCCUUUUAAAAAAUCGAAAAUAUUCAAAAUUUACUCGGGUUUUAAAAUAAAAUGUUUAUUUUUGUGUUUUUUUUUAUUAUGAAAAUUUCAUUUUUAAAUGUACAAUAAUAUGUAAUGUUUCAAAAUUCUCGUGUUUAAAAAAAUUUCUCGUGUUUCAAUCGGAUCACGAUUAAAUAAUUGAAUCGAUUUGACACUAAUUCGUUGAUUUCAUCGCUAUGUUGGGUGAAUAUCAUCGGUUCGUGUUAAAUACGAUACUUCUUUAAAAAAAAUUCGUGUUUAAAAAAUUUUCGUGUUUUCAAAAAAUUUUCAUGUUUUCAAAAAUUUUCGUGUUUCAAAAGUUUUCGAGUUUCAAAAAAAAUUCUUGUGUCUCAAAAAUUUUCGUGUUUUCAAAAAAAAUAUUGUAUUUCAAAAUUCUCAUAUUUUUUUUAAAAAUUCCCGUGUUUCAAUCGGAUUACGAUUAAAUAUUAAAUUUGACUCGUAUUUUUUAAAAUUAAGACAACCCGAGUUUAACGAGAUACCAAUUUUGGGCGUCGCGAGGGUGCUAAUACCUUCCUCGCGCGUAACUGACUCCCGAACCCUAAUUUUCUUUGGAUUUUGAUGUGGACCUAAAUCGACUCUUUUUUUAGAAAAUUUGAAAAAUAAUUUUUCUUUUAAAAAGAGAAUUUAUUAGGUGUCCGAUCACACCCAAAAAAGGAUCGGUGGCGACUCUCUUUUUAAAUAAAAUCGAAACUCUUUUUUCAAAUUUUCAAUAAUUACUUCGACUAGCGCCCGUGCAAAAAAGUUUAGGUCGCUACAAAACUAAAACAAUAUAUUUAAAAAAGAAAAAAGAAAAAAAAAGUUCUACCGCAAUUAGAUCUUUGUGCAAGUUACAAUGAAUGAAAAUAGUUUUAGAUUGGUUUCUCACAAACACUGACUUCUAUUCUUAGCUUUAGAUUGUGUUUACUGUUAUCGCCUACUUCACUAUUUACUCAUCUUUCUUGUUAAGUCAAUCUUUAGGUUUUGAAAAAUAUGAAACAAACAAUAUAUAUAGACAUAUCUUUCUGAAAAUUUUACCACAUAUGGUCACCAUCAAAUAUAAGAACCUAAGAAAAUCAUUACUUUGAUUAAUUCAAGACAAGUACAAAACAACAGUUGUGGAUGGACAAAUAUAUUAAUCAAAGAAAAAUGAUGGAUCAAAAGCCAAGAUAAAGCCAAUUUCUACCAUAAGGUUAAGGUUUGCUGUGGGUAUAAGGCAAAUCAUAAAGAGAGGAAUAACUAAAUUUAAUAAUUUUUAAUCGUUGUUCAAAAUCUUUAAAAUUUUGAUUCCAAUGAUUUAGGCACAACAUCCCUUGCCUCACAAUUUAAGUAAAAAAUAAAAAAAAUAUAAUAUUGUGCUUAAAAGUUUUCAUAAAUAAAGUGGCUCGACUUUCUAUGAAUCAGACUCAAAUUUAAUUAUUGUGCUUAAUUUAAUUGUUAAAAAUUAAAUAUGAUAGAUGUAAGCCCAUGAACACCUCCAAUUUCACUUCAACCAUAAUAUUACCCAACACAAAAUGAAAGCGUAAAAUGCAAGAGUUAGUCAAUAGUGGAACUUAUAAUUAAGGCCCCAACUAGAUAAAAACAGAUUCAAGAUAGCAAUGUGAAUAAAACAGAUUCAAGAUAGCAAUGUGAAUAAAUUAUAGAGUAAGUAUUGCAUGAAACAAUUACAUCACAUUAGCGUAGGCUUUUUGCAAUCAAAUCAUGCUACGUAAUCAUAUUUCUUUAAAAAAUCAGCUAUUUAUUAAUUUAAUCAUUAAUAAAUUGUUGACUUGAACUGUAUCAUUUAAUUAUCACAUGUAAUGUAUAAUUUAAUUUAAUUUAAUUUAAUUUAAUUUAAUUUUCAAGUUAUUCACGAGAGCGAACCAACAAAAUAAUUGAUUAAUUUACUUCCCAACAUUUUACGUUUUCUAGAUGUUUAAGAAAGACCAAGAUUUUAAUAUAUUAAAAGGAAAUUACUACAAUUACCUUUCAACCUAAACUUUAGGUAAUUUUUAUUUUGAUUAUGGAUUGUAUAAAUUUAAUAUAAAAAAGAAAAAGAAAAAGAUGAAAUUAUAUCAGUUAAUUUAUUAUUUGAAAGAUAAAGUUCUUGGAGAGAAAUUAAAUUUUCAAUACUAGAAGGAAUUUCACCUGAAACCUAUAAUUAAACUAAUCAAAAUUUACAAAUAAGUAAAACAAGUUUAAUUGACCUUUCGAGGAUCAUUCUUUAUAUGAAAUUUUAGUACUAAAAGGAUCAAAAUAGUCCAAAAGUUGCCAACAGCAGCAGAAACUUAAAAGGGAAAGGAAGCUAGUUUUUGCCAUAAAGUUGGGUUAAUAUUUUGGUUAUAAGGAAAAACAAUUGAGUUAAUAUUUUUUUAAAGUUAGAUUUAAAUAUUUUGAUUCUAAAGAAAUCCCAAAAUGCAAGACUUAUUAAUUCUCAAAUUCAACAGUACAUCCAAUGGCAAGACAGCAACGCAUUCUUAAAAAAAAAAAAUCCACAAAUAAAGACAUCCAAGGCAAAGUGGCAAACAAGACAUUAAUUACAUACUUUUUUACAUAAAUAUAAUUUUAUUUAGUGUUGCUAGGCAUUAGUUUGUUUUAUAUUAAAUAUCAUACAUGCAAAAUCUAUUUAUAUUAAUUAUUUUACUAACUUAUAAACAGUGAAUCUAAACAAGUUUGACUACAUCAAGUUAAAAAAUUUUAAAAUUUUCAAAUUUGAAUCAAUUUAGGUGAUUUCAUUUAACAUUCAAAUUAUUUAGGUCUGGGUCAUUUAAGUCAUGUAAUUUGUUAUCUAAAUUAUUAAAUAUCUUUUUACCAUUAUUUCUUAUAUUUUUCUCACGUUCAAAGUUGUUGAGUAUCAAAUGCGUCAUUAAUUUUUUUCCUUUCAUCCAAAAGUAUUAUAUUAAGAGAUUAAAUUAUUAUAAGUUAAUUAAUAAUAUAUUAAAAAAUUUAUUAAUAUGCGUGAAAUUUAUAUUUUUAAAAUAUAAAUUUGUUUAAAAUUAAUAUAUAAUCAAUAAUGAAACGUAUAGUUCAAAACUAAUUAAUAACAACACAUGUAAUAAGUAUGAUGUUAAAAUGAAAAAAAAUAGAUUUAAAUUAUUUAUUAAGAUGGUGUCAUCAAUCUUGAGUUAGUGUUGAGUUAACUUGUGACACCAACACAAUAAAACACCUUAAUAAAUAACAUAGAUUUACAAAUCUUAAAUUAAUUUAAUAGAAAUUUUAAUUCUUUUCUUAUCAUCAAAUAAAUUUACUUCAGAAAAUAGAAGUCAAUAGAGGUUAGUUUUAUUGGCUACAAGUGGAUUUGCCACAUCAACAAUUAAUAAUUUUUUUAAAAAAUAAUAAAUUAAAAAAAUAUUACAAUAUUUUUGAAAUACUUUAAUUAGAAAAAUUAUUUAAUUACUGAUGUGAUAUACACGUGAAUUGCCAUAUGGAUGCCAUGUCAUCAAAGUUAACAAGCGUUAACUUUUCUAUUCAUUUUGGGAUAAUUUGAUAAACAACACAAGUUUAAAGGCUAAAAAAGGUAAAAAAAAUUAAAUUAAAUGGAUGACUAAAAUAACAUUUGUGUAAACUUGGUGUAACGCCCCAAAUUUUAUUACGUUUGGAUUGAUAAAAUAUGUCAAAUAUUUUGAUUUGGUUUGGUGGUUAAGUGCCUUGAAUGUCUACUUUGGGUCUUGAGUUUCAUUUCCUUGUUUUGAAAAUUUUUCAUUAAUUUUGGAGUUAUGUCAAACUUGGGCCUUAGGGCUUAUCUUUUGAUUUCGUGAUUUGUUGACAAGGAUGAGUCUACUUGUUUAGUGGCAAUGCUUCAGCUUACCCCUAGGUCUUAUUUUUGAAUUUAGUUGAGUUAGGAUAUUAUUAGAAUAUAUUGAUUUUUAUUCUUAUUAUUUUUUUCUAAAAGAUAUUAUAAAAUUCUCCCAAUUUCUCUCCUUCCCAAACCAUCCUCUACUCCCUCUCUUGUCACAUUUUCUGUUUCUUUUUCCUUCCUUCUUGCUUCUUUUCUUUUAAAAUGUGAGUGACCAAAAUAUAAUGAUCUAAAAUAUUAGUGACUAAAUUUGAAAUUUUUAUAGGUGAGUGACCAUAACAGAAACACGCUAAUAGUUGGGUGACUAAUUCUAGAGUUUACCUAAGAUGGUUAAAGAAAUUAGGGUUAAUUCUACCAAACAUCUUAAACUAUUACUCAGAUCUUAAAUUGGAACCUAGUCUUGUAGACAUUCUAAUUGAAUCCUCAAAGAAUCAAUUUUGUAUCAACCAGGUCCUUCUGUCAAUGUAGCUAUCAAUUUGAAUAUUAAAUAUUAGUUUGGAUAUGAUGUAGAACAUAUCUAGAACCCGUGGAUAAAAUUGUAAAUACGUGUGUAACUAUCGCAUGGAUAACUUGGAUAUCACGUAUCAAGAAACAGUGCCAAUAAAAUUUACAAAUUUUGUUCCUUUUUAAAUAUAUUUUAACACAUUAGAUUCAAGUAGUUUAUGUAGUAAAUGCAAACAUGUUUACAAUUUGAUCUACACCUAUUCUUUUAAAUAUACUAUAGGUUAAAUUUAGAGAUUUUCAUGGGUUGGACUUGGACUUAAGUUUUUAACCUCAGGUCGGCCCGAACCAUUUUACUAUUCAAAAAAUAAAAAAUUAUAAAAAUAAAUUUAUAUUUAUAUAACUUCCUAAUUAAUUUUAAAUAAUUUUAUUAUUUUUAUACCGUGUUUAAGUCUCAUUCACCGUUAAUCAAUCAUAACAUGACAUAUCAUCAUUAAAUUAAACCAAAAAUUAUGAAGGACUUCUGCCCCAACGGUGCAUCAAAUAUUUUCCUUAAAAAACUGUAUAAAUUCAAUUUUAUACGAGUAAUCCUAUUAUAAGCAUAUGUAAUUUGUUAAAAGAGUUGCUGAAAAUUUUUGAAAUUAAUUUUAAAAAUGGUUUUUGAAUAUAUUUAUCCAAUUAAAUACAUAAAGAUACAUGAAUAUAAUCAUAUCUAUAAUUUCACAAAAAAAAGAAUUACAUUAAUCUAAACCAAGUCAUUUUUUUAUAGAUUCAAUUCCAAAUCUCUCAUAUAAUAAAUCAACCUCAAAAAAUAUAUAUUCGAUAAAUCUAAUUCAAGAUAAAAAUAAAAACCACAUGUAUUUAGCAAUUAAAACCAUGUUUCAAAUUCAAUCCAAAAGUAUUGAAGAUAUAAUUUUGCAUUAUUUUACCUCCCUUAAUUCUUGACAAACUCUUUGGAACAAAUUAACCAUUCUUGGAGUAUCUAUUUCUUAUUGUUAGAAUUAAGUGACCUGAAAUUUUUUUUAAAUAAAAUACAGUGGUAAAAUAAAAUAAAAGUAAAAUCCAUAUAGAACUAUACUUCUUUUAUUUUAUUUUAGAAUAAGGUUUUUUAAACCUUAUUAAACUCCAUCUAUUUGAUAUUGAUUAGAAUAAGGUGUUUUAAUCUUACUACAUUCCUAUUAGAAUAUGGUUUUACAAGCCUAUAAAUAGACAUAGUCUACUCCUCUUGUAAUCAUUUGAAUUUGACAUAUGACUUUUCUUCUCCUCUGCCCGUGGUUUUUUCCUGAAAUGGUUUCUACAUAAAAAUCUAUGUGUUCUUUAUUUUUCUUUCUUUUUUCUUUGCGAUAUAUUGUCAUUAUCGAUAUUCUAUUUUUUACAAAUUGGUAUCAAAGCUUCCGGAUUUUUCAUCUCAAUCAAGGUAUGGCGUUUUUGAAGUAUGAAACUCCGCUGUUGGAACUCAACACCAGAUUCGCAUUCUAGCAGAUAAAGAUGCAGACAGUUCUUGCAUAGAUUGACUUAGAGGAAGCCCUGCUAAGGGUAGAUAAGAUGCCUUUGACAUUGACGGAGGAAGAGAAGAAGCGCAAGGGUCGAAAGGCAUUGACACAGUUACAUCUACAUUUUUCUAACGAAAUUUUGCAGGAUGUGAUUAAGGAGAACAAUACCGCUAGAUUAUGGAAGAGGCUAGAACAAGUAUGUAUGUUAAAAACUCUAACCAGCAAACUGCAUAUGAAGCAGCGUCUUUAUGCUCAUCGUUUGGAGGAAGGUGCGUCUGUGCACGAACACUUAACAAUGUUUAAAGAAAUUCUCUCAAACUUGGAAGUGGUAGAGGUUUAGUAUGAUAAGGAAGAUCUAGGGUUGAUUCUACUUUGUUCGUUUCCCCCGUCUUAUUCAACCUUUAGAGACACAAUUUUAUAUAGCCGCGAGUCUCUCAUAGAUGAUGAGGUUUAUGAUUCUUUGACCUCGUAUGAUAAGAUAAAGCAUCUUAUGGUUAAAUUUGACUCUCAUGGAGAGGGUCUCAUUGUUCGUGAGAGAUAAGAUCAGAAUGCUGAUGAUGAUCAUGGAAUGACACAAGAACAAAAUCCUCACGGUAAAUCUAAGGGUAGAUAGAAGUCUUCAAACAUAGGUAAAACUUGUAACUUUUACAAGAAAAAAGGGCACAUUAAAUCUGAGUGUUAUAAGCCACAGAACAAGAUCAAAAGGGUGGCUGCAAAUAAAAUAGGAAAACAACUAGAAAAUUUUGGUGAAGCUGAUGUUGUAGAAGACUACAACGAUGGUGAACUUCUUGUCGCUUUUGUCAACAAUUCUAAAGUGAGUGAAGAGUGGAUCCUUGAUUCAGGUUGCACUUUCUAUAUGAGUCCCAAUUGAUAUUGGUUUACAACUUAUGAAAUAGUGUCUAAAGGUGUUGUUUUGAUGGGAAAUAAUGCUUCGUGUAAAAUCAAAGGUGUUGGAACAAUUAAAGUUAAGAUGUUUGAUGGAGUUGUCAGAACACUUAGUAACGUACGACAUGUUCUAGAAUCGAAGAGAAAUUUAAUUUCGUUGAGUACUCUUGAUUCAAAACAGAACAAAUACACAACUGGAAGUGGGGUUUUGAAUAUUUCUAAAGAUUCUCUCAUUGUGAUGAAAGGACAGAGAAAGAUUGUCAAGUUAUAUGCUUUGCAGGAUUCUACUGUUACUGGUGAUGCAGCUGUCGCAUCCUCUUCCUUGUCAGAUGAUGCUAUUACUAAACUUUGGCAUAUGCGCCUAGGGCAUAUGAGUGAGAAUGACAUGGCAGAAUUGAGCAAAAAGGACUUUUUCAUGGGCAAAGAAUUUGUAAACUGAAGUUUUGUGAGCACUGCAUUUUUGUGAAGCAAAAGAGAGUUCAAUUCACUAGAGGAAUCCAUAACAUGAAAGGAAUGUUGGAGUAUAUUCAUUUUGAUCUAUGGAGGCCAUCUAGAGUGCCUUCGAGAGGUAGAGCUAAUUAUAUGCUAACUUUUAUUGAUGAUUUUUCCAAAAAACUGUGAUUGAAUAAAAAACGGGAAAGCAAAUAAAAUACCUUCAUACAGACAACGACUUAGAGUUAUGUUUUGAUGAGUUUAAUAAACUAUGCAUGUCAUAAGGGAUCGUGAGACACUUGACAGUUCGUCAUACUCAGCAAAACAGUGUUGCAGAACAAAUAAACAGAAUGAUCAUGGAGAAGGUUCGAUAUAUGCUAUCAAAUGCCAACUUACUUAAGUCAUUUUGGGCCAAAGCAGCUUCUACUGCAUGUUUUUUGAUCAAUCGAUCUCCAUCUGUUGCCAUUGAGAAAAAUACUCCACAAGAGAUAUGGUCUGCUAAUUCUGCCGACCAUUCUGAUUUAAAGAUUUUUGGGUGUCUUGCGUAUGCUCAUGUUAAUAAUGAAAAAUUGGAACCGGGAUCCAUUAAAUGUGUUUUUCUUGGUUAUAAAGCUGGUGUAAAAGGGUAUAAGUUAUGGUGUCCUGAAAAUAGAAAAGUUGUGAUUAGCAGAGAUGUUUUUGGUGAAAUUGCUAUGCUACCUAACUUAUCUCUUAAAGACUCUUCCAAUAAAAAAAAUCAAAAGCUGAUGGAGCAUCAAAUUAAUUUAAAAUCUACAACAGAGUUGACUCCUCAAACCAGUACAAAAAUCUAGAAUAGAGUUGUUUCUUCACCACAGUACUCUACCGCCAAAAACAAAACUAGAAGAGAAAUUAAACCUCCAAAGAAGUAAGUCGAGGCUGAUCUAGUUGCUUAUGCUUUAAAUGUGGCUGAAAAUAUAGAUGCAAACCAAGAGCCAUCUAAUUAUUUUGAGGUGAUUAGCUGCGAAGACUCAGAAAAGUGGAUGUUUUCUAUGCAAGAGGAGAUGAAAUCACUCCACAAAAACAAAACAUGGGAUCUUGUGAAACUUCCUAAAGGUAAAAAGGUUGUUCGUUGUAAAUGAGUGCUAAAAAAGAAAGAAGGGACUCUAGGAGUUGAAGACCCCAGAUAUAAAGCAAUGCUUGUUGCAAAGGGUUACAGUCAAAUUCUAAAAGUGGACUUCACAGAUGUGUUCUCCCUAGUUGUGAAGCAUAGUUCAGUUCAAGCUUUGCUUGGUAUUGUGGUCAUGUAUGAUUUGGAGCUUGAGCAGUUAGAUGUAAAAACUGUAUUUUUGCAUGGAGAACUUGGGAAGGUUAUUUGCAUGCAACAACUAGAGGGUUUUACAGUCUCAGAAAAAAAGGACUAUGUUUGUGGAAACACGAAAAUUUAUGUGUUUUUACAUGCCCUUUUUAACUUAAAAUCAUGAUAUUUCGGUUAAAUUCUUGUCAAAAAAUAAUUAAUAAUUAAAUUAUGUUUAAAAUAUGAACAUGAUGUAUUUUAAUUAAUUUUAUAGUUAAUUUUGAUUAUUUUUUUACUAUUUUCGACAGAUUCGCACAGAGGGCGAAAAUUGGCUUGGCAGACAAUGCUCGAAGAAUAAAAUCGAGAAGCAAUUUGAAGCAUCGAGAAAAAUUUAUUUCCAACCUAAGAUGGUCUAAAAAUGUGUGUUAAUUCAUAAUAUAAUUAAUUUUAAUUUAUUUCCAAUUUAAUUUGGGCUAAAUAAAUUAUUAUUAUUAAUUAAUUAUGGAAAAAAUGGUCUAAUUGAACCGCAUUGGUUGAACCACAUCUAGUGAACCGAACCAGCCACCAAUUGGGCUGCCCAGAACCAUCCAUAUGCUGACCCAAAUCAGCAUUUUAGCUGACUAAAUAAGCUUGCAAAGAAGCCCUUGAAGAACUUUCAACCUUGCAUUCAAUCCCCUCCAAAAAAUGUGGCUUUAUGGAUUUGCCCCAGGCUAUUUUUAGCAAAGUUGAAUCUCUCAACUUUGCCAUGUGUGUGGCCGGCCAAGGGGGGUCUCUUCGGCUGAUCGAAUUUUCUAUUUUUACCAUCCACAAUCAGCUAUAAAAGCCACCCCUUGCUGAUCAUUCAACUCAUCCCUCACACUCUCAUUCUCUCUUCUCCUCUCUUACUUUCUCUCAACUUUUCUUUUCCAUUUCCCCCUUUUUUUUCAAGUGCCGAUUUCUUCUCUUGGGAAAGAGGUCCUCAUCAGCCAUUGUUGAGUAGAAAUUAAAGUAUUCAUAAGCCACAUUGAUAGCUGAGGACAACAAAGAACGAAGAACGGACCAAUCAGUCAAGCCACGGAGAAACACCAGAUUUGCUUCUUGUUCCCUAUCUCUUUAAAUUCUGUUGUUGUUUUGACAAACAUGUUUAUGAAUAUUUAUUCUAUUCAAAUGGUUAUUUUAAUCAAUUUAUCUUGAAUUUAAUCCGUGUUGGGUUGAUUAUAUUUUGUCUUAUUGAAUUAUUGAAAUUGUGUUUGUGUUGUUAUAGGCCUCGGUAAGAUGCUUGAUUAAGUAAAAUAAUGCCUAAGUUAUUCUUGCAAUAUUAAUUGUUAAAUAACUGAUGAAUUAAAUAUUAAAUCGUAUUGAAAUUGUAAUUAAUCAACACAAUACUUAAUCAGUGCAUGUUUAUUCUUCUAAGGUAGUUGAAGUUAAUAUAGCAUUGUAUUUGGCGACACAUAUGCCUUGCAUAACUUGCAAGAUUGUUGUGAUUAAACUGUUUCAAGGUAGAAAUACUCUGUUACCUCACUUGAUCUUUUAUAUGCUUGUGAAGAUUGAUUAAUUGCUUAGAUUGACAUUGAAAAAUGUUCAAGAGAUUGAUUAAUUUAAUAAGUAUGUAUGAGCAGUAGUUAGCAAAUUAUCGAGUUUCCGUGAAUUUGUCGUAGCAAUAUAAACAUAAGUUUAAUAAUUCUAAGUUAAAGGAAUGUAAUUAAUCCAACACAAUUGUAUCAUCUUAAUUAAACCUUAUUUGAAAUCGUGCAUUAGAACCUUUUGAUUUUUAAAUUUUUUUACUUAGUUUUUAACCCUUAGUUUUUAAUCAUCUUUAAACUAAAAUAUUUUCCAUCACCAAAGUGUUUUAACAUUAAUUUCAUAAAUAUUCCUUUGUACAGUCCCUGUGGGUGUGUACGAUAACUCGACAUUUACUUGUCAAUUUAUUACUUGUUGCAGUUAUGUACACUUGCACAUUUUUGUCGUUCCAGUUUGCUGCUGAAAAAGUCCCUUUACGGUUUGAAAUAGUUACCAAGAUAGUGGUACAAUAUGUUUGAUUCUUUUAUGACUUCUCAAGAUUUCAAAAGAAGUAGCUUUGAUAGUUGUGUUUACUUUAACAAAAACAAUUACGGUUCUUUUGUGUAUCUACUCCUUUAUGUUGAUGACAUGUUGAUAAUAGCAAAAGAUAAAGGAGAGAUAAUAAACAUCAAAGGCCAACUAAGUGAAGAAUUUGAGAUGAAAUAUUUGAGACUAACAAAGAAGAUACUUGCUAUGGAGAUUCUAAAAGAUAGAAAAUCAAGUAAAUUGUACCUAAGUCAGAAGGCGUACAUUGAGAAAAUUCUUUGCAGGUUCAAUAUGCAGAGUGCUAAGCCUGUUAGUACUCCUUUAGUAGCCCAUUACAGACUUUCAUAAACUUUGUCUCCACAAUCAGAUGAUGAGAUUGAGUCUCCACAAUCAGAUGAUGAGAUUGAGUACAUGUCACAUGUUCCAUACUCUAGUGCAGUGGGAUCUCUCAUGUAUGUCAUGGUUUGUUCACAUUCAGAUUUAUCAUAUGCAAUCAGUGCAGUUAAUAGAUACAUGGCGAAUCUCGGUAAAGAACAUUAGAAAGCAAUUUAGUGGAUUUUAAGAUACUUAUGAGGUACUACUGAUGUUUGCUUACAAUUUGGAAGAACUCGAGAUGGAGUCAAUGGGUAUGUUGAUGUUGAUUUUCUGGAGACCUUGAUAGAAGAAGAUCUCUCAUAGGUUAUGUCUUUACAAUUGGAGGUUGUGCAAUCAGUUGGAAAGCCAAUUUGCAAACUACAGUUGCUUUGUCUACCACUAAAGUUGAGUACAUGGCGAUUACUGUGGCUUGUAAAGAAGUUAUUUGGUUGAAGGGACUCUUUAAUGAACUCAGUGACAGCCUUUAAAUCAGUACAAUAUUUUGUAACAGUCAGAGUGUCAUCUUCCUUACAAAAGAUCAAAUGUUUCAUGAGAGAACAAAACACAUUGAUGUUCGGUAUCAUUUUGUUCGUGAUAUUAUUGCUCGUGGUGAUAUAGUUGUGAACACAAUUAAUACUCAUGAAAAUCCUGCAGAUAUGAUGACUAAGUCACUUCCUAUAACCAAGUUUGAGCAUUGCUUAGACAUGGUUGGUGUUCAUUGUUGAAGUUAAACCCUUAAGGGGUUUUAUGGAAGAGGUAGAGAACUUGUUUCUUGAGAGUUCACAAUAAAGAACUUGUUCAUUGAGAAUUUGUGUCAAGGUGGAGAUUGUUAGAAUUAAGUAACCCGAAUCCUUAUUUAAAUAAAAUACAGUGGUAAAAUAAAAUAAAAGUAAAAUCCAUAUAGAACUACACUUCUUUUAUUUUAUUUUAGAAUAAGGUUUUUUAAACCUUAUUAAACUCCAUCUAUUUGAUAUUGAUUAGAAUAAGGUGUUUCAAUCUUGCUACACUUCUAUUAGAAUAUGGUUUUACAAGCCUAUAAAUAGACAUAGUUUACUUCUCUUGUAAUCAUUCGAAUUCGACAUAGUGACUUUUCUUCUCCUCUGCCUGUGGUUUUUUUUCGAAAGGAUUUCCACGUAAAAAUCUGUGUGUUCUUUAUUUUUCUUUCUAUUUUCUUUGCGAUAUAUUGUCAUUACCGACAUUCUAUUUUUUACACUUAUUGAAAUUUUUGAAUUUUCUUUUUCCCUUUUUUAUUAUGCCAUAUCAAUUUUAUUAAAAAGAUAAAAAGACAGUCUUUACAAACUAAUGCAGCUAGAAAAAACACAUAAGGAAACAUUGCCAUGAGAGAGGACCUAAGAAAACAUAAUACAUACUACAUAAAAAAAUAAAGCACACAGACAAAAGAUUUAUUAAACAGCUACAGAAAAAAGUUUGCAUACCACCAAGCAAUGAAGUUUUCUGUUCUGUUUACAACUUGUUGAACUCGCUGAAGAGUUGGACUCUCUACCAUUUUGCAAAUCUCUGUCGAACUCGCUCGAUGAUCCUAAUCAAGCACCAUGGUUUUCCAGUCGUGAAUACAAUGUAUGCCAUGCUCAUUCCCAGCACCAACCCACUUCCAUACCCCAUCAAUAUUGAAAAUUUCCAAUUCAACUCAUCACCAUCCUCAUCACCAUCUCUAUCAAAUUUGGUUGGAUUUUCCUUAUCAGUAUCACAGCUUUUUGAUAAUGGCAAACCACAUAAAUCCAGAUUUCCCAUGUAGGAAUCAUUAGUGAAAGUAUCAAAUUGUUUGCCUUGAGGAAUGGGUCCCUUGAGAUUAUUUUGAGAAUGGUUUAACACCUCUAAGAAUCCAAGAUUUUUUAACUGUGUUGGAAUUCUUCCUUCGAGUUUGUUUGAUGAGAGAUCUAAUGAUUCAAGCUCUGACAAAUCACCUAAAGAUGAUGGGAUAGGACCUAUUAAACAGUUAUGGGAGAGGUUAAGGACAAUAAGUAAAUGAAGCUCACCAAGUAUUUUUGGAAUUUCUCCCCUGAAUUGAUUACUAGAAAGGUCAAUAACCGUCCAAAUGGAUAAUAGUGAUUCAAACUUUGUUUCCAACCCUUUUUCUGUAAAAGAUAAAUCACUACCAUAAUUCACUAUAACUUGACCAAAUUUGUCUUUCAUGUACUCUGGUUCAAUUUUCUUUCCAUACCCUUCUCUAAUGGCAUGCAAAUGUUCAAAAAAAAGGGUAGGUAAGUAGCCACUAAAGUUAUUGUGAGAAAGAUCAAUGAUACGCAAAUGAGUUAAAGAAACUAUAACAUCAAAGCUAUCCACUUGACCAUAAAAUCCAUUCGACCUCAAGAUAAGAACAUGCAGCCGGUCCAAAUUUCCUAACCAAUUUGGGAAAGUGUCAUUCAAAUUGUUGUUUCCAGCAUUAAGAAGGUUUAAAUCAUUGCAAUUAGCCAAAGAUCGUGGUAGUGACCCUUCUAAUUUAUUGUUGUUGAUGCGAAAACUUUUCAACAUGCAACCUUUAGCAAAAUUUUCUGGUAUUUGACCAUGAAAAUUAUUAUUCCCUAGAUCAAUUUCUAAGAGAGAAGAACUCAAGUUUCCAAUGCACUCUGGAAUUGUUCCAUCCAAAUUAUUCUUAGAUAGAUCGAGACCCAUAAGAGAAGUCAAAUUGCAUACUGAGGAAGGGAUUUCUCCAAUUAAAUUAUUGUUCGAAACUCCAUACCAUUGCAAUGAAGGUGGUGGUGUUGGCAUUCGGCCAUGGAAAUAAAAUUGGAAUAGAGUUAGAAUUAAGGGUUUGAAGAUUCUUUGAAACAAAAAAUGCAAAAUAAGUACAUGUAUCAUGUGUAUAACCAAUAAAAAUAAUUGGUUAAAUUACAACAGUACUUCUAACAAUUUUUAGAUGCACGAGAACAAUUUUUAAGUUGUAAUCUAUCUAAAGAAACUACUACUACGUUCUAAAGAAAUUUUUAUUUCCAUUACUUAAAAUUAAAAAGAGAUUGCAUAAAUGUAUAAAAAAUAUAUAAAAGAAAAACAAAAGACGAAUUACCUCUCAAUUUGUUAUAAAAGAGAUAAACAUAUGUAAAUGAAAUCAAUUUUCAAUAACUUGAGGAAUUUUAUAUAUCUUUUGUUUUUCUUUUAAUAUCUUACUUAUUUUUCAUAGUUUAUGUUUAGAGUUCACUGCUCUUCCCUUAAGAGUGUAAUAUAUCUUGCCACUGCACCAAAUGCUUAUUGGUGUAGUAUUUAUUAUAGCUAUAAAUAGUUUUAACUAUUUUUUUAUUAAACUCUAAGUUAUAGCUCAAAUCAUAAAGCAAAUUAGUUGAUAUAAUGUAUAGUGUUUUUUAUCACUAUAAUUUAUGUUAAAUUUUGUUGAGUUUAAUAUUCAAAAUACCAUAUUUGAUAUAUAUUGAAUUUAAUUAAUUUGUAAUUCAAAUUAAUAUUUUUAUUAUAUCAAUAUUCCUACAUUUUUCUAAUUUCAGAGUAGUUAAAGGAUACAUUUUUUUAAGCUAAAAGUAUUAUAUGCAGAAGUUACAAGAUUAUAAAGCUAAUUAGUAAUAUAUAGCAAAAUUCUAUUACAACUAGUAGAGACUGCAUAACUGUAACAACACAAAAGAGAAUAAAGAUGAUAUUAUACCUGUUUAGUUAUUACUUUGAAGACCGCUGUACACGAGGGAAGUAAGACUUCCAAAAAUGGAUGGAAUUUCACCUAAAACAUAUAAUUAAAAUGGUCAACAUUUAUUUAUCUUUUUUUUUUUUGUAACAGACCUUAAUUUCAAUGCGGAUAGGUAUACGUCUCUCUGUUUCUCUGUAAUUAAACCUAGAACUCUAUUUCUUUCCUAUUCAAUAAUAUCAACUAUGGCUAGUUACAAGUCUUGUGUGAUUCAAUAAAUUUUCAAUACUGUUUUCGAAAGGUAGCAAAUUAAAAUUCAAAUCUUAAAUUAAUUUAAUGGAAAAUUUAAUUAAGGCCCCAACUACAUAAAAACAGAUUCAAGAUAGCAAUGUGAAUAAAUUAUAGAGUAAGUAUUGCAUGAAACAAUUACAUCACAUUUGCAUAGGCUUUUUUUCAAUCCACGAAAUCAUAUUUCUUAAAAAAUCAACUAUUUAUUAAUUUAAUCAUUAAUGAAUUGUUGAAUUAAAUUGUAUCAUUUAAUUAUAACAUGUAAUGUAUAAUUUAAUUUUUACGUUUUUUAUUUUUCAAGAUAUUCAUGAGAGCGAUCGAGCCAACAAAAUGAUUGGUUAAUUUACUUUCCAACAUUUUGCGUUUUCUAGAUGUUUAAGAAAGACCAAGAUUUUAAUAUAUUAAAAGGAAACUUUAGGUAAUUUUUAUUUUGAUAUAUUGAAAGGAAACUGCUACAAUUACCUUUCAACCUAAACUUUAGGUAAUUUUUAUUUUGAUUAUGGAUUGUAUAAAUUUAAUAUAAAAAGGGAAAAAGAAAAAUAUGAAAUUAUACCUGUUAAUUUAUUAUUAGAAAGAUAAAACUCUUGGAGAAAAGUUAAAUUUUCAAUACCAAAAGGAAUUUCACCUGAAACAUAUAAUUAAAUGAAUCAAAAUUUACAAAUAAGUAAAACAAGUUUAAUUGACAUUUCGGGGAUCAUUAUUUAUAUGAAAUUUUAGUACUAAAAGGAACAAAAUAGUCCAAAAAUUGCAAACAGAAGCAGAAAUUAAAAGGGAGAGGAAGCUAGUUUUUGUCAUAAAGUUGGGUUAAUAUUUUGAUUCUAAGGAAAAAUAAUUGAGUUAAUAUUUUUCUAAAGUUAGCUUUAAAUAUUUUGAUUCUAAAGAAAUCCCAAAAUGCAAGACUUAAUUCUCAAAUUCAACAGUACAUCCAAUGGCAAGACAGCAACGCAUUCUCAAAAGAAAAUCCACAAAUAAAGACAUGUGAGGAGGGCCAAGGCAAAGUGGCAAACAAGACAUUAAUUACAUACUUUUUUACAUAAAUAUAAUUUUAUUUAGUGUUGCUAGGCAUUAGUUUGUUUUAUAUUAAAUAUCAUACAUGCAAAAUCUAUUUAUAUUAAUUAUUUUACUAACUUAUAAACAGUGAAUCCAAACAAGUUUGACUACAUCAAGUUAAAAAAAUUUAAAAAUUUCAAAUUUGAAUCAAUUUAGGUGAUUUCAUUUAACAUUCAAAUUAUUUAGGUCUGGGUCAUUUAAGUCAUGUAAUUUGUUAUAUAAAUUAUUAAAUAUCUUUUUACCAUCAUUUCUUACAUUUUUCUCACGUUAAAAAUUGUUGAGUAUCAAAUGCAUCAUUAAUUUUUCUCCUUUCAUCCAAAAGGAUUAUAUUAAGAGAUUAAAUUAUUGUAAGCUAAUUAAUAAUAUAUUAAAAAUUGUAUUUAUAUGCGUGAAAUUUAUAAUUUUAAAAUAAUAUACAAUAAAUAAUGAAACGUAUAGCUCAAAACUAAUUAAUAAUAACACAUGUAAUAUGUAUGAUGUUAAAAUGAAAAAAAUAGAUUUAAAUUGUUUAUUAAGAUGUUGUCAUCAAUCUUGAGUUAGUGUUGAGUUAACCUGUGAGAUGAACACAGUAAAACACUUAAUAAAUAAUAUAAAUAUACAAUUGAUGGAAGUAAUAAAAUGCGCAUAAUAAAAAUUGAAAUGUCUAAAAACAUUAAAAUAAAGUUCUAGAUGAGUGGUUAAUUAAAAAUUUUACUAAUACAAGUGGUACGAGUUCAAAUCCCACAAUAGGUAUAUUUUUAUUGUUUUUUAAAUUAAAAAGCUAAAUUACCUUUGGAUAAUAUAACUUAUUUUAAUAAUGGAAGGGUGUUUCCAUAAUUUUUUCUAACUAGAGGUGGUGACCCGGUUGAGAGUGACCCCAAUUCAGUAAAGCACUUAAUAAAUAAUACGGAUUGAAUAAAUAUAAAAAAAUGAGAAGAAAAUGAUAUCUUUGCAUCAAUGUUUUCGGAAGUAGUCAAAAUUUCCAUAAUUGAUAGAAUAAAUAUAUAAUCAUGUUUAGGUUGGUGGUAGAAUUAUGUUAUCUUUUGCAUUUGGAAUUUAGGCAAUUUUGGUUGGUCUGUAAUCAGAGCAAUAACUCAUAAUACCCUAACUUAGCUAAUUUGUGAUCCAAGGCAAAUCUUAACAUCUUCUAAGGUUUAAUGUAGAGGGUGGAUGUGAAAUGCCCAAACACAGUUCAACUUCAGCAAUUCAAAUAGUUUUGGAUGUUUUUAGAAAAAAAAUUGUAAACUCAAGGUGAAAAUUUAUGAUUUUUUUAGUUGUGUUGUGACUUGUGAUUAGUUCCUUUAGUUAAGCACAUUAUUGAAGUAUGACAAACUUACCUGAAAGUUGACAUCCUCUUAAAUCAAGAUAAUAUAAUUGAGGAAGGCGAUCAAACAUAUUUGACAAGAGAUGACCAAAGAGAUUGUUGUCUGCCAAUGCAAUUAGUUGCAAUGAAGAAAUGUUGAAGAUUGAGUAAGGAAUAACACCUGCAAGAAAUUAGAUCAAUCAUUUCUUGGCAUAAAGAAGGUAUUAAACUAUGUAAAAUUCACAUGUGGAAGAUUUAUUAUUUGAUGUCAUCUGAUCCAAUCUGUUAAAAAAAUUGUAAAUUUAGGGUGAAAUUUUAUAAUUUUUCUUCACGCACUUAAGUCCUAAUAGCUAAAAGUAUCAAAUGUGUAAUCAAUUUGCUUUUCUGUAUUACUAUAUUAAGAAACUAAAACUUAACAACAUAAAAAAAUAAAGGUUCUAAGGUACUUGCCUCUGUCAUUUUUAGAAUUUUAUUAAAGCAGCAGAACGGUCAUUUAGCUUAUCAUAAAAGUCAUGAUGUUCUGUCCAAGUGAUUAUUACCCAAAUAUAAAUAUUAUAACUUUCCUAUGUCCAAACAAGUGAAGGAAAAGGUACUCGAACAUAUUCCACCGUAGAUGAGCAAGGGUUAUCAAAUAUUCUUGAUAAUAGACGGCUAGUUCUAAGAUAAUUGCAUGUUUUGAUCCCUAAACCUUGGGUUAUUUACAAGUUGGUCCCUAGUGCUCAACUAGAAAUAGGCCUAACCAUUUCAUCAUUCAAAAUAUCUAAAAUUUGGUCACUUUCUUUGUAAGACAAUUUCUCUCUCUCCCUAUUUGUAGUUUUUACUUGUACUGUUUGAAAUGAAAUAUAUUUAGUAGUGUCUAAGGACAUAAGUAUAGUUUGCCAAACCUCGUUAAAAAUCUAGUAUUCUUUAUUGUGUUUUUUGUUUCUUUCAAUAUUUUGUGGGUACAAUUAUAGUGAUAUAUUGUCCUAUUAAAUUACAUUAGAGAGAGAUUCUUUCUAGAAGAUCGAGUUUUAAGCGGAACUGUCUGUGAUCCCUUUAAUCUUUCUUAAGAAUUUAAUUUAAUGUGGUUUUCGAGUACAAUAAUUCACUUUUUUUACCCUAUUCGCACAACAUAAAAAUAUAUUCAAAAUAAAAUAAAAAAAACAUGAAACUUGAAAGAGAAUUAUUAUCCAAAUAUUCAAGCAUGGUGCUAGUGAGAUCCAUUUGAGUUUAAUAUUCAAUUUAUUAUGUUUAUUGGGUCUUUGCAUUUAAGUAAUCUGCAAUGCAAAUUAUUAUACCAAUAUUUCCUACAUUGUUAUAACGUUAAACUAGUUAAAAUAUCAAAUGUAUCAUUAGUUUUUUAAACCAAAAUUAUUAUAUUAAGAAACUAAAGGAUUGUAAGCUAAUUAAUAAUAAAACGAUAUUACAUAUUUACCUGUUAAACUGUUAUUACAAAGAUCAAUGAACUUGAGAAAAACCAGGUUUCCGAUACUCAUUGAAAUUUUACCUGAAACAUAUAAUUAAAUUCAUCAAAAAAACUUACUAGAAAAACUCAUGUACUAUGUUUCUCUAUAAUCAAAGCUAGAACUCAUGUACUAUGUUUAUGUAAUCUACUGGAUGGUUUUCUUAAGGGUAAAAUUACGUAAUUUGAUGUAAUUGUUUCAUACAUAAUCCUUUCUUAUUAAUUAUAUUUGUGACAAACAUUCGGAUUAUCUAUAUAGUCAACAAAAUGAUUGGUUAAUUUUUUUCACAACAUGUAUUUUCUUAACUCUAAGAUUUUUAUCUAUUAAAAGAAAACAACUACAAUUACCUUAUAACGAAAACUUGAGGUAACUUUUAAGUUAAUUAUGAAAUGUAUAAAUUUAAUAAUAAUAAAAAAGAAAUGAAAGAUGAAAUUGUACUUGAUAAUUUGUUAUUGACAAGAUAAAAUGUUUGGAGAGAAGUCAAAUUUUCAUUAAUGGAAAAUUUUCACAUGAAAUAUAUAAUUAAAUUAAUUGAAAUUUACAAAGAAAUAAAACAAGUCUAAUAGACGUUUCGAGCAUAAUGAAUUAUACGAGAUUUUAGUGUUACAUUGUAAACAACAGCAUAAACUUAAAAAAAGGAGAGGAAACUAGUUUUUGCCAUAAAGGGGUUAAUAUUUUUAUUCUAAGGAAAGGAUAUAAGACAAAUCAUACUGAGAGAGACAACUGAGUUAAUAUUUUUCUAAUGUCAGCUUAAUAUUCUUUAACUAUUUUCUUUUUAUUCUAAAGAAAUCCCAAAAUGCAAGGCUUAAAUCCCAAAUUCAAGACUACCUCUAAUUUCAAUUGCAAAAAUAAAUGGCACAAAAGGAAACCCUUAAAAUACAUUCGAUUGCAAGUCAGCAAUGCAGUCUUUAAAAAACCCCAAUCUUCUUUUAGAAGUAAAAGACGGUCUCUCUAAGAGAAAGAGACGAGUGCCAAGGCAAAGUGGCAAAAGAUACAUUUGCAUAUAUAAUUUAUUUAGUGUCACUAGACAUUAGUUAUAUAUAUUACUAAGUAUUAGAUUUCAUAUAUAUAUGAAAAAUCCAUAUAUUACUUAUUUUAUUAAUAUAUAAACAGUAAUUCGUUUACAUGAUUUCAAUGUCGAAAAAACAAAAUAUUUUAGAUUUAAGGUUGAUUCUUUUAAGAUUAAUAUUCAAGCUAUUCAGAUUUAAAACAAUUGUUCAUAUAAAUUAGAUAAGAAAAUGAAUGAAACGAUAAUCCGGAAUUGUUUACCUUUGAGGUUGUUGCUUUCAAGAAUCAAAUUUUCGAGCAAAGUCAAAUUCCCAAUUUCUGCAGGUAUACUUCCCUCCAAGGAGUUGCUAUACAAUGAUAAAAACUUCAGUUUUUUGCACUUGAAUAAACUAUUUGGAAUUCUACCAGAAAUUCGAUUUCUACCCAAGCUCAAUCUUUCUAGUUUUGACAAAUUGCCCAAAGUAGAUGGGAUAACACCAUCAAAGUUGUUACCGUACAGAUAUAAUUCUUGAAGUUUAGCGAAGGAACCAAAACACAAUGGGAUUUCUCCAUUGAAAUUGUUGUUACCUAAGUGAAAAUAUUUCAGCCGAUGCAAAUCUGCAAAUUCAAUGGAUAUAGAGCCAUGGAAAUUAUUGUCAUGAAUGUCGAGCCAACCAAGGAAAGAUAGAUUUCCUAAUUGAGAAGGGAUGGUGCCAGUGAGAUCCAUAUGUGAUAAAUUCAGAGCAAUAACUCUUUGGUGUUUGGAUCCACAGGUGACACCAAUCCAGUUGCAAACAGAGGCCGAAGUAGACCAACUGGUUACCAAGAAGUUAUGAGGAUUAUGAACUAUAUGAGAUUUUAGUGCUGGAAGGGCCGAUUGAUCUAUGGUGAUGUUAGAAUAUUUUGCAGACAAAAUAACCCCAAAGGUGGCAAAUAGCAGCGCAAACAUAAAAGAAAGGAGGAAGCUUGGUAUUGCCAUAAGGUUGGAUAUGGGUGUAAGGCAAAUCAUAGGGAGAGAAACAACUGAGUUUUUUACCUCUCUAAUCUUACUGCAACAUUCUUUAAAUACUUUGAUUCUAAGGAUUUAGGCAAGGCAUCCAUUGACUCAUAAUUUGAGUAAGAAAUAUGUACAAUUUUGUGGUUGCAACAUGAAUUUAAGUAUUAAUAAUUGAGAAAUUAAAAUUUAAAAAAUAAUUGAAAAUUUAAAUAAAAACAGUAAGAUCCAGAAAAAAAUAGUGAAAUACCCGUAAAACUAGAAGCAGGACAUAGAUUGGGAAGGCGGUGUCGGUUUCUAGACUUUGGAAUUUUUAAUGAAUGGCCACCUUUUUUCAACCACUAAUUUCAGACAAGCUUUCCACAAGAUAAUGUUAUUUUAAGACUGCAUUACUGACGUUUGGGCCAAAGGAUGAAUUAAUUUUCAACUUUUUACCCUUACUUUCCAUUUUCAAUUAUUCUUUGUUUCAUCAAUGGGAAAGCAACUAUUUUGUAACUCUCCACUUCAAUUCACAUCUUUUUUUGUUUUAUAAUAAAUGGAACUAUAGUUGAAGUUGCUGUAUUGUGUUAAUGGAAGCGUCCACUUUUAUCAUUACUUCAACAAAAUGUAUAGAUGUGUACAUUCGGUUGGUUGGAUUUUUUAUAUAAAAUUUUUGAUUAGGUUCAGUUUAGCUUUUAGCUGCUUUUUUUUAGUUAGAAAAGAUUUCUACAUGAAGUAGUUAUAAUUUUAUUUCCUUUAAUUUUUCUUUCAAAUAGUUGUCUCCUUUCUUCAAUUUACUAUAUUGUAUUACUUUUAAUUUUACUAACUGUGAAUUAUUCUAAAAGGAUCACAAUUUAUAGCUUUCAGGUUGAGAAAGCAACCAUAUUUUUCAGGUAAUUUUUUUGUAUUACCAAAGCAAGAUUGAAAUGGAAUUUGGAUUAUACGCAAAGCAUAUUUUUCAUUCAUUCUGUAUGAUAUUUGAAUUUAAAUAAAUUUGAAGAAUUUAAAAAAAUAAUAAAAAAGAGAAGGAUUUAUUUUUAUUAUUUUUAUAUCUUUUAAGGGCUAUUUAAAUUUAAUCUCAGAAGGAAACAGACCUAACAUGCUAAUAGACCAAAUGUUUAAUUAGUACAGUGAUACUAUCAUGCAACAACUCUUUUUCAGCCAAUCUAAAAGGUUAAUUACUUCAUCAGGUCCUUGAACAUUUUGCCCUUGCACACUUCUACCAAUUUGUUAGGCGACACAAAAAAUUGUGUUUUUUUUUUUAGAUUUUUAGGGUGGUGCCGCUUGAGAAAGUGAUGACACCCAACUCUACUAUAGAAAUCAGGUCAUUUCCAUAAUUAAUCUUAAAGUUUGGUCAUUUUCAUAAAAUUUUAAACUUAUAGUGUCAGAUUCCUAAAAAAAACUUUACUUUAUUGCGUGGUAAACUUCUUCAGUUUGAUGUAUAUAUAAUAAGUUUGUUAUAAUAAUGUUAUUUCAAAUCAAUUAAAUAAAUUUAUAAUCACUUAUGAUAUAUUGAUUUUAAUUAGAAAAGCGAAAUUUUAUAUAAGGUCAUCCUGUAGAUAAAAGAUGGCAGCUGAUUAUUCGCAAUUGAUUAUUCUUUGAUAAAAAUAAAUCAUGGGAGUGAGGAAUUAUUAAGACUGUUGUUUGAUAAAAAGAGUUUUCUUAAUGCAUAGACUUGUUUGUAUUGGAUCCCUUUUAUGAGGCAAAAAGGAUAUACUUGUCCAAGGGUGAAUUGUGUAAGUCAAGAUCUUUGCAAUAGGAUAGCUACAAGGAAUCUUCAGCCCUCUCUUUUUCUUAACUCUAUCUUCCUCUCAUUUUCUUAGGCAUGACAUUCUGGUCUAUUGUUUGUUUGGAUAUGAUUUGUUGUGUCCUACGAUGUUAAUACUUAGAUUCUAAGGAUUUAAGCACAACAUAAACUAUGAUAUAAGUGGUGUCGUAUUAUAAUUAUUAGUCCAAUUAAUUAUGAAUUUGAUUUCUUAUUUUUUUUUUAGUAAUUUUUCAUUGAAAAUCAAAUAAUCAAAUACAGAAAUAAUUGAUGUCGUUAUUGAUAUUGACGCUAAAGCCCAAGUCAAGAGUCUUCGUUUGCAUGCUACCUGUACAAAUACAUUAAGGAAACAAGGCAACCUCGUUGUGUUACUAAGUUAGUGAGUGAUCUAAGAAGCAUGUCAGCUCCAAAUGAAAACAAAUUUUCAGUACUAAUGUCAAUCACAUUUCAAAGACAUAUUUUAACUAAGAUUGAGACCAAUUUUUUAAUUUAAAGUCUAAAAAUAUUGAUUGAUAAUGCUACGAACCAACAUGACACUGGAUCCUUUCAUUUCUUUUUCCACUAGUGCUUGAUGGGUUAUUAUAAAGGGUUUGAUUGAUAAAAGAUCAAAUGAGUUUGUUGGAAUUAUUUAUUAAGUGUUUGUUUUUAUUUUGAUUGAAUCAAGUGAUUUAAAAUUUUAGAAGUGUUGUUUUCUAUUUUUAGUGUUUUUUUUAUUUAGGGUUAUGAGUUUUUGAGGUUGAUGAACAAAAACUGAAACUGAGACUUGAUUGUGUUCAUUAAUUUUGGGAUAUAGAUUUUUUAUUUUUGUUAAAUUUUUUAUUGCUUUUAUCUGAGAUUAAUACUAAAAACUGUUCAGUUUUCGUCCAUUAAAUUGUUGAAGAAGAAUGUUCUAUACUUGAAAUUUUUUGUGUUUGGUUGAAUCCAAAUGGUUUUAAAAAAUUUCAAACAAAUUUUUUUGUUCACUUUCAAUUUUGAUCCAUUAAUUUGGGGGUUAAUUUUUGCUUUUUUUAUUUUUUUUUUUGUUCAUGGAUGAAGCUCUUUGUAGGUGACGUGUAUGUUAAAAAAGUAAAGAAAAUGGUAUUAACAAUUGAGAAAUUAAAACUUCAAAAAAAUUGAGAAAUUAAAUAAAAACCAUUAUGUUAGAAUUAGUGAAAUAUUAGCUCAUAGAAACACUUUAUAAUUUUAGUGAAAUAUUAUUUUUAUAUUUUAAUUAUUUUUAUAUUUUUAUAUAACUUUUUAGAAUCAAAAUGAUAGAAUAUGUAAAAUUUAGAGAGUUAAAUUGUUAUUAGACCAAUAAAAAAAUGAGUUAGCACUUCCGUCAAUUAAUUUUCAGUGACAAAAAAAAUUGAUUUCGAAUAGUUUAGUAACAAAAUUGAAAAAUUUAAAAGUUUAAUGACCAAAAUAGAAUGUGGGUAAUAGUUUAGUGACAAUUCCUACACUUUAUCCUUUUUUAAAUGGUAAAUAAUUUUUGGCAUAAUGACUUAUUUGGCCCUCUAACUUUAAAAAAAAAUCAUUUUAGCCUUCUAUUUAAUUUUUCGCUUUUUUUAACACUUUAACUUCUGUUUUUUUAUCAAAUCACCCCCACAUAGUUUCCAUAUAUAUAUAUAUAUAUAUAGCAGCAUUUCUUUUUUCCUCAAUCAAGGAAUAAUAUUUCAAUAAUUAAAACUCAACAGAUUCAUAUAUAUAUACACAAAAUAAUAGGAUCACCCUUGCAAAUAGAAGAUGACAGCUGAGUAUUCUUUGAUAAAAAGAGUUUUCUUAAUGUAUAUACAAGUAAGAAGGCCCUAACUUUGGUUGAUUGAAACGUGUUUGAUGGAGAUCCUCUCAACUUCUUCUUCACGGUUGCUCCCAACUUCUUUCUAACAUGAAUUCAAAAAAUGACCACUUUUUCCAACAUCUAAUUUGAAAAUUGGUCCCCUUACCUUAAGACAAAUCAAACCUAAGUUUCCACAAGAUAGACUUGUUUUAAGACUGCAUGUGAGGACCAGUAAGCAGGAUUCAACUAAAAAUGAGAUGAUUUUUCAGCUCUCCAUUGAUUAGAGCAACUUCCACCUCUAUCGUUUUCAUCACAAAUAAUAAAUAAGUGGAGUCUGUAUUGGCAUUGACACCAAAGUCCAAGUCAAAAGAGUCUUUAUUUUCAUCAUAAAUAAUAAAUAAGUGGAGUUCAGCCGCAUCAUUAAUUAUAUUCUCUAGAUAUAUUAACCAAAUUAUACCUAUAUACCAUAUAUGAAACUUGGUACAAGAAUUGAUUGAUUUAGAAGCAUCCACUUUUCUCUUAAUUCAAACCUUUUCUUCUUAACCAACCAAUCAACACAAACGCUAAAUUUCUUGAAAAUACACUAAUUUUGUUUAAUUAUUAAAACUGUUCAUUAGCUCUAAGAGAAAUAAUAUAAAUUCAUAGUCCGAUUUCAAUAAGAGAAAUCAAGUUUCCAGUCACUCGAAACACAAUUAAAUAGGUUAAAGUUUAGCAGAUACUAUUUCUUUGUUCAACACUAUAGGCGUCUGUUUUCUUUUCUUUACUACUUUUUUAAACAUGUAAAUUUCUUUCAAUUUGAUAGUCUUAUGAAAAAACCCUCAAAGUUAUAAAUCCCUAACCACAAAUCACCACAAGAGAUCACAAAAAAUAAAACAUCUGAGACAUCCAAAAGCACUAAAGUAGUGAAGACAUCGCAUUUCAUAGUUGUAGAGGAGGAUUAGAUACUCCUCCUAAUCUAAUUAGCUCUGUUAUAUUAGCAAUCGAAACACAAGAUAAUUUUUAUACCUAUAAAUAUAACUAUUUCCAAAGCCAAACAUGGGAAGAGUGUGGGCAUUAAAGCUGUGUGAAGAUGAGCCUACUUUAAACUUGGAAAAAGUAUGGAACCAGAAAGAUAAUUAUUAUACAAUAUAACUAUUUCAACUUUACUGGGCUCCUACCAUAAUAUACCACAUAAAAAAUAAUAAUUCUUGAAAAGGAGAUUUUUAGAUUAGGAGUGUAAUUGAAAUGGGUGGUGGGAGAGUUGUAUGAGCUCAAGUUGAGGAGAUUUUGAGAGGCGAAAGAAGUUGUCGAUAUCAAUGAUAAAAAUAUCAAUUUACAAUGCUUCGAACCAACAUGCCACUAGAUCCUUUUCACUUUUUUCAUCGGUGCUUGAUGGUUAUUAUAAGGGCUUGACUGACAAAAGAUUAAAUGAGUUUUAUUGGAAUGAUUGAUUAUUGGAUUCUUUUUAUUUUGGUUGAAUUAAGUGGUUUACAAUUUAUUUAUUUUUUGUUGGAAUGAGUUUUUGAAAUUGGUGAGCAAAAAUUGAUACUGAGAUUUGAUUGUGUUUAUCAAUUUUGGGAGAUUUUGGUUUUUGUUCAAAUUUUCAAUGCUUUUAACUGAGAUAUUAAAACUGAAAAAAAAGAGAGUCAGUUUUCAUUUAUUAAUUUGUUGAAGAAGAAUGCUCUAUGUUUGAGUUUUUCGGUCUUUGAUUGAAUCAAGUGCUUUAAUAUAAUUUCAAACAAAAUUUUUGUUCACUUUCAAUUUUCAUUUAUCAAUUUGAGGCUUGAUUUUUGCUUUUUUUUCAUUUUUGUUGUUCAUCAAUGAAACUUUUUGGAGGCGAUGAGUAUGUUAAAAAGGUAAAAAAAAAAAUGGCAUUAAUAAUUGAAAAAUUACAGUAUGUUCUAAAAACAAUUAGUGAAACAUGCACUUAUACAAGCACUUUAUAUUUUUGCAGAAAUAUUAUUUUAUAUAUUUAACAAUUUUAAGAUUUUUUAAAUAUUUUUAUAUAAAAUUUUAGGAUCAAAUUGAUAGAAUCUGUAAAUAUUAGAGGGUUAAAUUUGUUAUUAGACCAAUAAAAAAGUAUUCAGCCCUUCCAUCAAAUUUCAAAUGGUUGUUAACUUUCAAUGACCAAAAAAUAGUGAUAGAAUAUAUAAACAUUAGAAGGUUAAAUUUGUUAUUAGACAAAUAAAAAAUACUUGUUAGCACUUUCAUCAAAUUUCGAAUGGUUGUUAACUUUCAAUGGCCAAGAAAACUAAUUUUGAAUAGUUUAGUGAUUAAAUCAAAAAAAGUAAAAGAUCAUUUAAUUAUUUUUUUCAGAUUUUAAAAAUUAUUUUGAAAAACAAAAAAUCAUUAAAACUAUUAAAAAAUAUAAAGUAUUAUCUAAAUAUUUUUAAAAUUUUAAAAUUAAUUAAAUGCUGACAUGUCAUCCACGUUAGCAAAAUUAACAAAUGUUAACGUUUUCAUCCGUUUUGGGUUGAUUUGACAAAAAAUACAAGUUCAAGGGUUAAAAAAGAAAAAAAAUUAAAUAGACAAUUAAAAUAAUUGUUUUUAUAAAAUUGGAUGACAAAAAAGUCCAUUCACAAAACAUGUUUUUGGUAAUUUUAUAUUCCCUAAAAAUAUCACUUUUAUGUUAAAAUUUGUAAACUUCAUCUCAAUGAUAUUAGAUAUUUUAAUUAAUUAAAUUUUAUAAAUAUAUAUUGAAAGUUUUUAUAAUAUAUAUUUUUUCUGUUUUGCCCUGUGUUCCUCUGUUUUGUUCUGUUCCUGUGAUGUUGGGUUUUUUUACCAUGGUUUUUAUGUCGAAUACUAAUUAAAAAAAGAGUUUAAUUUCCGAUAUCGGCCUAAUUAUCAUGUGUUCCUUUCAAUUAGAUGUUAUAGACCGACCAUGAAGAUUUCAAAGUGUUGUAGGAAUCUAUCUUUUGAAAUUGUUUUCAGCGACCAUCAAGUUUUGAAGCUUUUGACAAAUUGGCCAAAGUUGAUGGGAUAAAACCAAUGAAUUUGUUGAUGUAUAGAUACAAGCUCUGAUGUUUUAUUUGGAGUCUAAUGGUUGCAACAUGUUUGAUGAUGAUCCUCAACUCUGAUUGAAUCUAUUAUUUAAUAUCAGACAAAAUAAAACAUUGAGAUGAAACUAUUUCAAUUUUCAUGUUCUUUGAUGAUUUGUCUUGCUUCUCUUCUCUCACUUGUUUUAUAUAUAUAUAUAUAUAUAUAUAUAUAUAUAUAUAUCUCGUUGUUUGAGAUGUUGUAGUUUGAUUCCUGCAUUGCACUUGUAACAAAAUCAUGAUUCAGACCAAAGUCUUGUAGAUUGUAAUUUUGCAUUAUUUCACCUCCCUUGAUUCUUGACAAACUGUCUUUGGUAGCAAUCAACCUCUCUUGGAGUAUCUACUCCUAAUUCCAAAUAUAAUUUACUUUCUUCGUUCUAAGCCACAUCAAAUAUAUCAAAAAGGCAAAAGGUGCCAAUUAAGACGGUCUUUAUAAUCUAGUGCACCGCUAAAAACAUCAAGAAAACAUAAUAUAAACCACACAACAUACAAUAAUCGAGAUUUUUUUUUUUUUGCCAAUUUCCUUUAAGUAGCCUUAAAUCUCUAAUAAGAGGACAUGACGGUUAAAAUUUGAUAUUAUAAUAAAUUUGACUCUCAAUUUUUACUUUCUGUAUCAAUUUAGUCAUUAUUUUAAAAGAUUAAUCUUUAAAAUUUACAAAUAAUCUCAAUUUGAUCAUCAAAAUUUACCUUUUCUUUCCACUUCCUCCGCUACCACUAUCAUCAUUGCCUCCAGCUCCACCUUCUAUUAGUAUGUUUUUGUUUUGGUCACCUAACUAUGAAAAUUUUCAAUUUUAUCACUAUCGUUUUAGAUCAUUUCUAAUUUGCUCACUUUUUAGAUCGUUUUUAUUUUACUCAAUCUUCGUUAAAUGGUUAACCAAAGUUAUAAUGUAACCUUUUUUUUAACUAGUAUAAGAAACACAAUUAGUCUUCAAUACUUCCACAUUCUAUCAAUUUGAUCCUCGAACACAUACAAUUAAAUAUAAAAUAUAUAUAUUACGAAAACAUACAAAAUUUAAUUAUUUAUAUAUAUUGUUAGAGUUGUGUGACCCAAAUUCUAAGAGAUUCCUUGCAAGUCAAGUUAAACAAAGUAUAUCUUCUUUCUAAAAGAUUUAGUAUUUAUGAGUAUAAUAUAUUUACCAUUUAUUAGCAUAAUAUCUUUGACUUUGAUUAGAAUUAGGUUUUUUCAACCUUUAAAUAGAUGUAGUCAAAACUCCUCUUGUAAUCAUUUUAAAUUCGACAUAGUGAAUUCUCUUCACCUCUGCCCAUGGUUUUUUCCCGAAAGGGUUUCCACAUAAAAAUUUGUUUGUAUUCUUUAUUUUUAUUUUUCUUUUCUUUGCGAUAUAUUGUCAUUACUGACAUUUUAUUUUAACAAAUUGGUAUCAGAGCUUCCAGGUUGUUUAUCUCAAUCACGAUAAUGGCGUUUUUGAAGUACGAAAUUUUGCUGUUAGAUCACAACACUAGAUUCACGUUGUGGCAGAUAAAGAUGUAGGCAGUUCUUGCAUAGAUGGACUUAGAGGAAGCCGUGCUAGGGGUAGAUAAGAUGCCUUCAACAUUAACGGAGGAAGAGAAGAAGCGCAAGGAUCUAAAUGCAUUAACACAGUUACAUCUGCAUUUGUCUAACAAAAUUUUACAUGAUGUGAUGAAGGAGAAGGUUGUCACUAGAUUAUGCAAGAGGUUGGAACAAAUAUGUAUGUCAAAAACUCUAACUUGCAAGUUGCAUAUGAAGCAACGUCUUUAUGCUCAUCGUUUGAAGAAAGGUGCGUCUGUGCACGAACACUUAACAAUGUUUAAAGAAAUUCUCUCAAACUUGGAGGCCAUGGAGGUUCAGUAUGAUAAGGAAGAUCUAGGGUUGAUUCUACUUUGUUCGCUGCCCCCGUCUUAUUCAACCUUUAAAGAUACGAUUUUAUAUAGCCAUGAGUCUCUCACAGUUGAUGAGGUUUAUGAUUCUUUAACCUCAUAUGAUAAGAUAAAGCAUCUUGUGGUUAAAAUUGACUCUUAAAGAGAAAGUCUCAUUUUUCAUGGAAGAUAAGAUCGAAAUGCUAAUGAUGAUCGUGGAAGGACACAGGAACGAUAAUUUAGUAAUAAAUCUAAGGGUAGAUCGAAGUCUUCAAAUAGAGGUAAAACUUGUGACUUCUGCAAGAAGAAAAGGCGCAUUAAAUCUGAGUGCUAUAAGCUAUAGAACAAGAUCAAAAGGGAGGCUGCAAAUCAAAAUGGAAAAUAACAAGAAAAUUUUGGUAAAGCUGAUGCUGUAGAAGACUACAGCGAUGGUGAACUUCUAGUUGCUUCUGUCAACAGUUCUAAAGUAAGUGAGGAGUGGAUCUUGGAUUUGGGCUACACCUUCCACAUGAGUCCCAAUCAGGAUUGGUUUAGAACUUAUGAAAUAGUGUCUGAAGGUGUUGUUUUGAUGAGAAAUAAUGCUUCAUAUAGAAUCACAGGUGUUGCAACAAUUAAAGUUAAGAUGUUUGAUGGAGUUGUCAAAACACUUAGUGACGUAUGACAUGAUCUAGAAUCGAAGAGAAAUUUAAUUUUUUUGGGUACUCUUGAUUCAAAAUGGUACAAAUACACAGCUGAAAGUGGGGUUUUAAAUAUUUCCAAAUAUUCCCUCAUUGUGAUGAAAGGGCAAAGAAAGACUGCCAAGUUAUAUAUUUUACAGGGUUCUAUUGUUACUGGUGAUGCAGCUGUCGUAUCCUCUUCCCUGUCAGAUGAUGAUAUUACUAAACUUUGGCAUAUGUCCUAGGGCAUAUGAGUGAGAAUGGCAUGACAGAAUUGAGAAAAAGAGGACUUCUUGAUGGGCAAGGAAUUUGUAAAUUGAAGUUCUAUGAGCACUGUAUUUUUGGGAAGCAAAAGAGAGUUUGAUUCACUGGAGGAAUCCAUAACACAAAGGGAAUGUUGGAGUAUAUUCAUUCUAAUCUGUGGGGGCCAUCUAGAGUGCCUUCAAGAGGUGGAGCUAAUUAUAUGCUAACUUUUAUUGAUGAUUUUUCCAAAAAAAUUUGGGCGUUCUUCUUGAAGCAAAAAAGUAAUGUGUUUUCAGCAUUUAAGUCCUGAAAAACUAAGAUUGAAAAAUAGAUUGGAAAACAAAUAAAAUACCUUCGCACAGACAAUGACUUAGAGUUCUGUUCUGAUGAGUUUAAUAAACUGUACAAGUUAGAAGGGAUUGCGAGACACUUGACAGUUCGUCAUACUCCACAGUAAAAUGGUGUUGUAGAACGAAUUAACAGAAUGAUCAUGGAGAAGGUUCGAAGUGUGUUGUCAAAUGCCAACUUACCAAAGUUAGUUUGGGCCGAAGCAGUCUCUACUGCAAGUUUUUUGAUCAACCGAUCUCCAUCUGUUGUCAUUGAGAAAAAGACUCCACAAGAGGUAUGGUUUGGUAAUCCUACUGACUAUUCUGAUUUAUAGAUCUUUGGGUGUCCUGCAUAUGCUCAUGUUGAUAAUGGAAAAUUGGAACUGAGAUCCAUAAAUGUGUUUUUCUUAUUUAUAAAGCAGGUGUAAAAGGGUUUAAGUUAUAGUGUCCUAAAAAUAAGAAAGUUGUGAUUAGCAGAGAUGUUGUUUUUCAUGAAACUACUAUGCUACGUAACUUAUCUCUUAAAGACUCUUCAAAUAAAGAAAAUUAAAAAUAGGUAGAGCAUCAGAUUAAUCCAGAAUCUACAUCAGAGUUGACUUUUCAAGCCAUUAGAAAAAUACAAAGUAGAGUUGCUUCUUCACCACAAUACUUUAUAGUCAAAAAUAGAACCAGAAGAGAAAUUAAACCGCCAAAGAAGUAUGCUAAGGUUGAUCCAGUUGCUUAUGCUUUAAAUGUAGCUGAAGAUAUAAAUUGUAACACCCCAAAUUUUGGGCCUAGAAAAAAUAGGUUUUGAACAAGGGAAAAUUUAGGAGACUGCACAUAAAUAUUAAGCUGUGCAAGGAAGUGACAUAAAUAUCUGUCUGCUUUAGUGGUUAAGUGAUCUGGGAGUGUUUAAGAAGCCUGGGUUCAAGUCUUGGCUUCUGCAGAAUUUUUAGUUUUGCUUUUAAAUGAAUCUAGACAUUGGCAUAUAGGCCUUAUAAAUAAUAGUGUUAGUUUUAUGUCCCAAAAAAGCUUAUGGUCUAGUGGUAAGGUGACAUGUUGUAUAACUGUAAGGUAUGAGGUUCAAGUAUUGGGUUACGCAAUGGAGUAUUUAUUUUGCUGAUUGAGUUGGGUAGGUGGUGGGGUUGGAAUGAAAUAUUGCUAAAUAGAGUUUGAAUUGGUCAUAGAGAGAUUUGAGGAAGGAUAUGUGGAGAGAUUUGAGAAGAGAAUAUUGGGAUUUGGGGAGGUUAUUGUUGUAAAGAGAUAAAUAUAUCAUCUCAUUUGUUCCUUGUUCUGGAUGGGAGAUCGACGAGGUUUUCAAGGUUUUCGUCGCUUUCUCCAAACUGCAUUGCUUCCAUUCCUAACUAGUGGUGGUCGAGGUUGAUUAACACAUUGCCUAGGAACCAAGGAUGCGAUGAUCAUUAAUUUUCAGAAUAGGAGUGUUUAGAACGAAAUGAAUCUACAAAUCGUAUCAAGUGUGUAACCAUCCCACUGCAACUGUAGAACGCUAAAAAUCGAAAAGUCAAAAUAUGGCAUUGAGACGACACGAGUGUGCGAUUGCUCGUAUAGGAAGCCAAACCUACGAAUCAUGGGCGAGAAACUGUAGAGGCCUCAAUGAACAUUUUCAUGGGCUUAGGCCGUAAUGGGCCACAUUAGGUCGAAAUGGGCCGUGUGGGCUUAAUGGGUUUAUAGGGCCCACGUAGAUAAAAUCAAUUAUUUGUGGCAAAUUCUGGACUGGGUUGUGUAGAUCUCAUAAUCGUGUGAAAUCUGGGCUGAACGGGUCAUACGAGCGCGUGGGCCCACUUGGGUCGAGUAAUGAGCCUUGGGCCUAUUUACACUGUUAUGACCGAAAUACCCUAUAAGAUAAAAUGACCAAAAUACCCCCAUAUGGUAAAAUGAUCAAAAUACCCCUAUAGGGUAAAAUAACCAAAAUACCCUGAUAGGGUAAAAUUAUCAAAAUACCCCCACAAGGUAAAAUAACCUAAAUACCCCCAUAGGGUAAAAUGAUUGUUAUACCCCUAGGAGAUGAAAUGACUGUUAUGGCUUUAUGUUAUGUAUGACUGGUUUGUUCUAUGAUAUGUAUGACUAUGAUUGAGUAUGACAUCCUACAUACACGUAUGAUAUUAUGUCACGACAUAUUGCAUGGGGAUAGGUUGUUAUAUUUAGAGGACGUGUAACGUAUUGAUAAGGUUGCACGGGUCGUCCAAGACAACUAUGUACCUACUGAUGGCUAUAUGCCGUUUAUUUGACUGGCAACUUUGCUACAAUACUGUUUAGUGCCGCAACUAGUGCUAAUCUUGGUGUGUAUGGCUGGGUGAGUCGAUUUUAUCCCCACGAGGUGUGUUUGGCUGGAAGAAGUGGUGUGUAGAGGCAGGAUUGGGAGUUACAUUUAGUGGUAUCAAAGCCCAGUUGUAAAACUCGGUUGUGGAAUGGGUUUGAAAAUAUCUAGAAUUUAUGAAAAAUUAUUUUAAAUUAAAUUUUAAAGGACACAAGUGUGGUACAUCGAGUCUUCAGCACCGAAUCUGUAAGUUUCUAUAUACUGUAGGCUGCUUAAACUGAAAUAUAUUGAAAGACUACAAUAGAUAGUAAGCCUGUACUGAAACUCUUAAAUUAGAGAAAACUAAGACUGUAGGAAAACUGGAAGCUGUAGGGAGACCUUGACUUACAAAAACAAAACUAUGACUACUGGGUCUCAUAAGACAUCUGUUAAUAAUUACUGGAAUUACUCCCUAAUGCAUAAAAUUUCUUAACAUUGAUAAUACGUUAUUUGAUAUGAGCACAAGAGGUAUACAUGGACGAGGUACAAGAGGCCAUGGUAGAGGCCGUUGAGGUGCUCGAGUUAGGUCCUCAUCAUUUGGCCAUAUACCUAAUUUGGAACUAGAGUGUACAGCGGAAGCAUAGUGGUGGAGUCUGUGUUAUGCGACUGAUCUGAUAAUUAGAAAUUUUGAAGACGAAAUUUUUUUAAGGAGGGCUGAAUUGUAACACCCUAAAUUUUGGGCUUAAAAGAAAUAGGUUUUGAACAAGGGAACAGUUAGGAGACUGCAUAUAAAUAUUUAGUUGUGUAAGGAAGUGACAUUAAUAUAUAUCUGCUUCAGUGGUUAAGUCAUCUGGAAGUGUUUGAGAAGCCUAGGUUCAAGUCUUGGCUUCUGCAGAAUUUUUAGCUUUUCUUUUAAAUGAAUCUGGGCAUUGGCAUAUAGGCUUUAUAAAUAAUAGUGUUGGUUUUAUGUCACAAAAAGAGCUUGUGGUCUAGUGGCAAGAUGGUGUGUUGUGUAACUGUAAGGUUUGAGGUUCAAGUCCUGGGUUGCAUAAUAGAGUAUUUAUUUUGCUGAUUAAGCUAGGUAGAUGGUGGAGUUGGAAUGAAAUACUACUAAAUGUAGUUUGAAUUGGUCAUAGAGAGAUUUGAGGAGGGAUAUUUAGAGAGAAUAUUAGGAUUUGGGGAGAUUGUUGUUGUGGAGAGAUAUAUAUUAUAUCAUCUUAUUUGUUCCUCUUUCUGGAUGGGAGAUUGGCGAGGUUUUCAAGGUUUUCGUUGCUUUCUCCAAACUGCAUUGCCUCUAUUCCUAACUGGUGGUGGUCUCAGAAUAAAAGUGUUCGGAACAAAGGAAAUCUGCAAAUUGCAUCAGGUGUGUAACCACCCCACUGUAACUGUAGAACGGCAAAAGGUGAAAAGCUAAAAUACGUCGUUCAAACUGCACGAGUGUACGAUCACUCGUGUUGGAAGCAAAAUCUACGAACAUAGAUGAAACUAUAGAGGCCUUCAUGAGCAUUUCCAUGGGCUUAGGCCGUAAUGGGCCACAUUGGGCUGAAAUGGGCCGUGUUGGCUCUAUGGGCUUAUGGCCCCCAUACUGAUGAAAUCCACGCUUUGUGGAAAAUUCUGGACUGGGUUGUGUAGAUCUCAUAAUCGUGGAGAAAUCUAGACUAAACAGGCAUACGAGCGUGUGGGCCGACUUGGGUCGAGUAAUAGGCCUUAGACCCAUUUACAUUGUUUUCUUUUUACAGUACAGGUAAUCCUUAGCCAUAGGCAAUUUGGUGCUGCUAGGGACUCGGAGGUGGCCACACAACUGUAGUUGUUCUACAAUUGUUUUUAUUUAAAUAACUUGAGUUCGAGUUGGGUUUUGUUUUUUUUAAUAAGGCCAUUACGUAUCUUUAAAUUUUAAAUUGGGCUUUUGGUUACUUCCUUAAAAAUGAAAUUUAAUCCUAAGAGUUUUCAAAAGCUUUCACGGUUUUUAGAUCAACCUUUUAUAACAAUGGCAACAACAAGCCAAAAUUCCCGACUUAAUGAUUUGUUAAAUAAUAAUAAAGGGGUUUUUAAAAUUUAGAGGCUAAUUUUUAUCAAGGAGUCAUAGUUUUCGAAAAACACUUCAAUGUGACAUGCUAGAUUCGACCAUAACUCCUAGGCCAAGUUUGGGAUGUUACAUAUAUGCAAACCAAGAGCCAUCUAAUUAUUCUGAUGCGGUUAGCUGUGAAGAUUUAGAGAAGUGGAUAUUUGCUAUGCAAUAGGAGAUGAAAUCACUCCACAAAAAUAAAAUAUGGGAUCUUGUGAAACUUCUUAAAGGUAAAAAGGUUGCUUAUUGUAAAUGGGUGUUUAAAAAGAAAUAGGGGACUCUAGGAGUUGAAGAACCCAGAUAUAAAGCAAGGUAUGUUGCAAAAGGUUAUAGUCAAAUUCUAGGAGUGGACUUCACAGAUGUGUUCUCUCAGUUGUGAAGCUCCCCAAUUGUGAAGCAUAGUUCGAUUCGAGCUUUGCUUGGUAUUGUGGCCUUGCAUGAUUUGGAGCUUGAGUAGUUAGAUGUAAAAACUGCAUUUUUACAUGGAGAACUUGAGGAGGAUAUUUACAUGCAACAACUAGAGGGCCUUAUAGUAGCAGAAAAAGAUACUAUGUUUGCUUGCUAAAAAAGUCCCUUUACGGUUUGAAACAGUCACCAAGACAGUGGUACAAGAGAUUUGAUUCCUUUAUGACUUCUCAUGAUUUUAAAAGAAGUAGCUUUAACAGUUGUGUUUUCUUUAAGAAAAAAGUGAUGGUUCUUUUGUGUAUUUGCUCCUUUAUAUUAAUGACAUGUUGAUAGCAGUGAAAGAUAAAUGAGAGAUAAGAAAGGUCAAAGCACAACUAAGUGAAGAAUUUGAGAUGAAAGAUUUGGGACUAGCAAAGACGAUACUUGGUAUGGAGAUUCUCAAAAAUAGAAAAUCAUGUAAAUUGUACCUAAGUCAGAAGGGGUACAUUAAGAAAGUUCUUUGCAGAUUCAAUAUGCAGAAUGCUAAGCCUGUUAGUACUCCUUUAGCAGCCCAUUUCAAACUUUCAUCAUCUUUGUCUUCACAUUCAGAUGAUGAGAUUGAGUACAUGUCACAUGUUUCAUACUCUAGUGCAGUGGGAUCUCUCAUGUAUGCUAUAGUUUGUUUACAUUCAGAUUUAUCAUAUGCAUUUAGUACAGUUAGCAAAUACAUGGUGAAUCCCAAUAAUGAACAUUGGAAAGCAGUUCAGCGGAUUUUAAGAUACUUAUGCAGUACUGUUAAUGUUUGCUUACAGUUUGGAAGAACCAGAGAUAGAGUCAUUGGGUAUCUUGAUGUUGAUUUUAAUGGAGACCUUGAUAGAAGAAGAUCUCUCACAGGUUAUGUCUUUACAAUCAGAGGUUGUGCAAUCAAUUGGAAAGCCACUUUGCAAACUACAGUUGAUUUGUCUACUAUUGAAGCUGAGUACAUGGCGAUUACUGAGACUUGUAAAGAAGCUACUUGGUUAAAGGGACUCUAUAGUGAACUUAAAGAAGACAUUCAAAUCAAUACUGUAUUUUGUGACAACUAGAGUGCCAUCUUCCUUACAAAAGAUCAAAUGUUUCAUGAGAGAACAAAACACAUUAAUGUUCAGUAUCAUUUUGUUCGUGAUAUUAUUGCUCGUGGUGAUAUUGUUGUGAGCAAAAUUAGUAUUCAUGAAAAUCCUGCAGAUAUGAUAACUAAGUCACUUCUUAUAAACAAGUUUGAGCAUUGCUUAGACUUGAUUGGUGUUCAUUGUUGAACUUAACCUCUGAACUUCAACUUGAGCUUGACUCCCCGAAGGCAUGUAUUGCUACAAGCUAGAUCCAAAAUAUUGGGUCGGGUUAACAAAAGAUCCUUGAAAUCAAACCCGACCAUACCUUUCAGGACCCAAAACUUUAGUAAUAAUCCUGUUAUCAAUGUCCUCAAGAUGAACAGAACUAUCACUGGAAGCAAUCGCUUCGUGCUCCGCCUUUUUAUCCUUUAGUUUCUACUAAUAAAUCAGUCAAAUAGUUAGGAACGCAAAAUAUAUUAUAAAAACAAAUGUAACAUAACUAAAUAAUAUUUGCAUUACAAAUAAUGAAUUAAACCAUUUGAAAAUAAACACUAUAAAUAUUUAAAAUAAUUCAAAAUUUAAUAAGUAGACGUACCAUAAUUUCUGCAGCUUUAAGAGUCAUAGGAGAUCCAUCUUUCUUCCUAUGUGUAAUGUCAAAAAGCUGAAUGGGUCCAACUUUUUGACCGGACGACAGUUCCUACAAUAUGAUAGUAAAAAUAUUAUUUAAUGGAAAGUAAUAUAAAUCAUUUGACACUAUUAAUAAAUUCAAAAUACCCCGGCCUCAGCUACACAAGCAAAACUUUUUGACCCAGCAGUGUGAGUGAAUUUUUGUUUUUGCAUGCUGCUUUUUCCAACUCGUUCACGAUCCUACAUUAUGAAAUUAUUAUUACGUAUAUAGUAAAUACUAUAAACCAAAAUAAUUAUAAGAGUUUGGAAGUACGUAAUACCUCUCCUUUCUUUGAUGUCCAAAAUCUAACCGCAUCUUCCCAUUAGUACCUCAGCAUUCCCAGCGAGGCAUUUUGCAAUUUCUCUUCGAGGGCUGUUUUUAUCUUAAAAUAAUCUUUCUUUAAAUUACUUUUAUGGUCUCUCCAUCUUUUUCCCAAUGCCUUCUCUACAUAAGUAUCGGAGACCUCUAAAGCAAACAUCGCCUACAAAAAACACAAGUUAAGAAAGUAAAUAUAAACGAAACUUAAAAUCAAGUAUUAUAAAUGAAAUUAACAUUUUGUUACCUUAAUAUUAUCGAGAGCUUGAUUUUUGUUACUAUCAGGCAUUUGAUGCCAUGACUCGUAGUUGAUAGGCAACAUUUUUGCAUUUCACGCUAAAAUGCCCAAAUAUCCUUCUAAAAGUCGAGCUUUUGAUCCAACAGGCUGACCAAAACUGUUUCUACAUACUUUGACAUGCUCGACUGGAUCUAACUCGUAUAAAUCUUUAAGUAGCAUACGUCCUUGACCUCUGCGCGUCCCACCACUUUCAGCUAGAAAAUGGUAUAUUCUAAUAUAAGAAUUUGAAAAAGAAAUCAACAAUAACUCAACACGCAUGUAAAUUAAAUGUAAAAUUACUUUGAACUUCUGUAGGUUCGUCAGCUGUAAUCGAAACAUUCGAAGAUUCAAUAGCAGUCUAUUGUUCACUAUUUGUUUCUUCCGAGUUUUGAGUAUUUUGAACAAUGCUUAGAUCUUACAAUUUUCUUCUAGGCAUUUUAUCUGCAAUACACAUAAAAAAGUUGAAAAUUUAGUAACUAAUUACAACAAUAACAGCACAUAUAAAAUAAUUGAAUAUUUAAUAAGAGCAAGUUUUGAAUUAUGAUAUUACAUAUAAUUAAAAAAUCAUAAAAUCUUACUACAUCAAAAUCCGUAAAUAUCUUCAUCUGUAUCCUGGUGAACCCAUUAAAAUUGUGUACUAGUACUAGGGAUAUUUUCAUUUAAGUUUUGUUCUGGAAAGGGCAAAGUUUCUAGUCUGUCGUCGAUGUUAUCUCUACUUCCAUUGUCCAUGUCAAACAAGUCUCUAGGGAUGUCACGAAGUACAACAUACCAACCUCAUCAGUUGGAUCUUUUGAAUAAAAAAACUUGUUUGACUUGAGAAGAAAAUACAUAUGGCUCAUCUAUCAAUUGUUGUCCUGUGUGAAUUAACGGAGAGAAGUUUGCCAUUUUAAAACCAAAUUGAUCUUGCUUAAUUCCACGAGCAAUAUUCACAUCAGCCCAAUCCCCUUGAAAUAAGAUAACUUUCCAUUUGUCGUAGUAAUCCAACUCAAUUAUGUCAGUCAGAAGUUCGAAAUACCCCAUAUUUCCCUCAACAGGAUUGUUGUCCCUAGCACUAGCAUAACUCGUAAUUGAGGAAUUAACAACAAUUCCACAAUUUUGAGUUCUCCUCAAUCUCUCGCGAUAUUAUGUAUGAAAUCUAAAUUCGUUGAUGAGGAAGGCACUAUAUUUUUUAACCACUCUGUUUGAACCUUAGGAAAGGCAUUUAACUUUGUCAUUUACGUUCUUCACACUCCAAACCUACUGAAUGGAAAGUAAACUGAGUAAUUAUAAAUGUUAUGAUAAAACAUUAUUAUUUGUCAGGGAAAGCUUCAAUCACAUACAGUUUGGCUUAACCAUUCAUGAAAAGAUUCUGUAAAUAACUUAUUGAUCUUUUGAUGUUGUAAUCUUCGAGAGUGUGAACGAGAUCUCAAUAUUUGUUUGUACUCACUAUGUUAAAAAAAUGUGCACAUUGCUAGAAGAUAAUCAAUUUAUACUUGAUGAAUAUUUAUCAUAUUUCUAGAACUUACUUCCGUAACGGUUCCACUGAAUCAUGGUGAAACAGAACAUAUCGAUAUGCUUGUACCCACGAUAAAUCAUCUAAUUCCACAAUUUCAACUUUGCCGAUUGGUUCUCCAAAACUUUGAAACAAAUAAGUAUCGGCGAAGUUAUCAGUGAGUCUAGCAUUUCUUCUUGGUCUGUUCAACCUUGUUUCAACAUCUUCCAAAUAUCUUGAACAGAAAGUCAUACAUUUCUCAGCCAAGUAGCCUUCAGCAAUUGAUCCUUCUGGAUAAUACUUGUUGUGGCAGCAAGACUUCAAUUUGGAUAGGAACUUAAACACGAUGUACAGCAUCAUUAAAAAUUGUAACUAAAGCCAUACAGGUGAAUGAAGGAAAAUUUUACAAAUAAAUUAACACCUUUCUAUGGGAUACAUCUAUCGAUAGAAAACAGGUCCACCAAGAAUUGCUUCAUGCGGGAGAUGGAUUAGUGAAUGCACCAUAAUUCUGAAGAAGAAAUGUGGAAAGAUUUUCUCCAAGUUGCAUAAAGUCAAAGCGGCUUGAUCUUGUACUUUCUCAAGUUCUUGAACAUCCAAAACUUUGCCACAAAUGGCUUUUAUUAUAUUGGAUAGUUCAAUAAUACAAGAAGUCAUAUUUUUAGACAUACAACAUUGUAGAGCAACUGGUAGUAAAUCUUACAUCAAGAUGUGAUAGUUAUAUGAUUUUAAGGAAUAUAGUCUUCGAUUUUUAAUACUAACACAUCGAAAUAUAUUUGAUGCAUACGCAUCUGGAACCUUUAUACCCUUCAACACCAUGCAGAACACUUCUUUUUCCUUCUUCGACAUUGAAAAAAUAGAAGAUGACAACCGAUAUUUCCCGUUCGGAAGUGCUUGGGGAUAAGAUCAGGCCGAAUUUCCAUGUUGACUAAAUCAAGUCAACUCUAAAGAUUGUCUUUUGAUUUUCCUUCGACAUUCAAAAUUGUACAGAUAAUGUUCUCGCAAACAUUUUUCUCAAUGUGCAUGACAUCAAGAUUGUGUCGUAAAAGUUGAUGCUCUCAAUAAGGCAACUUAAAAAAUACUUCUUUUUUUUCACAAGUCUGCCUCAUUAGGAUCAUCCUUUUCAUUAGAGUCAUCAUUAGCUUUAUCAUUUGAUCUCCUAUUUCGUUGCAUGUUUGGCGGUUGGUUCAUCUUUCUAUAGCUAAAAUUCAUAUCUUCCAACAUGAACAAGAUUUUAGAUCCACUGGUCUGCGAAGGAGCUUCUCUUAACUCUUCAGUAUCGUCAAAUACAGAACUCUGAAAUCUAAAUCUAUGAUUUUCUGGUAACCACCGACAAUGCCCCAUGUAAGAGAACUUCUUCCAAUUAUAUAACCAUUGCGAACAUGUUUGCACAGCACAAUAAGGACAAGCAUAAUGACCAUUGGUACUCCAACUAGAUAAAUUGGCAUAAGCGAGGAAGUCAUUAAUAGUCCACAUCAAAACUACACACAAAUUAAAGUUCUCAUUUCUUAGUACAUCGUAUGUCUCAACACCAGCCCAUAAUUGUUUUAACUCUUCAAUAAGUGGCUGUAAAUAAAUGUCGAUGUCGGAGGAAAAUUGUAAAGAACAAGCACUACAGACCAGGUACUGUACGUAGUGUUCAUGAUCUUGUAUGGAUUAAAUCAAUCAGAUGCUAGCCCAAGCCUCACACUCCUAGGAUCGCUUGCAAAGCUUGGAAAUUUACUUUCAAAUGAUUCCCAAGCUAAAGAAUCUACCGGAUACCUUAGUAAUCCAUCAUUGGUUCGUCCAUCAUGGUGCCACGUCAUCGACUUGGCCGUCUUCGAUGACAUGAAAAGCCUCUGAAGCCUUGGUAUUAGUGAAAAAUAUCGUAAAAUCUUAUUUGGCUUCUUCCUUGACUGUGCGUCAUUUUCAUCGUCAUUCCCAUAAUCUGUGUUUCUAUUCAUCCAACGAGAUUGGCCGCAUACAUGACAACACUGCUGGUUUUUUUUUAUCACCCCAAUACAACAUGCAGUCAUUCGGGCAACUAUGAAUUUUGUUGUACCCAAGACCUAAAUCUUUUAUCAUUUUCUUUAUAUCUUUACAUGAGUGAGGGAUUUUUGCAAACGAAAACAUAUCUCUUAAAAACUCUAACAGCGUUGUCAAAGAGUUUCUGGUCCACCCUCCCAAACAUUUUAACUGAAAAAGACAAAUAUAGAAUGACAUUUUUGAAAAUUUUGAUUCCUCAUAAAGUUCUUUGUUCAUUUCAUUAAGUAGCUCGUAGAACUUCGCCGCUUCUCCGUUCGGCUCUUCAUGACGUACACUUCUUCUCGGUUCGGUAAAAGCAUCUCCACCAAGAUUACAAUUAUCAGGUGCCACAAAGUCAGCUGGGAACGACUGCAAACCAUGAUUGUGCAUAUUAAAUGCAUCCCGCAACAUCCCUUCCAUGUCAUCCCCUCUAACAGACUGAUGGUAAUUAGUACCAAGAUAAGAUACAUCCAUCCUUGAAGAGGAAGUACUAGGCGGGCAUUCUCCAUGAAAAAGCCAUUGUUUAUAACCCCGAGCAAACCCAUCAACAAUUAGAUGCUCGUAUACAACUUCACGAUAAUGCUAGUUUAUAUUGACACACUUCUUACACGGGCAAAGAAUCAUGUUCUCUUGGCUUGCACAUUGAAAUGAAAAAUUUAGAAAAGUUUGUACUCCAUUUCGAUAACCAUUGCUUACCCUUGACAAAUUCAUCCAAGACCGGUCCAUUUCUUUAUUCUUGAAGUCUGAUGUUGACAAUAAAUUACAAGGGUAAGUUGUUCAGUUAUAACCUUAUAAAUGACUUAUGUAAGUUACGUAAGUUAUGUAAGUAAUGUAUUAUGUAAGUUGUGUAUAAUAUUAUUUAAGUUAUGUAAGUUGUGUAUUAUGUAAGUUACGUAAGUUAUGUAGGCUAUGUUUUAUGUAAGUUACGUAAGUUAUGUAGGCUAUAUUUUAUGUAAGUUAUUUAAGUUAUGUAAGCUAUGUAUUAUGCAAGUUAUGUAAGUAGUGUAUUAUGAAAGUUAUGUAAGUUGUGUAUUAUGUAAGUUACGUAAGUUAUGUAGGCUAUGUAUUAUGUAAGUUAUUUAAGUUAUGUAAGUUAUGUAAGUAGUGUAUUAUGAAAGUUAUGUAAGUAGUGUAUUAUAUAAGUUAUAUAUUAUGAAAGUUAUGUAAGCUGUGUAUUAUGUAUUAUGUAAGGUAUGUAAGUUGUGUAUUAUGUAUUAUGUAAGGUAUGUAAGUUGUGUAUUAUGUAUUAUGUAAGUUAUGUGAGUUGUGUAAGUUGAGUUAUGAUAUAUAUACAUAAUUAAGUUAUGUAUGUUACGUGAGUUAUGUAAGUUGAGUUAUAUAUAAGUUAUUAACCCCUGUAAGUUAUCUGAGUUAUAUAUUGGUUAUAUAUACAAAAUAUAGGUUUUAAUAUUUAAAAUACACAUAAAAUAGGUAAUAUAUCCAUACUAAUAUAGGUGAUAUAUUAAAAAUAUAGAUUUUAAUAUUUAAAAAUAUAAAAUAAAUAAUUAUGUUUAAAAUUUAAAAAGUUAUUAGUAAUGAAUUUGAAAUAUAGGUUAUAUUCCCAUACUAAUAUAGGUGAUAGAUUAAAAAUAUAGGUUUUAAUAUUUAAAAAUAUAAAAUAAAUAAUUAUGUUUAAAAUUUAAAAAGUUGUUAGUAAUGAAUUUGAAAUAUAGGUUAUAUUCCCAUACUAAUAUAGGUUAUAUAUUAACAAUAAAGUUUAAACAUAUUUAAAAUAUAAUAUUUAUAAAUAUUUUUAAAAUUUAAAAAAUAAUUAGUAAUGAAUCUGAAAUAUAGGUUAUAUUCCCAUACUAAUAUAGGUUAUAUAUUAACAAUAUAGUUUAAACAUAUUUAAAAUAUACUAGUUAUAAAUAUUUUUAAAAAUUAAAAAGUAAUUAGUAAUGAAUCUGAAAUAUAGGUUAUAUAUUUGAUUAAAAUAUAUAGGUAAUAUAGGUAAUAUUUGAUUAAAAUAUUAAGUAAAAUUAAUUAAUUAAAAUAAAUAAUAAAGAUAUAUUUGACCAGUAGUUCCUCGACCGCUAGCUAAGUCGAUGAUAGUAAAAAAAAUUCCAGCGCGCUCAUUUUCUUUAUAGUUACCACAAACUUUUCCGACAAUUUUAAGUCCCGUUGUAAAUAGGAUUAUUUUGACAGCAUUUUAAAGUGCCGGUAAAAGUCAAAUUUAGAUUUAAAUUUAAAUAUUAAUAUACGAAACAUUUUCAGACCUUCAUAAUUGUCAGAAAAAAAUCAUAUUCGCAUUAAAUAAACAGGAAUUUAUGGUCUGUUACCUUGACAGACACGUUGUACAUAUGCAAUCGCAAGAAUCAGUUCAUCAAUGGAAGCAGACUAACAACAAUACAAAAGUUUAGAAACCUUAGAACAUUUAGAUGAAAACCGAGUAAUCUUAAAUGCUUCAUAUAUUUUGUUAAGCACAAGAUAACCUGCUGAUUUAUAUAACCAAACUAACUUCAACAAAAUUAAUUGCUUCAUAACAGAAGAACUUAGUAACCAACUUCAACACACUUAACUAACAGGAACUGCACUGUCUACAGUGGGUUCAAUAGUACAAGUCUGUUGUUCACACUUUCUAAACAUUUCCUUAGGUAGAACAAUUUAGUCUGCAUAAUUUAUAUAAGUAGUAAACAAUAAAUAUGAUCAAAAAACAACAAAUAUUAAUAGAGUUAGUUGCAGACAGAAGCCAUUUUCAGACAUGGAUACUUAAUAAUAAGGUUAGUCUUGGAAUUCCUAAAUAAAUCAAUGUCUGUAAGGAAUGAAGAUUAGCAAGAUAUAUAUAAGUUCACCAUGAUAUUGCUUCGAGCCAUGAGACAAAACACAGAACUAAUCAAAACCAGGCUGUUUAAACUGAUGGUUGAUAUAAUUUUAACAUUUGAACCUAAAACACUCCAAGGCAAAGUUCUAAAGGCUCUCCUCAAGCAACUAAAGAUACACAAUAUAUAAGAAGUGCUGUCAUUGCAUGUGCGUCCAACCAUAGAGCAAACUUAUAUAUUGCAACGUAUACUAGACAAAAGCAGCAUUGAUUUAAAUGCAUAGAUAAAAUUGGCGAUUGCCAAGUUUAAAGCAAAAUGAAAAGAAAAAACCAGUGAGAGGUACCAAAUUAAAACAGACGAUAUACAACAUUAACCUAAUUCCAGCAAAAAAGACUUGCAGCAACAUUAACCAAAUUCCAAAUUAAAAGAUGCCCCAACUACAAAUAUACCAAAUUUGCUUCAAACCAGUGAGAGGUACCAAAUUUGCAGACUAAAUUGCUAAAACUAAAUUGCUACAGUCAAAAUGAAAAGAAAAAACUAAGAAAAAAAAUACUACUCUGCCUCUGCCUGACUACAUUGCUAAAACUGCAUGAUAUUCGAGACAAUAAUGCAGUAUCGAUAUAUUUUAAUUAAAUUAUAAACAAAAUAAUCAUCAUGAACUUGUUCAAUAAAACUGUUUUUACAUAAACUUAAGUGAAUAAUAAACUUUCUAAGUAUCUAAAUCAAAAUAUUAUAAAAGCGUAUUUUUUAUAUAAAAAUCUAUUACAUUAUAUGAGUACUAACUGUAUAAUACAUAACAGGCUGAUUAAACUGCAAAUAGGAAGACAAAACAAAGGUCCUGAUUCCUUUAACAAAAAACGAAUAGAAAGACAAAACAAGGUUUAGAAUAUGCUUUAAAAUCGUUUUUAAAAUCGAAAAUAACUUUAACCACAAACAAAUUAAAUUAGGCAUUCGAAAGCCUACAUUCUACGGUCAAAAUGUAAGACAGUCAAGUCGGUUAAAACCCUAAACAGACUAAAUUGGCAAACCUAGAAUUAAGAGAGAAGAAAACAAUACCUUUAGAAAGAUGAAGAGAAAUUAAAUCGGUUCGGAUCAAAUUCCACGAGUAAAUUCCAAAAUGCGAACGUUUUCGGAAACCCUAAAACCAAGGAUGAACUUCAAUGUUAACGAUUCAAACGAGUAAAUUCCACGAGUAAUUUCGCAAAAACCCUAAACACGCAAAAGAAAAAAAUAAAAGAAAUCAAACUGGUUCAAGCUUACCCAAAAAACAGAAUCUCCACUGCUCUGUCUUCGUGUAAAUGCCGUGAAGAAUCGAAUAAGUAACGAUAUAUUUGAAGAAUCGAACAAACAAAAAUAAAACCAACAGCAGUUUUACAGGAUCAACUCAGUGAAUGACUGGAAUUAGGGAUUUGGGAGAGCUUUCGAAGGGGAAUUAGGGAUUUGGAAGGGGAAGAUUUCUGUAAUUAGGGGCUGGGUGCAGGAAAGGGGAACAAAAAUGUCACUCUAAGCAAAACGACGACGUUCCGAUAUAAUUUUUCAGUUCCUGAAACAAAACGGCGACGCUUUCAACAUUUUCUAAUACACACGUUUUCAGCCAAAACGCCGCUAAAGCUUGCAAUUUGCGGUGAUUUUGAGAAAAACGCCACUAAAGCGUUAAAAUCAUUUAAGCAAACGAUGCCAUUUUUGUGCACUUUUUUAUACAUUUUUGCGGCGUUUCUAUAAAAAACGCCGCUAUUGCAUACCUUCUGCGGCAUUUUUCACAAAAACGCCACUAAAAAUCAAAUUCCUAUGACCAAACGGCGCCGUUUUGUAUAAUUUUUAACACAUUAUCGCGGCGUUUUUGGUCCAAACGUCACUAAUGUUAAAAUUUUUUUAAAAUUUAAUUAUUUAAUAAAAUUUAAUUAUUCUAUGAAGUCAGGUUGUGUUUUUCAAAAAACUACUUAAUCUAAACCCUAAACCUCUAACGCUUAACCCCUAGCUAACUCCUAAACCCUAAGCCCCAACCUUGAACCAUAAACUACAAACCAUACUAAUCCAUGAACUCUUAACCCAUAUCCCUUAAACCUUGAAUCAUAAAACAUUAACUAUAAACCUUAAACCCCUAACCCUUAACCCCCAACACCUAAACCUUAAACCCUAACCCUUAAACCAUAAUCCUAAAACCCUUAACCUAUAUUCGUUACACCCUAAAUCAUAGAACAUAUAUAAAUUCUAAACCCUAAAUCAUAUAUAGAGCAUAUAUAAACUAAAAACCUUAAACCCUAACCCUUUAACAAUAAACCAUAACCCCACAUCCAUAAUCCCUAAUCCGCUAAUGCGUCUAAAGCUUAACAAAAAAAGUUGCUUAACUUUUUCUGGUGUUUUCAAAAAUCGCCGCUAAUGCUUGACUUUUACGGCGCUUUUUGUAAAACGCCGCUAAUGACUGUAACGCUCAACAAAAAAUGAAGCCGUUUGCUUAAAAUUUUUGCAGCGCUUCUAAAAAAGCGCCGCUAAUACUUGACUUCUGCGGCGUUUUUAUAAAAGCGCCACUAAUGUCUGUAAACCUCAACAAAAAACAUUGUUGUUUGCUUAUAAACUUUUGCGGUGCUACUGUGAAAGCGCGGCUAAUUCCUGACUUUUGCGGUGUUUUUAGGAAAGCGCCACUAAUGUCUCUAAAACUGAAAAAACAAACGACGUCGUUUGCUUGAAACUUAUGUGGGGCUUUUGAAAAAGUGCUGCUAAUGACUGACUUCUGCGGCGUUUUUCAAAAAGCGCCACUACUGUCUGUAAAGCUCAACAAAAAUGACGUCGUUUGCUUAGAAACUUUUGUGGCACUAAUGAGAAGGCACCGCUAAUGCUUGACUUCUGCGGCGUUUUUUGGAAAGCCCCACUAAUGUGUCUAAACCUCAACAAAAAAAAUGACAUUGUUUGUUAAAACCUUUGCGAACAAAAGUGUCGCUAAUGCUUGACUUCUGCGGCAUUUUUUGGAAAGCGCCACUAAUGUGUCUAAACCUCAACAAAAAAACGUCGUUUGUUAAAACCUUUGCAGCGCUUUUGAGAAAGCGUCGCUAAUGCUUGACUUUUGCGGCUUUUAUUUAGAAGCGCCACUAAGGUAUUUGAGGCUCAACAAGAAAACGACAUCGUUUGCCUUACCCUUUUGUGGUGGUUUUCGAAAAACGCCGCUAUUGCUUAUAUUUUGCGGUGUUUAUUUAAAUUUGCCGCUAAUGCUCGAUUUCUUGCUGCGUUUUUUUGUUAAAACACCGCUAUAAACGCCGCUAAAAGCCUGUUUUGGUGUAGUGAAAUUUACUAAGUUUUUGGGGUUUUGAGUUUUUGAGUUUAUCAAAAUCACAAAUAUAUAUAUAUAUAUAUUUAUAUAUAUAAAUUUAUCAGCAUUUAGUUAUAUGUGUUUCAAUAUAAUUACUUUUUAUAUUUAAUUACAUGUGUUUGAGAAUAAAGUUGAUAGAAUUUUUAAAUAUGGUGGGUGAUAUUUAUUAAAUUAUUUAGAAUACAAAUCAAAUUAAUAAAAUGUGUAAGUAUUAAGGAAUAAAAGUGUUAUUAUGCCAGUUGGAAAAGACAACAUCAUCACUUCUGUUAACUAUUUAACGGAGAGUGAUCACAAUAGAAACAAUCUAAAGUGUGAGUAUUCAAAAUAGAAAUAAUCUAAAACGUUAGUGGCUAAAUUUAAAAAUUUCAUAGUUGGGUGACUAAUUCUAUAGUUUACUUUAGAUGGUAGAAGCAAUUAGGAUUAAUUCCACCAAACAUCUCAAACUAUUACUCAUAUUUUAAAUUGAACCCUAAAGUUAUAUACAUUCUAAUUAAAUUACUCAAAUAGAAUGUGAUUGUACUAGGCCUAUUUUGCCCGAGCCCAAGACAAAUAAAAUAAAAAAUAACAGUCCAAAUUACAAAACAAAAUGGCAGGCCCAAACUCAAAUAGCCCAAAACUAAACAAACCCAACAACCUAAAACUAAACACAAACCCUAGCCCCCCUAAACCCUAAUGCGCCGCACCUAGCUACCUGCCAUUGUCAGUCUGCCGCCGCCCCUAUCCUCUGCUGCUGUCAGCACUGCCACCGCCGAAGCCACCAACUCCACUUGCCACCGCCCCUUUUAAAUUUCAUUCUAAUUUCAACUUAGUCCUUAUUUAUUUAUUCAUUUAUUAUAAUUUAGACUAUUAAUUUCGUUUUGCUUUCGAUCUAAUCCCUUAUUUAUUUAAUUUCAGCCUUUCAUGAUUUUUUUAUUUAUUAUUUACUUGUUUAUUUAUUAUUGCCUCGCUUUUUAUUUUAAAACUUAUAUGGUUCAUAUUUGUAUAUUGUUGCCAUAUUGUCAUUGUUAUUUAGUUAUUUUUUUAUUAUUUUUGAUACUUUUCAUGUCACGUCCUUUUUAAUCAUGCAUCUUCCUUUUAUUUUUAUUUUGAGUUAUCUUGUUUAUUUUAUUAUUAUGAUUAUAUUAUUGUUAUUACAACAUCCCUUUAUUUAUUUAUAUUUUAUCAUUCACUAAUCUUAUGUUAUCCUUUUAUGGACUUUGCUUUGCUUUGUUUUAUUUUAUUUUAUUUUAUCUAUUAUUCCCUUACUUUUUUUUUAAUUUUGUGUUUUUAAAUUCCUCUUUCGUGUGCCCUUUUUUAUGUUUCAUAAUUGUUAUCAUUAUUAUUUAUUAUACUUUUUGUUAUUUGUAUUAAUAUUAUGAUUAUGAUUAUUAAUAUUAUAAAUCGACAAUUUUAUCGUUACCAUUGUAUUAUUAUCAAUCACUAGCAUAGCAUCUUCAGUUUAUCUUUUAUUUGUUCAUUUGUUCAUUUAUUUGUUUGCCUAAUAUUUUAAUAUCGUAUCUUUGUUUCUCUACUACCAUGUUAUCUUAUUUUUUGUCAACACCAUGUCACGGACCGUAUUCGAAUAUAUUUACCCAUUUUUAUACUAUGCUUAAAUAAGUUAAAUGUGCAUUUCUUAAAAUUUUAUAUUCAUUUUUUUACUCGAUGUAUAACAAGAAAUUUUUAAAAUCAAAGUAAAUGUUCAUUAUUUUCGGAAUUAGAAGAGCCGUGUUCCUAACUUACGGAAUAUGACUUUCUCCUAAAACCAAAAUAGUCGAACAUCUAUUUCAAAAAAUAAAAACGGGAUUUAAGUGAUGAUUAGAUGGAGUUCUUUUUUGUUCUCGAGGAUCUAAGGCAUUGUGUCCUAACUUACGGGACAUGGUCCUUUUUUCUCGAUUAACUUAAAAUAAGCCCCUUUUCAUGAAAAUUAAUUUAGUAAAGUAAUGUCUUAACAAAGGACCGUAUUUUAAAUCUCUUCAAAGUUUUCAAUUUUCAACACUAAGGCACUAAUUAAUCGACUAGGUACCAAUUUUGGGCGUAACGAGGGUGCUAAUCCUUCCUCGUACGUAACCGACUCCUGAACCCAUCUUUCUAAAUUUCGUGGACCAAAAUCAUUGUUUUAAUAAAUCAAAUCGUUUAUUAAAAUAACUACUCUUUUUUAGGUGACCCGAUCACACCUCAUUAAAAAGGAUUGGUGGCGACUCCCGUGUUCAUUUUCAUUUUCAAAAUUAAAGUCGACCCCUUUUAUCAAAAAAUAGGUUUCGACAGUGAUAAUAUGUUAUGCUAUUAUUCAUCGAUAGUGCAUAGAACUUAUGCACCAACAAUACAUCAAAUAUUCUCAUUAAAAAAAUGUAUAAAAUAAGUUUUAUACCAUCUAUAAUUUGUAAAAAAAAGUAUCCAAUAAAAAAUAUAAAAACACAUAUCUAUAAUUUCACAAAAAGAAUUACAUUAAUCCAAACCAAAUCAUUUCUUUUUAUAAAUUCAAUUCCAAAUCUCCUGUAAUAAAUCAACCUCACAAAAUAUACAUCACACAAAUCUGAUUCAGGUUAAAAACAAAGAAUGCAUGUAUUGUGCAAUUAAAACCAUGAUCCAUAGUCAAUUCUAAAGUAUUGAACAUCUAAUUUUGCAUUAUUUUACCUCCCUUGAUUCUUCACAAACUCUUUGGAAUAAAUUAACCAUCUAUUCCUUAUUUCAAUUUUAUUAAAAAGAUAGGUUCCCAUAAAGACAGUCUUGACAAACCAGUGCACCUAUCAUAAACACAUCAGGGAACAUUGCCAUGAGAGAGGACCUAAGAAAACAUAAUACAAACUACAUAACAUACAAUCAAGCACCCACACAAAAUGUUUAUUAAACAGCUACAGAAAAAGGCCAGCAUACCACCAAGCAAUGAAGUUUUCUGUUCUGUUCGCAACUUGUUGAACUCGCCGAAGUGUUAGCUUCCCUACCUUUGUCCAAAUCUUUGUUGAACUCGCUCCACGAUCCUAAUCAACCACCAUGGUUUUCCAGUCGUGAAUACAAUGUAUGCCAUGCUCAUUCCCAGCACCAACCCAUAUCCAUACCCCAUCAAUUUUGAAAAUUUCCAAUUCAAUUCAUCACCAUCAUCAUCUCUAUCAAAUUUGGCUGGAGUUUCCUCAUCAAUACCACAGUUUUUUGAUAAUGGCAAACCACAUAAAUCCAAAUUUCCUAUGUAGGAAUCGUUAGUGAAAGUAUCAAAUUGUUUGCCUUGAGGAAUGGGUCCCUUGAGAUUAUUUUUAGAAAGGUUUAACACCUCUAAGAAUCCAAGAUUUUUUAACUCUGUUGGAAUUCUUCCUUGCAGCUUAUUUGAUGAGAGAUCUAAUGAUUCAAGCUCUGACAAAUUACCUAAAGAUGAUGGGAUAGGGCCUGUUAAACAGUUAUGGGAGAGAUUUAGGACAAUAAGUAAAUGAAGCUCACCAAGUAUUUUUGGAAUUUCUCCCCUGAAUUGGUUACUAGAAAGGUCAAUAAUCGUCCAAAUGGAUAAUAGUGAUUCAAACUUUAUUUCCUGCCCUUUUGCUGUAACAGAUAAACCAUAAGCAUAAUCCACCCAAAAUACACCAAAUGCAUCUUCCGUGGGCUUUAUUUCCCUCAUGUAAUUUGGUUCAACUUUCUUUCCAUACUCAUCUCUAAUGGCAUGCAUAUGCUCAAAAAAAAGAGUAGGUAAGUAGCCACUAAAACUAUUGUGAGAAAGAUCAAUGAUUCGCAAUUUAGUUAAAGAAACUGUAAUAUCAAAGCUCUCUAUUUGGCUGUAAAAUCUAUUCGACCUCAAGAUAAGAACAUGCAGCUGAUCCAAAUUUCCUAACCAACUUGGGAAAGUGUCAUUCAAAUUGUUGUUUCCAACAUUGAGAAGAUUUAAACCUUUGCAAUUACCCAAAGAUCGUGGUAGUGACCCUUCUAAUUCAUUGUUGUUGACGGAAAAACUUCUCAACAUGCAACCUUUAGCAAAAUUUUUUGGUAUUUGACCAUGAAAAUUAUUAUUCCCUAGAUGAACUGCUGUGAGAGAAGAAAUCAAGUUUCCGAUGCACUUUGGAAUUGUUCCCCCCAAAUUAUUCUCAUAUAAACAAAUACCCAUAAGGGAAGUCAAAUUGCAUAGUGAAGAAGGGAUUUCUCCAAUUAAGUUAUUAUUUGGAACUGCAUACCAUUGCAACAAAGGUGGUAGUGUUGGAAUUCGACCUUAGAGAUAAAAUUGAAAAUGAGAUAGAAUUAGGAGUUUGAAGAUUCUUUGGAAUAUAAAUUAUAAAAUAACUAUAUUUAUGAUGUAUUACAUGCAUGAUUAAUUUACUACACUACUUCUAACCAUUUUUAGAUGCAUCACAACAACUUUUAAGUUGUAAUCUAUUGAAGGAAACUACUACUAUCUUCCAGAGAAACUUAAAUGUAAAAAGGAUUGCAUAAAUGUAUAAAAAAUAGAAGAAAAAAAGAUAUCAAACUAUACGUAAUAAUUUCUUAUAGAAGAGAUAAUCAUUUAAUAUAUUACUCUUAUCUCAUUUUUUAGUGUUUAUUAUUAUUUUUGGUACAUUUAUGUAGGGGUGAGCAAAACUCGAUUCUAUUCGAAAAAAUCGAAAAAAAUUCCAAUUUCGAGUUAAACGAAUCAAGUUAUUCGAGUUAAUCGAGUUAUUUGAAUCAACUCGAAUUUUUUUCGAAUUUCGAGUUCGAAUCGAGUUGAGUUUUUGAAUUCGAAUAACUCGAAUAAUUCGAAUAAUUUGAAUAUCAAACUAUAAUAUUUUACAUUUUACCCUAAACUCCUACACCUUUUUACUUUUCCCUCAAAACUUUUACACCUUCCCACUUUCCCCCCAAAACUUUUACUCCUCUUCCCUCCCAACCCCCCAAUCUACCCAAAAUCCAUUUCCCACCAAAAUUUUACUCUCCCAUUUACUUUUUCUCAAAAUUUUACCCCCCAAAACCCUCAAAACAUUUUAUUUUCCCCCAAAAUUUUUACUCCCUCCCACUUUUCCCCUAAAAAUUUUAUUCCCUUCCCAUCUCACCUCCCAUCUACCCCAAACCCUCCCCCCUCCAAUUUUUUUUUAAAUAUUUUCCCUCCAAAAUUUUACUCCCCCUAUUUACAUUCCCUCAAAAUUUUAUUCCCUAAAACUUUUUAUUUUCCUCCUAAACUUUUACUUCUCACCCUUUACUCUCAAAUACAAAAUCAAAAUUAUCCAAAAAAAAUAACUAAACAUAAAUAGUAAUAAUUUUAUUUGUAUCUACUAUUUAUAUUAUUAAUUUAAUUUCACAUUUUAUAUUAUUUAUAUUAUUGAAUUGUUUAGUCAUAUUGAAUAUUUAUAUUAAAAUUGAAUUAUUAAUUAUGCCAUAAAAUAUUCUUGUUAAAAUUUUAUAUUGGUAUCAAUUUCACAUUUUAUUUUUAAAAUAACUUUUAUUAAAAAAAUCAUAUUUUUACAUUUAAUAUAUUUUUUUAAUUCCAAAAUACAUAGUGACAAGAAUCUGAAGAUAAUUGAAACAACUAAGCAAGCAAAUAAGCUAACCAGUAUAUAAAAAAUUAAUAAAUAAAUUAUGAGGUGAUGAAAGUUAAUAAAAAUUUUGAUUAAGGUGGACAAAUUUUAUUACGAUGGGUGACAAUGGUUACAAAGAUCCCAAAAUUAUUUUUUAAAAAUUAACUCGAACAAAUAUAUUCGAUUCGAUUCGAUUCGAUUCGAAUUCUAUCUCACCCGACUCGAUUCGAGAAAACUUCAAAUAAAGUUAGGAUGAUAAAAUGAGAUUCGAAAACUCGAUUAACUCGAAAAUUUUCGAUUCGAUUCGAUCGAAUGCUCACCCCUACAUUUAUGUAUAUUUUAUAAUUUAUUAUUGGGAUUUCAGUAGUUAUUGUCAAGAAUAUCAUCUCUAAGACUUGAAUCUUGUUCUCUCCUUAAAAAAGCAAUAUGUCUUGCCAUUGCACCGAACAUUUGUUAGUGUAGUAUUUAUUACAACUACAAAUAAUUUUAACUAUCUUUUUAUGAAACUUUAAGUUAGAGGUCAAAUAAAAAAGCAAAUUAAUUGAUAUAGUGUUUAUCAUUUUAAGUAAAGUUAUAAAAUUUUUUCCUCACAAUUGAGUUAAUUUUGUGUUUAUAAUUUUUAUAAGAUUGAGAGUUAAUUGAGAUUGUAGCCUCAAAAUUGGUAUUAUGAAAGCCAUUUUUUAUGAGAAUACUUUUCUAUUUAACAAUGGUAGUCCAGCAUAAGCCCACUAAUCAAUUAGAAACUUGGGAAAAGAAUAGUGGCCUUGUUAUUCAUGUUUGGCAAAUUAAUAUACUUUGUUUCUCUCAUAAUAUAAAAUUAUGUCCUGCGCCUAAAUUAAUUAAACAAAUAAAUAAUAAGGCAAAUCAAAAAUGUAAAACUACGUCUAAAUUAUAAUUCAGAAUGUAAAUUAAUUAAUGUAAAAUUUCAAUUUAUUUAAAUCAUUAUUAUUAUCAAAUAAAUUCUCUUAAUAAAAUACUUUUAGUGAAAUUAGAAAUCUUACUUAUAAAUAAUAGGAAGAAGAAAUUUUGCUAUGAGCAAAUAGAAAAAUAGUCAAUAUUCUUAAUUAAUCAUUUUCAUUAAUUUAAGAGAUUUUGCAUGCUUAUUCUUUAUAUAUAUAUAUUAUAGAUGUAGAUUAUAAAUUGUAGACAAAUAAUUUGGUUGGGUUAGCAAAGCUGCAAAAGUUGAGAAUAAUAAUUUCUUAAAUUUAUAAAUUUAAGGUGAAAAAUUAAAUCCUAAUAGUUAAAAUAUCUACAUGUAAUUAAUGAAUAAGAAUUGCCAAGAAUGGCGUAAAAGAAAAAAAAGAGGAAGAAUUUAAAAUAUAAUUUUUAAGUUUAUAUCACAUGUCAUGUUAUAAUUGAAACCUAUUAUGGAAUUCACUAUUACUGACUCGAAACUCAAGUAGGUUAAGUUAUUGACCCACAACCCAAGUAGACUCAAAGGAAUUUGGGUCAGGCCCCACGAAGUGGGCAUAUUAGAGUUUGCACAUCCAAUUCGUAGGUAUGCUAGAGUUCACGGGCUUAGCUCACAAGACAAGCUUGCACAUUGAGUUCACACGUCUCUAUAUGCUCACAAGGAGAGGUGUUAGGUCAAGCACGUGGUCCAUGAACACGUGUUAAGUCUAGAACAAGAUAAGUGUUAGCAUGCAUAAAGCCUAUCUAAGACGUCAUUUUAGUGAAUAGUAACCGUAUCAUAUAAAUAUUGAUUCUUACCCCCAUAGUAGACACAAAGAGAAAAUACUCAACAAUUUGGUGCAGUGGGCAUGGUCAAACUUUUGAUCGACAGAUUUUCAACUUGUAACAACCCAAAUGAAAAUUUCCCGAUCAAUGUUUUGUCAGGAUAAGUUGGAGCUUCUAGUGCAAACAAUUAACCCAAUAAGACAAAUUUAUUUAUCGGGUGGUUUGCUAACCGGUCGAAAAAUUUGGGUGACACGGCCCAUGUAAGAGCUUCGAAUUCUUUGACUUAAAAUUUCCUUCUGGCUAGAGAUUGUCAUUCUCCUCUGGUUAGGAAGCAUCACCAGAGCAGUUUUUUGCUAUUCAGGAGUUGAUAAAGAUGAUGAAGAAACAAAUGACCCUGUAAAAUGUUAGAUUCGAACAAUAAUAGAUGUUUAGCAAGAGUUGUUAAAUUUGAAUAAGGAGCUCAGAAGGAAGGUGCAGUUUGAUAAUUUUGAUUUUCAUAAUAAUGUCACCAUGCAAGAAGAAAGUUUUGGCAUUCAUGCAAAAUCGUGGCAAAAUGAGAUGGAUGCUGUGUGAAGAGAUGUAAGGGCUUUACAUCUUGAAUCUCAAGAUGUGGAUUGACUCAUUUAUUCCAAUAAUCCACUGGCUUUUAAGGUAAAACCAUAAGCUUGCCAACUGUUUUUAAGGUUUCGAAGGAUAUGCUUAAAGGAAGAAGGGACCCGCGAGUGCAUCCCAUGCAGUAUAAUAAUUAGAUGAAUGUGCUGGAAGCUUUUGAUUUCGCGAAGUACAAGGCUUUUCGAAAACACUCAAGGGGGGCGAAGGAUUGAUACUUAUCUCUUCACUAGGGUUCCAUUCGUACUUUCUCUCAGUUGGGUCAGAUGUUCUUGGGAUGAUUCAGGGCAUAUAGGAUAAUUAUUAACACUCUUAUGGGUCUGAUGUUUGUGAAGCAAAGAGAGGGAGAAACUUUGCAGGAUUAUGUAAAGCAUUUCUAAGCAAUGACACUAAAUACUAAUAAUCUCAAAGAUCAGUGAGCCAUUGAUACUUUAAUCAUGGGUGUAAAGAAUAAGCAAAUGUAGUAUUCUUUCACUGACAAUAAGCCUUAAAGAAAUAAAAAGAACAGCUUGUGGGACAUUCCAAAGAGAUGAGAGGAAUUUUAGAAACAUGGAUAGAGCUCGUAGUGGACAGGGUCUACUUUCUCAGGCUUUAUGUGUAGAAAAUGGAGGACAGCAAAAAGGGCGAUCGUGAGUGUUGACACCAUUUUUUGGAUGAAAACGGGGUCAACUUAGGUUUUGACGAAAACGAAAAAAACGGGAGUCGCCACCAAUCCUUUUUAAUGAGGUGUGAUUGGAUCACCUCGAAAAGUGGUUGUUUUUAAUAAACGAUUUGAUUUUAUUAAAACAACAAGUUUGGUCCACGAAAUUCAGAAAAACGGGUUCGGGAGUCGGUUACGUACGAGGAAGGAUUAGCACCCUCGAUACGCCCAAAAUUGGUACCUAGUUGAUUACUUAAUGUCUUAGUGUCGAAAAACUGAAAACUUUAAAGAAAUUUAAAAUACGAUCCUUAAAAAAAAACUCAAAUGGCAUGGAUUAAAAUUCAAGAGGAUAUUUGGCAAUUUGGUUAAACGAGAAAUCAAAACCCAGUACCUUAGGGCACGUUCCUCGAAUUUCCAAACGCAAAACAUUGCCUUAUUUUGUAAUUUUUGAAAAGGAUAUUAAGCCAUUUGGUUGAACGAGAAAAAUCGACACCCAGCACCUUAGGGCACGUUCCUCGAAUUUCCAAACACAGAACAUUGCCUUAUUUUGAAAUUUUUGAAAAGGAUAUUAAGCCAUUUGGUUGAACGAGAAAAAUCAACACCCAACACUUUAGGACAUGUUUUCUCGAAUUUCUAAACGCAGAACAUUGCCUUAUUUUUGAAAAGGAUAUUAAGCCAUUUGGUUGAACGAGAAAAAUCAACACCCAGCACCUUAGGGCAUGUUUUCUCGAAUUUCCAAACGCCAAAUAUUGCCUCAAUUAGAAAUAUUUUCCCUUUUUUUUUUUGAAAUAUGAUAUUUAUAUGCAUGAUGGAAUAAUAAACAUGAUGAUGUGAAUAAAAAAUAUGAACAAAAACGAAUAAUAAAAUGAAUCAAUCAUGCAUAUACCAUAGCAAAUAAAUACAUAAAUAAACUAAAGCAUAAAAAUGAACAUAUAAAUAAGUACAUAAACGAACAUAAAAAAAGGAAAAUAGAUGAAAAUUAUAAAAUGAGAAAUAUGUAUAUAUAAGGGGACUAUAUAUGUAUGUAUAUAAAAUUAUGAAAAUGUGAAAAUAUAUAUAAAUUAUAAGAUAUAAAAAUAUAAGUAUGUAUAUCGUAAAAUAAAACAAUGUAAGUAUGUAUAUAUAUAUAAAAAAUAGAUGUGUAUACAUAUAUCUUAUAAAAAUGAAUGAUGGAUAUAGACGUAUAUGUAUGUAUGUAUAACAAAACAUAUGCAUUUAUAUAAGCUAAAAAACGUGUCUAUAAAGAGAUAUAUAGAUAUAUAUAAUAAGAUGAUAUAUAAAAAUAGUUAUAGUAGUAAUAAUAAUAGGACAAAUAUAUUCAAAAUUUAAAUAACUAAAUAUAAAUAAAAUAUAACAAUAACAAUGUAAAACUAAAUGGUAUAAUAAUAGUAACGUAAAUAUACAUAUAUAUAAUAGGAAAAUAUAACAAUAAUAUUAAUAAUAUAAUAAUAGUUGUAAUAGGAUUAAAAUAGUUAAUUUAAUAAUAAAAUAGCUAAAAAAAUUAAACUGAAAAUAAACUAAAUCAUAGGGGCAAAAUCAAAACUGAAAACAAACAAAUGGAUUAAAUUGUGACUCGUGCGAAAAUGGGAAGGACUAACUAAGAAAUUAUCUCCUGUCAGUCAAAUGGUGUCGUUCUGCCAAAACCCAGACACAUGGGCUCUGGAGCAAAUUGAAACAGAUGUGGAAAUCCGGGGUAAAAUUAAAACAAAUAAUAAAAGGGGAUAGGACCCAAUUGUAAACAGCCUCAAAAGCGGAAGGACUGAAAGCGCAAAUAACCCCUCAAGUCUAAAAACACGCGGAUCCUAGGUGGUUCGGGUCGGGUCGGGUCGGAAGGCCUCUAAACGAUGUCGUUUUGAGGCCGAACGAAACAGGCCAAAACGGCGCCGUUUCAUUUUAGCAUUUAAACCAAAAAUUUCUUCUAAAAUUCAUUCCCCUCCACCCCUUAAAAAAAAUUUGAAAACUGUUUUUUCCUCUCAACAGCCCCCCUCUUUUUCCCCAGAGAACGACCAAGGUCCCGUCGAAGGGCCACCGCACCGGCCGCCGCUCGCCGGUGUCGGAACCGCCGUGCACGGCGGCGAGGCGGUCAAGAACUUUUGUUUUUUUUCUUUAGUUUUCAAGCCCUUCCUCCUUGAUUCAAUAGAUCGAAGAAAAGGGACCUCCUACGCCCUUUCUCGGUCCGAUUUCAACGACUGAAGGGACCCCCGACAACAGUUGUGGGAUCUACCAGGUACUCCCUUUUCUCUUCGUUUUUUAUGUUUAUAUAAAUAGAGAAAAAUUGAAAAAUAAAAAUAGAUCUAAAAAUAUGAAAAUCACCUUAAAUGUUUUUUUGUUUUUUAUUAUCUGAAAUUUUUGUGAAAAAGAACCAGCCCCCUUUUACAAUCUGUUAAAUGGCUUUAUAUAGCCUUUUUCAUUACAAAUCCCCCACUUGCUACUGCUAUGGUUUUUCUUUAUUGUUUGCAGGUGAAGCAGGUGGAGACGUGACGUGUGGCGCGACGCGGCAGGAGGUCAGGGGUCAGAAGACCCUAGGUGCGGCGCACCUAGGGCUAGGGUUUCCAGACCCCUUUUUUUGCUUUGCUUUGGGUCGUUUGAGCCAUGGGAAAUUGGGCUAGACAUUGGGCUUUGGCAUGUAAUUGGGGUUUGGGUUGUUUUGUAGUGGGCUUUGGGGUUUGUUUUUAUAAUUGGGCCCCGGGGCAAAUUGGGCUUGUACAGCUACCCCUCUUUGCUCGUUGUCGUGUAACGAGAACAGAGCAAAGACUAAGAAAGACCAAUUUGCCCGAUCUCGCUGAGUCUUGACUUCUCUUGACGCAUCUUCUCUUCAAGUAGCUUUAUCCCAGUCCACUGUGUCUCGUUGCUUCGAUCCACUUCAUUGCACUUCAGGAAGGUCUGACUUGUAGCUUCAAUCUUCUUCGCAGCAACUUCAGGGGGACGAUGUUUGUGGUUCUAGUCUGCUCCACUACAAUGUUAGGGAGAUAAGAUUUGUUGUGGUAGAUUUAAUCCGCCCUACUGCAACCUCAGAGGUAUAGGAUUCAUCAUUUCAAUCCACUCCACUACAACUUCAGGGAGAUAGGAUUAUUAUUUUCAACUUGCUUUACUGCAUAAAGUCUGAUGUGAUCUGCUCUUCUGCAACUUCAGAGAGAUAAGAUCUGUGGUUUUAAUCCGCUCCACCGUAACUUCAGGGAGAUAUGAUUGAUUUCUUCUGUCUGCUCCACUACUGCUUAGGGUGAUAGGACUAAUGGCUUAAAUCUGCUUCUCCACUGUAUUGGGAAGAUAAGAUUCACCAUCUUCAAUCUACUCCACUACUGCUUAGGGUAACAGAAUCUACAAUCUUCAACCUACUCCAAUACUGCUUAGGGUGAUAGGACUAAUGGCUUAAAUCUGCUUCUCCACUGUAUUGGGAAGAUAAGAUUCACCAUCUUUGAUCUGCUCCACUACUGAUUAGGGUGACGGAAUCUGCGAUCUUCGACCUACUCCACUACUGCUUAGGGUGAUAGGACUAAUGGCUUAAAUCUACUUCUCCACUGUAUUGGGAAGAUAAGAUUCACCAUCUUUGAUCUGCUCCACUACUGAUUAGGGUGACAGAAUCUGCAAUCUUCGACCUACUCCACUACUGUUUAGGGUGAUAGGACAAAUGGCUUAAAUCUGCUUCUCCACUGUAUUGGGAAGAUAAGAUUCACCAUCUUCGAUCUGCUCCACUACUGAUUAGGGUGACAGAAUCUGCAAUCUUCAACCUAUUUCACUGCCAAAUACAGGAAGAUAAGAUCUGCUAUUUUCGAUCUCCUCCACUGCCAAAUACAGGAAGAUAAGAUAUGCUAUCUUCAUUUAUUUGUUCUCUAGGGAACAUGACCUGUAUGUUCUAUUUUAUGAACCUAAUUAUGCCUAGUGAUUAGGAUGACAUGAUCAGAAUGAAUCAAAUACUCCUAACUAGAUGUGUAUGAAUGGUGUUCGCAUGAAUGUAAAAUUUUAUUUUUCCGAGAAUGAUCCCGCUUAGGUUGUCAUUACUCGAAGUUUAUUAAGGCUUUGUAACUAACGUGCUACGACGUCUUCUUGCUUAACUGGCUUUUCUGAAGAAACAUUUAGUCAAGUUGCCCCCCACUGUGAACCUCAAAGUUUAAUCCAUUGGGGCGCAAAAUUUGUACCAUCAAUUUCCACUGUAACCCAAUGGUGGAAAAAUAUGGCUUUUCUCAAUCUUCUCCUAUCGCAAUUCAAGGAUACAAAAUGUAAAGCUUUUUGGUCCCCUACACCAUUCCCAAUGUGUCAUACCAAAUGUUUAUGCACAAUUGCAAAAUUUUUUCUCCGAAAAACAACUUCUUCUUAUCACUCGGUGAUCGCUGCUUGUUUGUUCAUUGAAGCUUUGUCACCAAUACGACAUCUUGUUAUUUUGUUCAAUCAAUGUUUGGACAACAAAAUCUGAAAAGAUAGUAUUAACUUAGACUCUUCCUUAUUAGAUAUUUCGCCCUUUAAACUUGGUGUUUUCUAAAUAAUAGUCCUGUUUCAGGUUCCUAUAUUAUUUAGAAACUUCUAGAGUAAUAUGCAAAACUUCCAUUGUGAAAGUAUUAUUAGUCCAUUAAUAAUUAUUCUAAUGCAACAUGCUUGCAAAAAGAACAUAACGAUAGAUAAAAUAGAAUUGAUUUGAGAGCAUAGCUCGAAAUGAAUGAAUUAUCAAGGGUAGCAAGAAUAAAAGAGGAAUUGAUUGGAACACGUAUCUUGAAAAAGAAUGAAGUAUUCCAAGAACAACAACAAAUUCAAUAUAUAAAUAGUAUGAAGGUUAGGUGCCCUAGAUAUCGCAGCUUGAACUUCUCUGUACAAACUUUCUAAAGACUUUCCUGAGUUUGACAUGUGUUUAGGAGAUCUACAGGACUCUGUCGAUGCCCCAAGAUGUCGCCUUACCCUUUCAGGUAUAGCAAGAUCACCACGUGCCCCAAUCUGAUCACUUCAUGCCCCAUCUUGAUCAAUAUUUGAGCCGCCCUUCGGGUUUUCGACUCAAAUCCCCUUUGGCCUAAGGUGCCCUUUGCGGGUUUUCCCCUUAGUCCUUCCUUCUUCUUUAAAUGAAGUGUUUCUUAAUUGGAUCCGAGUUUAUAGGAUUGACAAUCUCACUCAGGAUCAGUGCUCCUCUGAAAAUGGUUUUCUUUACAACAUAGGGACAUUCAUGGUUUGGCAUUCAUUUCCCUUUAGAAUCCUUUCGUUAAGGAAGAAUCUUUUUCAACACCAGCCCUCUCGUGGAAUUCUCUGAGACGAGCCUGUUUAUUAUGGGCUCAUAUUAUUUAUUUAUGGUACAUCUGACCCUGAUGAAUAGCUUCUAACCCUUUUCCUAGGGCCAACUGAUCACAUCGCGAUAGGAUCCCUCCAACAAGCAAUGAGGGGAUUUUAAUAGGUAAAACUACCUCAAUCCUAUAAACCAAAAAGGGAGGCGUUGCCCCAGUACCGAUGUUCGACAAACAAUGAGGGCAAAUGGUAAUUUCUUAUGCCAGUCCUUAUCCACCUCUAAGUAAUUCGGUGACAAAAUGUGGUGUCUGUUUUUGAAUUGAUUUCAGACCUCAGUUAUCAUGCUAUUAUUUAAGUUCAAUGCAUUUUCCAAUACCAUCCUCUCUGAAAUUCUGUAUCGGUAUAGGAUAACCUUGAUCCAUGAAGUAACCUCUCAAAAAGUGAAGCAAUGCCCAUUAGAAGUCUUCGAUAAUGGUGAUGUCCAUGCCCCAUUUUGUUCAAAAUUUGAGUCGCCCUUUUUCGGGUUUUCAACUCAGAUCCACCUUUGGUCAAAGCGCCCUUUGCGGGUUUUCGCCUUGACCUCUCCUUUUUCUUUUUCUUUUUAUUUCUUUUUUCUUUUUUCUUUUUCUCCUAUUUUUGACUUUUAUUUUUUGAUUGAUUUUUUUUUGAUUUUUUGAUUUUUUGAUUUUUUUGAUUUUUUUUUAGUCUGAACUCAUGAGAUCAGACAAGUCCUGGUCAUGUUUUUCGACCAGAAUCAAUGUUAUUCUAAAGUCUUCCACAUAAGAUCUCCCACUUUCAUCUUGUAUGUGAGAAACCUUCUUUGGUACCAGAUUUCUUUCAUAGAGCCCUUUUGGUACGCAACUGCGACAGAAAAAUUUAGAUCUUCCUCUUUAGUCAGGAUAAAAUCCAACAACAUCUCUAAGGGAUGGAAACUCGACUUCAAAUGGGCAAAGCUAUGCUGACUCAACGAGAGAGGCAUUGCCCCGACAAAGAAUUGCAUCAUUCGCACUGUAAAUUUCUGACAUCGUGCUGUUGUGCAGGCUUUAUUAUAAGAAUCGAGGCAUACCCUGGUAUGAUCAUACAAAGACAUCUUUGAACUCUAGAGGUAACUCAACAAGGUCUUGCUUCGUUUCUGUGGUCAGGUCAAUUCUAGUCUUCACCAAGCUCACAAUUUCUAAUGAUUCCUUAAGAGGUAGGAUCUAUUUAUCCUCUUGUUCUGCCAUCCUCAACAAGUCCGGAGAUAGGCUACAAUCUAUGUCAUCUUCAAAGUCGUGAGAUCCCUCUAAACACAUGUCUCACUCAAAAUGAGAUUCUGAGUCUGUAGCAGUGUCAUUCAUGUCAUUGAUAUUCAGGGACCUAUUCUAGGUACAAGAGAAUAUACAAAGAAUGUAUGAAUUUAAGAAUAAUUAUUUGCACAGUAUGAUUAUGAAUGAAAUAAUGAUUUGGAUGAAAGAAUAAAAGAAUAAUCAUUCAAGAAAUGAAAGAAUAUUGGUUCAAAAAAUCGCAAAGAUGCAUUCCAUUGAAAUAAUGACGUUCAGACAUGAGCCUAUUUCACAAAAGACUUCUUGUUGCUUCUAGGCUAAAAGCAACAAGUGUGUUUUGAAUAUUACUCUGAGUAAGCUCUAAAUACUACAGGGAUAUCUUCUGCAGUCUAAUUAUUUAGAACACUCCCGAGUUUAUAAGGGCGGAUAUCUAACAAGGUCCCUUUUCAGUUGUCUUCAUGUAUGACAUUGAUAUGAACAUUUUUUGACCUCUUCACAAAACUCUAUCUUGCUGGACCUUAGGUUACCGCUCUUAUAUUUGCAGUUGUAGUUGGUCUUGCCUCCCCCUUUGGAAUCGUUCAAGUUUUUUAAUCUUUGGUCCAUGUUUUUUUUUAUUCGGGUACCGCAAAAAUGUUGGUUUUCCAGACUUUUCUGAAAUAAUUUUACCUAAUUAAGGUCACUUCGUGAAAAUCUAAUGCAUAUGAUGCAAUGUAAUGCAAAUGCAUGAAAUGAAUGCCUAAAGAGACGUUGAUUCUGAUUCAAUUACAUUUAGGAAGCUUUUCUAGAAAGUAAAUUCCCUUACACAAAACGGAUACAUGUACGACCUCACCCACAUAUUCCAAGAAACAUCGGUCUUUUUCUUCAUCUGCAUGCUUGAGGUAAUCUCGCCAAUAGAUGCCAUUGCUAGCUCAUUUUCUUGAUCUUGGUCGCGAUCCAUCAUUUGCCCAUCUUUAUAAGGCUCAUCAACUUGUCGAAGGCUUUUGGACAAUCGUCUCGAACCCUUAGGCCACGAAGUAAAGAUCACGAACUCUUUCAUCGCCCUUCUUGUGUUUCUCAGAAUAUAUUUGGGAAGUCGUAUUAUUUUCCACUUUAUCAAGGAAUCCGUAUUCCAUGACAAGCUUUCUAAUUUAGUAAUCGGACUUAAAUCAAUAUCUCUUUCCUAAGAUGCAGAUGCGAUGCAAUCAUAAUCAAAGCACAAUAAAAAGGGUUAGUACAAAAACAAACAAGGAAAACAGAAAGUAUCUAAUCGGGUGACUACUAUGGGUUUGGAGUGGCUCUAUCUAGGUUAAGUUCCUAAGUCCACUACAUGAGGUUUGGUUCAAAAGCAAAGGUACCCGAACCAGCAGAUUCCUCGAUCCUCUCCCAUUAUAGGCUCAUACGGACCGAGUUUGGUUCAGGGGAAUACAUUUCCCUAUGCCUGCACGGAGAUGAAAAUCUCACGAGGACAUAGGUACGGAUGUAUCCCGAAAGCGAUCCACUAUCCUGCACGGAGGUGAAAACCUCACGAAGGAGUAGCUUCUCGCUCCAACUUAAAAGGUGUGACCAACGGUCAUGCAAUGCAAUGUGCAGAGAUAUAUAAAAAAUUAAAAUACAAAACAUGAUUAUAACUCAAAACAAAUGAAAUGCAAUGAGAGGAUUGUAUAUUUAAACCAAAUUUUCAACUUUCGACAAAAAGACAAGAAAUAAUCAACUCGUGGCUUGACUCUCUUAUUUAAAAUCCCCAGUGGAGUCGCCAAGCUGUUGACACCAUUUUUUGGAUAAAAACGGGGUCGACUUGGGUUUUGAAAAAAUGAAAACGAAAAUGGGAGUCGCCACCAAUCCUUUUUACUGAGGUGUGAUUGGAUCACCUCGAAAAGUGGUUGUUUUUAAUAAACGAUUUGAUUUUAUUAAAACAACAAGUUUGGUCCACGAAAUUCAGAAAAACGGGUUCGGGAGUCAGUUACGCACGAGGAAGGAUUAGCACCCUCGAUACGCCCAAAAUUGGUACCUAGUUGAUUACUUAAUGUCUUAGUGUCGAAAAACUGAAAACUUUAAAGAAAUUUAAAAUACGAUCCUUAAAGAAAACUCAAAUGGCAUGGAUUAAAAUUCAAGAGGAUAUUUGGCAAUUUGGUUAAACGAGAAAUCGAAACCCAGCACCUUAGGGCACGUUCCUCGAAUUUCCAAACGCAAAGCAUUGCCUUAUUUUGUAAUUUUUGAAAAGGAUAUUAAGCCAUUUGGUUGAACGAGAAAAAUCGACACCCAGCACCUUAGGGCACGUUCCUCGAAUUUCCAAACGCAGAACAUUGCCUUAUUUUGAAAUUUUUGAAAAGGAUAUUAAGCCAUUUGGUUGAACGAGAAAAAUCAACACCCAGCACCUUAGGGCAUGUUUUCUCGAAUUUCCAAACGCAGAACAUUGCCUUAUUUUUGAAAAGGAGAUUAAGCCAUUUGGUUGAACGAGAAAAAUCAACACCCAGCACCUUAGGGCAUGUUUUCUCGAAUUUCCAAACGCCAAAUAUUGCCUCAAUUAGAAAUAUUUUCCCUUUUUUUUUGAAAUAUGAUAUUUAUAUGCAUGAUGGAAUAAUAAACAUGAUGAUGUGAAUAAAAAAUAUGAACAAAAACGAAUAAUAAAAUGAAUCAAUCAUGCAUAUACCAUAGCAAAUAAAUACAUAAAUAAACUAAAGCAUAAAAAUGAACAUAUAAAUAAGUACAUAAACGAACAUAAAAAAAGGAAAAUAGAUGAAAAUUAUAAAAUGAGAAAUAUGUACAUAUAAGGGGACUAUAUAUGUAUGUAUAUAAAAUUAUGAAAAUGUGAAUAUAUAUAUAAAUUAUAAGAUAUAAAAAUAUAAGUAUGUAUAUCGUAAAAUAAAACAAUGUAAGUAUGUAUAUAUAUAUAAAAAAAUAGAUGUGUAUACAUAUAUCUUAUAAAAAUGAAUGAUGGAUAUAGACGUAUAUGUAUGUAUGUAUAACAAAACAUAUGCAUUUAUAUAAGCUAAAAAACGUGUCUAUAAAGAGAUAUAUAGAUAUAUAUAAUAAGAUGAUAUAUAAAAAUAGUUAUAGUAGUAAUAAUAAUAGGACAAAUAUAUUCAAAAUUUAAAUAACUAAAUAUAAAUAAAAUAUAACAAUAACAAUGUAAAACUAAAUGGUAUAAUAAUAGUAACGUAAAUAUACAUAUAUAUAAUAGGAAAAUAUAAUAAUAAUAUUAAUAAUAUAAUAAUAGUUGUAAUAGGAUUAAAAUAGUUAAUUUAAUAAUAAAAUAGCUAAAAAAAUUAAACUGAAAAUAAACUAAAUCAUAGGGGCAAAAUCAAAACUGAAAACAAACAAAUGGAUUAAAUUGUGACUCGCGCGAAAAUGGGAAGGACUAACUAAGAAAUUAUCCCCUGUCAGUCAAAUGGUGUCGUUCUGCCAAAACCCAGACACAUGGGCUCUGGACCAAAUUGAAACAGAUGUGGAAAUUCGGGGCAAAAUUAAAACAAAUAAUAAAAGGGGAUAGGACCCAAUUGUAAAUAGCCUCAAAAGCGGAAGGACUGAAAGCGCAAAUAACCCCUCAAGUCUAAAAACACGCGGAUCUUAGGCGGUUCAGGUCGGGUCGGGUCGGAAGGCCUCUAAACGACGUCGUUUUGAGGCCGAACGAAACAGGCCAAAACGGCGCCGUUUCAUUUUAGCAUUUAAACCAAAAAUUUCUUCUAAAAUUCAUUCCCCUCCACCCCUUAAAAAAAAUUUGAAAACUAUUUUUUUCUCUCAACAGCCCCCCUCUCUUUCCCCAGAGAACGACCAAGGUCCCGUCGAAGGGCCACCGCACCGGCCGCCGCUCGCCGGUGUCGGAAUCGCCGUGCACGGCGGCGAGGCGGUCAAGAACUUUGUUUUUUUUCUUUAGUUUUCAAGCCCUUCCUCCUUGAUUCAAUAGACCGAAGAAAAGGGACCUCCUACGCCCUUUCUCGGUCUAAUUUCAACGACUGAAGGGACCCCCGACGACGGCCGUGGAUCUACCAGGUACUCCCUUUUCUCUUCGUUUUUUGUGUUUAUAUAAAUAGAGAAAAACUAAAAAAUAAAAAUAGAUCUAAAAAUAUGAAAAUCACCUUAAAUGUUUUUUUGUUUUUUAUUAUCUGAAAUCUUUGUGAAAAAGAACCAGCCCCCCUUUACAAUCUGUUAAAUGGCUUUAUAUAGCCUUUUUCAUUACAAAUCCCCCCACUUGCUACUGCUAUGGUUUUUCUUUAUUGUUUGCAGGUGAAGUAGGUGGAGACGUGACGUGCGGCGCGACGCGGCAGGAGGUCAGGGGUCAGAAGACCCUAGGUGCGGCGCACCUAGGGCUAGGGUUUUCAGACCCCUUUUUUUUUGCUUUGCUUUGGGUCGUUUGAGCCAUGGGAAAUUGGGCUAGACAUUGGGCUUUGGCAUGUAAUUGGGGUUUGGGUUGUUUUGUAGUGGGCUUUGGGGUUUGUUUUUAUAAUUGGGCCUCGGGGCAAAUUGGGCUUGUACAGUGAGUAAGAUGGCUAGAACAUUCUAAAGAUCCAAACUUGAACACACAUGGAGGUAUGUUCCUCAAAGUAAGUUCAAAUAUUAUACCCCAUUGAAUGUUAUGCAUACCUAUGUUUUGAAUUAGGUGAAGAGUCUAGGUAUUUUAUUGAGCCUUCCACCUAUGAGGCACAGUGUUAGGAGGUUAGGUUUGAGAGACAGAUGUGCUUUCCACAACGACGGAGGGCAUAAGAUUGAUGAUUGCUUUUCUCUGAAGGAUGCUAUUGGGGAAGUAGUGAGAAAUGGUGAACUGGGGGAUUUUGUUGCUCAAAAUACUACCUAGCAGAGGUAGAGUUCAUGUGCUGAGGCAAAAGGUAAGCAAUAUUAUAUUGUUGCUAGUAUUAUACAAAAUAAAAAGUCACAAAAGUGAGAGAAAACUCAGUAAUCAGUGCACCAAAACUCGUUAAGUCAAUCAUAGUUGCUAGUAUUAUAUUGUAUCUUCUUACAUAGAGAGAUAAGGUAGGUGAGAGAUGGAGACAAAAGAUGAUGAGCUUGGAUGGGACAUUAAGGGGGAAGAGAGGGAACAAUGUUAUGUGCCUAACUAUUUCUAGUGUUUGAACUGUUUUCAGUCAUAUCUCAUAUCUUUCUUUGAACUCAUACCGUCCUAAGCCUUAGAACAUUACAAGCUUAGAAGACCAAUGUGACUUAAGUCUUCUCUAUGCAUAAUCUUCCAAAAUUGCUAACAAUUAUACUUAAUGAAUAGUUGUUGAUUCACAUGAUUGUGUCUACUAUAUAUCUAUUUGAUUUAUGUUAACAGUGAUAUUGUUAAACAUUUGGUUGUGGGAAUUAUUUCUAGUUUGUUAGUAAUGUAAAUUUGUAAACUAGUUCCUAUUUACUUUAAAAAGUUUCCAAGACAUUAAAUUAUCAAGAUUAAGUUACAUGUAUGAUAAGAAUUGUUAUAUCUUUAAUAGUUGAUAACAAUGUUCAUAAUAGUAAUAAAAUCCAAGGGACAUCUUCUUAUUGCAUGCUAUGUGUCUAGACUUGGGUUUACUUGAGGACAAAUGAAAAGUUAAGUGUAGGGGAGUUUAGGUUUGAGGUUCUUAUUUACAUCCAUCUUCACUAACUCUAGCUUGUUUAAAGAAAGGAACCAAGUCAAAUUUUUUUAGUUUGCCUUUUUUUACAACUAAAAUUUUCUUUAUGUUUUUAUGUUUAUUUUUCCAUUCUUUUUUCUUUGUUUAUUUUAAUUAUAUGUUUCCAUUGCUUGGGAACAAGCAAUGGCUUAAGUGUAGGGGAGUUUGAUCUACCGUAAUUCGGUGUAGUAGAUUAAACUAGUUUUCAUACUUAAAGAGCUUGGAUAUGAGCAUUUUGGUUAUGCUUUAGUUAGUUUUUGUAUUUUAGUUUUAAUUUAAUAAAAAGUGUAAAUUGAGUCUUUUUAUGAGCUUAGGGGUCGAAUGAGGCAUAAAGGUGGGAUUCUCACGAGGGAAGAUUGUUCCAAAGCUAUGCUUUCAUCGAUAAAUCCAUGUGCAUCUCUUUUCCUUUAUUCUAUUCUUUAUAUCUCUUUCUUUAACAUUGUUUAAUUGAAUGUUUGUGUAAAGUUUAGAUAUCACUAUUAACAGAGUAAUUGGAUAAUAGAGGAUAGUUUAGGUAUCACUAUUAACAAAAAAAAGUUCAGAUACAUGAAGAAAAAUGGCAUAAUUUAAGUACUAAUUUGUGGGUUAAAUCUUAAUUUUUUAUAUAAGUAACAACUACUAAUUUGCGAGUGCUUCUAUCUUUUUAUACAAAAUAAUUUCAUUAAAAAAAAUAUAAACACAAUAAUAUUCAUAACUUUUUCUUGAAUGAAAUAAUAUUCAUAACUUCAAUUUUAUUUGGAAAAAAAUGUAAAUAAAUAAUAUUUGCUAUGUAUACACAUGGAUGAAGUGUAUAAAUGAAUAAUCUAUUUCACAACAUCUAACCUUUAUAGAUGCAUGAGAAUGACUCUAAUUGAUUCUUAUAGUGUUACAAAAUUCUUAGCCAAAAAAAUAUAAAUUUAAAAUGAAAAAUAUGAGAUUAUAAAUAGAUAUAAAUUUUCAUCUAAAUCUUGACAUUUUCUUAUGAGUUAACAUUUUUGAAACCUAAAUUACAACAUAAUGUAUGAUUGUUUUAUCUUGAUAAAUUAUGUUAAAUUUUGUUGAGUGUAGUGGUGCAAACGAGGUUAAAUUACUUCAUAUAACAUCUUACAUUUUCUAAAUGCAUAAUAAUGACUCUAAGGUUUUAAUCUUUUAAGGUUAAUUUUAUUUUAAUUACUUUAAAAGAUUCCAUAAAUUUAAUAACAAAAAGGAGAAUAAAGAAAAAAAUACUUAAAAAAAUAAAUAAAUUAAGAAUAAAUUAAUUCAAUGUAAAAUUUAAAUAAAAUUUAAAAUUUUUGUUAUUAUAUCAAAUAAAUUUUCUUAGUAAAAUACUUUUAGUGAAAUUAGAAGUCUUACUUAUAAAUGGUAAUUUUUAUUAAUAGUAAAAAAAUUUUUAUCUUUGUGCCAGAAAAAAACACCGCAUAGAUCAUAAAAAGGAAAAACUAAAACAUCCAAAAAAAAAACUGUCAAACACUAAACACAAAAUUCAUAAUUGUAGAGGAGGAUUGGAUACAUUGGUCCCAUAAUAUGUCACUCAAAAUCUCAAAAUCAUCCAACAAAAAGAAAUCAUCACUUCAGUUAAUUAAAGCAAGAACAAAGAAAGUUAUGGAUGAACAAAUAUGGGAAGCAAAGAAAAAUGAUGGAUCAAAAGGGACGAAUAAACUAAUUUCUGCCAUAAGGUAGAUGGUGAACUUAGGAUGUGGAGUUCCAAUAAAUACCUAAACAUACCUAAACUUUUGGCAAUUCAAAUAGUUUCUUUAUAAAAAUUUGUAAAUUUGAGGUGAGAUUAUCAAAUUAGCAAUUAUUAUUUUUACAGCAAAAAAUAUGAGUAUAUAAAGAAAAUAAAAACAUAAAAAAAGUAGAGCAAUAUAAAACGAAGUUUUAAGGUAAGUCGCUUUCUUAUUUUUAAGAAUAUUAGUAAAGCAGGACAUUUGGUUUUGCUUAUAUAAAAAGUUGUUCCAUGCUACGGAGAAAUGCAUAGGGACGUCAUGUUUGUGAUUUCUGAAAGCCAUUGUCCUCACCAAAUGAUUAUUACCCAUGUUUGCAUUUAAAUAUUUGAGUCGAAAUAUAUUAUUUUAAGCUGUCUAAUAAUGAAAAUAUUAAACUAAAACUUUAGUAGAGUUUAAUUAUAUAUUAUAUUUUAAUAAAAUUACAUAUUUUAGUUCAAAAAGAUAUUUUAAUCAAUCAUUUUUAUUAGUUUUGAAGUUCUGGCUUAUAUAUAUAUAGAAUAUAUAUUGAUUGAGUUAGAAAUACCACAAAACGUUGACAUUUUUUAAAAGUAUGAUAAUUGAAUAGAAGUAACCUAUGCUAAUGUGGAGUAAUUGUUCCAUAUAAUCCUUUUUAUGAUCAAAUGAUUGCUUAAUUUACUUCAUAACAUCUUACAUUUUCUAAAUGUAUAAUAAUGACUCUAGGUUUUAAUCUUUUAAGGUAACUUUUAUUUUAUUUACUUAAAAAUAUUGCAUAAAUUUAAUAGCAAAAAGAAUAAAAGAAACAUGAAAUUAUACCUGUCAAUUUGUUAUUGCUAAGAUAAAGCACUCGAAGAGAAGUCAAGUUUCCAAUAACAAGAGGAAUUUCACCUGAAACAUAGAAUUAAAUCAGUAAAUAUUUGUAAUUAUUUUCCUAGCGAACUCUUAAUUUAUUUGUUGAGCAUAUUAGUGUCCGUUUCAUUUACCUAUUUUUUAAUGUGCAAGUUUUGUUUAGUUUUAUAGUACUUAUGACAACCCAAAAAUAUUUUAAUUAUAAUACUCGAAUUUAUAGUUCAAAUGAUGAUGAAAAUUAGAUGGAAUAAAAUAGUUCACGCUUAAUAGUUUUGUUCAUAGGAUACAUCAUCGAAGCUGAACAUACAUAUAUAUUAGAAACUUUUAUUAGUUAACAGGGAUUAGCUAAUGUCAAACAACUGAUACUAUUGCAUACAAUAUGUUUCCCUAAACUGCUUGCUAUUUAUCUCUCGCCACAAAUUUUCAAAAACACAUGUGCAUUUUAAGCCAAACAUUUAUAAUAGUGAUAAGCAUAUUGAUUCAAUUUUUUGCUAAGGAAUCAGUAAACAAACACAUAUAUCUGCACAUAUGGACACACACAUAUAUCUGCACAUAUAGACUACUAGGAACCCGAAAAUGUCGCUAGACCCCGGGAUAUAGUCUAGGUGAAAAGGGACUGAGGAGUUGAACAGUAACGAAACUAGUAAGAACUCACAUGAUAAUGAGCUUGUUGUAACCAGAAUACAAAGAUUGGGCCAUAGUCAAGUUUCCAAUUUCUAUAGGCAUAGUUCCCUCCAAAGAGUUGUUAUGCAAUGAUAAAAACAUCAACUAUUAUAACUAGAAGAGACUGCAUAACAGUAACAACAAAAUAGAGAAUAAAGAUGAUAUUAUACCUGUUAAGUAGUUAUCAGAAAGAUCGAUGUCUGUGAGAGAAAUAAGAUUUCCAAUAUUCGACGGAAUUUCACCUAAAAUAUAUAAUUAAAAUUAUCAAAAUUUAUUUCACAAAAAAAUCAAAAUUUAUUAAUUAUUUUUAUAAUAAACCUUAAAAUCGUCAAAAAUCAAAGCUACUUCAUGGUUGUAUUUUGUGAGACUGUGGGAGUUGUGUGAAGAAGAGAAAUUAAAGAGACAAUAACAGUGGGUGAAUGCGGGUAGGUAUAAGUCUGAAACAUAUAAUAUCAACUAUGUACUCUGUAAUCAAAGCUAAGAGAAAUCAUGUACUCUAUUUCUUUCCUAUUCGAUAAUAUCAACACAUAAGUAAUAAGGCAUAUCUAAAGGAUAAAAAAAAAUAGCUAAUUACAAAUCUAAUGUGAUUCAAAAGGGUAUAAAGUAGGUCCUAAUUAAAAAUCAAACCUUAAACUAAUUUAAUGUAAAAUUUAACUCUUUUCUUAUCACCAAAUAAAUUUACUUUUAGUAAAUUAGGAGUUUUAAUAAAAUACUUGUAAUAACUGGUUGUUCAUGACUAGGUGUUUUGUUUUCAACAUAUUUUUCUAAAAAUUUCUACUUUUAUGGAAUUAACUUGCCUUAGAAAAGCAGUCUCUAUUAUUUUUAAGAAUAUUAUUGCUCUCAUUUUACUCGUACCAAUAUUUCCUAUAUUUUUCUUAUGUUAAAAUAGUUAAAGCAUUAAAUGUAUAAUUGAUUUUUUUUAAGUCAAAAGCUAAUUAAUAAUAUAUAACAACUAAAAAGGGAUCGCAUAAAUGUAACAACAAAAAGAAAAAAUAAGAUAUUAUACCUGAUAAGUUGUUAACAGAAAGAUUAAUAGCUUCGAGAGUGGUCAAGUUUCCAAUAGUUGAUGGGAUUUCACCUAAAAAUAUAAAUAAAUUGGUCAAAAUAGCUUGGUGCUAGAACUAUGUUAUCUUUGUGUGUGUAUGUUUAACGUAGAUAGCUAACUUAGAAGUAACCCAGGAUAUAGAGAAAUUUUAAUAAAUACUCGAACACAGUUGAACCUUUGACAAUUUGUAACUCAAAUUUGUUUCUUAUACUCAAAAUAGUUGCCCUAUUUUUUUAAGCUAAAAGUAAUAUAUUAAGAAACUAAAAAGAUUGUAAAGCUAAUUAAUAAUAUGGAACGACAACUAAAAGGAAUUACAUAAAUGUAACAACAAAGGAGAAGAAAAUUUUUUAUGAGAAAAAUGAUAUUAUAUUUGUUAAGUAGUUAUUAGAAAGAAUAAUGUACUUGAGUGAAAUAAGAUUUCUAAAAAUAGAUGAAAAAACAUAUAAUUAACAAUUUAUUUAUUCUAUUUCUCUCAUACCAUCAACUAUGGCUGACCAAAAAUUAAUUAAGGCAAAUCAAGUGGAUGGAAAUAGCUUAGUUACAAGUUUGAUGUUAAUUCAAUAAUUUUGUUUUAAAAAAAAACGUUGUUUCCAAAAGGCUAAGAAAUACGUCCAAAUUAUAAUUCAUAACAUAAAUUAAUUUAAUGUAAAAUUUAAAAUUUUUAUUAGUAUUGUUAGAGUUGUGUGACCUAAAUUCUAAGAGAUUGAUUGCAAGUCAAGGUAAACAAAAUACAUCUUCUUUCUAGAAGAUUUAGUAUUUAUGAGUAUAACAUAUUUAACAUUUAUUAGCAUAAUAUAUUCGACUUUGAUUAGAAUUAGGUUUUUUUCAACCUAUAAAUAGAUGUAGUCGAAACUCCUCUUGGAAUCAUUCGAAUUUGACAUAGUGAAUUUUCUUUUCCUCUGCCUGUGGUUUUUUUCCCAAAAGGCUUUCCACGUAAAAAUCUGUGUGUUCUUUAUUUUUAUUUCUCUUUUCUUUGCGAUAUAUUGUCAUUACUGAUAUUCUAUUUUUACAAGUAUCAAAUAAAUUCAAUCUAAUAACUCAUUGUUUAUGACUAGGUGUUUUGUUUUCAACAUAAUUUUCUAAAAAUUUAUACUUUCAUGCCACUUAGAGAAGUUUCUUUUAAGUAUUUUUUUCUCGGCCAAAAUAAAAGGAUAGAACUGACGAAAGCGGUUAGUAAAACAUGUGAUGCUAAAUACACAGACAUGCCAGAAUAGGAAGGAAAAUUAGAAACAAACUCCUAAACCAAAUAAUUGGUUGAUGGCUGAACUGACAUAAAACCGUUAAAGAUUUACACUAUAACUAUGUUUUAUUGUUUACGAAUAAUUUUUUCAUUAGACACAAGCAUUACUUUUGUAAGAACCUAAAAUAAACUACAACAAUAUAAAAAGAAAGUUAUAAUUACAACUCAACCAAUCAUAAGCCAACUUUGACUUUUCGACUAAAACUGUUACAACUGAAAACCUAAAUUCAUAUCUUUCACAAAGAACAGGGAUUGACGACAUAUCUCACUCAGUUAUUCCUCAAGCAUGGGGUUGUGGAGGUGACUAUGGGUUCCGAUGUGUUCCUACCUGCUACUAAGGGUUAAUCAGGAACUGCAUUAAAAAUCUGACUACAUUCCGUUUGGCACCAAUUAAAUUGGUUGAUGGCUCAAUUCACAUAAAUAAUAUAUAUAUACUCUAUGAUUAAGUUUGGUUUUGCUAGCACUGAACUUAGUAGAAAUUAGAUAAAAAUGAAUGCAACAAUAACCAGGAAUUGUUUACCUUUGAGGUGGUUGUUACCAAGAUUCAAACUCUCUAGCAAAGUCAAAGCCAUUUAGCUUAUCUAAGAAAUUGGCCUGAUUUGACACCAAUUAAAUUGGCUGAUGGCUCAAUUCACAUAAAUAAUAUAUAUAUACUCUAUGAUUAAGUUUGUUUUUGCUAGCAUUGAAUUUAGUAGUUAUUGUUUAAAGUCCCGCUUCACUAUUUAAAACAAUUGUUGAUAGAAAUUAGAUAAAAAUGAAUGAAACAAUAACCAGGAAUUGUUUACCUUCGAGGUGGUUGGAACCAAGAGACAAAGCCUCGAGCAAAGUCAAAUUUCCAAUUUCUGUAGGUAUACGUCCAUCCAAGGAGUUGUUAAACAAUGAUAAAAACUUCAGCUCUUUGCACUUGAAUAAACUAUUUGGAAUUCUACCGGAUAUUUGAUUUCCACCCAAGCUCAACAUUUCUAGUUUUGACAAAUUGCCUAGAGUAGAUGGGAUAACACCAAUGAAGUUGUUAAGGUACAGAGACAAUCUUUGAAGUUUACUGAAGCAACCAAACCAUGAUGGGAUUUCUCCAUUGAUGCUAUU